UGUUUCUGUUUCAGAGUCCACUGUUUCAGUUUCAGAGUCCACUGUUUCAGUUUCAGAGCUCCACGCUUGCUUUGCUCCAUUCAGAAUCUUCACUCUGUAAGACUUCCUGUCGUCACUACGCCAACCAUCGUCAGUACGACAGUCGGGUAACUCCCUGCUACCAUUUAUGAGUAUCCCGCAAUCAUCUGGUAUUUUUGAGCUUAAUGGAUCAAGAAUCCUUCCCACUGAUUUGCAGUUAUCAAUAUUCAACCACUGCAAGAACUCUAAUUCAUCAAUGCCCUCCACAACCUGCAGGCUCGGGCAACGGUGAAUCUUUAACCGCUUCAAGUUCUUCGAGUUUGACAAACCGCCUAAGCUUUUUAACGAAAAGCACUUUUUUACAUAAAUUUCUUCCAAUGAUUCGAACGUAGUAACAAAUUGAAUAUCCUGUACCUCGAGGAACCUUGACAGAAUAAAUUGUAUAAGCGUCUUUUGGGAGCUUGGGAAAAGUAUCACUCCCCUCCAAUGAUCAAUCAACUCGGGAGCUUGUAGUCCAUUGCACCCCGGCUCCUCCGGCUGACAAACCAAACUCUCGGAAGAUCUGCAGUCCUGAAUACGUGAUCUUUCUGACGAUUCUAAGACAUCGAGAGAUUGAACAUCAAGUUGCUCGGAGACCUUGUUUUCUUUCGAUUUUCCCAAACUUGUUGGAAGGAAUGGAGUCUCCUUUUCCGAUGGAGGAAGCCCAUCGAGGUGUACUUGUUUCCCUCCAGUUUCGUAGAGCUUUAAAACUAUCAAAUUUGACGGGAGGUGUUUGAAAGUUGGCAAGUCUUGUCCCUGUAGAGUAAGUUCUUUCAGCAGAGAAAGGGAACCCAACUCUGUAGUUGGCGCGCGAACAUUUGUAAAGCAGACGAGCAGGUUGCUCAAUUUGGUUAAACUCCCAAUCCACCCCAAGUCGCCAGUUUGGAAUUCAUUCGAUGGGUCUCUACCUUCAUUUGUGUCUCUGAAGCCGUAUCUGUCUAUGACGCCGUAUCUCUCUUCAUAGCCAUCAGAUAGGAGCAGUUCAACUAUAUUAGUAAGGUAUGAGAGGUUAGGGACAGUUUGCAGGGAAAAAGAACUAAGCCGUAAAGUGGUCAAACUUAUGGGGAGCUUUGGCAACUCUUGUAUCUUAUGACACUGAUCCAUGUCCAGUGUUUGGAGUUGACGAAACUUGACAAGUUUGGUAGUUCACCAAUGGUAUCCGGUAAUUUCAUAAUUUUUGUGUGUGAUACAUCCAGCUCCGUUAACGACUUUAUUUUCAAAACUGAGGCGGGGAGUUCAAUCAACCCGAAACAUCGCUUAAGACAGAGGCACUGCAAAUUUUGUAACUCUCCAAUUUGUUCAGGCAAUUUUUUAAUUGAACAACAAUGCUCAAAAGUCAAGUCAAUCAACCACCUCAGUUUCCCAAUAGAACGAUCAAUUUUCAUUAAAGAUCCAAAAGACUCAAUAGUCAACUUCUUUAAAUUUGAGUACUCGGGAAAGGUUGGUGUCUCACUUAUCAAAGCAUUACACCGAAUAGUGAGAACCGUCAAUUUCCUUGCCCCCUACAAAAGCCAAUAAAACAGUAAGACAUACAAGAAAUAAAUAUGGAUUUAGGUUACCAAUGAGAAAAUUAGUUAAUAAACACGUCAAAUUAUGUCCUUCAUUGAAUGAGAAAAUUAGACUAAGAGGGAAACCGGCAUACCUUGAUUAGGCUAUCUAACACAUCUUUUGUGAUUUCAAUCCCAUAAAGAUUCGCCACAACCACGUUUUCUAGAUGCAACAAAUUGGUUGCCUCCAAAUGUUGAUUACAAGAUCCGAUCGUACUAUAAUGGUAACAAUGCAAACGGAUCCAUUUCAACUCAGAAAGACAGCCCGUAAAGUCACCUCGGUAGGUUACAUUAGGCAAUGAAAGAAACCGCAUACGUGGAAACCGUUUAAUUUGCUCCGAAGUGACAGUCCAAUGAGGAGGAAAAUAACUCCAUGGCAAAUGGAGUGCUUGAACGCUUUCUUUGAUCUGCCAAUUCGUAGAAGAGAAGAGAAAAUGAAACAAAAGAGUAGCUCUCAAAUCAAAAAGUGAAUAUUGAAUUAAGAAGAGGUAUAAGCAAUUUUCUAUUCAAUUUAGGCCAUACUUUACCUCUGUUGAUCUUAAUUCGUGAAUGAUGUCGUCUCCAUCCCACAAUCCGGUACGCUCGUUUUUGGCAAUUGCCCUUCCAAGAUCUCUAAAUUGAUCGUGCAUCCAAAGGCUAUUAUUGUCUAACUCCUUUAUCAUGCAUCUGUUCAUGAGGACAUCCAUGGCAUCCUCUGGGUACAAAUUACAAUCUUUCCACACGUACAUUGGAUUAGUCUUAUUCUCACCAGCAAAAUAGCAUGCAAUAUCAAGAAAUAUCUAUUUUUCAUUCUGAUGUAAGGCAUCAUAGCUAAUCUUUAGUUUUGCCAAGACAUCCUCAUGAGGUGUUUUCUUUAGCCUCUCUAGCCACUCUUCCCAUAGCUCUCUCUUUUUCCCAAAAAGUGAUGAACCAAUUGCUUGAAGAGCUAAAGGUAGUCCACAUGUAGUAUCGACAAUGCCCUUUGAAAGAGCGCAAUAAUCAGCUGGAGGAGAGUCUUCAUUGAAGGCAUGCCUACUAAAAAGUUUAAGUGCAUCUUUACCGAUCAACCCCAUCAUUUCAUAAUCCUUAAAUUCAUACUUAAGUUUCCUGUUAGUCAAAACGUUCUUGUCCCUGGUGGUAACAAGUAUUCUACUACCUCGAUGCAAAGAUUUCUCUGCAAUUAGUUGUAGGAUCUGGUUGGCCUCAUCAACAUCAUCCAAUACAAUUAGCACCUUCUUGUUGGAAAUUGUUGCUUCAAUCGUAUCAAUCCCUUCAUCAAUCUUAUUAAUUUUGUGAGCCACUCCAGAAUAAGAGAUAUCAGACAAUAAUUUUUUUUGUAGCUCAACCAUGUUCUUGUUUUUUGCCGUUUCCCUCACGUCAUCAAGAAAGCUGCAGUUUCUGCCAAAUCGAGGACAUAGUUCGUUGAAGAUAGUCUUGGCGAGUGUUGUUUUACCAAUGCCGCCCAUCCCGUAGAUUCCAAUGAACUGCACAUCAUCAGAAUCAAUGUCUAAUAAUUUCUUUAUGUUUGCUAUUUGAUCUUCCAUUCCAACGAAAUCUCCGGUUACACGUCUCCGUUUUGUCAAGAGCUUGGCCAUAACCUCGUCAACAAUAGCCUGGAUGAGUUUUAAAGGGCUGCCACAAAGUUGAACAGUUUCAAUUGAGCAAACGUGACAAAUUUGCAUAUUGACCAUCUACUAACCAACCGGGUGGGGACGCGAUCAAGUUUAAAAAUAUAGAAGAGAAAUGUUCGAUCUUUAUAUCAGGUAGAAGAAUCAGAAUUUCUGGCAGAAAAGGGUACAAGAAUCAAAAUAUAAACAUCUAAUGAAUUAAUGUACUGAAAUAUUUACUUAAAUAAAAAAAAUGGCAGCCCGAUUAUACAAAAUAAUUUUCACAAUCAUGGUUAGAUUGUUACCUUAAAUGUUUCUCCACCUCCCAUCCCUUGAUGCCACCAACUUCUACGAGACUCCCGCCACGUCUUUAUAUUCUCGGAGCUGAACUUAUGCUCCUAAUCCUCCAUCUCUUGCUCCAAAUUCAAUAUGACAUCCUUGUAUAACGGUGUUUGCAGCUUCGCAUCUUUGGGCUUCACGUCAUAGAAGAUGGGUAAUAUGACCUUCUCUUUCCCAUCUUCUUUAUGUUUAGAGGUGUUCUCCACCAUUUUCGCAAGCUCAUCAAGGCACCAGUGACUUGAAGCGUAAUCGUUGGAGAAGAUGGGUAUGUAAAGCUUGCAAUUGUCAAUCACUUGCAAAAGGUUGCUAAUUUUUUCACCAGGUUGAAGCCCUACGUCAUCGAUGGAAACACGAAUCCCGGCAUCUACCAGGGCUUGGUGGAGGAUAUUGGUGAAUGGAAGACGAGUAUCAGGCCCUCUAAAACUCAGGAAAACCUGGUAUUCACCUCCUACCGUGUUGCUGGUGCUCGUCACUGUCUCUGAGUUUGCCAUAGGAGCUCACUUCGCACUUAACAACGUCAACCCUCUCACCUCGUCUCUGAGUUCGCAAUAUGACAUUUCACAUAUUUGAAUCCGAUCCCAUUUGCCAUCCAAAACGCGGUCAACGCGUGUCGAGUUUUCCGACACGUAGUCAACUUUUUUCGACUCGUCUCGACACGCGUGUCGGAUGGAAGCGAGGGCGGGGGAGGAGAGACGAGGCCGCGAGCGACAGCGAGCCCGCGACGGCGAGAAACCGCCAGAGAAAGAGUAGAGAUUGAGGCGCCAGAGAAAGAGUCGAGACCGAAGCAAGGGCGGCUGUAGAGACUGAGGAGAGGGCGGCCGCAGUGAUGCUGCGGAUCGGCGACGAGGCUGCAACUGCAAGUGAGGAAGGGCCGAAGCGAGGCGGAGGAGGAGGAGAGGAUCGAGAGGAGAGAGAGGACGGGGUUGUAUGGAGGUCGUCGUCCGGNNNNNNNNNNNNNNNNNNNNNNNNNNNNNNNNNNNNNNNNNNNNNNNNNNNNNNNNNNNNNNNNNNNNNNNNNNNNNNNNNNNNNNNNNNNNNNNNNNNNNNNNNNNNNNNNNNNNNNNNNNNNNNNNNNNNNNNNNNNNNNNNNNNNNNNNNNNNNNNNNNNNNNNNNNNNNNNNNNNNNNNNNNNNNNNNNNNNNNNNNNNNNNNNNNNNNNNNNNNNNNNNNGAGGGAAAAAAGUGAAAUAAAUUUGGGAGCGGGGGGAAACUUUGUUUUAAUCGGAAAAAAUAAAUGAAUAAUUUUAAAAAAUAAAAAUACUGAAUUUUAGAUGAUAAUAAAUUUUGAUCAUUGUAAAAAAAAUCAUAGAUUUAUUUAAAUAAGUUGAUUGUAAUUUUCAAUGAAUUAAUUUAUUAAUAUUAUUAGUGUAAAUUCAUUGUAGGUUCUUUUUUUAAUUAAUUAAUUAAUUAUGAAUUUAAAUCAAAUUAAAUAUAAAUAAAAAUAUUUAUUUAAUAUUUAACGUGUCGGAAGAUAUCGAAAUUUUUUACUUUUUGAGAAAUGACGUAUAAUGUAUCGUGUCGUGUCGUGUCACUUAUCGCAUAUCGCGUGUCGGUGCUACAUACGUGUACACUUAGUCAAGUUGAUGACUUCAAAAAAUAAAAAUAAGGAAAAUGACGCUAAUGGAGACGCACCUUUUUACACUCCCAAUGUCAUUCGAGUUUCUUCCUUUGUCCUUUUCACUUUGUGCUUUUGAAAAAGAAAAAUACGGUGGAGGACGAUAAUGGAGGUGCACCUUUUUGCAUGCCCAAUGUCUUCCGAGUUUCUCCUUUGUGCUUGUCGCGACCUAAUUUUCGCGGGUUCACCACCUAAAACUAGGUAAAUGGACUGCUAAGCUUUUACACUUAGCUCGGGCUCUCCCAAGCCCAUAUCAAAUCGCGACUUAAGUCUAAAUUUUUAAACAUGCAAGAGGUUAUUAUCUAGGAGUCGCUACUAAUCAGUUUAUGGUAGGUCGAUUAGACACCUAAGUAAAAUAAUGGGAGAAUUACUUUACUCCUACGAACCAGAGACUAAGGGUACGGGGACUUGAUUACAUUAGAUUUCUCUAAUGCCCUUUCGGUACCAUUCUUUUUAUUUUCAAAAAUGUUUGGCAAUUGAAUUGAUUUUAAUCUAACUUCCUAACAUGUGAGGUAAUCAUACGUGUGCGCAUACCACCAAUUUAACACACAAGACAGCAAUUUAAUAUUGCAAAACAUACCUAGGAGCAAUAAAAGCAUCUACAUUGUUAAAUCAGAAAUCACAUCAGCAGCCAUAGAUAUGAUUUCUAAUUAACACGCAAUUUCAAUUUUUUUGUUUUCACUUUAUUUAAUGAAAAUCAUGACUUAUGCAAUGCAUCUAAUAUGACAUGGCAGCAUGACCUAAACUAUAUGACAUGAAGAAAUGCAAGAAUUAAAUGCCAUCUAAAUGACCUAAUUCUAAUGACAUGCAAUGCGAAGCAAUGACAUACAAAAUUCUUUAAACUAAGAUGACAUGCCGCAUAUAAUUUAGCACGCGAGUUAUAUGUCAUGCGACAUUUAUUAAAUGAUUUAGUCUAAUGACGAUGAAGUUCUAAUGAACCUAAUAAAAACUAAAUGACGUGCAUUUGAUAUUUCUAUUUAAAAAUGCGAAAAUAAUCUAGCUAGAUUAAAAUUCAAUCUAACUUAAACUAAGGAUUAAGUCACAUUAAAUCCUAAUUUAAACUAAGAUAUUAUCUUAAUCUAACAUGUAAUUGGUCUAAUAUGCAAUGACGUGCGGAGCAAGCCCUAAUGACAUAUGCAUGAUAUUUUUUAUAUUUUAUUUUUUAUUUAAAAUUCAAAAUUUAAAAUUGCCACGUAAUUAAACAUGCAACUAAAGUCCUAAAUAAAUGCAUUUUUUUAAAUAUUUUUUGAACUAAAAUCCCUAUCCUAGCUAUGCAAGAUAACAAGAAAUAUUCUAAAACAAACUGAAUCCUAAUUCAAAUAUUUUUUUAGAUUUUUUUAAUGAUUCUCUAAAACAAGCCAUUAUCAAUUAAACAGUAAAUCUAAACAAUCAAGAUAUGCAAUCAUAUAAAGGAUCAAAAUAACCGAAAAAAAUAACCUGUUGUCUCACAGGUCAAAUUAACGAUUAUCCUAACCCUAAUUAUCACAACAAAGAGUUCAAAAUAACUAAAAUCUGAUCCGAAUUCUUACGGAUCAAAUUAAUAGUUAUAUUGAUUCAACACUAUCGACAAAUCCCAGAAAUUAUUAUAAUAAAAAAAAAAUGAUCCGAGAUCUUACGGAUCAAAUUAGUAAUUACAAUAAUUCUAGGGAAUAUCCUGUGGAUAAUGCCUACAAAAUCCAUAAAAUAAAGAUCACUCCUGAACUUAAAAGAAAUAAAUAAAAUAAAGUAAAUAGAAAAAGAAUAAAACUACCUAAUUUCCCUUUUCUUUUCUUUUUUUGUUUUUCUUUUCCUGCUUGUAACCGUGGGUCUCCAAGGCAGCGAGUUAAUCGGCACGGCAAAGGGGAUCACCGACGAGGGGGAAUUCCGGCGAGGCAAGGCAGCAGGCACAGCUGGUCACGGGUCAGGUGAGACAGGGACGGCAUGAGCGAAACCAUCGGUCUUCGGGCACCGGCAAAGGUGCGCGAGUGCAGCAGUAGCUGAGGCGGUCUGGCGUCGUGGGUGAGGAGGAAUCAGCGAGCAGUGGACUCACGGCUUCGAGCGGGCGGAGUAGGGCAGGAAAAGCUCCGGCGUCAGGCUUCACGGGCGGUGACCGGCGGGCUUUGUGAGGAGACAACAGACGCGCGGCGAGAGGCGAGCUGCUGUGGCGCCGGUGCUCGGGAGGAGGGAUGCAGGCGGAGAUGCGGCACGGAGAUCUGAGCGCGAUGGUGUGGCGCGGUGCAGGAGGGGUCACGGACGACUGGGCUGGCGUCGCGGGUUGCUCGCGAAGGAGGCGCGACGAGGCUCGGCGUCGUGGUGGCACGGUUCGUCGGGUCUUGUAGACGGAGACCGGCGGCUACGUCGACGCGGGGAAGGCGGAGGCGCGGCGGAGCUUCACGGAUCGUCGAGUUGGGCGAUGGGCAGUGCUCAAGUGUGGGGCACACGGAUGAUCAACCGGACAGGAGCAAGGAGACACGUCGGUGAAGGGACUGGACACCAGGAAAGCUUUGCCGAAGAAGAUGAAUAGGAAAAACUUUUCCUUCUUUUUUUACUUUUCCCUUUCCUCUCUCCUCUGCAGCCGCACACUUUCCUUUCUUUUUGCUUUUUGUGCUUCUUUCCUUUUCCCAAGACCUUCACGGACGGCCUCCCUCUCCUCUUUCACUUUUUGCUUUUUUCUCUCUUUUUUUAACUGCAAAACUUCUCUCCACUUUUCUGAAUUUUUUUUCAAAAGAAGCUCCUCCUUCUCCACAUACCUGAUUGCUUUUUAUAGGUGAAAAUAGGUAAUCUUCGUAGAAUAUUUUAUCUCGUUUUUUCAAUAUACACGAAGAUAAUCUAUAACCUCCCGAUCACCCAAAAUCUUCUUAUUUUCCUUAUCUCUUGAAUAUCUCUAAUGAUUUUAUUGCCUAUUGAUAAAGAUGAUAUUGCAAUGCGGUUUUCUCAAUCUUCAAAAAUCAUCAGAAUAUUGCAUCAAAAUUUCAAUUUUUCACAAGAUAAUUGAUUUGCAAAAAAUAAUGGGCUUGGGCUAUUUUGCUCAUUUCAUGGGCUUAGCCCGACCUGCCAAUUUAAAACCCGAAAACACCAAUUCGACCCAUCCGCCAAUCGGUUCAGUAAAUAAAUGCAAAAUAUGCAAACUAAAUGUAGCUAUGCAAUAUUUUUUUUCAGGGAUAAAAUUAACCCCUAAUUUUUUAUGCAAUAAAUGACUAAAUGGAUCGCCAAAAUUUAGGUGUCAACAGCUGCCCCUCUUUGAAGGUGAGCUCGAAGAGGUUGCCUUCAAAAACAAAUUGAGAUCUAAAUUUUGACAAUGCAAAUGCACUGAAUGAUUUUUUUUUUUUUUUCAGAAAAUGAAUUCCAUUUUUUAAUGCAAUGUAUAUGAUGCAUGGAAAUGCUAAUGCAGAUGAUAAAAGACUUACCUGGAAUGACUUACCUUCAAGGAGGGUAGAGUGAUUCAAGAUAGUUGGUGUUACAUGUCCAGGACUCGUACCAUUCUACGGUCGCCCGGAAUAGUAACAUGGUUUUGCAAAGAGACUGCUUCCCUAGGACCCGUACCAUUCUACGGUCGCCCAGUAUGGCAGUGUUUGAUUGUGUCUAGGACCCGUACCAUUCUACGGUCGCCUAAACAGGGAUUUACCUUCCAGGACCCGUAUCAUUUUACGGUCGCCUGAAUAGGGAAAUAGGUUUUGUCUAGGACCCGUUCUAUUCUACGGUCACCUAAACGGGGGUUUACCUUCCAGGACCCGUACCAUUCUACGGUCGCCUGAAUAGGGAAAUAGAUGUUGUCUAGGACCCGUUCUAUGCUACGGUCACCUAAACGGGGGUUUACCUUCCAGGACCCGUACCAUUCUACGGUCGCCUGAAUAGGGAAAUAGAUGUUGUCUAGGACCCGUUCUAUGCUACGGUCACCUAAACGGGGGUUUACCUUCCAGGACCCGUACCAUUCUACGGUCGCCUGAAUAGGGAAAUAGAUGUUGUCUAGGACCCGUUCUAUGCUACGGUCACCUAGACUGAGGUUUUGCUUGGCUAGGACCCGAACCAUUCUUCGGUCGCCCAGCCUUGCAAAAGAGAUCAACUGACCAGGACCCGAACCGUUCUUCGGUCGCCUUAAUCAGAUUGGCUCUGGAGGAAAAUCUUUGGGGGACAACUCAGUCGAGUGUCGAUUAAAAGGGACUCUGGGCUACAAAAGCACGCCAGGUCGAUAAAAGAAAUCCGGGCUACGGAAGCACGCCGAUUUGGUAUAAAUGGACAUCGGGCUACGAAAGCACACCGGGUCAAUGAAUGGGACUCUGGGCUACGAAAGCACGCCAGGUCAAUAUAAAGGACACCGGGCUACUGAAGCACGCCGGGUCAAUGAGAAAGGGACUCUGGGCUACAAAAGCACACCAGGUCAAUAUAGAGAGACAGCUUGACCGAGUCAAGUGUCGAUAAUGGGUAGAGAUAUACUUACCUGAUGAUAUCUCUGAUUCUUUGGGAUAUGUCUUUUGGAAAUUAGAUAUCCUGUGGAGGCCUUUCACCUCCUAAUAUCAUGAAACAUUCUGAAAGGAACUUGAAUUACCUGUCAGACAUGAUUUAGAGCAAAAACUGAUAUGCAUUCAUUAAAGAGAUAAACAAUCUAAGCUACUCUAGAAUGCACAUUUCAAAAUUCAGUGAGGUUUUCAUCAACUCAAUCGGGGUUUAUGCAUAAUGACCUUUGCAUCACCCAAAUUUCCACUGGAGAGAAUUAUCAUUCAAGACAAUUUUCACUCAUGACAUGGAUUUCUUAAGAAUACCAAAUGAGGGACCUUCAAUUAGAAAGGACUUUCACUCACUCUCAUUUAGAAGCUAUUUUAUGAGAAUCACUCCAUCUCACUAUCAUCACACCAACAAGGGUCCGAGUUUUCUCACAAGAGGUACAACCUUACCAAUCUGAGAGAUCUUUAAUAGGGACCGUAAUGUGGGCUUGGUUAAUGGCUUAACAAAGGGACUCUUUGAGUCAAGGCAAUUGAAAGAACAAUUUUGUAAUCAUCUCCGGGUUUACAAGUCAAGAACCUUGCAAAAUGAGAACGAAAUGAUCUUGCUCGUACUUCUUCGAGCGAUGCUUAUAAACAUAUGAACUCCUAUGUUAAUUCAAGUGCCCUAAUCUGAAGAGACUUUGUAAAGGACGUAACGUAGGCUAGGUUCAUGGGUUGAGAAAUGACAUGAUCAUUAGGCUCAAAACAUGUGUUAAGGGUGAGAGUUGAUGAUCAUCUUGGCAUUGCCACCAGUUUUCUUUUUCACCAUUGGGGAUUGUCUUCAUGAAGUGCCCCAUUGAUUAUGAAAACUCAACUUUUGAGUUCUUUGAGUAUUGCUCCAUUGAGACUCAAUUCUUGUCAUUAAGAGUCACCUAUCUUGACUCUUUUUUUCAUCUAUGGGCAUUGGCCUUGCUUUUACCAGGCACACCACUUUUUCACGCCCCCUAGUUUUCAUUCACUUUUCUUCACUUCUUUUCAUGGGCAUUGGCCUUGCUUUUACCAGGCACACUGCUUUUUUUAUGCCCCUUAGUUCUAUUUUGAAUUCAAUUCUUGCACAUAAUGCAUGCGUCAAGUAAACUACACUUUGAAUGACACUUGAACUUUUCAAGAGUCUUCAUUUGCCUUUUGUCUUGCCCCAGUGUGGGGGAUGAUCACCAACUGGGUUUAAAGAAAUAAAAUUGCAGGCUCAAAUGGGCUAUGCAAAGGAUAUAGGUGUAUGGGAUAGAAAAAGAAAUGCUCUUCAUCAUCCUAAAGCACUUAAAUUAACACAUGAAUUCACUGUAAUAGCAUGACUUGAAGAUUGAUGCAAGUGAGAGCAAGAAGAUUUCAAUUCAUUUUCCUCACCUCAUGAUGCCAUUUGAUCUCUUAGUUGCCCCGAUGUGGGGUGAUUCUUGACAGGGGUAAUUUGAAAAGAAUCUCCACAAGUGUAUAAGGCUCAAAAGGGUUAAGCAAUGGAUCACCUAUAGUGUUUGGGAUAGAGAAAUAAACUGCCUCUCAUCAUUUUGGUCAUCGUACCUUUUGCAAGAGAACUCUUUACCUUGAAGAUAUGGAACUUCCUACACUCAUCUAUCAAGUGUAUAAGUAGGGGACCGUGUAUAGGGUAAGGCUUGCCUUUCAUCAUACUGACACGUCUCAUUCAGCAUUCUUAAGCAUUGAUAUCACUCCAUUAAAUUGUCUAUCUUGACAAAUCUCCACAUGAAAUUGGUUAGCUAAAUCAAUAUGAAAAUUCUCUUUUCAAAUGAGUCCAGCAACUUUAAGCAUGAAAAGUGUUUGUGACUUCAAAACAAACAAUUUAUUGCACUCAAAACAUGGUUUUAAGCAUUCAUUCAGGGGAUUGCUCUAGAAAGGGAUAGCCGUCUUUUAUCAAUCAAAAGUGAAAAUUCGCCUUUUGAUUUGAUGAAUACUUCGUUCUUGCUUUUGCCCCUGCACAAGAGAACGUGCAUGAAUAGGAUACUAUGCAACUCAAAGUAAAUUCAAAUGGCACAACCAUUUUGGCUCGGAUCGAGAUUUUGUCUCAGUCAUGUCACUACUAGAAUCUAUAGUACCCCAAUUCUUCAUCUGCAAGGAAAAGAACAAAAGUGUCAAUUCCGAAAUUAAUUAUAUUCAUGAACGCAAUGUAUCCAUUUCAUUUAAGACGGAUGAUCUUCUUUUGACUUGUUUCAUCAUUUUCUCAUGGAAAUGAGAAACUUCAUUUGGCCUUCGAGAAUGACAUUUCACACAAAUUGUUAUGAGAUGUGCCACAUAUCACACUUUGGAGUCCAUAUGAUUUUCUUCACUCUUGGGAGAUGUCAUCAAGAUCAGUUAGGAAAUGAUCAUUUGCCCCCACAUCUAUUUUUCCUCUCAGAUGUAUGUUCCCAAAUCAAUGGGCCUACUAUCAUUGGAAAUUGAUGCGUUAUUUUCAAACGCCUCUCUGUUAUGCUCUGAGACAUGAAGUAAAUGAGUUAGAAAAACAUACAAAGGUAACCUAAUGCAUGCUUUUUGGAAAUGGCUUGAAAAAUGAUUUUUUUUUUUUGUUCUUUUGGAUUUUUUUUUUAUGAGGAAGCAUGAAGAAGCCCAGUCCUCAGAAUUCUCCUUGGAUGAUAUUUUCUUUUCAUUGUUGGAUAUCGUCACCGGGUUGGUUUGGUAUACCCCAUCAUGUCCUCAAAAUUAGAAAUAAAAUUGUAAUUUCGUCAGAUGAAUUACAUUAUUGGAAUGGAAAUUGUGAUUCCUAAACCCCCUAAAAGAGAAAAAAUCGAAAAUGAUUCCUAAAAAGCGAAAACUAAUUCCUAAAAAGCAAUAAAAAUUCCCAUGCAGGGGAAGAUGCAACUGAGCAUGCCCCAAGGAAAGUGAACUACUUAGGACUAUGAAUCAUGUAUGCUCGAGUUCUUCACCCUCCUUGCUCGUGUGAUGCGAACCUUUCAAGUCUGAGAUUCUUCCUUCUAGAUAUGUCACGAGUCUCUUCAUGGUGGCAUCAAAUUCAGCUACCUCGGGAAAGUGAGACGAUUCAAAAGUUCUCUUGGCUCUCUUCUUCGAGUCGCAAAUUCUUAUUGAAGAUGGAGUACCUAUGUCAUCGCAGCCUUUUUGCUUGAUGAGAAAAGUCACAGUAGUAGACAAUUCAUUGACUUGAUUUUGGUGGUGUGCAAUUUGCUUGUUCAUAUUAUCAAUGAUAUGGUCCAGCGCCUCAUUUCGAUCCGCCAUUUUAGCUCUCGACCGUGUACGGAUGGGUGAGCGAGAUCGCUUCAUAAUCACCUAAUAAAAAAAUAAAUGGGAACAUGUAAGCAUGAAGUGUAAAUAGAAAGCUAGUUCAUGACAACCAUUUAAUUUUAAUCAAGAAAAGUCCACAUAUGAAGAGGAAUUCCUAAAAACGGACUAGGAAAAUAAAGACAGGGGACGCCCCAGUAGGGACGAAAUUUCCUAAACAUGAACUAGCAAAAGCCAAGACAUAAAUUGAAAACAAAUUUCCAAUUUUUAUUUUCCAAAUGAUUCAUUGUAUGGCAAUUCAUUUCAUUUUUUAAAGGAAUUAGAUCAAAUGACUAUCCUAGAUUGUCAUGAACAAACCAAAAGCAUGACAAAAUAAGAUGCAUGGUAUAGGGAUAGAAAACUUACUUUACCAAGAAAAAUCAACGGCGAUCACAUAGACAUGCACAUGAAAUGUGAGGCUCGAUUUCUGUCUAAAUGGCUUAACAAGGUGGAGCUAAGAGGAUAAUCUUACCGUUGCAGUCUCGCAUUAACGUGUCAGGUCCCCCUAACUCCGGCUCAGUCGAAUGGAAUACCCAAUAAUCACGCAGUCUCGCGGAUAUGGAUAAACACAUUCGACACCAUGAAAGAAAUUUCGGGGAAGAGAAGGUCAACCUCUACAUAGCAGUCUCGCUUUGGAGGAAGUAUCCUUCUCAACACCAUCCUAAAAAUCCUAUCGCAGCCCAGGUCCGACCGCAGGUUGUGUGUGCAAAAGUGUAGUGCUAAAGCAAUAAAGCAUGCACAACAGUUUAAAUGCAAACAACACUUCUAUAGUUUUAAUUCAAACAUUCAUCCCUAACUCCAACCUGCAAAACAAGGGUUAGCAAAGACUACUCCCCUUAUACCUCCUAUCUGCAAGAACAUUUAACACCUUAGGAAUGUUAGGGACAUACCUGGGAUCCUAUGCUGCCAAACAAAAAUAUUUUUUUAAAAAGAAAUUGGCCUAAGUCCACUAAGUGUUUUAACACAAGUCCCCAGUGGAGUCGCCAAGCUGUCGCGACCUAAUUUUCGCGGGUUCACCACCUAAAACUAGGUAAAUGGACUGCUAAGCUUUUACACUUAGCUCGGGCUCUCCCAAGCCCAUAUCAAAUCGCGACUUAAGUCUAAAUUUUUAAACAUGCAAGAGGUUAUUAUCUAGGAGUCGCUACUAAUCAGUUUAUGGUAAGUCGAUUAGACACCUAAGUAAAAUAAUGGGAGAAUUACUUUACUCCUACGAACCAGAGACUAAGGGUACGGGGACUUGAUUACAUUAGAUUUCUCUAAUGCCCUUUCGGUACCAUUCUUUUUAUUUUCAAAAAUGUUUGGCAAUUGAAUUGAUUUUAAUCUAACUUCCUAACAUGUGAGGUAAUCAUACGUGUGCGCAUACCACCAAUUUAACACACAAGACAGCAAUUUAAUAUUGCAAAACAUACCUAGGAGCAAUAAAAGCAUCUACAUUGUUAAAUCAGAAAUCACAUCAGCAGCCAUAGAUAUGAUUUCUAAUUAACACGCAAUUUCAAUUUUUUUGUUUUCACUUUAUUUAAUGAAAAUCAUGACUUAUGCAAUGCAUCUAAUAUGACAUGGCAGCAUGACCUAAACUAUAUGACAUGAAGAAAUGCAAGAAUUAAAUGCCAUCUAAAUGACCUAAUUCUAAUGACAUGCAAUGCGAAGCAAUGACAUACAAAAUUCUUUAAACUAAGAUGACAUGCCGCAUAUAAUUUAGCACGCGAGUUAUAUGUCAUGCGACAUUUAUUAAAUGAUUUAGUCUAAUGACGAUGAAGUUCUAAUGAACCUAAUAAAAACUAAAUGACGUGCAUUUGAUAUUUCUAUUUAAAAAUGCGAAAAUAAUCUAGCUAGAUUAAAAUUCAAUCUAACUUAAACUAAGGAUUAAGUCACAUUAAAUCCUAAUUUAAACUAAGAUAUUAUCUUAAUCUAACAUGUAAUUGGUCUAAUAUGCAAUGACGUGCGGAGCAAGCCCUAAUGACAUAUGCAUGAUAUUUUUUAUAUUUUAUUUUUUAUUUAAAAUUCAAAAUUUAAAAUUGCCACGUAAUUAAACAUGCAACUAAAGUCCUAAAUAAAUGCAUUUUUUUUAAUAUUUUUUUGAACUAAAAUCCCUAUCCUAGCUAUGCAAGAUAACAAGAAAUAUUCUAAAACAAACUGAAUCCUAAUUCAAAUAUUUUUUUAGAUUUUUUUAAUGAUUCUCUAAAACAAGCCAUUAUCAAUUAAACAGUAAAUCUAAACAAUCAAGAUAUGCAAUCAUAUAAAGGAUCAAAAUAACCGAAAAAAAUAACCUGUUGUCUCACAGGUCAAAUUAACGAUUAUCCUAACCCUAAUUAUCACAACAAAGAGUUCAAAAUAACUAAAAUCUGAUCCGAAUUCUUACGGAUCAAAUUAAUAGUUAUAUUGAUUCAACACUAUCGACAAAUCCCAGAAAUUAUUAUAAUAAAAAAAAAAUGAUCCGAGAUCUUACGGAUCAAAUUAGUAAUUACAAUAAUUCUAGGGAAUAUCCUGUGGAUAAUGCCUACAAAAUCCAUAAAAUAAAGAUCACUCCUGAACUUAAAAGAAAUAAAUAAAAUAAAGUAAAUAGAAAAAGAAUAAAACUACCUAAUUUCCCUUUUCUUUUCUUUUUUUGUUUUUCUUUUCCUGCUUGUAACCGUGGGUCUCCAAGGCAGCGGGUUAAUCGGCACGGCAAAGGGGAUCACCGACGAGGGGGAAUUCCGGCGAGGCAAGGCAGCAGGCACAGCUGGUCACGGGUCAGGUGAGACAGGGACGGCAUGAGCGAAACCAUCGGUCUUCGGGCACCGGCAAAGGUGCGCGAGUGCAGCAGUAGCUGAGGCGGUCUGGCGUCGUGGGUGAGGAGGAAUCAGCGAGCAGUGGACUCACGGCUUCGAGCGGGCGGAGUAGGGCAGGAAAAGCUCCGGCGUCAGGCUUCACGGGCGGUGACCGGCGGGCUUUGUGAGGAGACAACAGACGCGCGGCGAGAGGCGAGCUGCUGUGGCGCCGGUGCUCGGGAGGAGGGAUGCAGGCGGAGAUGCGGCACGGAGAUCUGAGCGCGAUGGUGUGGCGCGGUGCAGGAGGGGUCACGGACGACUGGGCUGGCGUCGCGGGUUGCUCGCGAAGGAGGCGCGACGAGGCUCGGCGUCGUGGUGGCACGGUUCGUCGGGUCUUGUAGACGGAGACCGGCGGCUACGUCGACGCGGGGAAGGCGGAGGCGCGGCGGAGCUUCACGGAUCGUUGAGUUGGGCGAUGGGCAGUGCUCAAGUGUGGGGCACACGGAUGAUCAACCGGACAGGAGCAAGGAGACACGCCGGUGAAGGGACUGGACACCAGGAAAGCUUUGCCGAAGAAGAUGAACAGGAAAAACUUUUCCUUCUUUUUUUACUUUUCCCUUUCCUCUCUCCUCUGCAGCCGCACACUUUCCUUUCUUUUUGCUUUUUGUGCUUCUUUCCUUUUCCCAAGACCUUCACGGACGGCCUCCCUCUCCUCUUUCACUUUUUGCUUUUUUCUCUCUUUUUUUAACUGCAAAACUUCUCUCCACUUUUCUGAAUUUUUUUUCAAAAGAAGCUCCUCCUUCUCCACAUACCUGAUUGCUUUUUAUAGGUGAAAAUAGGUAAUCUUCGUAGAAUAUUUUAUCUCGUUUUUUCAAUAUACACGAAGAUAAUCUAUAACCUCCCGAUCACCCAAAAUCUUCUUAUUUUCCUUAUCUCUUGAAUAUCUCUAAUGAUUUUAUUGCCUAUUGAUAAAGAUGAUAUUGCAAUGCGGUUUUCUCAAUCUUCAAAAAUCAUCAGAAUAUUGCAUCAAAAUUUCAAUUUUUCACAAGAUAAUUGAUUUGCAAAAAAUAAUGGGCUUGGGCUAUUUUGCUCAUUUCAUGGGCUUAGCCCGACCUGCCAAUUUAAAACCCGAAAACACCAAUUCGACCCAUCCGCCAAUCGGUUCAGUAAAUAAAUGCAAAAUAUGCAAACUAAAUGUAGCUAUGCAAUAUUUUUUUUCAGGGAUAAAAUUAACCCCUAAUUUUUUAUGCAAUAAAUGACUAAAUGGAUCGCCAAAAUUUAGGUGUCAACAGUGCUUUUCACUUUGUCUUGAUCUCUCCGCCUUGAAAACUUAACUUCAAUUAUAACCAAUUUCCUUCAACAACUCAAUUAUUGUCGUAAAAUGUGCCUUUAUAUUAAAAGGUGAAUGAUCAUUUAUUUCCUACUAACAACUAUUAGAAUGUGAGCAUGGUGUAGUUAGUGCAGUUUGGAUGUCAAAUCAAGCCAAACUAUAUAAAUAUAUUUUGAGUUUGAGCACCUCGGAUGAAAUAGGAUCAGAUGAGAAUUAUAGGAGCUCGGCCACUGUUCAAAAUUGGUGAGAGGAAGGGCAGUGAUGGCUUGUCAAAGGCCAUGAUGCCAGUCCAUUGCGGUAUUGCUUUGAGCACGAAAGAAAGAAAGAGAAACCAUGAUGGUCCUGACCACAAGAGACGGCUUUUGCUCAGCUGAAGAAGAGAGAACGAGAUUAAUGAUGGCCAUUGCCGAUACUGGCCCGAAAGGGGAGAAGACGAAGAAAGUUGCAAGGACGGUGUCUUUUCAUGUUGGCCACUCAUUGUUUCCUUACUUCUGCUUUAUUUGGUUCCGCUGAAUUUCCUCUUCAAGUACCAAGAGGAAGAGCUCUUAAAGUCAAAGAGAGCUCUGAAGGCUGCACAGAGCAUAUCGAAAAGCGUGUCGAGGGUUCCUCUCGAUAACACCAAAUAUUUAUGUUCUAAAGAGGAGUAAAUCUUUCGUUAAGAUUUGCCUCGUACUUUUAAGAGAUUGGGAAAUUUUUUCAAAAUAAAAUUUGAAAGCUAAACAUUUUAUGAAUUAUUGAAUAUAACUAGGAUUUGAAAAAUAACAAGAGUGUUUAAAUGAUUCAAGUAUGAUUAUAAAUUUCCUCAUAUCUUUUGAUUUAUAAUUGAAUCUUGUAUUGCUCUCUCAUAAAUAUAAGUCAUAAACCGAAUCACGUAAAUUUAAUAUCUGAUUCAUUUCUUUAUUUUGUGCAUUUUAUUCAAUUUUUUUUCCAAAAGGGAAUAUGUUUUGAAGGAAAGUGAAACCCAACUAAAAAAUAUUCGAUAUGAUCAGCAUUAGGGGGUAUUGUUCUUUUGUUGCCAUUUUGUCCAUUGAAUCGCUCCAGGCCGUGUGUACCUUUCACUUUCCUUCCUUCAUUUUCCAUGAUUCUAUGGUCACAUAUUUUUUAUUUAUUUAGUUUUGGCACAACAUAUCAAGAAAACCCUAAAUUUGCAACUACAAUCUUAAUAUUUUAAAUAAGUCUAUUUUGCAUUAUUUGACAUAGAUUUUCACGGCAUUUGUUAGUGAUGCAUUUUUUUUAAUUGCAUGUUUAAUAUAAAUCAUUUUCAUAUUUCAUCUCUUAAUAAUUUUCCAUGAGAAAUUGAAAAUCAUUAGGAAUAUUAUCCUUCGAAAUUUGAAGUAAUGAAGCUCAGAUAGAGCCUAGACGCAAUAAUUUAUUUUUUAGCUUGUUUUAUUUAUAAAUGUUUUUCAUGGCGUUAUUGGUUGCUUUGACUUGUUGACUAAAUCGGUGCACUGUACAAAGUCCUCGAGAGGAUGACUUGUCCACAUUUAUUUUAGCUCAUUCAUGACACUAGUAUCCAAAUCAUUGGACUCAAUUAACACCGAUUUAUAAACACAAACCACUCCAUCCACGUACAUUAGAUUAGUUCCAUUCACAGGAUAGCUAGCAAGACACUCUAGGCAAUGAGUAAGAGACAUCAUGAUCAAAUUUGAACAAAAUAUUGUUUCGAGAAUAGCGUUCAAAAUACAUGUAAUGCACUCAUGACGGAGUCAUUUUCCUGGAAAAUAACUUAUCGAAAAAUGUUUUUCGGAAACAUGAUAUUUUCUACGAAACGAACGAACCCUUAAUAUGAAAAACUUCUCCUCCAAAUCAUCCUCCUUCAAAAAUAUACAAAAGAAGAACAACUGUGUUACAUUAGAAAAGGAGAAAAUGAUGUUUAUUAUGAGAAAUAAAUGAUGAAAUUCUUGAUUUGAAUGCCUGAAGUCCGAUGCCACUUUCUUUAGUAAGAGACAUCAUUUUGGACGUUUGUAUCGUGUAACUCACGUGAUUCAAUUAAAAAGCUUUUCCACCAUAUCAUCCUCCCUAAAAAAAUUACAAAAGGAGAACCACUACGUUACAUUAGAAAAAGGAGAAACGGAUAUUUAAUUAUAAGAUAUAAACGGUGAGCGCAAUGCCACUUUCGUCGGUUAGAGACAUCAUUUGGACGUUUGUAUUUCGUGACUCAGGGGUUUAAUUGAAAAUUAUGGAUAAAGACUCUUAAUUCCAUUUGCAUGACUCACAGGGUUUUAGGUUUCAAAUAAAUAUCGGAAUCGACAAAAUUUUAAAGGGAAACAAAUAUCACUAUAAAAUAUUCUUCCACGACCAUUUGCCAUCAAUUACGCUCACGGCCAACUUUCCAGCAGGUGCAGAAAACAUUAUAUAUUAUGGUCCCUUUUGACAUCAAAAACACGUCAUGGCAACUUCGAAGCAGGUGCAACUUCCAAUUUAUAGUCACUAAAGUCGAUGGCUUUAUAAAAAUAAAGGUGGAGGACAAUAAUGAAGGUGUAACUUUUCUAUAGUUGGACAUAUUUAAAAUUCCAAUCCAAUAUUGUAAAAUAAAAUUUAUCUAUAUAAAUACAUAAUAACAAAUUAUUUCCAAAGAAUCGCCUCUCAUUAUGACACAUGGGACUCCGGAUAAUUAGAUAAAUUUCCUUCAUGCCAUAGAGAUUGAAUUUGCAGCUUUCACUACAAAAAAAAAAAAAAAGGCUCCACCUAAGCGCUACCUAAGCAUAUACUUACUAUUCACUAUGAAAUAUUCGAUUUGAUCUUUUUACCUUAAAGACUUACCUUUUAUUUUAAUUAAUUGCCUUUAACCACUCAAGUAUUCUCAUUAAAUGUGCCUUUAUAUUAAAUAGCAAAUGAUUGUGCAAACACUUUUUCAACACUUAUUUCCUUAGAUUGUCAUUGCAUUUCUUAAAAAAAAUUUAGGGACCGAAUUUGCCAACAACACUAUAAUUUGACCCCUAACCAAAAACACUUACCACGCACGGUUUUUUGCAUUCGUUCCUCGCAUUCAUGACUAGAGGCAUGUUGAUUUCGAUACCUUGGGCCUGGCAUCAAAAUAAAUCUUGGAUAGGAAAAAGAAUUUCAUUUUAUUCUUUUCAAGAAUGGAGGAUUAGGAAAAUCCUAUUGAUUGCAACUUUCUCCAAACGUCCGAGAAAAGGAUGAAAAAAAGGCUUGAAUGGUACAAUCCCUCCAUAACCCCUGGGGAAAAAUAAAGAUAUAUCUUACAUUAAAAGGCUCAAAUGGUACGAUCCCUCCAUCACCCCAAAAUGAAAGGGAUCACAGACAUUUCUGGAACACCUCUAACAAAGGGACAAAUAGUCAAUUUUGAAAUAACUUAAACUCCAAUUCUAAAAUCCCUUCUCUCGCACUUUACACCUUAGAAUGCACCCUUAUUAUAGAGAGAAAGACGACCCAGUACGGUAUCGAUAUCUCUUGGAAUCCUAAACUAAAUAUGAUACUACCAAUAAUUGUAGCAAUCUACAUGUGUCCCUAUCCCAUUAAUCAAUACUGAUUGAUGGAAUUCUAAAGAAAUAUUCAAGGCCACUCAACAUUACUCAAUUGAUUUGUUCCUUUUAAGUUGACCUAUUUUUGUGCGCACCAUUAAACCUCAGCUAGCCUUAUCGCUUUAGCCUUGUUGGGGACAUGAAACUAAGUCGAGAUAUGGGCCAUCUAGUCAACAAUCGGCCAAGAGUCUCACCUGGGACCAAAGAGUGAGAGCGAGAUCGUGCGAAACAGAAAAAAAAGAAAAAAAAGAAAGUAGAGCAGAGGGCAAUCUUGGCAAUAGGAGGAAAUAACAAUAGUAGGACCUGUUCAGGCAGCUUAUCUGGCUGCAUAUUGGAAGUGAGUUAUUACGUGAACAGCCCAAGGAUAGCAGAGGAUAACAUCCAGGGAAUGUUUGUCAUUUUCUUACCUGUUCCUCCAUUAAUCUCGCGUACUAACCAAUCAUCGCUGCCAUCAAAGCCAAUUCGUUUUGAAACCCCGCUUCACAAUCGUCGUUUUGACCCUCCACGGCCUAAAAAAUUGUCUUCUCUCGAAUCUUUGGAUUGAGCCAUCACUCGAUGAGCUGAUCGCUUCCCCACAUGACCAGACAAAUCCUCGCCUUCCAUCACAGCGUAGUCCCUGUGUCACUGUGCGUUUCAUGGGUUACUCCUCUUGGCUGCUCUUCGCUGCCCAAAUUAUUAGUGCUAUGUUAGGUAAUCACACAUUGAUUCCAGAAAAAAUAACGCAAGCAAACAAUCCACCCAGACUAAAUAUAAUAGAAAAUUUAUUAUCAAAGUUCACCCAAACCUAGACUAUGUUUCCAUGUAGAGGUACUCUACAAAUUCACUAAACUUUAAAAAAAAGUUGAAAUAUAAUAAUGAUUUUCUCUCAAGAUCAAGGUACAAAUAGAUUAAGAACUCUCACAAAUAAGAAACUCGCUUUUUUCUUCUCUCUUUUUUUUUUUUUUAUAGCUCCUUGAUGGCUAGUGUUUGACUAUCACUGAUAUAAAGUGUAGCUUUUAACCUAAAAAAAAAUAAUAGAAAAGACAAAAAAAAACCUCUAAAAAAAUUUGGCUUCACCCGCUAACAAUCUCCCACUUGAAGCACUAUGCAACUUAGCAUCCAUCUACUUCAAAAUCUAGUAAUUGAAAUUUGUACCUUUGCGAUACUCCUCAUCAAUUAGGAUAGAAUAAUAUCGAUUGUAGUGUUGACACCUAAAUUUCGAAUGUUCAUAUAGGUUUUUAUUGCAUAGAAAAUUAGGGAUUAAAUUUUAACUCCUAAACAAAAACAGUUUACACCUAAAUUACAUAGCAUAUAGACAUUAGGAGCAUUUGCAUUAAGAUGUUUAAAAUUUAUAAGGAAAAAUAUUUAAAGAAGAGGAAAAAGAGAAAAAUAUAAUUAAUUAAAAAUUAUUAUUUAAAAAAAGAAAGAAGAAGAAAAGAAAAAGCGAGAUCGGGCUAGGGUCAGGCCAGCCCAGCCCGGCCCACUUUUCCUUUUCUUUUCCCCAAGCCCAGCCUCUUCCUUCAUCUUCUCCCUCACGAACUCCCGCUCGUUCACGCUCUCACACGUUCUACCAAAAAGAAAAACGAGAACGAAGGACGGACGCAGAGGCGGGACGGCGAGUGAGGAGCGCGCCUUUUGGGUCGGGAGCAGGCCGGCACGGCGAGCUGGCGGUGGCAAACGCGACGCGCGCCUGCCGGCCGUAGAGGGGGAUUCUGAGGGCUCGGACAGAGAGAGAAAUGGACGGAGAGAGAAACGGGGAGAUAGAGGGGAUCCGACCGAGAGGGAGACCGAGAGUGAGAGAGCAGAAAAUUCGCCCCGACUGAGCGCCGUUCAGCCAUCCUCGACACAAACCGGCGUCCCCUAGCUGUUACACGGUGUCCGAUUUUUGGUGAGUUGAGUUUCGGUUUCGAUCCGCCGUUUUCCCGUGGUUCCCGGCUUGGCGACACUGAGAAGGCCGGCUAUAGUUCCAUUCGCAUUGAGACCGACUUCCGGCCAUCUUCGCUAAGCCGGGUAAGGCCCCUGCGGUCGCGCGCCCUGGCGCCCCUUUUUUGUCCUUUCUUUACUGCUCUGUUUUCGCCCUAUUUCGGGCGCGCCGGGCCGGAGGUCGCGGCCGUCCGGCUCAUGCGAACUCCGCCGUCCGGCUCAUGCGAACUCCGGCCCCUUCGCCCCUGUUUUUUGAUAUUGUCGGUCUGGUGGGUCGUAUGUCGAGGGGACUGUGCGAGUUUGAGGCCCGGCUGAGCCGGGAGCCCCUCGUUCAGUAUCGCACGCCAUCCUCUCGAUGAAAUGCCUCAACGAUAUAAUUUUCGUCUCCUCCUCUUUUUGCCGAAAUCAAGUCGUCCGGACUGUUGUGUUCUAUUGCUAUGUCCCUGUGAUGUUUUCUGAUACGGGCACGGCCGUUUGGUCGCUCCACUGCCCCCGCCACCGUCGUUUACUUUGUUUUGUGUUUCGGCUUUGUGGCCAACUAUAAUGGAGGCUUGUUACUGUGUUUCGCCCAUGCUGGCCGUCGCCAAGAGUCCAGAGCCAUUGGAGUUAGAGCACGGUCAGGCCGAGGGCGACAACGUCGUUGGCUCACGGCCAUUUGGGGAAGAUGGUGGCAGCGGGAGGUCAGAAGGAAUUAGGUUAGAAGGCUUAAUUAGGUUUAAUUAGCAUGGGCUUAAGUUAGUUUAGUGGGUUUCAGUUCGUUUCUGUUUUCAUGGGAGUACAAAAGUGUAUUGGUUUUAGGGUCAACUAGGAUUUAUUAAGCUCAGGUCUAGUUCUCGUUAUAUUUGGACCAGUGAUUUCGGGCCUAAUUUACAUUAGGAUUUGUUUGUUUCGCAAAAUCUUAAUGAUAUAAGAAAAUGUUUUACUAAUGCUAGGAAUUUAUUUGAUGAUAUAUAAUUGAAGUUUUUUUUCGAUGCUCGGAUAUUAUUGCAAAAUGAUUUCAAUCUCAUUACUUUAUUUCAACUUUCAAGCAAAAAAAAAAAAAAUCAAAAUUUUCAAUUUUUAGAAAAAAAGAAUUGAAAUUUUAAUUAUUUUAUUUUUCUCUUAUUUUAUUUUAUUUUUUCAAAAUAUCGAAUUUUAAUUUCCUAAAAUAAAGAGACAGUGGAUUCUCAUUAAAGUGACCAUUAUCCAAACCUUAGAAUAUACUUACAGACAAACUCUUCUCGAGAAGAUGCUCAACAUCCAGUGCACAUGAUUGCACUCAAUCGAGCAGACCACAAAAACAUAGCAACAUAACUGGACUAGGCAUUUAGAUAGUCAAAUAAAUGCAAGAAAGCAUACCCUUAUACAACUAUUACCAUAUGAAGCCAGAGCUAGAGUUUGAGCUCAUGCUUAAAUACUCAAAGAUAAAUCAGACAAUUACAUUUCAACUAAACACCAACUACCACCCCAUUCUUACCUGUACUUCAGCAAUUAGCUGGUGAUCCAAAGCUCGAGUUCAGGCCCGUGACUCCCGCCAUUGAUGGAGUUAAUGAAUCCACCAAAUUCCCCCAGCUGAGGGGCACUGAAGAAGAAAAUGCGCGCAAGAGUGAAAAGUGACAUUGAACUUGAAGCUCGCGGACAAUGAGCAUCUAACUCGUGGAUAACGGAAGCUGGGAAAGGAGAGACGACAGCGAACAAUGGACUUGAGUUUGCGAGGAGCGAAUGAGGAUUGGGCGCAGAGUCGCCGAGGAUGAGCGAUAGCGAUUUGCUUGAGCAGCAGAUCGACUUAACCACCUCAUUCCGAAAAUACAGUUGAGGCCCUUUUUCCCCUUUCUUUUUUCUUCUUCUUUUGCCGACUCUGUCUGGCUCUCUCUUUUCUACUCUUCAUUUUGCUGACUGUCUUUCUCUUCCUUUUCUUCUCUUUAUUUUCCUGGUUCUGCAGAUAAGAAAUAAUAAGGUGAGUUGGGGUGAGGUCUCUUGGGCCUAAAUUUCUCUUAAGAAAGGCCCUUUUGUUAUAGAUGGGGAAGGAUGUAAUAGCCCCAACCUCACCACCGAAGUGGACACACGCACGCACGCACGCCCGCGCGCGCACAGAGCAUAUGGAGAUUCCCAGUGAGAUGAGGAAUUUUAAUAGGAUUGUCCUUGUCGUUUUAGAAUCAGUUCAUUGUCUCUCUUCAUCAGAAUAAAGCAGAAAUAGAAAGCAAGUAAAGCAGAAGAAACGGCGAUGAUCUAUGAAUAGAAAGAAGGCGUACUGUUUUCCGUAGAGAAUCCCCUGUUUCAAUUUCAAAAUCCGUCCCUUACUUGGAUCUAUUCAGAAUUUUCUCUCCGUAAGACUCCCAAGUGGCGUAAGAAUGAGAUGGAUCACUAUCGAGUAACUUCCCACUACAUACUAUGAUUAUCAAGCACUUAUUUGGUAUUUUUGAGCUCGAUGCAUCAGAAAUCCUUUCCAUUGAUUUGCACCCAUUAAUUUCCAACCGAUUCAAAAACUCUAAAUCGUCAAUGCCCUUGAUAACCUGCAAGCUCGGGCACCGGUCAAUCGUUAACCGCUUGAAGAUCUUCAAGUUUGACAAACCACCUAAGCUUUUGAGGCACAAAACGGAAUCACCAAGGAAGUAAAUUGAGAUGUACAACUACCUGACCAAGCACCUUGCUACAAAGUGGCUCACUUUUCUCUCUUCUUUCAGUUCAAAUCAGAAGAUCAAUACAAAACGGAGAACAGGAACACGGGAAUAAUCAAGAAGCGAGAAGAUCUAGAGUUUCUGCUUCAACAGAAAACAAAGCCGCGUGUACUUUGUCCAACCAAUUGUCCAGUCGGUCACACAGUAAUUUGAACUAUGGAAUCCCAAAAACUCUGGGUUGAACCCAUGAAACGCAUAAUGUUCCCUCCACUUGAUCGAUUAUGCCCUCAAUAAGAUGAAUCCGAGUUGAGAUUCUAAAUGUUUAGACUCUGUACAAUAAGGUAAAUACUUGAAUAUCAGUUUUCCAUUACGUAUGCUAGAGCAGAGAACAUGCAAGCAAUUACAAAAUCCAGGUAUUUGCCAUGACUGCGUAUGCAAAAAAGGGAAUUGUUCUCCAGAUAUUUAGCAACAGCACACUGACACAUGUCCAAAGCUCUUCUAUUCUUACACCAGAAAUAGUGGCGAAGGACAAUCUACGAGCAUGAAUAACUCAAAGUAAUCAUCUUUUACACCCCCCCAAUUAUGAAACAUAGCAUCAACAUGAAAGGAAUAAUAAGAAAUGCCGAUUCACAUCAGCCCCCACUUGUUGCAUGAAGCUAUUUAUGGUUGAUAAAUACUAGCUAAGUCUCCUAAUAGUGCGCAUGUUCACAGCAGCCAGUUUAGGCACAUUCUGUGCAACCAACCCACAAACUUCUAGUUCCUUCAACCAUAUGCAGCAGACCUCAAAUUACCAAUGGAAAAUACGACUGCUCAAGAAGAGAACCAAGAAGAGAAGCACUGUUCGCUUCAUUUCUAAUCAUUAAAGCCCCUCACAGGUAGUAAAGAGACAAUGGCUACUCAUUAAGAUGAUCAUUAUUCAAACCUUAGAAUGUACUUAACAGACAAACCAUUCGUGGGAAGACGCUCAACAUCCUGUGUAGAAAGUUCUGUGCGCUCUGCAAUAACAUUCAUGGGAAUGGUUCGAUUUUUAGAUGGUUGACUACAAACAUCGACAUCGCCGUUCUUCAACGAAGCUGUAAACUCUGUUUCCCAAAUUUUGUAACUCUCUAAUCUUAAGUCAGCUCACCAAAAUACCCAUAAUUCUUGUAAUACCCCAACUAACAGAUGCACAACAUGCCAGCACAUGAUUUCACACCAUCGAGCAGUCCACAGAAGCAUAGCAACAUAAAUAAACUACGAAGCUAUUACCAUAUGAAGCUAGAGCUCGAACUCAUGCUUCACUGCACAAAGAUAAUUCACACGAUCACAUUCAACUAAACACCAACUGCCACACUGCUCGUACCUGUUCUUCAGCGAUUAGCUGGUGAUCCGGAGCUUGAGUUCAGGCCCAUCCAUCCUGCCACUGGUGGAGUUAAUGAAUGCAAUCAAUGGAGCCUCAUGUGGCACCCGAAUUUCUCUAGCUGAGCAGCACUGAAGAAGAAGGCUUGAAGCUCGCGAACAUGGAACUUGAAGCUCGUGAUGGAACUUGGGAGAGAAGAGAGACAGCGGACGACGGACUGAAGCUUGCGAGGAGCGAGCGAGCAGCGGGGAGGACUGGGUGAUAGAGAUUUGCUUGACCAGCGGGAGAGAGGAGGAAGAAGAAAACAUGAAGGAGAAGCCUAAUCGCUGGUGCACGUUUUAGAAUCUGUUUGUCGUCUCUCUUUACUAGAGUAGAGCAGAAAUGGAAAGCAAAUAAAGCAGAACAGUCAUGAUCUAUCAAUAGAAAGAAAAAGAAGGGCGCACCGAGGAUCCCCUCUCUAUGUUUCGGGAGUCACUGGUUUCACAGAAUCCGAAUUCAUUCCGAGUCUUCACUCUUAAAGACUCCCAAUUGCCGCAAUAAGCAAACCAAUUGCCGCGUGGGCUCCAACUAGAUCUUAUGUCCAUCUGGCACUCAUUCGGUAUUUUUGAGCUGGAUGCAUAAAAAAUCCCUACAUCGUAUAACUCCCCACGAAAUCUCAACAGCUGCAAAAACUGUAAUUCGUGGAUGCCCUCCACACGGCGCAGCUUCUCGCAGUAGUUAAUAUGUAACAUCUUCAAUUUCUUCAAGUUUGACAAACCUUUCAUCAUUCUUAAUGAACCGCACCUUUCAACAGAAAAUACUUCCAAUGAUUCCAACGGAGACACAAAAUCGAUAGCUCUUACCUCCUUGCAACUCCCCAUAUGGAACUCUCGAAGCAUCUUCAGGGAGCUUAGGACAAGGAGUUUUUUUAUCGAGAGGGCAACCAUCAAGUCGCUCAUGCAACUCUUUUUUUCUCAAUUCUUCCGACGGAGGUUGCCCACUGAGAUGUACAAAUUUUACUCCAGGGCAGGAGAGCUUUAAAACUAUCAAGGUUGACGGAAGUUGUAAGAGGGUUCCGAAGUUUAGUCCAGAUAGAGUAAGUUCUUUCAGCAGAUAAAGGGAACCCAACUCCGUAGUUGGUGCAUGGACAUACCAUAAGCACAAGUGCAACUUGCGCAGUUUGGAUAACCUCCCAAUCCACCUCAAGUCACCGCUUGGAAUUUCAUUUGAUGUGGACAACCCACUACCAGAGCCAUCAUAUAGGAACAAUUCAACUAGAUUAGUAAGGUUUGAGAGGUUAGGGACAGUCAUCAGUGAUUUAGAUAUUAGUCGUAGAGUGGUCAAAUUUCUGGGGAGCUCCGACCACUCUCUUAUCCUAUGACAAUAUUGCAAGUUCAAUGUUUGGAGGUGAAGCAAUUUGCUCAUUAUACUAGGCAGUUCUACAAUUGGUGUGUGUGAUACUUUGGUAAAGGACAAGCUCCAUUGUCUACCAAUGAAAUCUAGUAAUCUUGUUCUGCAUGAUAUAUCUAACUUCGUUGACGACUCUAAUUUCGAAACUGAAUCCAGGAGCUUGCUCAAGCUAUCGCAUUUAUAAACAGAGAGGUGCUGAAGAUUUUGUAACUCUCCAAUUUCUUUAGGCAAUUUUUCAAGUUUCGGACAUAACUUAAUACUCAAGUCAGUCAGCUGCCUCAGUUUUCCAAUAGAGCUGUCAAUUUCCUUCAAAGAUGGACAAUGACAAAUAGUCAACUUCUCUAAAACUAAGUACUCAAGAAAGGUUGGUGUCCCAUGUAUCGAGUAAUUACUUUCAAGAGUGAGAACCUUCAAUUUCGUUGCCCCCUACAAAAGCAAAUCAAACAUUAGGACAAAUAAUUAGAUGUCUAUACAAGAAAUAAAUAUGAAAUUAGGCUCCCAACUGGGAUCAUAUGUCAUUCGAUCCUCUCACUAGCUGAGAAAAUUAUACUACAAAUCCAUCAGAUUGUGUCCUUCAUUGAAUGAGAAAAUUAGAGCAAGAGAGAAAGUCACGUACCUUGAUUAGGUAACUGAUCUCAUCUUUGCCGAGGUCAGAGGAACGAAUAUUCAUCACAACCACGUUUUCUAGACCCAAAUUGGUUUGCGAAUCAAGUUCUUCAGAAUAACCUGUUUUGCCCGUCAAAAUGAUCCAUUUCAACUUGGGAAGACAGCCCGUGAAGUCACCUUCGCAGAGUACGUCACUCAACCAAAGAAACUUGAGACGUGGGAACUGUCUAAGUUGCUCUGCCGUGAUAGUUGUACGAUUGCUAGAGGUCGUUCGCAAACAGAGUGCUUGGACGCUUUCCUUCAUCUGCUAAUGACAUUGAGGAGCAGGAGCAGGAAUUUGUCAAUAAUCCUACAAUUUUAUUUGUCCAAUGGAAGAAAAAAAUUAAAUAGUAAAGUAGCUCUCAAUUGAAAAACGUGAUUAAAUCCUCAAUUAAGAACAUGGUAAGCAAUUUUCUGUACGAAUUUGGUCAUACUUCACCUCUAUUGAUCUUAAUUCGCAAAUUAUGUCAUCUUCAUUCCACAACCUGGUAAGGUCUUGCAUAGCAAUUGCCCUUCCGAGAUCUCUACAUUGAUCAUGCAUCCAAAUUUCAUCUUUUUCUGAAACCUUUAUCAUGCACCUAUUAAUAAGGACAUGAAUAGCAUACUCCGCCUUAAACCCACAAUAUUUCCAGUGGUAGAUUAGAUCAGCCCUUUUCCAACCGAUGAAAAAGCAUGCAAUAUCGAGAAAUAUGUGUUGUUGAUCCAGCUCUAAGGCAUCAUAACUAAUCCUUAGCUUUCCCAACACAUCCCUAUGAGGUGUUUCCCUUAGCUUCUCUAGCAUCUCUUCCCAGAUUGUUUCCUCUUUCUCACCAAAAAGCAACGAACCUAUAGCUGUAAGAGCUAAAGGUAGUCCACCUGUAGUUGAGACAAUGUCUUCGGAAAGAGUGUAAUAAUUGGUAGGAGGAAAGCUAUCAUCAAAGGCAUGCCUACUAAAAAGCUGGAGUGCGUCUUUUUUGCUCAACCCCUCCAUUUCGUAACACAAGAUUUUAUACUUAAAUCCCCUGAUUUUUAAAACACUUUUGUCCCUAGUGGUAACAAGUAUCCUAGUACCAGAACACAAAGAGUUCACUUCAAUUAGUUUUUGGAUUUGGUUGUCCUCAUCGACGUCAUCCAAUACAAUUAGCAUCUUCUUGUUGCAAAUUGUUUGUCCAAUCAUAGUGAUCCCUUGAUCCAAGUUAUCAAUGUUAAGAUCCACUCCAGAAUUGGAGAUAUCGGACAAUAAUUUUCUUUGCAACUUGACCAACGAGCCCUUGGGUUUUGCCAUUUCCCUCACGUCUUCAAGAAAGCUGCAGUUUUUCCCAAAGCGAGGACAUAGUUGGUUGAAGAUAAUUUUGGCAAGUGUUGUUUUACCGAUGCCACCCAUCCCGUAAAUUCCAAUGAGCCGAACGCCACCGGAAUUGAUGUCUAAUAAAUUAUUUAUGACUGUCAUUCGAUCCUCCAUUCCAACUAAAUCUUUGGUCACUUGUCUUUGUCUUGUCUUGAGCCUGGUCACCACCUCCUUAACAAUGGACUUUAUAAGAUCCCCAUGGCUGCCACAAAGUUGAACAGUUUGAAUUGAAAUAAGGCAACAAAUUUGCAUGUUGACCAACUAUCUACUAAGAAACCAAGUGGGAGCACGACCCAGUUUAGGAUAUAAAAAAAUUCAACAUUACCCCCAAAAGCUUCGGGAACAUGAUGAAUUACAAACUUCAACAUCCAUUACAAGUUUAAGUUAAGGGAAUAGAACAAGAGAUAUGUUUGAUCUUUAUAUCAAGUAGGAGAAUCAAAAUUGCUGGCAAAAAAAAGUGGAAGAAUAAAAAUAUAAACGUUUGAUGAACUAUUGUGAUAACAAAUUUACUCACUUCUUUCGACAUGGAAAAGAACUUUGCAAAGGCAAAGUUCCUUAAUCAAAGUCAAAUUAGUAUGCAGUAAAAAUCUUAAGACAUACAUGGGUCAAAUUGGGAAAAUUAUCCAAAAAGCAUUGUACUUUUGCCAAUUUAGUCAUAAACAUUUUCACUUCUUCCCAAUUCAAUCAAUCUGGCCAAUUUUGGUUGGAAAAUGCUAAUGUGGACACCGACAUGCUAUAUAGAACUGUCAGUGCUGACGUGGAUAAUUUGUAAUAAUAUUUUAAUAAAUUUUGAACUUUUAUUAUAUAUUUCUAUUUUUUCCCUUUUUUUUUUCCUUUUCUUUCUUUUCUUUUUGGCUUUCUUCUUUCCCUUUUCCAAUGGUUGGCCACAGGCAAUGGCCAGCCACCGACCACAGCUAGCCGGCUAGCCUCGCUCGCCAUAGGCGAGGCCCCACCGGGCGAGGAGAAGCCCCAGCAAAGGGAGCCCUCGCCCAUGCGCAGCCUGGCAAGGGUCGCCUAGGUGAGGCCGACCCUCACCCAAGCCAGGGUGGCCUCACUGGGUGUCGGCCGGGGGAUGGUGACGCCAGGCAAGGCCGCCUUGGCCUGGGCGAGGGCUAGCCUCACCAAAUUUGGCGAGGAGAGCCCUUGCCAAGGCUUGCCUUUUCCUAGGAGAGUGUCAACCUCGCCUAGACCAGAUCUGGCAAGGCUGGCCCUCGCCCCUGGCCGGCCAAUGCCUAGCGAGGCCUCCUUGGCUUAGGCGAGGGUCGACACUCGCCUAGGCGAGGGCGAGCCCUAGCUGACGAUCGGCGACGCUGCCCUAGCCUAGGCGUAGGUCAACCUAACCUAGGCGACCCUUGCCAGGCCACACUUGGGUGAGGGCUCCCCUCACCGGGGCUCCUCCUUGCCCGACCGGGCCUCACUUGUGGCGAGCGAGUCCAACCGGCUGGUUGUGGCCAGUGGUCAACUAUCACCUGUGGCCAAUGGUCGGCCACCGAAAAAGGCAAAGAAAGUCAAAAAGAAAAGAAAGAAAAUAAAAUAAAAAUAAAAAAAAUAUUAAAAAUUCAAAAAAUAUUAAAAUAUUAUUAAAAAUUGUCAACGCCAGCGCCGACGGUCUUAUGUGGCACUGCCGGUGUCCACAUCAGCAUUUUCCGGUCAAGCCGAAUCAACUGAAUUGGCAAAAAGUGAAUGUUUAGAGCUAAAUUGUCAAAGUUAGAAGGUUUAUGACUAAAAUUGGUAAAAACGUAAUAGAUUUAAGACUUUUUUUGACAAUUUUCCAGAUCAAAUUAGUAUAAAGAAAGAAGCAAAGCCAAAUUUUUAUAUGAGGAAUAUUAGGUGAAAAACAAAAUCAUAACAACCCCAUUAGGUCAAAUAAAUUUGGAAAUCUCAUGACUUAAAACAACAAAAGAAAAUUUUGAAACUUUUUGUUUAAAUUUAGGGAAAUUAGAGUCGGACUAUAAUUGGUGAAUUUUUAUGAGAACCAUGGCUUGAUUGUACAAAAUAAAUUUCAAAAUCAUGGUUAGAUUGUUACCCCGAAUAUUUCUCUAGUUCCCAUCCCUUGGUGCCGCCAACUUCUUUAAGAGCUUGGCACCACGUCUCUACAUCCUUGGAGCUGAACUUCUUCUGAUCCUCCAUCUCUUGCUUUAAUUUCGAUAUGGCCUUUCCAUACAACAUGGUUUUCAGCUUCACGUCAUCUGGAUUCACAUCAUAGAAGAUGGGCAAUAUGACCCUCUUCUCAUCUUCUUUAGAAUUAGAGGUGUUUUCCACCAUCUUCGCAAGCUCGCGGAGGCACCAAUGACUUGAAGCGUAGUUUUUGGAAAAAAAUAGGUAUGUAGAGUUUGGAAUCGUUGAUCGCUUGUAGAAGGUUGCCACUAAUUCUUUCACCCGGUCGAAGCUCUUUGUCAUCCAUGAAAACAUGAAUCCCGGCAUCUGCCAAGGCAUGAUAGAGGCUGCUAGUGAAUCCACGACAAGUAUCUAACCCUCUAAAACUCAGGAACACCUGAAACUCGCUUCCUGCAGUAUUGCCGAUGCUUGAUCCUAUCUCUAAGUUCGCCAUAGGAACUCAAUUCACACGCGCACUUAGCAAAGUCAACCCUGAUAUUGCUAGUAUAAACACCUAGAGGGGGGUGAAUAGGCGCACAAACAAUUUAUCGAUAUAUGGAAGCAAUUCUCUACAAAUUGAAAUACGAUCGAGGUAGAGAGAGAGAAAUUUGAACACAGGAUUUAUAGUGGUUCGGCUUAUUCCAAGCCUACGUCCACUCUUCCGCACUGACAGCCCACCGGGUGGAUUUCACUAUGAUCAAAAGAGAAUUUACAGCACAGCUUUGCCUUGAUUCCACAGUGUAGAUAUUCUACCACACCUCCUCAAGGUCUCUCACAAAUAUAGACUCUCUUUUGUAUACAAGUAUUCGCUCAAACGAUUUAUCUAAACAAAUAGGAGCUUCAGACUUUGGAAUUCUUCUAUCGCGCACACCUUGAACAACUAAGAACAUCUUCCUUAUAUACUCCUUUAUGCCAUCAUACCCGUUGGCACUUACCAAAGGAAUUCCUCCAAUCUACCCAUUGGACGGAAUCAAUUAGAAAGAUUGUUCGAGCUAUUAAAGGAACGUGUUGAUAGCCCAUCAAUCCUGUUCGCCCAUACAAUCAGGAUCUCGGUUUCCAUAAGUAGAACCUUCCAAUAAUACUUAGACAAUCAUCGAAUCUUCAGUCAUUGAAUCAGACUUGAUCAAUCAAAGGAUUCUAAUACGUCUUCUCCAGCCACGAGAUCUUCUCCAGAUGAUAAGGUUAAAUCCUGAACAAAACAACCAGUUCUGGAUAACCUUUCUUCAAUGGAUUAGAGACUGUCAAUGAGGAUAGACUUUGAGUCUUGAGUCUGGCUGUCCGGAAGUCUUCAGACUUUAACUAACAGAGUCUGCAGACUUUCAGACUAGACUGAUGGAUACAUUUUGUCAACUUCAAAACUCUUCACGAGGAUUUCUCCAACAAUCUCCCCCUUUUUGAUGGUGACAAAACCUUCCUGCAGAUUUGGAUAACUUUGACCUGCAAAACAUUUCUCAAACACAUAUGCAUAUCUUAUAGAAAUAAAUGGCUAAUAGAAUAACACUAGAAUCUGUAACCACAGAAAAUAGGUUAGUCCAGUAUAUGACUAAGCCAUUCAUAAGAUAUCAAUAUUGAUUAAUAGAAGCAGUAAAGUCAAGUCCAAGUCUAGGCAGUUCUUAUCCAGACACAAAACAAAGUCAAACAGGUUCAAACCAUAAACCUUAAAAACAAUCCAACAAAAAGUUUAAUGAAAAGUUUUUGUAUCAAAUCAUGCAUCUCUCCCCCUUUUUGUCAUCAUUAAAAAGGAUGAGAUGAAGUCAAGAUUGCUUGGGAACUCGGACAAGCUGGAAAUCUUCCAUAGACUGAACAAUACCUUCCAGUCUUUUAAAGUCUUCCUUCAGCUGUACAACCUCCUCACUCUUGGCAUUGGCCUGAUUCUGAAUAGAGAGGGCUUGCAUCUUUUCAUUUAAUGAAUAGGAAGAAGCUUGACCUUCAUUCUUCAAGCUUUGAACUUCGCAUCCCAAGGCAUAAAUCUGACCUUUCAUCUCUAAGAGAAUAUCCAUGAUUCUGCAAAAAUCUGCUCCAUUAUCAGUCUGAGUACUUGCUUCGGCUCGAUCUGGAGUAAAAGCAGACGAUGGUGGAUCAGCAUAAUCUCGCAGGUUUGGCGAUGAAGCUUCAUGACCUUCCUCUGGAAAUUGAGAUGCAUAAACAUCUUCUGGGUCUGCAGGUGAGCGACUGACUCCUUCACUUGCAUCAGGAAAUGAAGAUGUCACUCAUUUCUCCUGAUCUCCCCCUGUUUCCAUGCCUACAGGUGGAGAAGAGAUUUCCUCAGGUUCUCCUUCUUCUCUUCUUUCUUCUUCAGGUCUUUCUUCCUCUGCUUCUUGCUCUGCUUCUCUUUCUUCUCCUUCCUUCUCCUCUGCCUCUUUUUCUUCUUCUUCCUUCUCCUCUGCUUCUUUCGUCUUUUGUUCUGAUUCUUUCUGAGGAACAGGACGACUUAAGUUCUUCAAAGCCAUUGCAGAGAUGGUGAUGUCUUCAUCAUCAUCUUCAUCCUCAACGAGGAGAGCUCUUCUUCUCUUUGAUGGAGCAGCCAUGGGUUCCUUCCCUUUUCUCUUAGCAGCAGAAGAGAGUUGAUGAGAUUUGGCAGGAGUCUUCUCCUUGAAUUUUUCCAAUUCCUUGCUCAGUUCCUUCAGACGCAUUUUGGUCACCAUUUUCAGUCUUACCACCAUAUGAUCGCAUGGUCGAACACAAAAGAUUUGCGGAGGCUGAAUAUUCAGAUGUCUGAAUAACUUCGUAACAAGGCUUGGGUAAGGAAGUUGACCUCUGUCCUUCAUCACUGCUCUAUACAUGUGAAACAUAACAGUAUGAGGGAGAGAAAACUUCUUUCCACUGAGGAUGGCAUACAUCAACUUUGCCUCAGAGCUUGAAACAUUAGUUUUGGAAGUUGAUUUCGGCCGAAGGCAAUUAAUCACAAUUUUGUGAAGCAAGAUGUUAAAUGCAUUCAUCCUUGAGUAGGUGAUCUUCUCAUCCGUUCUCCUGUCCUUCACCAGUUCAAGAGUGGCCCGAGCAAUGGAAACUUUGAUUGGUUGAUAUCUGCCUCUCUCAACUUCUAACAUGUCUGCCAGCAUAUUCAUAUCCACAACAUAGUCUUGUUCUUUAACACUGAAGGAGAAUCUAUUCGCAUCUAAAAAGCUAAGAUUCGAAUAGAAAUAGGCAGUCAAUUCAGCACAAGCCUCAGUUGAGUUAGAGCAGAACUUUUCAAGUUGAAGAUAACUGAACUUUUCCCUCAAGUUCACUUUCACAGAAUCCAGAAAUUCAAAGUCCACACUCCUAGGGUUUAUCACCCCACGCUUCAGCAAUUUCGAGUACAGAUCCUUUUGUUCCUUUGAUCUGAACAAAUCUCCCCUUUUCCCUUGAAUUUCAGCAGCAAUACCCAUUUUCGGUUGAAAUAGACUGAACAGAUUGUCAUCGUCAUUCCCAUCUACAGGAUUAGGCCCCCAGUCACGAGGAUCACUUGGGAUAUUCGCAAGGGUUUCCUCAGCCACCCCUUUACGAGCGAUUCCCAAACUUUCCAUUUUUCGAAGAAAGAUAUAUUUGUUCCUAUACCAUUUUUCUUUAACAAAAUCAUCAACAUAGUUCAAAGGAGUACGAAUUCCUUUUAAAGCACGAUAUAGCUUGUAAAAGAAGCAGGCUUUUGAACUCUUACGGGGUCUACAUCCUCGACGAUUUCUUCCUGAUGUUGAUUAACAACGCCUUGAGGACUAGAUGGUGGAGAAUGACGCUGCUGAGAAUGUUGUGGGCUCGGUUGCUGAUCUGGAGUAACUUCAUCUUCAGUAAGAUCGAAGUGCGUAGGCCCCUCACUCAUUCUCUGUGGUCCCCUGCUUGCGAUUCUUGAGGACUUUCGCGAAGAAGACAUCUUUCUCAGUGUUUGGAAGAUUCCUUGCUUGACUUUCCCAGAAAAGAUGACAACUUUUUUGAAGUUUUAGCGAAGAAGACAAACGGGAAUGGAAGAUCGAUGCUUUCUAGGGUUUUUUUUUUUUGAGAGAGAAGUGAUUAGAAAAGUGAAGAGAAAUCGACAGUGUUCGUUCGGUUAAAAAGAAGAGUAAACGAACUGUCACAAAGGAAAUAAAAAUAUGCCUUUUCAAAAUAACUGUCUUUAUCCGCAAAAAUAGCUAUUUCAAAAAUAACUUCCCUUUUGAAAAUGAAUCGAUGCGAUAUUUACGUCAAUUAAAUAUAGCAACAAUUUAAACAAGUCUGAUGAUCGUACCUUUUCAAGAUAAGAUUGGAGAGAGAGAAAGACUUACAGUCUGAAGGUCGAGCCAAGACUAUAGAUAAAGUCUUGUAAGCCUGAGUCUGAAAGUCUUUAGACUUUGAUAUCCUCAUACCUCAAAAUGUUGAGUCUUAUUCGUAUAGACUCAAAUUGAUUUUUCUCCAAAGGCUUUGUGAGUAUAUCAGCCAGUUGAUUCUUUGAGUCAACAAAUUGAAUUGAAACAUCUCCAUUUUGAACAUGAUCUCUAAUAAAGUGAUGUCGAAUCUCUAUAUGCUUCGCUCUUGAGUGGAGAAUUGGAUUUUUGGUGAGGUUGAUAGCGCUGGCGUUGUCGCAAUUAAUCUCCGUGCAUGAGUCUUUAAUUUCAAAAUCUCUUAGCUGUUGUUUUAUCCAUAGAAUUUGCGAACAACAGCUUCCAAGAGCUACAUACUCUGCUUCUGUUGUUGAAAGAGACACAGUGCUUUGUUUCCUUGAAAACCAAGACACUGUCCUGCUUCCAAGCAACUGGCAAGUUUCUGAAGUGCUCUUUCUAUCAACUCUGCAACCGGCCAGAUCUGCGUCUGAAUAACCCAGAAGUUUAAAGUCUCCCUUCUUAGGAUACCAAAGACCAAUGCUUGAUGAUGAAGCGACGUAUUUAAUGAUGCGUUUGGCAGCACUGAGAUGGGAUUCUCUAGGAUCUGAUUGAAACCUAGCACAGAUGCAAACACUCAACAAAAUAUCAGGUCUAGAGGCAGUAAGAUAAAGAAGUGAUCCAAUGAUGCUCCUGUAUAGCUUUUGAUCAACUUUCUUCCCUUCUUCAUCUUUGUCUAUCUUCAAAGAACUUGACAUCGGUAUGUCAGUCUUUUUGCACUUCUCCAGUCCAAACCUUUUGACAAGAUCAUUAACAUAUUUUUCUUGAUAAAUAAAAGUACCUUCCUUCAAUUGUUUUACUUGAAGACCAAGAAAGAAUGUUAAUUCUCCCAUCAUACUCAUUUCAAACUCAUCCUGCAUAGACUUUGAAAAUUUCUUGCACAGACUUUCAUUAGAGGAUCCAAAAAUAAUAUCAUCCACAUAUAUUUGAACAAGUAAGAAACUUUUGUUUUCCUUCUUGAUAAAUAAAGUCGUAUCUACUUUACCUUUGACAAAACCAUUUUGUAUUAGGAACUUACUUAACCUGUCGUACCAAGCCCGAGGUGCUUGCUUUAAACCAUACAAAGCCUUUUUCAGUCUGAAGACUGAGUCUAGCUUUUUUCGGUCUUCAAACCCUAGUGGUUGUUCCACAUAUACUUCCUCAUGGAUAAAUCCAUUUAGGAAGGCGCUUUUGACGUCCAUUUGGAAUAACCUGAAAUUAUUAUAACAGGCAAACGCAAGUAAAAGUCGAAUAGCUUCUAACCUUACCGUAAAUUCCAAUGAGCCGAACGCCACCGGAAUUGAUGUCUAACAAAUUAUUUAUGACUGUUAUUCGAUCCUCCAUUCCAACUAAAUCUUUGGUCACUUGUCUUUGUCUUGUCUUGAGCAUAGUCACCACCUCCUUAACAACGGACUUUAUAAGAUCCCCAUGGCUGCCACAAAGUUGAACAGUUUGAAUUGAAGAAAGGAAACAAAUUUGCAUGUUGACCAACUAUCUACUAAGAAACCAAGUGGGAGCACGACCAAGUUUAGGAUAUAUAAAAAUUCAACAUUGCCCCCAAAAGCUUCGGGAACAUGAUGAAUUACAAACUUCAACAUCCAUUACAAGUUUAAGUUAAAGGAAUAGAACAAGAGAUAUGUUUGAUCUUUAUAUCAAGUAGGAGAAUCAAAAUUGCUGGCAAAAAAAAGUGGAAGGAUAAAAUAUAAACGUUUGAGGAAAUAUUGUGAUAGCAAAUUUGCUCACUUCAACGUGGAAAAGAACUUUGCAAAGGCAAAGUCCCUUAAUCAAAGCCAAAUUAGUAUGCAAUAAAAAUCUUAAGACAGACAUGGAUCAAAUUAGUAUAAAGAAAGAAGCAAAGCCAAAUUUUUAUAUGAGGAAUAUUAGGUGAAAAACAAAAUCAUCACAACCCCAUUAGGUCAGAAAAAUUUGGAAACCUCAUGACUUAAAAUAGUAAAAGAAAAUUUUGAAACUUUUUGUUUAAAUUUAGGGAAAUUAGAGUCGGACUAUAAUUGUUGAAUUUUUAUGAGAACCAUGGUGGCUUGAUUGUACAAAAUAAUUUUCAAAAUCAUGGUUAGAUUGUUACCCCGAAUAUUUCUCUAGUUCCCAUCCCUUGGCGCCACCAACUUCUUUAAGAGCUUGGCACCACGUCUCUACAUCCUUGGAGCUGAACUUCUUCUGUUCCUCCAUCUCUUGCUUUAAUUUUGAUAUGGCCUUUCCAUACAACAUAGUUUUCAGCUUCACGUCAUAUGGAUUCACAUCAUAGAAGAUGGGCAAUAUGACCUUCUUCUCAUCUUCUUUAGAUUUAGAGGUGUUCUCCACCAUCUUCGCAAGCUCGCGGAGGCACCAAUGACUUGAAGCGUAGUUUUUGGAAAAAAUAGGUAUGUAGAGCUUGGAAUCGUUGAUCGCUUGUAGAAGAUUGUCACUAAUGUUUUCACCCAGUCGAAGCUCUUCGUCAUCGAUGAAAACACGAAUCCCGGCAUCUACCAAGGCAUGAUAGAGGUUGCUGGUGAACCCACGACGAGUAUCUAGCCCUCUAAAACUAAGGAAUACCUGAAACUCGCUUCCUGUAAUAUUGCCGGUGCUUGAGCCUAUCUCUGAGCUCGCCAUAGGAAUUCAAUUCGCAAUUGCACUUAGCAAAGUCAAUGGUCCCCCUCGCACGCGCACUUAGCAAAGUCAACGCUUCAAAGCAAUUUCGGAUAAAGCCUAGCGGCUCUCGAUUGCAAUUAGAGGGCUUUCAAUCGGACUUUUUGGCAACAAUAAUAAUACAUUCAGUGGGGAAGAGCUUUUAUUACAUUAUUAAUGUGAAAAAUUUCUCCACCAGAUCAUCCUCUUUCAAAAAUUUACGAAAGGAGAACCCGUGCAUUACUUUAGAAAAAGGAAAAUUGGAUAUUUAAUUAUAUGAUAUAAACGAUGAAGCCCGAUGCCACUUUCGUUAGUUAGAGAUACCAUUUUGGAGGUUUGUAUUGCGUGGCUCACGGAGUUUAAUAUUUCACGGACAAAAACUCUUAAUUCCAUUCGACGCAAAAAACAUGUCAAGGCAACUUCGCAGCGGGUGCAACUUCCAAUUCAUAGUAACUAAAGUCGAUGGCUUAUAAAAAAAUAAGGUGAAGGACAAUAAUGAAUGUGUACCUUUUCUAUAGUUUCACAUAUUUAAAAUCCCGAUCCAAUAUUGUAAAAUAACAAUUUAUCUAUAUAAAUGCAUAAUGACAAAAUAUUUUCAAAGAAUCACCUCUCAUUUGAAAAAAUGCUCCACCUAAGCGCUACCCAAGCAUAUACUUACUACUUACUAUGAACUAUUUAAUUUGAUCUCUUCAUCUUAAUGACUUACCUUUUAUUAUAAUUAAUUGCUUGUAACCACUCAAAUAUUCUCGUUAAAUGUGCCUUUAUAUUAUAUGAAGAUUCUGCAAAUCUUUUUCAACACUUAUUUCCUUACAGAUAACUACUAGAAUGUGAGCAUGGUUGUUGACAUCUAAAUUUUUGUGGUUAGAUUGUGCAUAUCUACAAAAAAAUUUAAAAAAUUAAAAAAUUAGGGACCAAAUUUGCCAAUAACGCUAUAAUUCAAUCCCUAACCAAGAACACCUAGCUUGCAUGAUUUUUGCAUUCAUUCCUCACAUUCGUGGUUAGGGGCAUGUUGAUUUCAAUACCUAGGGUUCGAUACCUAGGGCUCAGCAUCAAAACAAUCUUGGACCGACGAAGAUGACAGGCACUUUUGAUUACCUCCAAUCUCUGAAGAAAUAUUCAAGGCCACUCAACAUUACCCGAUUGAUUUUCUCCUAAGUUGAUCCAUUUUUGUGCGUACCAUUAAACCUCAGCUAACCUCAUCGCUUUAGCCUUACUGGGGACAUGAAACUGAGUUAACAUAUGGGCCAUCUAGUCAACAAUCGACCAAGAGUUUCACCUGGGACCAGAGAGCGAGAGCGUGCAAAACAGAAAAGAAAAGAAAGCAGAGCGGAGAGUAGUCUUGGCAAUAAGAGGAAAUAGCAAGAGUAGGACCUGCUCAGGCAGUUUAUCUCGCUGCAUAUUGAAAGUGAAUUAUUAGUUGAACAGCCCGAGGAUAGGAGAGGACAACAUGCGGGGAAUGUUUAUCAUUUUCUCGCCUGUUCCUCCGUUAAUCUCGCGUGCUAACCAAUCAUUACUGCCAUCAAAGCCAAUGCGUUUUGAAACCCCCCUUCACAAUAGUUGUUUUGACCCUGCACGGCCUGAACAAUCGGCUCCUCUCGAAUCUUUGGACUGAGCCAUUGCUCGAUGAGCUCAUCACUUCCCCAGCUGUCUAGAUAAAUCCUCACCUUCCAUCAGCAGCAUGGUCGUUGCGUCACCCCGCGUUCCAUGGGUUACUCCUCUUGGCUGCUCUUCGCCAACACUAUGUUAGGAAAUCAAGCGUCAAUUUAAAAAAUAAUAAUAAUAAUAAUGCAAACGAAAGAGUCCACCAAGAAUAAAUAUAAUAAUAAAAUAACAUAAUUGAAAGAACAUGACAUAAAAUUUAUUAUCGAAGUUUAUCCAAACUUAGACUAUGUUUUUGCGCAUAGACACUCUACAAAUCUAACAGACUUUGAAUAAAGUUGAAAUACAGCAUGAUCUUUCGUAAGAUUAGAGCACAAAUAGAGAGUUCUCAAAGAAAAAAACUCACUUUUUUUCUCUCUUUUUUCUUUUCUCUCUAUUUUCUUUUUCAGCCCUUUGAUGGCUAGCAUUUGACUCUCGCUGGUGUAAAGUUUAGCUUUUAACCUAAAAGCAAAACUAAUAGAAAAAAAAUGCCCCUAAAAAAAUUUGAUUUCAGUCGUCAACAACCUCCCACUUGAAGAAAAAUAUACUAAUGCACCAAGUAACUUAGCAUUCAUUUACUUAAAAAUCUAGUAAUAUAAAUUUGUGCCUCUGCAAUAGUCCUCAUCAGUUAAGAUAAAAUAAUACAAAUUGUAGUGUUGACUCAUAAAUUUUGUCAAUUCAUAUAGGAUUUAAUUGUAUAGAAAUUUAGGAAUUAAUUUUGAACCCCUAAACAAAAAUAGUUUUCACUAGAAUUGCAUAGCAUAUAGACAUUAGGGGCAUUUACAUUAGGAUGUAAAAAAGUAUUAUUUAUUUAAUUUAUAAGAAAACAUUUUAAAAAUGGAAAAAAGAAAAAUAAAAUAUAAACUAAUUGAUUAAAAAAUUAUUAUGUAAAAAAGAAAGAAGAAGAAAAGAAAAAGGGAGAUCGGGCCAGGGUCAGGCCGGCCCAGCCUUCUUUCCCUUUCUUUUCUACCUUUUCUUUUUGGCUAGGCCCAGCCUGGCCCACUUUUCCUUUUCUUUUCCCCAAGCCCAGCCUCUUCCCUCAUCUUCUCCCUCACGAACUCCUACUCGUUCACGCUCUCGUGCGUUCUGCAAAAAACAAAAAGGAGGACGAAGGACGGAAGCAGAGGCGGGACGAGAAGUGAGGAGCGCGCCUUUUGUGUUGGAGGUAGGUCGGCACGGCGAGCUGGCAGUGGCAGAGGCGAUGCGCGCCUGCCGGGCUUUAGUGGAGGAUUCUGGGGACUCGGACAGAGGGAGAAAUGGACGGAGAGAGAAAGGGGGAGACAGAGGGGAUCCGGCCGAGAGGGAGACCGAGAGUGAGAGAGCAGAAAAUUCGGCCCGGCUGAGCACCGUUCGGUCAUCCUUGACACAAACCGGCGUCCCCUAGCCGAUACCACCGAGCCUGCGGUCCCCAUUGAUGGUUUUAUGUGAUGGGCAUAAGGCCCGUCCGCCCAUGUUGGGCCUAAAAGCCCGGUCCACAAGAUUAGGGCCCAUGGAUGCAGGGAUAUAAUGAAGGGGUACGUUUCUAUUUUUUUAGGGAACGUAUAUAAGGGAGGAAAGAGAGAGACGAUGACACCAUUUUGGCAUUAUUACGUGCGUUCCUCUCCCUCUCUCCCUCCAAAAGAAAAACGAGCGUAAACGGCGACGCCAUCUUCCCUUCAAGGCCAAUCGACGUCAUCAGAUCGAACAGGAUCGGAUUUCUCUUCCUCUUAUCGGCAUUGGUGUUUAAUCUGUGGCUAACAAGGUACGCUCGAUUCCGUGGUGUGCUUUAGGAUCGGUGAUACAUGUUUUUCCUAGGCUUAUCUUCCGCAUUUGUUUUAGGGGUUCGAUUUACUGUCGAAUCUGGUUUUUUGGGAAUCCGACAUUCCCAACAUUGGUAUCAGAGCCCUAGUUCAUGUUUUCCCGACCCCUUUGAUGUUUUAUGAUUGAUUUUUCGCGAAAACAUUUGGCCGACACGAAUCGGGGCGAGAAAUCCCGACACCCGAGCACUGUUCAUCCGUUUUUUCGAGUUUCUGUAAGUCGAAAUCGAUUUUUGAAAGCAUAGGAUGAAAGACCUCGUCGAGACGAGUCCGAUGAUGUGUCGUACGCCACUGGGUGAUGCCGUAUCCGCCCACACGCGCGGCCAGAAGCCACUGCGCGUGGGCGCCAUGCGCCGGUGGCGAACCGGCACGUGCGCACUGCCGGCCGAUGAACCGGCAUGCGCCGGUCGGCGAACCAGCGCUAACAUCACCCAACGGUUGUUAACCGCUGGGAUGACGUCACCGAUGAUGUCAUUGCUGACAACAGUUGGCUGACCGGUUACUAGCCGGCGAACCGACUAGCGACCCGACCCGACCCGACAUGCGCGGAAGCCUGGCGCGUGCCGCGCACGUGCCGGCUGACAUCUGCGUGACGUCAUCCCGCGCACGGGCGCAGCACGUGCCGGAUGACAUCUGCGUGACGUCAGCCCGUGCACGCGCUCGGCACGUGCUGGUCAAUUCGCUCGACCGGCCCGAUCGGCUCGACCGGUCCGACUGGUCCAACCGGUUCGACGUCCCAUCGUCCAUUGACCCGUUGACCAUUGACUGACCGUUGACCGUUGACCCCGAAAAAAAAAAAAAAAAAAGGAAUAUGUUUCUUUUUCUCAAUCAUGCCUAUGUGGGUUAUAAGUAAUCCAUUGUUUAUUCUGCAUUUGUUGCAUGAAUUAUGGAAACUUAUGUAUUUUCCCUUAUGUACAUUAUGGAUUAUAAGUAAUCCAUUUUUAGUUCUGCAUUUGUUGCAGGAACUAUGAUGCGUUAUGUACAGAUACCUGCAAUCCCGAGAACGGACGAGGGAAGUGCAAGACUUAAAAGGUUGAUGACAGAAUUAGCUAAUUAUUGGUGGCAUGACGGUGAUUUAGUAUCACAUGUUGUCAGGGUCAAUCAGAUGAUACAGGAAAUCAUCUGGAAUUGUUAUCUUAUGCCGGAUUUUGAGAAUGUGCCGGUUUUGAUGAACACUCUUCCACCUGAAAGGCAAGUAGUGUUAGAUCGGCUAUGUGAGGUCAACGUGGUCCCGGGUUAUAGGAGACUAGUGGUAGCUUUUGUAAGAGAGUACUAUAGGAUUGAGUUAACCAAAACUUCAACCCUUAGAUUGAGCGCCACAUGGCGCAAAGUGAAUGCGCCUUGGAGGCGACAUGAAAGCUUUCCAAAAGUUUAUCCAUGGUUGGCAAAUGUGCCUUCAAAUUUCUCAGAUAUUUUGACUGAUAGAUUAGAAGGGACAUUCCCUAUUUAUUUCUUAGAUUAGUUUGAGAUGUUUUUGGGUAUGAAUAUCUCUUUCUAUAUUGAUAUUUUUCUUUGUAUAUAUUACUUAGUGUAAUGGAUAAUUGUAUUAUGUGAAAGCAUUGUUAUUCUUUUGGAUGUCGAAUAUUAUUUGCUUUCUGUUAUUGUUGACUGCUGUGGGUAGUUCAUAGAAGUUUUUGUAACUUCAUAGAAUUUAUUUUGCAUAAGACAAUUAUAUUAAUAAUAAUUUUGAGUUAGGAUUUUUUGGAGGAUGAUUGGAAACAUAGUGACCUUUUGAUUCUGAAACAUUACUUGAAAUUGUUCAUUGAUAUGAUGGGUCUGUGCAAAGUGGAUGCAUAAAUGAUAGGCAUUAAUUAUUCGUGCAUAUAUGUCUGAUGUGUUCAGAUCAAUGGUUUCAGCAACUAAGAACGUAAUUGCUGAUAUGAACAGCAACAAUUGUGAAAUAUUGAAUAUGAAGAUUCAAUAUAUGCUGAAAAAGCAAGAAGCACUAGAAGCUCUUGACCAUGUUAUGAAAGAUCUUGAGGUUGCUAUGCGCCACCUUGAGCUAGAAAAGGACCGCUUAACGGCAUUUAAGCCGAAAGUAGAUAUUUGCAAUGCUGGUUCUAGCUUAGAAAGGGCUUUGAGCUCGAAGCAUAAGCGUAUUGAUUCGUUCAAUAUGUGGGAAUGCAAAUGAUCAAGUCCUUAUUGCAAGAAAUCAAGAGUUAACCAACACAAGAGAGGAAAACGUCCUCAAGUGAAGAAAAUGUCAAGGGUGAGGUAUUAUAAUUGUGACAAGAAAGGUCACUAUGCUCGCGACUGUCAUGAGCCAAAGAAGGUAUACACCUCUUGUACAUUUGAGAAUUUUGCUUAUGUGUCAAGUUCUGUAUUAUUGGCUGAAUCCAAUCCUUUGUGGAAUAUAGAUUUAGGAGUGACAGACCAUGUAGCGAAGGAUAGAGAAUCUUCGUGGAAUUUAGACGAGUACCAACUGGAACUAAGUGGAUCUAUGUGGGAAACAACUCCAAAGCUUAAGUGAAAGGAAUUGGCACCUGCCAACUGAACAUGCGUGGUGGAUGCAUUUUGUUCCUACAUGAUGUUCUAGAUGCCUUGGAGAUUCGUCGAAAUUUAGUGUCUGUUUUGGUGUUGGUUAAGCUUGGUUUUAAUGUGAACUUCCGUAAUAGUUGUGUAGAUUUGUAUUUGGGUACAAACUACUAUGGUUGUGGUAAUUUUCUGGAUGGUUUUAUUGUACUAAAUGUUGACUGUGGUGAUGUCAAUAUUUGUUAUUCCCUUAUUUCACGUCUUCUACUUCAUAUGAUAAUGAUGUGAUUAUGUGGCAUGCUAAACUUGGUCAUAUUGGCCAACAACGUAUGAAUAGACUAGCCAAAAGGGGCUUGUUGGGCAGUAUUAAAAAAGUUGAUUUGUCCAUAUGUGAGCAUUGCCUAGAAGGGAAAACGACAAGGAAACCAUUUGGAAAAAGGUAAAAGAGCUGAAUUUCUUCUGCAUUUAAUCCAUUAUGACGUCUGUGGUUCAAUGAAUGUGAGGGGAAGGCAUGGGGCUGUUUAUUUCAUUACUUUUAUAGACGAUUAUACUCGAUUCGGAUAUGUCUAUUUGAUUUCUCAUAAAUCUGAAGCAUUGAGUUAUUUCAAAAGGUUUAUGAACCUGGUAGAAAAUCAAUUAGACAAGAAAAUAAAAGCAUUGAGAUUCAAUCGAGGUCGAGAAUAUUUAUUUGAUGAGUUCAAAAAACUAUGUGAUGAAAAAGCAAUAGAAAGACAGUUGUCUAUUUCGUAUACUCCUCAACAAAAUGGUGUUGCGGAGAGAAGAAACAGAACCCUACUGGAAAUGAUUAGGUCCAUGAUAGCGCAUGCUAACUUACCUAUUAUUUUUAGGAGUGAUGCGUUGUUAACUGCUGCCUAUAUACUUAACCGAGUGCCUUCCAAAUCAGUUACUUCCACUCCAUAUGAGUUAUGGACAGGUAGAAAACCGGACUUAAGUUUUCUUAAGCCAUGAGGUUGUGCUGCCUAUACUCAUGAAUCCUCUCACAAGUUUGGGAAAUUGGGUCCCAAAGGAAAUAUGAGUAUUUUCAUAAGAUAAUCGGAACACUCGAAAGGGUAUGUGUUUAUAGGUGAGAAUGAAAGUGGGAGUAUAACUGAAUUGAAUCACGAGAUGUCACAUUCUUAGAGGAUGAAUUUCCUAGAAGGGCAAAAUAGGGGAAGAUUACUCUCUAUUUGAAACCUUGGAUCAAGAUAAUGAUAUUAGUGGAGUUCGUCCAAAUGGGAGUAAUAUGAGAAGUGAUGAAUUGAAUUCAACUCAUUCUCAAUUACACCCACAUCAUGAGAUGACAUCAUCAUUAUCUAAUCCAAGUGGGAGCAUAAUGGGGAAUGAUGUGCAAAGUAUACAAUCUCCCAUAUGGCGAACAAGUCACCAAAGUAUUCCCCGUCGACGUUUUGACAUUGAAGGGGAAACUUUUAUGGUUGCUCCACAAGAUGAGGAUGAGUCAAGAAAUAUUAAUGAUGCUCUGAAUUGCCCUAGUAAGGAAAAAUGGAUUCAUGCAAUGGAAGAGGAAAUUGAGUCAAUGAAAUCAAACCAAGUCUGGGAACUGGUUGAUCUUCCAAAAGGACGCAGAGCUAUUGGGAACAAGUGGGUUCUCAAAAUAAAGCGAAAGGCUGAUGGCUCGAUAGAAAGGCAUAAGGCUCGCCUUGUGGCGAAGGGGUAUAAUCAACAUGAAGGAAUUGAUUAUGAAAAUACAUUUUCUCCUGUAGUGAGAUUUACCUCGAUUCGCAUUAUUCAAGCAAUAGUGGCUAGUAUGGAUCUUGAGUUACAUCAAAUGGAUGUAAAGACUACUUUCCUCAAUGGAGAACUAGAGGAAGAAAUAUGUAUGGAACAACCUACUAGUUUCAUAGUGAAAGGCCAAGAAAAAAAUGUAUGUCGACUUUUGAGGUCGAUAUAUGGCCUUAAGCAGUCAUCGAGACAAUGUUAUAUAUGUUUUCAUAAUGCCAUAAUGGCAUAUGAUUUUACAAUGAUUGAUGAGGAUCAUUGUGUAUAUAUCAAAAGAUCCAAGGAUCAAUUUGUGAUCAUAUCAUUAUAUGUUGAUGAUAUACUGAUUGCCGGAAGCAAUAUGGAGUUUGUUAAUACUGUCAAGAGUUGGUUGUCUUCCAACUUUGAGAUGAAAGAUAUGGGUGAGGCUGCAUACAUUCUUGGAGUUAAGAUUUCAAGAGAUCGUUCGAAGAUAGCGUUGUCUCUUUCGCAAGAAACAUAUAUAAAUAAGGUUCUUGAACGAUUUCGUAUGCAAGAUUGUAAACUCAUAGACACUCCUAUUGCAAAAGGUGAAGGAUUGAGCCAUAGACUGUGUCCAGGGACUCCACAAGAGAAGGAACAAAUGAAACAUGUUCCUUAUGCUAGUGUUGUUGGGAGCUUGAUGUAUGCUAUGAUGUGUACAAGACCCGACAUAUGUUUUGCAGUUGGAAUGGUAAGUAGAUACCAAUCCAAUCUAGGUCCAGCACAUUGGAAAGCCGUUAAGAGAAUACUGAGGUAUCUGAAGGGAACUGCUGAUUACAAGUUGAAUUACCAAGGAAAGAAUCUGCGACUUGAAGGCUAUUUAGAUGCUGAUUGGGGAGGAGAUUUAGAUAAAAGAAAAUCUACCUCAGGAUUUGCUUUCUUACUGAACAAUGGCGCCAUAUCAUGGAGUAGUAAGAAGCAAACGUGUAUAGCCUUAUCCACGAUGGAAGCUGAGUUCGUGGCAUUAUCAGCAGCAAUAUAAGAAGAUGUUUGGCUUAAGAGAUUUUUUGGAUCAUUUAGGUGUUAUUGGAAGUGUUGCAGAUUCAUUGUUGGUUAACUAUGGUAGCCAAGCAGCAAAAGUGUACACCAAAGAUCCAAAAUAUCAUGGCAAGACCAAACCUAUAGAUACCAAUUAUAAUUUUUGCCAAAGAUAUGAUUGCACGAAAAGAUGUGAACUUAGAGUACAUACUACGCAUAGAAUGGUAGCAGAUCCUAUGACAAAGCCAAUAUCUAGAGAUAUGUUUUGUGGCCAUAUGAAAUCUCUAGGAUUGCGUAGAGUAUGAUGUACUGGAUUGUAAUUUCCCUAAAGUGUUCACAUUUGAUGAAUUUGUGUUUUUCAUUAUUAAUGCCUAUGAAUCUUUGUUUGAUCUUUAUGCAUCUUAUUGCUCAAUGCAUUACUUUAGGUUGAGAAAGUAUGUUGGACAGAUAUAAAAUUAGCCCACUCACACGGGUAAUCGCCUCUAUUUACUAUGUGAUAAAUAGAGAUGAAACUGUUUUUAAGCUUAUUAUCUAGGUGAUAAUCGAGAGCUCCAGCUUAAAACACGUAUGUCGCCUUAACUGAGUGUUAAGAUGAUGACAUAAUACUUACUAUUUCCGAAAGUAAAAUACCCCACAUAUUUUACUUUAUCUAUCUAUGAUGCUAGAUGUGAAUUCUGAUGAAUUUUGUGAAUGAGUAGAUACGUGAACUCAAGUUAGACAUUGGGUAUGUUUGAACUAUCAUCUGUACGGUAUUGAAGGUGUAGACAUACGCUCCAUGGGAAAGGAUUUAAUACCGUAAUACGUAUUUCAUACUACGUAUGCAUAAGACGACCAAUAAGAGUGGCAAAAGUUUGAUCUCAACUUUUAUGCCGUGUGAGACUCUUAAGGAAAAGAGUUCCUCAAUUUUUAAGUCCCCUCAUGACUCUUACUUAUUCUCAAGAUUUCUAUUUAGUGUUUGCUAUCUUAGGAUGUUGCCAAUGGUCAUGAGUUGAUUCGAUCUAAUAGGGCAUUUCUAGAAAAGCAAGCUGAACUGAAAUUGAGAGUUUGACUGAAAGAGGAAGAUCGAAUUUGGAAAAUCACAUUAUAGUUUUGUAUUCACUGGUUAACUAAUUAUGAUUGUCUUUGGGAUAAUUAUAAUUGUGAAUACAAUAUAUAUAUAUAUAUAUAUAUCAUUUUUUAAAAGAGAUCAAGAGAGAUAUAAAUGUGAUCGAUCGAUCUAGGGUACUGCAUACUAAAUCUACUCAGGAUGUGAUGCCCAUUAUGAGCUGCUAUAUAUUCCUAAUAGGUGUAUGGCAACGAGCUCUCAAAGUAUGCUGGUCGCACAAAUUAUUCACCGGUAUGAAUGUUGAAGAGAGGUAAAGAGAAUCAUGUUUGGCCCACCAUGUGNNNNNNNNNNNNNNNNNNNNNNNNNNNNNNNNNNNNNNNNNNNNNNNNNNNNNNNNNNNNNNNNNNNNNNNNNNNNNNNNNNNNNNNNNNNNNNNNNNNNGAUGAUGGUUUUAUAUGAUGGGCUUAAGGCCCGUCCGCCCAUGUUGGGCCUGAAAGCCCGAUCCACAAGAUUAGGGCCCAUGGAUGGAGGGAUAUGAUGAAGGGGUACGUUUCUAUUUUUUGAGGGAACGUAUAUAAGGGAGGAAAGAGAGAGACGAUGACACCCUUUUGGCAUUAUUACGUGCAUUCCUCUCCCUCUCUCCCUCCAAAAGAAAAACGAGCGCAAACGGUGACGCCAUCUUCCCUUCAAGGCCAAUCGACGUCAUCGGAUCGAACAGGAUCGGAUUUCUCUUCCUCUUAUCGACAUUGGUGUUUAAUCUGUGGCUAACAAGGUACGCUCGAUUCCGUAGUGUGCUUUAGGAUCGGUGAUACAUGUUUUUCCCGAGUUUAUCUUCCGCAUUCGUUUUAGGGGUUCGAUUUAGUGUCGAAUUUGGUUUUUUGGGAAUCCGACAUUCCCAACACCCAUCUUUCACGGCGUCCGAUUUUUGGUGAGUUGAGUUCGGUUUCGAUCCGCCGUUUUCCUAUGGUUCCCGGCUUGGCAAAACUGAGAUGGCCGGCUAUAGUUUGAUUUGUAUCGAGACCGGCUUCCGGCUGUCGUCGCCAAGCCGGGUAAGGCCCCCGCGGUCGCGCGCUCCGGCGCCCCUUUUUUGUCCUUUCUUUAUUGCUCUAUUUUUGCCCUAUUUCGGGCAUGCCGGGCUGGAGCUCGCGGCCGUCCCGCUUACUCGAACUCUGGCCCCUUCGCCCCCGUGCUUUGAUGUUGUCAGUCUGGUUGGUCGUAUGUUGAGGGGACCGUGCGAGUUUGAGUCCCAGCUGAGCCGGAAGCGCCACCUGCACGAUGAAACGCCUCAACGAGAUCUAAUUUUCGUCUCCUCCUUUUUUAGCCGAAAUCGAGUCGUCCGCACUAUUACGUUCUAUUGCUAUGUCCCUGUGAUGUUUGGUGUUACGGGCACGGCCAUUUGGUUGCUUCCCUGCCCCCCGCGACCGCCGUUGUUUACUUUGUUUUGUGUUUCGGGCUUUGUGGCCGACAGUAAUGGAGGCUCGUUACUGUGUUUCGGCCAUGCUGGCCGUCACCAAGAGUCCAGAGCCGUUGGAGUGAGAGCGUGGUCAAGCCGAGGGCGUCGGCUUACGGCCAUUUGGACAAGACGGUGGCAGCGGGAGGUCAGAAGCAAUUAGGUUAGAAGGCUUAAUUAGUUUAAUUAGCAUGGGCUUAAGUUAGUUUAGUGGGUUUAGGUUCGUUUCUGUUUUCAUGGGAGUUAAAAAGUAUUGGUUUUGGGCUCAACUAGGAUUUAUUAAGUUUGGGUCUAGUUCUCGUUAUAUUUGGACCGGUGAUUUUCGGGCUUGAUUUGUUUUAGGGUGUGUUUAUUUAGCGAAAUCUUAAUGAUAUAGGAAAAAGCUUUCUAGUAAAACAUCUUUCAGGAAUAUGGUUAGUUUUUCCUUGUUUGAUAAUAUAUAAUCAAAAAUGUUUUUCAAUGUUUGGAUACUAUUUCAAAAUGAUUUCAAUCUCAUUAUUUUAUUUAGUAAAAAAAAAUCAAUUUUUUUUUUAAUUUUUAGAAAAAAUUGAAAUUUUCAAUUAUUUUCUUUUUCUCUUUUUUUUUCCUUUUUUUUUUCUAAAAGUUGAAUUUUUAAUUUUCUAUAAUAAAGAGACAUUGAAUUCUUAUUAAAGUGACCAUUAUCCAAACCUUAGAAUAUACAUACAAAUAAACUGUUCACGAGAAGAUGUACAACAUCCUUUGCACAUGGAGAAAAUAUUGGGUGGUCUGAGAGCUCCACAUCAGCGUGGUGUUCGGCCACUCACAAGGUGCCAUGUGGAGGGGUGGGCCCACUUGGUGUCUUCUGCUUUCUUCCCCUUUCUCCUUCUAGCCUGCACGCUCUCUCUCCUAUGCAGCGCAUUUAUUGCGGUUUAAACUUUUCUCUUUCUUUCUCAAAUGAGAAGGAAAGAGAAGCCCGUUCUUCUGUCCCUCUCCAUUUCUUUCCUUUCAAAUUUUGAAUUUGAAAUUUUCUCUCUCUCUCCGCGCUCGUUCCUGCUCCGCUGUGCAUCAAGCAGCCGUUCCCCUGCCGUCGCCAAUGAACCACAUUAUGGCCACCCCUACUCCGAUGCUCGCUUGCUUCCUCUCUUCGGGCUCGUUGUUGCUCCAUCGUUCGCUCCAGCAUUCCCGGGAUCACAGAUGUAGCACACGGAGGAGAAGCAGGCCUCUUUGAGUUCCCCUCAACGUCGGCGAGCAUCGCUCGCCGAGCAAGACCCCCACACACAGAAGGCUCGGAGGCGAGGUUGCUAGAGAAGCUGGUGCCGCACACUGCCAGCUUGCUGAGCUGCCUCGUUGUGUNNNNNNNNNNNNNNNNNNNNNNNNNNNNNNNNNNNNNNNNNNNNNNNNNNNNNNNNNNNNNNNNNNNNNNNNNNNNNNNNNNNNNNNNNNNNNNNNNNNNNNNNNNNNNNNNNNNNNNNNNNNNNNNNNNNNNNNNNNNNNNNNNNNNNNNNNNNNNNNNNNNNNNNNNNNNNNNNNNNNNNNNNNNNNNNNNNNNNNNNNNNNNNNNNNNNNNNNNNNNNNNNNNNNNNNNNNNNNNNNNNNNNNNNNNNNNNNNNNNNNNNNNNNNNNNNNNNNNNNNNNNNNNNNNNNNNNNNNNNNNNNNNNNNNNNNNNNNNNNNNNNNNNNNNNNNNNNNNNNNNNNNNNNNNNNNNNNNNNNNNNNNNNNNNNNNNNNNNNNNNNNNNNNNNNNNNNNNNNNNNNNNNNNNNNNNNNNNNNNNNNNNNNNNNNNNNNNNNNNNNNNNNNNNNNNNNNNNNNNNNNNNNNNNNNNNNNNNNNNNNNNNNNNNNNNNNNNNNNNNNNNNNNNNNNNNNNNNNNNNNNNNNNNNNNNNNNNNNNNNNNNNNNNNNNNNNNNNNNNNNNNNNNNNNNNNNNNNNNNNNNNNNNNNNNNNNNNNNNNNNNNNNNNNNNNNNNNNNNNNNNNNNNAGUUCCGAUAUCCUUGCAAGCUUGAAAGCACCUACAGUCACCCUCGACUCUGAUGCUGACCCAACACCGCCUCCUCCCUUGAACCCGACUCUGACGCCGACGCCCCUCCGCCAUUUUCCUUCGUCGGCAACAAAGUUCGUCGCCCCUAACUCCGACGCCGACGCCUCGGCCUCGGCCUACGUGCCCGACGCCAACGCCGACGCCAAUGCCCCUUCGCCUCCCUCUCGCUGCUCGCGUUUUGGCCUCCCUCUCCGCGAGCAAAGGUCACUCUGCUCGAUCUUUCUCUCUUUCCUCCAUGAAGCACCCCCUGCUCCUGAACAUAGACGCCGUCGCCUCCCGCUGUCACCUUCCCAAGCCCCACCUAUAGGCACCGUAUUGGCGAUUCCCAUACGUCCGAAGGUUCGAUUUUUUUUUUUUUUUUUGGAUUCUACUUAGUAGAAUUCGGUGUCGUGUUAAUGUUUAGGUUCAUAGAUACAUUUGCAUUAGGUAUUGCUUUUAUCUUACUUGUUGCUGACUUGCUGUGUUAUUCAGAUAGUUAAUGAAGAUUGGAAGAAAGUGAAAUGGUGGUAUCUUUUGAGAUUGUUUGCAUAUAGUCCUCCCAAGAGAUUAGAGGCUUCUGAGCCUAAAUUGGUCACUCCUUGUCUGAAGUAAGAGAUUGAGAAGCUGGUAUUAGGAUUGCUCAAGUGGACCUAUAGCCGAUUAUGUCCAAGUCAUGCCACACUCUCCACAUAUGCUCCUAAGUCUUGCUUUCAUCACUGCUGCUACUUUAUUCUCCCAUACAAAAUGCAAGCAAUUCAUUAAUUGAUUGUGUAAUUGGACUUGCAGGGUUGUCGGAAUGGUGGUUCAUGUUCUUUUUCUCAUAAUAUGGGCACGUCAUUUUCGUUAGUGAGUACUCCAUGCAUCGCAGAAAAUGGCGAUGCCGACCCAACAUUACUUAUUUAGUUAUUUCCUUUUGCUGAUGAUGGGGAAAUUCUCAUCUUGGACGAAAUUUUCUCUGUCAUCAUUGGCAAUGCCUAGCUGAAACACCAGGGUCAAAUCCUCAGUUUGGGUGUGGGUUUCUGUGAAUGGAUCAGUCCACUCCAAAACCUCCCACCAGUUCCAUGUGCCACUUGGGCUCUGCCCCAAAGUCAGUCUCAUUCUAGCUCAGUGUUUAAGGUUGGGCUUUGCCUUUGAUAUAAUUUAUAACUUUGAGCCUUGUGGCUUGGGAAUGAGGUUAAUCAUGGAUUGGUUAGAAGCAAAAAGAAAUGAUGAAAUUGAGAAGAGUUUAGUUGAAUCUAAUCACUAUGGUUUUGUGGGUGGAGGCGUUUGCUUUAUCCUCUGUCGUCACUCCUGAAUAUGUUUAUUUUGCUCAUAUUCUUUUGAAAUUAUUGUACAUGAAUCCCAAGGUACUUAUUGUUAAGUUUUACAGAAGAAACCUUUCUUUGCAGAGACCAAGGGUGUGUAUACUAGGUGGUGGAUUUGGGGGUUUAUACACUGCUUUGAGACUGAAAUCACUUGUCUGGCCUGACAGCAAGAAACCUCAUGUAAUUCAUUUGAUCCUUGUAUAGUUAGUAUGCGUUCUUCAUUGAUACAUCCCUGCUGCUCGAAUGGAAUCAUAAGCAGAACUUGCAUAUUUGAACAAAGAUCACUCCUCUAGACUAUACCAAACUGUCUUAUAGAAGUAUGUAUAUUCUGUUGAAACCAGUAUGUUGUCAUUUGAUGCCACUUAUAAUGUUCAAAUUACUUAUUCAGCUUGAGCCAUCUUAUUAAAUUGGGUCAUUUUGAUAAUGCAGUAGGUCCUUCUUAUUGACCAAUCUGAGCGGUUUAUUUUCAAGCCAAUGCUAUAUGAACUUUUAUCUAGAGGUAUGAAGAUAUGACACUACAGAGUUUGCAAUAGUUUUUUGCUGUUUAUAAUGAUAGUUCCAGUGAUAUGUUUAUUUGAAGAAGGGUGAGGGAGAUUCUCUCUGAGGACUUAUGUCUUGAUGCAGAAGUAGAAGAAUGGGAAAUAGCUCCUCGAUUUGCUGAUCUUCUUGCGAGCACUGAUGUCAAGCUUUUCCAAGAUAGGGUAAAACUCUUGCGUCCAAUGGAUCAUCUGGGAAUCAAUGCUCCUCCGGGAUCUGGUUCUGUAGGGACUGUGCAACUUGAAAGUGGCCUCCUUGUUGAAUAUGACUGGUAUCGUUUUCUCUUUGAAUAUCGUCUAGUAUGUCUUUAAUUUUUCAUAUAGGAAUAUAGUUUUGUCAGGCACCGGAGUAUAUAUAGCCUUUACCAGGUUUGUACUUCAUAACUUCAGACACUUGCUAGAUUUUUUCUGUCAACUUUCCUGAUUAAUUAGGAAAUAGUUUUAUGUGGAUAGUGUUGAUCGUCUUUUCUUAGGUGUUGCUCUAGGAUUGUCCCUUGCCUUUGUGAGCUAAAUGAGCUUUCUUUCAAUAUGCUGGGGGAUAGCAUCAGAUUAGUUCAAGCCUCCUUGGGAUUUGUUAAAGUUGAACUUGGAUUUGAUGAAUCAUUAGUUGAUAGAUAGAUGCUCAUUUGGUUUUUAUGUGUAUAAGGAUAUGCCAAUUCUCUCUUUUUGUCAUGGGCUGUCAGGUUGGUUCUUGCUUUGGGGGCUGAAGCGAAGCUUGAUGUUGUACCUGGUGCAGCUGAGUAUGCAUUGCCAUUCUCAACCCUCAGGGAUGCACUUGUAAGGCAACUUUUAGGGGGGUCUAUAAUGCUAUAAAUUACAUCUCUAGUUGAUUGACUCUGAUUUGGUACAUUUAUUAUUCUCUCACUUGUACAUUUCUGUUGCAGAAAGUUGACAACAAAUUAAAAGCUUUGGAGAGAAGGAACUUUGGGAAGGGGUCUGAAAUUCGCGUAGCUGUUUUCUNNNNNNNNNNNNNNNNNNNNNNNNNNNNNNNNNNNNNNNNNNNNNNNNNNNNNNNNNNNNNNNNNNNNNNNNNNNNNNNNNNNNNNNNNNNNNNNNNNNNAACUCACCAGUCGUGCAGCUCUAUAAGCCUGAUAGUCCACUUCUAGAUUAACAUGUAAUUAGAAGUCCUAUUGAAGAUGAAUUAUCACUGUUAUAGUUUUCAAGACUUCAGAAUCAUGUGAAACAUCAUGUUAUAUAUUCACGAUACUCUAUGCAUGUACUGUUUUGUUUGUUUGGAUGGACUAUAAUUUGUUGGUAUUUUGUCAGCUACAUAGAAACACAUAGAAACGAAUCAUAUGAAGAGGGUAGAGAGGAAUGAGUGGGCCAGCGAAUCUAUGUAAACUUCUUGCUUCAACCUGGUACUAGAAUCAGCUGGAGCAAUUUGAUAUGAAGCGAGGACUAAGAUUUCUAUUACUUGUAUUGGUUCAAACUUGUAGCGGUAUGAUUAAGAAUGGUACUUUGGUUAUGAAAGAUGCGUACGCCAUGCGAUGAUCUUCAUGGAGAACCUACUAGAUUAUAAUGUAAAAUAAGUUAGAAAGAGUUGGUUGGCUGUGCUUCUUUUCCAAAUGAAAUUCAGUUCCAUCCACAUUUUGCCGGUACAGAUGGUGUCUUAGGGCAAAAUGAAAUGGUUUAUGAACUACUCACAAUCGAGAAUUCACUGAAAGGACUUGAUAUUGUGAAAGCAAAGAAGGACAAGUAAGACUACAUAAAUUGCAGGAUGUAGAGUUGUACGGAUGGCAAGUUUCAGAGGAUAAACUGUUUUUCCGUUUAGUUUUCGUAUUGCUCCUACGCAACUCCUUUUCAUUUUAUUUUCCACCUCUAAUUUGAUUUAGUGGAAAACCUGAAUGCCAAGUUUGACCGAUAUCUAUGAAGUUAACGCCGUUGCACAAGCGGUUACCCUUGGCGGGACCAUCUUCUUGUUCAUGGUGAUUGUGAGAUUUGGGUGAGUGCAGUUCUACUUGAUGAUGCCGGAGACAAAGGGGCGGAGGCUGGAGGACUUGUUAUACAUGGAGUGGAGGUCCACAGUGAGGGAGAUGGAGAUGCAAAGGAACAACAACGUGACCAAGGAGGCAAACAGUGAGGCCUCACUUGUAAUGCAUGAUGUCCAAUUAAUAUUAGGUCCUAGACACAACAUUAACCGCACAUCAUGCAUGCAUUAUAGAUGAAGCCUCACUAUUUGCCCCUCAGUUCGCAUCUCCAUUUCCUUCGUUGCAGAUUUAUGGAACAACUCCUCUACCAUCCGCCCCUUCGUCUCCCACAUCAUCAAGUAGAAGAGCACUCACGCAAAACUCACGAUUUCCAUAAACAAGAAAGCGGCUCCACCAAGGGUAACCGUCUUGUGCAACAGUAUAAACUUCAUGGAUAACACUCCAAGGGAGUUUGAUUGGUCUCUCUUCUGUAUUGAUUCCUUCAAUUUCUCCAGACUUUCGACAGUGUCUUGCAAUCGGCUACAAGAACCGCCACGUAGUACAACUAAACUUUCUCAUGACAUUAGCCUACUAACACUUACUCCCAUAAAGAAACAUAGAAAAUUAGGAUAGCUACAUACAUUUCAUCCUAAUCAUCUCUCCAUCAGGACGUGCUCAUGCCAGUUAGUUCAACUUGAGCUGCAGGGGCAUUGAUCACGUCAAUUAGAUCCAAUUUCCCCCUGCUCUGCACAUUACCUGAAUGGAUGGAUUUACGAGUGCCGAAGUAUGUCAAAGACGUAGGAGGCAUUGCCUUGAGCAACAUCUCGUGCUAUCAACUUCAGUCUAAAAAAUGACUGACCGAUCUAGCAAGCUCGCAUUUGCUCUGGACAGAAUCAGAUUAUGGACCACCUGUAAUGUCAAUGUGCUAAGGAAUUUGAUAAAGAUGCGCUGCAAUCUUUGCAAUACGAUCAAACAAUAUCCUGAACAUGGUUGAGACAAGCCCAAUGAAGCGGAGCAUUCUUCUCCUCAUUACUGGCGUUAACAUCCUGAAAUUGGAAGAUUCCGGGUUUCAUAAAAGUCUCUUUCUACAUGUAACUAUGCAAUAAAUAACCGUAUAUAGAGCCUCAUAUCAACGCUAAUUCUAAUAAGACGCCGAGAUCAAGGCCAUAUCAGGACAACCACAGAGCAAUCAUAAAAAAUGCGCUGACCAACAUUUGAGAAAACUCAUCUAAGUCAGGACACGAUUGAAUAUCACCCCGAACCGAGAGUCGUGAGUACUAGUGCAAGUGACAAACAUCGACAUCUCCAAAAAACUAAAGAAAGAAUAAAGAGGAAGAGAGAGAAAGGGGGGGUGGGGAAUCAAUGAGAAUGGCAUAGUCGAAUGAAUUUAGCCAGAUUAUUGCAAAACACAGUUUGCGAGGAAGAAUGAAAGCCUGAGUUCACCGGAGAUAUGACCGAAAAGCAGGAGGCAAACAAGACCGGAUUUUUUUAAGUUCAACAUUACCAGAUACAUGGACCCUCGAGAUCAGCAGUCAAACAUAAAAGACGAUGAAGGGAACACAACUUCCGUCAGCAAGCGAGAAAUUCCAAAGAAAACAAGGCCAUGUCUACCACAGUAAUCACCUAUAACUCUGUAGCAUCCAAAAACCUUAUGAAUAUCCUUAAAUCCUAAACCCAGUAAACGAAUCACCUUUAACUGUGUAGGAGAGCUCUUCAGAAGCGCUCCAGUUGGUCUCGGCAAAGGGCGAGGCGUUGAGGAGAGGAAUGGAGAGGCAAGAGCGAGAGAGGAUGAAGGUGUGGAGCUGGGGAAGGGGAGCUGGAGACUGGAUAUGGGGAAGAAGGAGCGUUGUUUGGUCGUUCUCCUUUCUCCAGAAAGGAAACAGUAGCGAGCGGAAGGAGGGAGGAGGAGAGGGAAGAGCUGGGCAGCGGCUGCUGUGCAUUCACACUCCCCAACUGCAAAAUGAUACUUGAAGUAGAGAGCUCGGCGUGCAUGGGAAGUAUUGGUAACGGUCUGAAAAAGCAGGCUGGGCUUGGGGGGAAAGGUGAAUGGUGGAAUGGGACUUGGGAGGGUGAGUUCGAUGAGUCCCGAUGAGCAGAGGGAUGGUUUCUCACUUCACAACAUCACUCACUCACUCUCUCUCUCUCUCUUUGUUUCUCUCUCUCUCUCUGCUUCUUCUCGCUCAUCUUUAAAGUAGUUGAGUGGUUAGUAUCCGUUCGAAAUAAACUUUUGUUCCAUAUUUAAGAAGAUGCCUGAUCAUUCCCCUUAAUAAAUUAAUUAAUAAUUCAAGAAUUACGUUGGUAUUUAGUUAUUAUUAGCAGGUCAGUAAGAUGGAUUUAAAGUUAAAUGUGCGGUACAUAUUAAAAUUAAUUAUUGAUUGUGUUGGCAAAAAGACAAAAGCAAUAAACGGUGUUGGCCAAAAGACAAAAUGUUUGAAUUUUUCUUCUUCUGCAUUCAUUUUCUCAUCGCCAGUUCUUUUUUCUUGGAUUGCCAUCACCCGUAAUUAAUAAUCAUGGGGGAGAGACAGAGAUCGCUCAAUGUGGCAUGCAAAACCUGACAUGCAGGGGAGAAGGCUUUGCUUUUCACCUUCCUCAAAACUUGAACCAAAUUUAUUGCUCUCCCUUUGUUUGUCUAAUUAAGUGCCAAACCAUUAUAAUUCUUCCUUCUCACCCUUCAAUUUUUCUUUCAAUAAACUUUUCUACCUCAUUUGGCAAUGCCGAAGAACAAAUAAUUGCCCUAUUUGGCUAUGCCAAAUUACCUGUCGAGAAUUGUUUUGAAGAUAUGGUUGGCAUGACAUGUAUGUCCAAUGUAAUAGUCUUAAACCUUAGUUGAUUGAAGUUUUGUAUGGUAAGUGCAAAAGAUAACUUAUAUUUAUAUUUAUAUUUACAUUGUCAUGUUUUAAAUAAAGUGAAAUUCUUAUUGAAUGGCGGUGGAAGAGUGUAAUUACAAUGAAAAAUGGGGCUAAUCGAUGAGUAUUUGAGUAUUUUAUGGAUGAACGCAAUGACAAACCUCAAACGUCAUAAGCUCCUUCAUUUUCCAAGGCUUCACAAAAAACACAUGUGUACGAUCACAAAAACAAGUAAAAGUGAUGAGAAUGAGUAAUCCUAAUCUCUGCAAGUAAAGUGAUGAAGGGCCUAUUUUGUCGCUAUCAUAUAACAUUUAUUCCUAAUUCAAUUUACGGUAUAAAAUUUCAUUAUAUAAUAAGGUAUUUGUAAUUAAUUUGGAGACUUUAACAAUAUUUCUGAUUUUUUUUUUUUACUUUGAAUUACAAAAAUUUUAAAUUUUCAUUUGGAGAUGAAAGUUUGGAAAAAGGAAGACUCUUUUUAAAUUGAACAAAUUUAAUGUCCAAAAAUUUAUUUUUAAUAUAAUUAGUUAGAUAAGAUUGCUAGUCACAGAUAGAUAAAAUGCUUAUUUUUCCAGCAAAAGAAGUUAGAAACAAUGGUGGACUUAAUUUACAGAGUUAGUGACAAGUGCCCUUGCUAAAUGGACACAAUUUUCCCCUACACAAUCUACAAUAACAAUCCGUAAAGCCCACGUUUUAGCAGAAAACAAUCCAUUAGAAAAUAUAUGCUGAAUAUUCGCCAAAAAAUAAAUGCUGGAACUAAAAAUAUAUAUACCACAUCCUUUAGAUUCAUAGCAAAUUUAUUCAUUAACCAGCAUGCUUUGACAUUUGGUAAAGCUCAUUUAAAGAAGGGGAUCUUGACUUGACGUACAUUCGCUUAAAGUAAUUGAGUGGCUAGUAAAAUAGUAUUUUCUAAGCCCAUUGAAAUAAACUUUUAUUCGGUGUAAAGUAAUAUUUAAAAUAGUUAAUAUCAUGAAAAAUUACAAUUGAAAUAUUUAUGAUAAAUUUAUCUCAAACUAAUUUUUUAACCUUAAAAAAUUUUAAACUAAUACACUCAUAACAAAUUACCUCAAACUAAUUUUUUGAUCACUAAAAAAUACCAAAUUGAUAUAUAUGUAAUAAAUUUAUGAUUUGUUGAUUUCCAUUAAAUUAAAUUAAUAUCAUAAAAAAACCACAAAUUAUUACACAUGUAAUGACCAAUAGAGGGUAAAACCCCAAAUUAGUACGUUAAUCAAUUGUGACAUGUUAUCUAACUCAACAAUUUGACUAUAAAAUUUAAUAUUAACUAAUUAAUGGUAAGUACAUCAAUUUGGGAUUAGUUUACCAAUUUGGAAUUUAUCAUGGUAUUAACCCUAUUUAAAUUUUUUCUAAUAUUGUCUAAACAAAUAGUCAAAUAAUCCUUACCAAAAAAAUACAAAUAGUCAAAUAAUUCAAGAAUAACAUCAAGGUUGGUGGUUAGCUAUAAUUACCAUAUUACAAAGAUAGAUUAUAAAGACAAAUGUGUGGUACAUGUCAAAACUAAUCAUCUAAAUGAUCAAUUAAUAAAAGGCACAAGAACUAAAUGGUGUAGGCCGAAAAAACAAAAAAGAAAGUUGAAAUGUUCUUUCUUGUGAAUUCAUUCAUAAUAAUGAUGGGAGAGAGAAUCUUGUUGUUCAUCAUCCUCAACACCAAGAUCAAAUUAUGAAUAGAUUUGAAAUUCAUAAAUUUUGCUAUAUUUUAUUCAAUGUUGGGUGAAUCAUAGCAAUAAUAUGAGAUAUAUUCUUAUCCUAUUAUAUCUUAUUGUUUGUUAUAAACAAUUAUUAAUCAGUAAAUCUUAAAAAAAGAAUGGUGGUUUGGGAGAGUGACUGCAUUCACCAUCCCCAACUGCAAAGGAUAUUUUAUAAUUGAUGAAGUAGAGAUCAAUGUGCAUGUCAAGUAGGGAACGAUCUAAAAGAGUAGGCGUGUGGGCUGGAGUUUUGUAUGUUUGCGGAAAAAAGUGAAUGGUGGGAUGAGAGAGUGAGUGCGAUUAGUCCGACGAGAAAAGAGACGACGAGAAUGGCUUCCUCUCAUUUUAACCUUGAUGAAAUGGAGUUUUCGGGCAACUUCUUUUUUACUUUUAUCUCUUAUUUACGGUUCUUUCUUUUUUCAAAUUGAAAAAUAAUAAAAAAAUCACAAUCUUUCAAGUUUUGAAAAUUGUAAAAUUUAGUAUAUGAUUUUUAGGGGUGAUUGAUUCCGAAUUCAGUCACAACCAGUAACCGAGAACCCGAUCGGGAGGACCAAUUCCCAUUUUUUGGGAUCGAGAAUCGGCCAAACUAACCGGUCUAGGCCAAUGGAAUCAGCCAAUUAGCAAAACAAAUUCAAACAAUUUGAAAAAAAAAAUACUAGAGUUGUUACUAUUUUAGAGUUUAUUACAUUUUUUAAGAACAUAGAAAAUAUUUUUUUAUAAAAAAAUGUUGGUCUAGUCCGGUCCGGUCCGGUUUCCUCUUAAAAUCGGGAACCAAACCAAAAAUAGAUGAACUAAGAUUAGACCAACACCCCUCGACGAUUCUCGAUUUGGUUUGUUCAAUAUGCUCACCCCUAAUGAUUUUACUUGUUGGUAUUUAUUCUUUAUUGCGGAACUCGAAAAAUUUACAACAAAGAAAAGGUUUUACAAACUAGUUGAAAAUGUUUCAUCUCUAAAUUUAUAUUGUAUAUAAAUUGGAUCAAAACAGAUUAUUAGUCAGAAUUGAUAAUUAAUAUUUAGAGACAAUCAUACUGUGAUUUUAAUAAUAUAUUUACAUAAAUUAAUAAUAAAAAGCCAACUUAAAUGACAAAUGUUUAAUAAACUAAUAAAUUAUUAAAUAUUUUUUAAUAAAUCAAUAUUUAUAUUAAUCAAAUUUCAAUAAAUAUAUUAAAAAGUGAUUUAUAGCUUCUUAAAAUCUGAUCAAGCACUAUUUCUCCAUCGUGCUUUUAUGAUACAAGAUUAUAAAUAAAUACAAACAAUAAAGCACAACUCCAUGAAACAUCAAUAGUCAAGGAAAUAAUUUGUUUUUCCUAAGAAUUGAAAUACAAAAUCAUUUCUUUGUAUUCUGAUUAGUGUUUUAGGUGAUUUAUUCGCAAUGAAUUGAAAUUUUAUGCCACGUGAAAACGAGAAAUGCCAAAAUUAACCGAAGUAGCUAAAACACCCAAGUUCAUGUGAAUGGAUUCUUGGAAAAUAGCCUGAUAAUGAAUAGGAAUAACAAGCACCAAGAAGUCACCAUCACAGCUGGGUUUAAAAUAUAUAUAUUUGCAUCAGUAACUGUCUAUUCCUUUUCUCUUAAAAAUCCAUUCUUAGGCAAGGCAUAUUUUACAUUUAUUCUUCAUUUCCUGUAUUGCUUUAAACUCCCGAAAUUUUCUAUUAUAAAUAUGAGAAAAGCCAUAUCAUUCCUAAAAGUCCUAAAAUUUCAAUUUAUUAAUUUAUUUAAUGAUGUGGCAAUUUUAAAUUAAUUUCUCUCACUUGGCUUUUUUUUAUUGUUUUCUUUUUAAUAUCUUAUUCAAAUGAGAUUAAAAAACUGAAAAAGCUAAAAUUUUAUUUAAAAAAAAAAAACAAACUGAAAAGAGAGAGAGAGAGAGAGAGAGAGAGAGAGAGAGAGAGAGAGAGAGAGAGAGAGAGAGAGAGAGAGAGAGAGAGAGAAGAGAUAGGGAGGUAGGGCGCUGCCGCCACCACCAUCGGAGGGGUCGACCUUAGGCAAGGCUGGCCGGCCCUCGCCAGUCCCAUGCGAGGCCUCACUGGCCCUAAGCGAGGGGCCGGAGACCCUCGCUAGGCUUGGGCUUGCGCUCAAGCGCCCAAAUCUGGGUGACGCUGGUGCUCACCCAGGGCUGGCGAGGCUUGCCGACUCUAGUUGACCACCAGUGUCGCCCAGAUAUGGGUGCUCUCGCCCGAGUCGGCAAAGGUCGCCUACGCUUGCCUGGAGCUGGCGAGGGUUGGCCACCCUCACCCUAGGCCGGCGACCUCCACCGGCUCCUCCGACUAUGGGUGGUAUUGGCAGUGGCAGUGGUGCGCUUCUCUCUCUCUUUUCAGUUUUAUUUUUUAAAAUAAAAUAUUAGCAUUUUUUUAGUUUUUAAGCUGAAUUAAAUAAGAUUAAAAAAGGAAAACAAUAAUAAAAAAUGCCAACUAGAAGAAAGAAAUAAAUUUAAAAUUUAGAUUCAAUUGCACCUAAGUGGCAUCUUUGUCACAAAAUUUUGGAUUCUGCUCGUGAACUUAUCCUUAAAUAUUCUUAGGUAAUGGAUAUUACUUUUACUUUUCUCUAAAUUUAUUUGUACACGAUUUUGUAGUUAAAACGAGUUGUUUUUACGUAAAAGAUAGGUUAUUUUUCUUUUCUUUUUUCAAUUUUACACAAAUGGAUGACUUUCAUGUUUUGAUUGUCUUUCUAUUAACCUCCACAUUGUAAAUUUCGAAGUUCUCCAAAGGUGGUUCCUACAUAUUUUUCAGACGUUGGCUUUUUUUUUUUUUUUUCCUGUCUCUAUCUUUCAUAUAUUAUCUUUUCUAUAAUAUAUUUCAAAAGAAAAAAAAAAAAAAAAGAAGGUGGAGGACAAGUAUUAGAGGAGUAUUUGAUUUUGAAAGACGCCCACCCCAAUUUUUGGUCUUGACUUCAUGAUUUCGACCGUUGUGUAUUUAUUUCGCUCAGAAACGACAUGAUUUUAAAUUGGACACGGAAAAACUAAAAUUCAUGGGCAAGAUAAAAUGUACACAAAUAUAUAUAUAUAUAUAUAUGUAUAUAUAACAUAGUUAUAGUUAUAGUGUUAAAGCACAUCUUUCUAUAGUUAUAGCCACAGCACGAUCGUCACACAAUCAUCGCACGACUACCGCACGAUUGUCGCACGAUAACGUUUCACCCCAUCUCGUCAACAUGCAAUAGCUUAAGGAAUUUCCACCAGCAGGAGUCAUUUUUUUUUUUUUUUUGAAGGGGCACCUCAUUAGGCACACAUGCACGACCAUACAACCAUCUUCGGCCAUUUCUUCUAAUAAUAAAAUAAAAUACAAAUUAUUAAAAAAAGCAAAGCCAAAAAGAGUUUUGUAAUCAACACCCAUUUGCAAUCAUUGCAUUGCGGAAGAAAAAAAAAUUUUCUUUUCUGUACAUGAUCUUCCCCUAUCCACCUAUCCUAUCCACUGCAACAGUCUUAAAGUCCUGCCGCUGCAUGCAUUUAAAAACACGAACCAAUCUCUUCUCUUUUCUCUUCUCUCUAGCUGAAGAAGACUACAUAUAUCGACAAAUAUCACUAGACAAAAUUCCCAAUCUAUAGUGGAGGCACCAGCAAGAGGUGAAUGCCUUUAUUCAGAGGCACAUCAAAUGCGAUAAUUUGGAAGCUUUGUAUAGACAAUGACUGGUACGGGUUGUGUUUAAUUAUAUGAUUUAUACCUCUAAUAUUUUUAAUAUAAUUUCCUUCAAAGUUAGAAAUUGAAUAUUAACAAUUUGUGUAUGUUGUAGUACGAAUAUGUAAGUCUCAUGAAUGUGGAGUCGGGAAUGAAGCUACUUAAGAGAGCCGCACAAAUUGGCCACCUUGGGGCUUCCUAUAUGGUCGGGCUCUUCCUUGUCUGCGAUGAUGGCGAGUUGAAGAAGAAUGAAUGAGUCUGCUGACUAAGAACGAGUGGUGGAAUGCCGUGAUAAGUAUUUAAACACCGUUCGCAUUAUGUGGUGGAACAACACGAUGAUCUUUAGAAAAGAGCAAAGCUAUGAUUGCGAGAUGCAAACUGAGCACUGCAAGAGGAGGGGAUGGGUGUGUGACAUCGACCAUUACGAUGACACUGAAUGCGAACAAUGCAUUUGCCGAGCGGAGACAAAGAUUCUAUACAAGUAUUGCAGAUACCCCUGACAACAUCAUCGUAAAUUGGACGCGGAAAAAGUAAAAUUCAUGGGCAAGACAAAAUGUACACAAACACACAUGCACGCGCGCGCGCAAACACACACAUAUAUAACGUAGUUAUAGUUAUAGUGUCAAAGCACAUCUUUCUAUAGUUAUAGCCACCGCACGAUCGUCGCACGAUCAUCGCACGACCGCCGCACGAUUGUCGCACAACCACCACAUGAUCGCCGCACGAUAACGUUUCUCCCACAUCUCGUCAACAUGCAAUAGCUUAAGGAAUUUCCACCAACAGGAGUCAUGUUUUUUGAAGGAGCAUCUCAUUAGGUGCACAUGCACGACCAUACGACCAUCUUCACCCAUGUCUUUUAAUAAUAAAAUAAAAUACAAAUUAUUAAAAAAAACAAAGCUAAAAAGAGUUUCGUAAUCAACACCCAUUUGUAAUCAUUGCAUGCUGAAGACAAAAUUUUUUUCUGUACAUGAUCUUCCCCUAUCCUAUCCACUGCAACAAUCUUAAAGUCCUACCGUUGCUUGCAUUUAAAAACAAGAACCAACCUCUUCUCUUUUCUCUUCUCUCUAGCUGAAGAGGACUACAUAUAUCGACAAAUAUCACUAGACAAAAUUCCAAAUCUAUUAUGGUGGCACCAGAAAGAGGUGAAUGUCUUUAUUCAGAGGUGCAUCAAAUGCGAUAAUUUGGAAGCUUUGUAUAGACAAGAACUAAUACGUGUUGUGUUUAAUUAGAUGAUUUAUACCUCUAAUAUUUUCAAUAUAAUUUCCUUCAAAGUUAGAAAUUGAAUAUUAACAAUUUGUGUAUGUUGUAGUAUGAAUAUGUAAGUCUCAUGAAUGUGGAGUCAGGAAUGAAGCUACUUAAGAGAACCGCACAAUUUGGCCACCUUAAGGCUUCUUAUAUGGUUAGGCUCCUCCUUGUCUACGAGGGUGGCAAGUUGAAGAAGAAUGAAUGAGUCGGCUUGUUGAGAAAAGUCUACUCAAGCGGACGAGUGGUGGAAUGAUGUGAUAAGUAUUUAAACAUCAUUCACAGUAUGUGGUGGAAUAACACAAUGAUCUUAAGAGAAGAGCGAAGCUAUGAUUGCGAGAUGCAAACCGAGCACUGCAAUAGGAGGGGAUGGGUGUGUGACAUCGACCAUUAUGAUGACACUGAAUGCGAACAAUGCAUUUGCUGAGCGGAGACAAAGAUUCUAUACAAGUAUUGCAGAUACCCCUGAAGAAAUAAUUUUAAAUUGGACGCGGAAAAACUAAAAUUCAUGGGCAAGAUAAAAUGUACACAAACAUAUAUAACAUAGUUUUAGUUAUAGUGUUCAAGCACAUCUUUCUAUAGUUAUAACCACCGCACGACCGCCGCACGAUCGUCGCACGAUAACAUUUCACCCCCAUCUCGUCAACGUGCAAUAGCUUAAGGAAUUUCCAUCAGUAUGAGUCAUUUUUUUUUUAGAGAGCACCUCAUUGGGCGCACAUGCACGACAAUACGACCAUCUUCAGCCAUGUCUUCUAAUAAUAAAAUAAAAUACAAAUAUUUAAAAAAGAAGAGCCAAAAAAAGUUUUGUAAUCAACACCCAUUUGUAAUCAUUGCGUUGCUGAAGACAAUUUUUUUUUUUUUGUACAUGAUCUUCCCCUAUCCACCUAUCCUAUACACUGCAACAGUCUUAAAGUCCUGUCGCUGCUUGCAUUUAAAAACACGAACGAACCUCUUCUCUUUGCUAUUCUCUCUAGCUGAAAAGGACUGCAUAUAUCGAUAAAUAUCACUAGACAAAAUUCCAAAUCUAUUGCAGUGGCACCAGGAAGAGGUGAAUGCCUUUAUUCAAAGGUGCAUAAAAUGCAAUAAUUUGGAAGCUUUGUAUAGACAAGGACUGGUACGUGUUGUGUUUAAUUAUAUGAUUUAUACCUCUAAUAUUUUCAAUAUAAUUUCCUUCAAAGUUAGAAAUUGAACAUUAACAAUUUAUGUGUGUUGUAGUAUAAAUAUGUAAGUCUCAUGAAUGUAGAGUCAUAAAUUAAGCUACUUAAGAGAGCCGCACAAUUUGACCACUUGGGCUUCCUCUAUGGUUGGGCUCCUCCUUGUGUGCGAGGGUGGCGAGUUGAAGAAGAAGGAAGGAGUUGACAUGCUAAGAAAAGUCUACUCGAGCGGACGAGUGGUGGAAUUCCGUGAUAAGUAUUUAAUACCGUUCGUAGUAUGUGGUGGAACAACAUGAUGAUCUUUAGAGAAGGGCAAAGCUAUGAUUGCGAGAUACAAACCAAGCAUUGCAAGAGGAGGGGAUGGAUGUGUGACAUCGACCAUUACGAUGACACUGAAUGCAAACAAUGCAUUUGCCGACCGGAGACAAAGAUUCUAUACAAGUAUUGCAGAUACCCAUAACGACAUGAUCUUAAAUUGGACGCAGAAGAACUAAAAUUCAUGGGCAAUAUAAAAUGUACACAAACACAUAUAUAUAACAUAGUUAUAGUUAUAGUGUUAAAGCACAUCUUUCUAUAGGUAUAGCCACCGCAUGAUCAUCGCACGACCGUCGCACGAUCGCCGCACGAUAACGUUUCACCCCCAUCUCGUCAACGUGCAAUAGCUUAAGGAAUUUCCACCUGCAGAAGUAAUUUUUCUUUUUAAGGAGCACCUCAUUGGGCGCACAUGCACCACCAUACGACCAUCUUCGACCAUGUCUACAAAUAAUAAUAAAAAACACAAAUUAUUAAAAAAAGCAUAGCCAAAAAGAGUUUUGUUAUCAACACCUAUUUGUAAUCAUUGCGUUGUUGAAGACAAAUUUUUUUUUAUGUACAUGAUCUUCCCUUAUACACCUAUCCUAUCCACUGCAACAGUCUUAAAGUCCUAUCGCUGCUUGCAUUUAGAAACACGAACCAACCUCUUCUCUUUUUUGUUCUCUCUAGUGGAAGAGGACUACAUAUAUCGAUAAAUAUCGCUAGACAAAAUUCCAAAUCUAUUGUGGUGGCACUAGGAAGAGGUGAAUGCCUUUAUUUAGUGGUGCAUCAAAUGCGAUAAUUUGGAAGUUUUGUAUAGACAAUGAUUGGUACGUGUUGUGUUUAAUUAUAUUAUUUAUACCUCUAAUAUUUUCAAUAUAAUUUCCUUCAAAGUUAGAAAUUGAACAUUAACAAUUUGUGUAUGUUAUAGUAUGAAUAUGUAAGUCUCAUGAAUGUGGAGUCAAGAAUGAAGCUACUUAAGAGAGCCGCACAAUUUGGCCACCUUGGGGCUUCCUCUAUGGUUGGGCUCCUCCUUGUCUGCGAGGGUGGCGAGUUAAAGAAGAAGGAAGGAGUGGGCUUGCUGAGAAAAGUCUAUUCGAACGGACGAGUGAUGCAAUGCCGUGAUAAGUAUUUAAACAUUUUUCGCACCAUGUGGUGGAACAACAUGAUGAUCUUUAGAGAAGAGCGAAGCUAUGAUUGCGAGAUGCAAACCGAGCACUACAAGAGGAGGAGAUGGGUGUGUGACAUCGACCAUUACAAUGACACUGAAUGCGAACAAUGCAUUUGCCGAACGGAGACAAAGAUUCUAUUCAAGUAUUGUAGAUACCCCUGACGACAUGAUCUUAAAUUGGACGGGGAAAAACUAAAAUUCAUAGGCAAGAUAAAAUGUACACAAACAUAUAACAUAUAUAUAGUUAUAGUGUUAAAGCACAUCUUUCUAUAGUUAUAGCCACUGCACGAUCGUCGCACGACCGUCGCACGAUGGUCGCAUGACCGCCGCACGAUCGCCACACGAUAACAUUUCACCCCCAUCUCGUCAAUGUGCAAUAGCUUAAGGAAUUUCCACCAAUAGGAGUCAUUUUUUUUUUUUUGAAGGAGCACCUCAUUAGGCGCACAUGCACCACCAUACGACCAUCUUCAGCCAUGUCUUCUAAUAAUAAAAUAAAACACAAAUUAUUAAAAAAAGCAUAGCCAAAAGAGUUUUGUUAUCAACACCUAUUUGUAAUCAUUGCGUUGUUGAAGAAUUUUUUUUUUCUGUACAUGAUCUUCCCCUAUCUACCUAUUCUAUCCAUUGCAAUAGUCUUAAAAACCUACCGCUGCUUGCAUUUAAAAACACAAACCAACCUCUUCUCUUUUCUCUUCUCUCUAGCUGAAGAGACUGCAUAUAUCGACAAAUAUCGCUAAACAAAAUUCCAAAUCUAUUGGGGUGGCACCAGGAAAAGUUGAAUGCCUUUAUUCAAAGGUGCAUCAAAUGCGAUAAUUUGGAAGCUUUGUAUAGACAAGGACUGGUACGUGUUGUGUCUAAUUAUAUUAUUUAUACCUUUAAUUUUUUCAAUAUAAUUUCCUUCAAAGUUAGAAAUUGAACAUUAACAAUUUGUGUAUGUUGUAGUAUAAAUAUGUAAGUCUCAUGAAUGUAGAGUCAUGAAUUAAGCUACUUAAGAGAGCCGCUCAAUUUGGCCACCUUGGGACUUCCUAUAUGGUUAGGCUCCUCCUUGUGUGUGAGGGUGGCGAGUUGAAGAAAAAUGAAUGAGUCGACUUGCUGAGAAAAGUCUACUCGAGUGGACGAGUGGUGCAAUGCCGUGAUAAGUAUUUAAACACCUUUCGCACUAUGUGGUGGAGCAACACGAUGAUCUUUAGAGAAGAGCAAAGCUAUGAUUGCGAGAUGCAAACCGAGCACUGCAAGAGGAGGGGAUGGGUGUGUGACAUCGACCAUUACGAUGACACUGAAUGUGAACAAUGCAUUUGCCGAACGGAGACAGAUUCUAUACAAGUAUUGCAGAUACCCCUGACGACAUGAUCUUAAAUUGGACGGGGAAAAACUAAAAUUCAUGGGCAAGAUAAAAUGUACACAAACAUAUAACAUAGUUAUAGUUAUAGUGUUAAAGCACAUCUUUCUAUAGUUAUAGCCACCGCACGAUCGUCGCAUGACCGUCGCACGAUCGCCGCACGACCAUCGCACGAUCGUCGCACGAUCGCCACACGACCGCCGCACGAUAACGUUUCACCCCCAUCUCGUCAAUGUGCAAUAGCUUAAGGAAUUUCCACCAAUAGGAGUCAUUUUUUUUUUUGAAAGAGCACCUCAUUAGGUGCACAUGCACCACUAUAUGACCAUCUUCGGCCAUGUCUUCUAUUAAUAAAAAAAAACACAAAUUAUUAAAAAAAGCAGAGCCAAAAAUAAUUUUCUAAUCAACACCCAUUUGUAAUCAUUGCAUUGCUGAAGACAAACUUUUUUUUCUAUACAUAAUCUUCCCCUAUCCACCUAUCCUAUCCAUUGCAAUAGUCUUAAAGUCCUGCCGCUGCUUGCAUUUAAAAACACAAACCAACCUCUUCUCUUUUCUCUUCUCUCUAGCUGAAGAGGACUGCAUAUAUCGACAAAUAUCGCUAGACAAAAUUCCAAAUCUGUUGGGGUGGCACCAGGAAAAGUUGAAUGCAUUUAUUCAGAGGUGCAUCAAAUGCGAUAAUUUGGAAAAUUUGUAUAGACAAGGACUGGUACGUGUUGUGUUUAAUUAUAUUAUUUAUACCUCUAAUAUUUUCAAUAUAAUUUCCUUCAAAGUUAGAAAUUGAACAUUAACAAUUUGUGUAUGUUGUAGUAUGAAUAUGUAAGUCUCAUGAAUGUGGAGUUAGGAAUGAAGCUACUUAAGAGAGCCGCACAAUUUGGCCAACUUGGGGCUUCCUAUAUUGUUGGGCUCCUCCUUGUGUGCGAGGGUGGCGAGUUGAAGAAGAAUGAAUGAGUCGGCUUGUUGAGAAAAGGCUACUCGAGCGGACAAGUGAUGCAAUGCCGUGAUAAGUAUUUAAACACCUUUCGCACUAUAUGGUGGAACAACACAAUGAUCUUUAGAGAAAAGCGAAGCUAUAAUUGCGAGAUGCAAACCGAACAUUGCAAGAAGAGAGGAUGGGCGUGUGAUAUCGACCAUUACAAUGACACUUAAUGCGAAUAAUGCAUUUGCCGAACGGAGACAGAUUCUAUACAAGUAUUGCAGAUACCCCUGACGACAUGAUCUUAAAUUGAACACGGAAAAACUAAAAUUCAUGAGCAAGAUAAAAUGUACACAAACAUAUAGCAUAGUUAUAGUUAUAGUAUUAAAGCACAUCUUUCUAUAGUUAUAGCCACCGCACGAUCGUCGCACGAUCGUCGCACAAUCACUGCACAACCGUCGGACGAUGAUCGCACGACCACCGCACGAUCGCCACACGAUAACGUUUCACCCCCAUCUCGUCAAUGUGCAAUAGCUUAAGGAAUUUCCACCAAUAGGAGUCUUUUUUUUUUUUUUGAAGAAGCACCUCAUUAGGUGCACAUGCAUGACCAUACGACCAUCUUCGGCCAUGUCUUCUAAUGAUAAAAUAAAAUACAAAUUAUUUAAAAAAAGCAGAGCCAAAAAGAAUUUUGUAAUCAACACCCAUUUGUAAUCAUUGCGUUGCUGAAGACAAUUUUUUUUUUCUAUACAUGAUCUUCCCCUAUCCACCUAUCCUAUCCAUUGUAAGAGUCUUAAAGUCUUGCCGCUGCUUGCAUUUAAAAAUACGAACCAACCUCUUCUAUUUUCUCUUCUCUCUAGCUGAAGAGGACUGCAUAUAUCGACAAAUAUCGCUAGAAAAAAUUCCAUAUCUAUUGGGGUGGCACCAGGAAAAGGUGAAUGCCUUUAUUCAGAGGUGCAUUAAAUGUGAUAAUUUGGAAGCUUUGUAUAGACAAGGACUGUUACAUGUUGUGUUUAAUUAUAUUAUUUAUACCUCUAAUAUUUUCAAUAUAAUUUCCUUCAAAGUUAGAAAUUGAAUAUUAACAAUUUAUGUAUGCUGUAAUAUGAAUAUAUAAGUCUCAUGAAUGUGGAGUCAGGAAUGAAGCUACUUAAGAGAGCCGCACAAUUUGGCUCCCUUAGAGCUUUCUAUAUGGUUGGGCUCCUCCUUGUGUGCGAGGGUGGCAAGUUGAAGAAGAAGGAAGGAGUUGGCUUGCUGAGAAAAGUCUACUCGAGCGGACGAGUGGUGGAAUGCCGUGGUAAGUAUUUAAACACCGUUCGCAAUAUGUGGUGGAACAACACAAUGAUCUUUAGAGAAUAGCGAAGCUAUGAUUGCGAGAUGCAAACCGAGCACUACAAGAGGAGGGGAUGGGUGUGUGACAUCGACCAUUACAAUGACACUGAAUGCAAACAAUUCAUUUGCCGAGCGGAGACAAAGAUUCUACACAAGUAUUGUAGAUACCCCUGACGACGUGAUCUUAAAUUGGACACGAAAAUACUAAAAUUCAUGGGCAAGAUAAGAUGUACACAAACAUAUAACAUAGUUAUAGUUAUAGUGUUAAAGCACAUCUUUCUAUAGUUAUAGCCAUCGCACAAUCGUCGUACGAUCAUCGCAUGACUGCCGCACGAUCAUCGCACGAUUGUCGCACGACCACAGCACAAUCGCCGCAUGAUAACGUUUCACCCACAUUUCGUCAACAUGCAAUAGCUUAAGGAAUUUCCACCAGCAGGAGUCAUUUUUUCUUAAGGAGCACUUCAUUAGGUGCACAUGCACGACCAUACGACCCUCUUUAGCCAUGUCUUCUAAUAAUAAAAUAAAAUACAAAUUAUUUAAAAAAAGCAAAGCCAUAAAGAGUAUUGUAAUCAACACCCAUUUAUAAUCAUUGCGUUGCUGAAGACAAAUUUUUUUUUCUGUACAUGAUCUUCCCCUAUCCACCUGUCCUAUCCACUGCAACAAUCUUAAAGUCCUGCCGUUGCUUGCAUUUAAAAACACGAACUAACCUCUUCUCUUUUCUCUUCUCUCUAGCUGAAGAGGAUUGCAUAUAUCGACAAAUAUCACUAGAUAAAAUUCCAAAUCUAUUGUGGUGGCACCAGAAAGAGGUGAAUGCCUUUAUUCAAAGGUGCAUCAAAUGCGAUAAUUUGGAAGCUUUGUAUAGACAAUGACUAGUACGUGUUGUGUCUAAUUAUAUUAUUUAUACCUCUAAUAUUUUCAAUAUAAUUUCCUUCAAAGUUAGAAAUUGAACAUUAACAAUUUGUGUAUGUUGUAGUAUGAAUAUGUAAGUCUCAUGAAUGUGGAGUCAAGAAUGAAGUUACUUAAGAGAGCCGCACAAUUUGGCAAACUUGGGGCUUCAUAUAUGGUUGGGCUCCUCCUUGUGUGCGAGGGUGGCAAGUUGAAGAAGAAUGAAUGAGUCGGCUUGUUGAGAAAAUUCUACUCGAGCGGACGGGUGGUGCAAUGCCGUGGUAAGUAUUUAAACACCUUUUGCACUAUGUGGUGGAAUAACACAAUGAUCUUUAGAGAAGAGCGAAGCUAUGAUUGCGAGAUGCAAACUGAGCACUGCAAGAGGAGGGGAUGGGUGUGUGACAUCAACCAUUACGAUGACGCUGAAUGCGAACAAUGCAUUUGCUAAACGGAGACAAAGAUUCUAUACAAGUAUUGCAGAUACCUCUGACCAUGAUGCUGACCAUGACACCCCUGACCAUGACCAUGAGAGGUUUGUUUAAAGAGAGGGCAGGAGAGAGCCUGUUUUAGUUCAAAAUAAAUCUUAAUACACAAGUGCUUCUUUAGAGUAUCUGAUAUGGCUUCAUUUUCUUCUCUAUAGGUUCUUGAUAGGUUCUUGAUAGGUUCUUGAUGGUGCCCCUUGUGCUGACGAAAGCAAUGCUUAACAUCAAUUUGGUGUUCCUCAAACUAAGCAAAAUUCUGUUGCAAUAAGAGGAUUAUGUCAUCUAUAGCUGCCUUGUGGUUGUAACUAGAUUUCACUUUAUUCUAAGUGACCUAUUGUUGGAUUUGGUUUUGGUUUGGUCUCAACUAGUUUGUGUAAUCCUUCAAUCCAAGCGAGAAUUGUUGUUUGUUUCAGUUCGUGAUUUAUUUUGCUCUACUUCAUGGAUGAUUUCAACAUCAUCUAUUAGCAAUUCAAGCUCAUUACAUUCCCCAAGAACAUGACAUUUGAAUUGCUCCAUGCUUUUCAAAAUGAACUCAGACAGGUCCUAAAGAGUUGCCGUAUGCAUAUUCAAAUAAAACGCCUGUGACUUGUUCAGCAAAUAUUUAGGGAGUAUUGUUAUUUUGUUAUCUUUUGUAUCUUAUCUCUUAGAAUUAGUAAAUAUUUAGGGAAUACUUGUUAUUAUGUUGCCUUUUAUAUCUUAUCUUUUAGAGUCCUUUAUAUACAUUGUAUUGGCAAUACAUAUAUAAAGAAAAAAGGAAUAAACAUUUUUUUUUUUGGUCGAAAAGAAGUGACGUGGUAUUCUUACUUAAAAGGAGAAUUACAAGAUAAAAGCGGACUAAUGUCCGAACAUAAUAUGUUCCAAAGAGGCAAUGGCGGGUUAAUCCACCAGUUGAAAGGGAGCUUGUUCGCUCGAUGAAAGCGUGCAAUCCAGUCCGCAGCCCAGUUUUCUUCGCGUGUACAACAUUUCACUUGGACAUUCACACACUGGCCCAACUCUUGUUUGCAUUUUCUGACCACUUCUUUUAAAUUCCACUGAGAAUCGGCCCGGCCCAAUACUUGGUCAAUUGCUGGACUACAAUCAGAUUCGCAAAUCCAACGAAGCUUUUGACUUCUAAAGUCCCUCACGUGCCUCCUUUGGAAGUCUUGGAUAUAAAACAGACCGUGGAAGAGGGCGUGGAGUUCCGCCUCCUGCGAAGAAGAAGCCCUAGAAGUGCUCGCGAAACCCUCGACCAUCAGCCCCGACGAAUCCCUCACAACUCCAGCCACCGAGCAAAUAAACUCGCCUUGAAUCCAAGAUGCAUCCACAUUCAACUUCAGUUCUGAUCUAUCCAGGGGUUUCCAUCUCAGAGGUAAGUCUCGAUUAGGGUUUGGUCGAUUCUUUCUCUUCUGUCCUUGAGUACCACUUGAGUGUUGUUCUUGCGCACAUCUCAGAGUAUCAGCCGAAUUCUGUGCUUUUGCUCGGAAGAUCUAGCCGUUCCUUGCCUUCCAUAUGUACCAGAGGAUCAAUCCUGUAUAUUCCCAGUCAGGUAUGUCCUUAGUUGUGCGAAAAGCUUCUAUUAUCCACUUAUCUGCUCGGGUAAUCUCAUUUGUUGGACUUAAACCCCUGCAAGUUGAAUCUGCCCAUACGCGUUUGGUCCAUUUACACAAAAAGAAGAGAUGUUCAGUUGAUUCUACCUUCGUACAACAAAUUGGACAAAGUGGAUCUGUGAUGAUUUUUCUUCUGUGUAGAUUUUCCCUCGUGGGGAUGGCAUUUUGACAUAACGCCCAGAGGAAAGUCUUGAUUUUCGGUAACACUUCAAGGCUCCAGAUUCUUGUCCAUAAGGUACGUGGCGGUCGAAACGAGCAGGAGGCCUUAUUUAUAUUUUGCUGUGAAUUGACUACAAUUGCUCUGUUGUAGCCGCUUUUAACAGUAUAUUUCCCAGUAUUGUUGCCUGUCCAAACUAGAUAAUCUGGAUGCGAUAGUGGGUUCAGUGGAAUAGCCAGGAUCUCAUUGACAAUAUCUUCGUUGUACAUCUGUUGAAUCUUUUGAACAUUCCACUCUCUGGAAUUUUCCUGUAUGAGUUCAGAAACCAUAAGGGGUUCUGUUGUAUUGCUUUGUCCACCCCGUACCUCUUGCAUCAACCAUUUAUCUUGUCAAAUACGAAUAGAUUUACCAUCCCCAACUGACCAUUUGAUGUUUUCUUUAAUUGUAUCUCUGCCAACAAUCAAACUCCGCCAUCCCCAUGAGGGACAUUGUCCAGUACUCGCUAUCCAGAGGUCCCCAGUGGGAAAAUAGAGUCAGAGGUCCCUAGUGGGAAAAUAGAGUCCUUUCAGCACUCUACUACACAAUGCAGAUGGAGCAUUUGAUAGCCUCCAAACUUGCUUGCCUAGCAUGGCAUAAUUAAAGGUAAUCAAAUCUUUGAAACCCAUUCCUCCUUCAUCUUUACGAGUUUUCAUUACCUCCCACUUUUUCCAAUGAAUUCCCCUCUUCUUAUCAUCUUUUUUCCACCAGAAUGAUGCAAUUCGCUGUUCAAUGGAUCUACAGAUAGAUAUUGGAAGCUUAAAGAUGGACAUAGCAUGCAUAGGUAUGGACUGAACAACGCUUUUAAUCAGCACCUCCUUGCCUGCCUUGGUAAGUAAUUUCUCUUUCCACCCUUCAAGCUUUGAAUUGACCCUAGCUAAUAUCCAUGCAAAAAGUUCUUUUUUUGAUUGUCCCCAAUCUGUGGGAAUACCUAAAUACUUCCCUGUUUUUUCAAAUACCGGAACCCUUAAUUCUGUGGCCAUAUUUCUUUUUAAUGUAGAGGGACAAUUAGCACUAAAAUACACCCCCGAUUUGUUUAAGUUUAUAGCUUGUCCCGAAGCAUAGCAGUACUGUUUCAAUAGCAAUGCCAGGUUUUGACAUUCUAUGAUAGUACCAUCCAUAAAAAAGAUAGCAUCAUCCGCAAACAAUAAAUGUGAUAAUCUAGGACAAAACCUGUUCAACUGAAUUCCUUUGAGGCUGCCAUCUGUAAUAGCUUUAUGCAUCAGCCAAGUGAGAACAUUAGAGACCAGAAUAAAUAAAUAAGGUGAAAGAGGGUCGCCUUGUCUCAAACCCCUUGAGGGAUGGAAAAAAUUGGUAGGUUCUCCAUUAAUCUUCAUGCUGAAAGAAACUGUAGACACACAUUGCAUGAUAAGUGUGAUCCACUUUCCACAGAAUCCCAUAUGCUGCAUACAAUCCCUCAGAAAAUCCCAUUCAAUUCGAUCAUAUGCUUUCUGCAUGUCUAGUUUAAGGAUGGCUUGAUAUUUGUGCCUCUUUUUUGUGAUGCGCAGUUGGUGUAAUACUUCCUGCACAAUAAAGAUAUUGUCCUGUAUCUGUCUACCUUGGACAAAUGCACACUGCUCUGGUUCAAUAAUAGCAGGUAACCACUUCUUUAGUCUGUUUGCUAGAAGUUUUGAAAUUACUUUGUAACUGAAGUUGCAUAGGCUGAUAGGUCUGUAUUGACUGAUGGUUUCAGGGUUCUUCACUUUAGGGAUUAAGGAAAUAUGUGUCUAGUUGAUUAUGGGAUCAAGAAGUCAUGUCUGGAAAAAAUUCAGAACUAACUGGAACAGGACAGUUUUUAUAUUAUCCCAUGAUUUUUGAUAAAACAUACCAUUGAAACCAUCUGGGCCAGGAGCUUUAAGUGCUCCCAUUUGAAAAACAACUUCUUGGACCUCCUCAAUCGUAGGUACAGCCACAAGAUCAUCAUUCAUGUGUUGUGUUAUAGGUGAGGGACAUUGGGUAAGAAUAGGUUGGUAGUGCCUUGGGCCCUCUGAAGUAUAUAGCUCUUUAUAAAAUAACUGAAUAUGGUUGCGGAUUAGGAUUGGAUCUCUACACCAUUGUGCAUCUUCCAUUUGCAGCAUUGUUAUUCUAUUUCUCUGCCUCCGUUGGAUAGUUGAUGCAUGAAAAAAUCUAGUAUUCUUGUCUCCCCAUUGCAUCCAUUUAAUCCGGGACCUCAUACCCCAAAAUUGUUCCUCUUGUCUGUGUAGUUUUUCUAUCUGCUGAAUAAUGCUUUGUUUUCCUUCUGCUAGUGUGCNNNNNNNNNNNNNNNNNNNNNNNNNNNNNNNNNNNNNNNNNNNNNNNNNNNNNNNNNNNNNNNNNNNNNNNNNNNNNNNNNNNNNNNNNNNNNNNNNNNNNNNNNNNNNNNNNNNNNNNNNNNNNNNNNNNNNNNNNNNNNNNNNNNNNNNNNNNNNNNNNNNNNNNNNNNNNNNNNNNNNNNNNNNNNNNNNNNNNNNNNNNNNNNNNNNNNNNNNNNNNNNNNNNNNNNNNNNNNNNNNNNNNNNNNNNNNNNNNNNNNNNNNNNNNNNNNNNNNNNNNNNNNNNNNNNNNNNNNNGUACUUCGGCUUCAGAAAACGUAAUUCUCCACUCUAAGGUGCAUAGUACUCUGUCUAAACGUUUCUUCACAAGAUCUUCCCCAUCUCUAUUAUUGGCCCAUGUAUAUGCACACCCAUGACUAUCCAUAUCCAUUAGGGAGAGGUCAUUUAUCAUAUUUCUGAAUGCUGCAAUUCGACUAUUAUCCGCUUCUUUUUUCCCAAUUUUUUCCCACACAUAUAAAAUUUCAUUAAAAUCACCCAUGCAGAUCCACGGCCAGGAACUAUUCGGUUUAAUGUGACCCAAAGUUUGCCACAAGGUCAGUCUCUCUCCAAAAUUGGUAGAUGCAUGGAUAAAAGUAAUUUGCAUAUGUUGUCUACUAUCUGGAUACAUACAAUCUACAUCAAUAUAAUACUUUGAACUAGUUUUUACCUUCAAUAACACUUCCUCCUGCCACAUAAGAGCUAAACCCCCUGUUGUUCCUGAUGGAUUAACUAGGAAAAUUUUCUGGAAGAGUAAUUUUUUGCAAACUUUUUCCACCAUAAUUAUAUGCGAAUUGAGUCUGAAUUAAGAUUGAGUGACCUCAUGGCUGAUCUAAAUAAGACCAUGAAGUUUCAAGUAUAUGCGGCAACUCACUGUGGAGAAGUUUCAAGAAAUUUUCCACCCGUCCUCUUCUGUUGGACCAGCCGUUCUUUUUGGUGAAAAAUAAUGAAAAACAACGGCAUUGAUUCCAAAGAAAUAUUAAUAUAGAGUUGCUCUUUUUUUUUUCUUUUUUUUUGGCCAUCAAAUUUAACAUGGCUGUUGCUGUGUCACUUUCCUAGUCUUGAGUCUUGACCGGUUGAUAAGAAUUUCGAAUGAUAACGCAUUUGAUUUAGUUAAAACGCCUGCCCUUCGAGGACACGUUUUGGGACACUUUUCUGCCACGUAUUUUGUACACGAUAGCCAUAGACGGACUAUAUACGUAUAAUCACACUUAUAAUGAAGAAGCUUUAUUUAUUUUUGGAUAUAGAUAACGAUACUCAUUGCUGAUUGAUUGGUUUUUUGCGUGCUUGAGCAAAAAUGGUGAAAUUUCUUUUUCUGUCUUGCUUUUAUCAGCAAUAAGCAGAUACAUUUGAGGCGGAUAUGAUGGAUGUAUACGUGUCAGAAUCUCCUAAUCAAAUCAAUGUGAACAAGAGUACAAGAAGUCCAUCAGAACCAUGCCUAGAACCAUACAAAGAGCAAAAACUUCCACAAGCUAUCACCCUGACAUUAAUGCAUUAGACAGUUGUCGCAUGAUUAUGAUUACUUUGAUAGAGAGAAGGCAUUAUCGGUUUUCUAUCUCUAUUUCUUCAUUAUUUUACUGUCAAGUUAUAUGAUGUAGAAGUUUCAUCCCCGCCUAUGCCAUAUGUAAUGACUAUUGGAUUACAUCAUUACAACAUCACUGCAACCAUAAGUAAUCAUCUAUGUGAAAAUUAAGACAAUUAUUUUUUCAUGAAGCAUCUCUUAAAGCUUUUCAAAGCUAAUUUAAUAAUAUUUCAUUCUAAAAUUUGAUUAACUAGGAGUGCGAGAACUACGCAUGAGUAACUUGGGCUCAGCGUAAAAAAUACUUGAAUUUGACUCGAUUGAUUCCAAGUUAAGUUCAAGUUCAAGCUACUCCAGCAGAGUUGUCUAGUCAAGUUUGAAUUUCUCAAUUACUUUUCUAGUUGAGUGCAAGCAAGAUCGUAAAUAUUAAAUCGAGCUCGAGUUGCAUUUUCUUCUCUUAACACAUACGGUUGAAGUAGAUGUCAUCCUCAAAUCUGAAACUCCAUGUGAUUUUACUCUUGCUCUGAUUGAUCUUGUUACCCAGACAUUAGUGCUUAAUUUUGGUGCAAUUUGUGUAGUAUAUCAGAUAUUCCUCCCUCCUUCAUUCUCUGAUAUCUUGUUACUAUCCUCAUUAAUUUGCUACAGCUUUGGAUAUUAUAGGAGAAGGUUGCAUGUGUCGUCACAAUCUUCGUAAUUAGUGCGUGUAUAUAGAUGUAUAUGCCUAGGCAAAUUAACUUACAUGUGAAUUUAUUUCCUUUUUGCACUUUGGACUAUUUAUAGUGUCACUGAUCAUGAAAAAACUGGCUAGCGUUGCAAAUACUACAAACAUCAUCAGCUUUCAGCUUUCAUUCUCCUCUAUAUUCCCGGUGAACUCAAAGCCCGGAAGCUUCUGCCACCUGACUCACAGGAAAGUUAACAGGUCCUAAGCUCGCUGCUGCUGCAGACCAAGCCAAAGCACCCGCAGCCGCUGUGGCAGCCAAGCAAGCAAGCCUCCGGCACAGGGCAGCGGCUUUGGGACACUUUUUGCGUAACGACAUGGUCAUCACAGCCCCUGUGAACGCGAAGUUGAGAGCCAGGAGGUAGGCGUGGAAGCACGCGGGUCUCUUUGAGAAUACAACUCUUGGAACUGGGUUUCCAUCGACUUCCUCGAAGGGAAGUUGGAGAAGCAAGAAAGCCGCCAUGAAGGAGUGAAGGAGAGGACGAGGAUGAGUUCUUCGGCCCUGGUUCUAGUGAUGAAAUGGCUGCUCAUCUCUGUGAAGAGAAAUGGAGCAGGGAUGUUGGUGGAUUACUGGGUCGGGUCUGGCGAGCCUGCUCAUCCAGAGUUGCUGGCGGUCGUCGGAGGAUGUGACGGUGGUUUUGAGGCAAACGACUUUUUCUGAGGAGUGUAGGAGUUUCCUUUCGGCCAAAGAGGGUUAAGUGUUUGAUAUUCUCUGAAACUCAACUUGGACAUUUUGGCAACUUGUUUCCAUCUAAUAAAUGGAGAAUUACGUCCCAAAGAUAGGGACGUACUAAAAAAUUUCAUCUUGGGGUCUUGAACAAAUAAAAGGGACAAAAAUAUUAGCGAAAAUCAUGUAAGUUUAACCCUUUUUUUUUUCAUCUUCCAUAAACAUAAAUAUUUUUCCCAAGAGAACAUUACGAUCUUUGAGCGAAAUCAAGGAUACCUUCAUCGAUUUAGAAAUGGAGUCGUGUUUCCCUCCAUCUUUAAUUAGAGGUUAGGAGGAAAGGCUCUCUAACCCUGGUUGGGGGACAAAUUGGUAUGCUAUGUGAUGUAGCAGGCAUUUGAAUAAGUGUGUUAUAAUUAAAUUAAUAGUAUCAUCCAUUUAUUUGAAGGAAAAUUAUUUUUGAAAAAUAGUUUUCCAACUUUCUAAUAUUUAGAUGAUGGAAAACUAAUCGAUCUUAUGAAAAACAUAUUCCAGGACUGAAAAAUACAAGCUUAGAUUAGGAGAAAAUGACUUCUCUUUCUUAUAAGAAGGAAAAUCACUUUCCAUAAAUUAUAAAACAAAUGAAAACUAAUUAUUUUCCUUGAAUUUUUUUUUAUGGAAAAUAUUUUUCUCUAUUAUAAAGUUUCCAGUAAAACAAAUGCAUCUUUAGGGUGUGGUUGUUUAAGUGAAAGAAUUUCCAGUGAGUUAGUUCUUUUGGACUUUCAUGCAUUUGAUUUGUUGAAAAUUAUUAGUUAAGAACAGUCAGAAAAAACAUGUAUACUUAAGAAAAUGAACUUUCUAACCUGAAAAUGAGAAAUUAUUUUUUAUUUUUAAAAAAUAUUUUCUUUUAUCAUCAAUAUUAUUUCAAAAUAAAUAUGCCAUUAAUACGUAAACGUAUUUGCAGAUGAUUUCUUGACUUCAAGAUUGAAAUGUGACCAGUGAAGUUUUAAAAUUCCAUCACACCCCUCGAUUUGCAUGAACCCGGAUUUAUGGAUCCAAAGCAAUUAUAGCAGUCGAUCAUGUGAGAAUUAUACAUGGAACGCACAUAAUCAACGGCUAUAAUAAACCUUGUUUAUGUGGACUCUAGUCUAAACAAAAUUUGGCUCACAUCAUAUGAGAUUCACAUGCUUAAAAUUUUAUCCAUUGUAUGUACUCAUAUUAGUCUAUUGGGAUAAAGCCACCAGAGAUUUUUGAUUUUUUAUUGUACAAUUUCAUCAUUUUUUUAGUGUAAUAAUAUCCUCGAACUAUGUAUUUAUUUGUUUGAGUUGAUACUUCAGAGAGUUAGAGCAUAAGUUGACAUGGCCGUCUAUGUCACCACAAUGUCAGACUGCUUCUCCAACGAAUUUCUUAGGUGGAACUAAAGAUUUAAAAAAUCCAAAAUUGCAACCCAGAGAAAGAGAGUGAGAGAGAGAGAGAGGAUAGAGGGGAAGGGCGGACCAGUGGCUGGCGGCGGCGGUGCCGCCCAGCCACUAUCCAAGAUCCAUCAAUUGUGGCGGGCGGUUGGGUGCUCACCGGGAGAACGACAUCGCGAGAUGGAUCGAUGGCUAUAUCCAUCGUUGGUUCAUACCUCACGUAAACUGGCCAACAUCAGACGAACUUUUGUUUCCCUGUCUCAUCUUUCCCUCUCUUUACCUCAUCCUCGUGGAUUUUUACAUGCUUUACUGUCAUACAAUCGAAGCCUCUUCUGGCCGUUGUCCGCUUAAAGUGUCUUUUCAAAUCAAUGAUUGUGCCCUCUACGUAGCAAAAUGACGUCUAUGUACGGGAUAUAUAAUCCAUCUCUUAGGCAUCAAGAGAAAUGUUUCGUAGCGACGUUAAAGUCUAGAUGACAAAUGCUGAAAACUUCCCACUUUUUUUGGGAAGUUAUCAUCUUGUUAUGGAAUAACACUACGGGAUACCCCUAAACUUUAUUGGCUUGUGUAAUAUUGUCUUUGAAUUUAUUUUUUUGCAAUCAGAUUCUUGAACUAUGAUUUAUUCGUUCACAUUGGAUCUUCCAUUAAAAGACCCAAAAAAAAAAAUGCUUAUGUGACCGUUAAAUGCCAAGUUGACUCAAUGUGGCUCCUACGUCCUCAUUAGAAAGAUUAAAGAAAUAAAAAAAAUUAAAUUUCUUCAUCGAAGGAAAUUUGGAGCGACAACACCAUCUUGAGCCGGAGCCCACAGGCAAUUUGUCGAUAGUGUUCGAGUUUGAUGAGGAGAGUGAGGAUGGGUCGGAACACUUUUCAAUAGAGGCCCGCCCGAUGGGCUUCGACUUUUUUGGCAAAGGCGGUGGCAUCUAGGGCGAGGUGGUGAUGGCUCAGAAAUGGGAGGCUCGCCUUCGACCGCCUGUGGCUUUCUCAACAGUGUUGCGUCGAUUUCCAACAACGUUGAAGAGAUUGGAGAUGGCUGGAAAUUCUUUUGUGUCUUUUUUUUUUUCUCAUUUUUUAAGUCAGUCAUAUUUCGGGCCAAACCCAGCCCAAAAUUAAAUUAAUGCCAAUCCAAGAGGACUUGUUUAGGCCCGAACCUUUCAACCGGGCCUGAAGUUGAUUGGGUGGGACAUAUUUUUCAAUAAAAAGGCCACCCAUUUGCAACUAUGCUUCCCGUUACUAGACACCAAAGGAACUCGCGAACUCAUUGCUAAUUUAACCCUAAAGCAGUGAAGAUAGUGCUGAAUAUUAAAGCAAGGGAAAACCAACACUCACGAAUUUUACAUGAAAAUCUCAAUAUAGGAAAAAUCACGGGAUCACUCAAAGACUUUUACUAAUAACCAAGACUAGCAGGAUACACAAUAAUUUAUCCUUAAUAACACAACCAGAGGCUCUUUAGAUUAGCAAAAUAUCAGAGCACCACAGAGGUGGGUUAACACAGAAGCAAGAAAGGUAUAACUGCUGCCAAAGAAAAUUAUGAGACAAUUUGGAGAGGAUUAACAAACAAAACCAAUCAAUUUAUAGAUCUUACACUCACGAACAACCUAUUGAAAUUUCUGCCAAUUCUGACAAAGUUUCACUGUCGAAUCUAGACUACAACUUCUCUUCUUCAAAGCAAAGCUUUCUGCCUCCUUUUCUCUGUGACAACAAAUUGCUUGUAUCUCUCUCUCUCUCUCUCUUUCUCUCUCUCUUCUAAAUCAACAACAUUUAGCCCUAUCUUUUUAUUUUGUAUUUUUUUUUUUAAGAUGAUGAGAUGGGCAAGUCUCCCCCUUCACCUCAUGAGGGAAGUUUCAUUAUACCCGCUUUAUCUAUACAAGAAUCAAGUUUCACCAUUGGUAAGACUUUAGUUGUCAUAUCAUAUCUAUUAUCAGUAGUGUAGACUUUCUCAAAUAAAAAGAGUUUCUCUUCUAAUUUAUCUUGGAUCCAAUGACAAGGAUAAGGCAUCAGUCUGGGUAAAGCAACCAGAUGCAUUUGAACAUCACUCUACCUUUCAGCAAUAUGACAAGGAUAAAGCAUCCCUGCAUAAUGAUGUCUUGUAUUUGCACGAAUGGAUUUGGUCUUGUUGGAGGCAAGACCACUCAUCUCAGCGGCUACCAAAGAGUUGAUAUAUCUAGAGCACUAUCAUGAAUCACUCUAUGAGGAUAAACACCCUCUAGGAAUGCCACGAGGGUGCCCUGAUGACACCACGGACGAAGCGCCCUGUCCAUCGCCAAUCGCAUGUUGCCUAAGAAUGGACCUAACUAUUAGCAGUAACAGAGCAAAUAGAAAUCUGUUACAGCAAGUAAGCAUUAACCCAGGUAACCAAAGUGGACUCUGCUUUUAGCAACAACUUCUGCAGAUUCCUGAGAACGCAGGCUUGAUUAUUUGUUUCUAGCUUGUUCAAGCCUAAACCACCUUCACAUGUCAUAACUAAGGGUCAUGCUAUAGCAAGUUUGUACUGGUGUUUUAUAUCCCUUCUCAAACGGCGAAAAUACAACAUUGAAAUGGAGAGAUCAGUUUCCCUAUAUGUUGCCUAAUUUGCUUGCAAACCAUAAAUGGUGGAAGUUGAGAUCAAUGGAGUAACUUGACAAGCCUAAGUUUCAAACCACUAAAACAUGUGUGUUUACAGUAUUGUCUCUGUUAUCAUUUGAUCUUUUGUUUUGAUAGGACAUUUUUUUGGAAACAUACUAAUACUGACAUCAAAGGCACUUUUAACGGCAAUAAUAUUAGGUUAUAUCAGUGUUGUGUUUGUCCAAGACUACUGGUACAUAGCUUCGAGGAAAUUUAACAUGAUAUCGACCGACUAAAUUAAAGAUCAACGCAGCCAAAUGCUAGACUCUUAAGAAAUACUGCCCAGUAGAGAGAUUUGUCAAUUAAGAAAUUUAGCCGAAGCUCUCUCUGUUUUUCUUUUACACAUUGACGGCCAGCAUAUUAAUAAUAUAAUGUUUCAUUUAAUCAUACCAUGUUAGAUAUUAUCUCCUUGCUAACUGAGCAAGGAAGCACACUUCAAACGCGUAAGACCCGCAAUGAGCGACAAUCGAAAAUUGCAUUCUCAUAAGCAGUCACGGAGGGCCUCAAAAGAAUUGCAGUUCUUUCCUCCCCUAGCUAACCAAUAACGAAAGUUUCUCCAGUCCAAUGUCCUACCCUUGAAUAAUAUAGAGCAAAUCUAGCAACCCAACCCAAUCUAGCAAGUAUGUCAUAACCUCAUGCUGGAGCUCUUUCACUGGUUUCUAAUUUCUGAUUUGUGCUUAGAAACUCGUGUAUUUGCUUAAAUACAUGGUGGUCUUCUAAUUAUGUUCCAAUGUACACAUCCAAAGGAUAAAACCGAGCUGCCACAGUUUCAAGACAUUCCUUAGGACUCAUCUUAGACGUGAGAAAGUCGGAAGGAAGGAAUUGCUGAUUCAGGAGGAGAAUUGGGCAUAAAACAAUAAAGCACCAAGCAAGUAAAUUAAGAUGCAAAAGAGCCUGACCAAGCACCUUCCUAAGUGGCUCAUUUUUCUCACUUCUUUCAAUUCAAAUUAGAAGAUAUGUGCAAAAGGGAGAACAGGAACGUGGGAGCAAUCAUGACGCGACAAGAUUUGGUGUUUCUACUUCAACAGAUAACAAAACCGUGUGUAUUUUGUCUAGCCAAUUGUCCAGUCGAUCACGUAGUAAAUUUGACCUGUCCAACCAUAUGCAGCAGACCUCAAAUUAACAAUGGAAACCACAACUGCCCAAAAAAAAAAAAAAAAAAAACCUAGAUAUCCCAUUUUAAUUAUGUAUGAUGAAGCAAGAAGAGAAGCACUGGCUGCUUCAUUUUCAGUCAUCAAGAGCUCAUCACAGGUAAUAAAGAGACAGUGGAUACUUAUUAAAGCGACCAUUAACCAAACUUUAGAAUGUACUUACAGACAAACUCUUCACGAGAAGAUGCUUAAUAUCCUGUGCACAGGAUUACGCUCAAUCGAGCAGUUCACAAAAGCAUAGCAACAUAACUAGGCUAGGCAUACAGACCCUUAUACAGCUAUUAUCAUAUGAAACUAGAGCUACAGCUCAUGCUUAACUAUGCAAAAACAAAUCACACGAUUCCAUUCAACUAAACACCAACUGCCACACCAAAAAAUCACCCCAAAAAAAGAAAAAGGAAAAAAAGAACACCAACUGCCGCACCUUUCUUACCUGUUCUUCAGCGAUUAGCUAGUGAUCCAGAGCUCGAGUUUAGGCCCAUGACUCCCGCCACUCAUGGAGUUAAUGAAUGCAACCGUUCGAGCCUCAUGUGGCAACAAAUUCCUCCAGCUGAGCGGCACUGAAGAAGAAAGUGUGCACGAGAGUGAAAAGUGGCACUGAAGAAGGACUUGAAGCUCGUGGACAUCGAACUCGAAGCUCACGAAUGACGAGCUUCAAGCUCGCGGACGACAGAACCUGGGAAAGGAGAGACGACGGCGAAUGACAGACUUAAGCUUGCGAGGAGCGAGCAAGGAUUGGGCGCGGAGUCGUCGAGAAGCGAGCGACAGCGAUUUGAUUGAGCAGCGGGAGAAAGGAAUAAGAACCCUAAUCCUAAUUCGAUUCGCGAUUUGAGACCGACCAACCCGCUUCGGUCCUAAAAUCCACUUCAGGCCCUUUUUCCCCUUUCUUUUUUCUUGUUCUUUUGCCGACUCUGUCUCUUUCUUCCUUUUCUUCUCUUUAUUUUUCUGGCCCUGCAGAAGGAAACAAUAAGGUGACUUGAGAUCUAUUGGGACUAAAUUUCUCUUGAGAAAGGCCCUUUUGUUAUAGAUGGUGAGGGAGGUAAGAUACCCAACGUCGCCGCCGAAGUGGACACACACAACAUAUGGAGAUUCCCAGUAAGAUGGGGAAUUUUAAUAAGAUUUUCCUUGGUUGCGCGUUUUAGAAUCAGUUCACUGUCUCUCUUCACUAGAAUAAAGCAGAAAUAGAAAGCGAGCAAAGCAGAAGAAACAACGAUGAUCUAUGAAUAGAAAGAACGCGCACCGUUUUCUGCAGAGAAUCCCCUGUUUCUGUUUCAGAGUCCGUUGUUUCAGUUUCAGAGUUCCACGCUUGAUUUGCUCUAUUCAGAAUCUUCUCUCUGUAAGACUUCCAACAGAACCACGCGCCAUUCCAGCAGUCGGGUAACUCCCCGCUACCUGUGAUGAGUAUAUCGCAAUUAUCUGGUAUUUUUGAGCUCGAUGGAUCAAGAAUCCUUCCCACUGAUCUGCAACGCUGAAUUACCAACUCAUACAAAAACUCUAGUUCGUCAAUGCCCUCAACAACCUGUAGGCUCGGGCAGUGCCAAAUCUCUAACUGCUUCAAGUUCUUCAAGUUUGAUAAACCGCCUAAGCUUUUUAGCGAAAAGCACUCUCGAACAUAAAAUUCUUCCAACGAUUCCAACGCAGUAACAAAUUGAAUAUCCCGCACCUCAGGGAACCCUAACAGAUCAAAUUUUACAAGCAUCUUUUGGGAGCUUGGGAAAAGCAUCGCUCCCCUCCAAUGAUCAAUCAACUCGGGAGCUUGUAGUCCACUGCACCCUGGCUCCUCCGGCUGACAAACCAAACUCUCGGAAGAUCUGCAGUCCUGAAUACGUGAUCUUUCUGACGAUUCUAAGACAUCGAGAAAUUGAACAUCAAGUUGCUCGGACACCUCGUUUUCUUUCGAUUUUCCCGAACUUGUUGGAAGGGAUGGAGUCUUCUUUUCCGAUGGAGGAAGCCCAUCGAGGUGUACAUGUUUCCCUCGAAAUUCUUUGAGCACUAAAACUAUCAAGUUUGACGGAAGUUGCUUGAAAGCUGGCAAGUUUAUUCCACAUAUAGUAAGUUCUUUCAGCAAAGAUAGCGAACCCAACUGUGUAGGUGCGCAGACAUUUGGAAAGCAAAAGUGCAGCUUCUUCAGUUGGGAUAACAUCCCAACCCACGACACGUCGCUAGUUUGAAUUUCAUUUGACGUGUCUCCAAAUUCCAAGCUUUUGACUAGGACCAGCUCAACUAGAUUCGUAAGGUUUGAGAGGUUAGGGACUAUCAGCAACGAAGUAGAUUCUAGCCGUAGAGUGGUCAAACAUCCGGGGAGCUCCGGCAACUGUUGUAUCUCAUUACAACAAUUCAAGUCCAGUGUUUGGAGUUGAAUUAACUUGCUCAUUGUACUGGGCAAUUUCGCAACUUUUGUGAAUGAUACAUCCAGCUCUGUUAAUGACUUUAUUUUCGAAACUGAGGCAGGGAGUUCAAUCAAGCUAUAACAAUACUUAAGACAGAGGCACUGCAAAUUUUGUAACUCUCCAAUUUGUUCAGGGAGUUCAAUCAAGCUAUCACAAUACUUAAGACAGAGGCACUGCAAAUUUUGUAACUCUCCAAUUUGUUCAGGUAAUUUUUUAAUUGACGGACAACGCUUAAACCUUAAGUCAGUCAGCCAUCUUAGUUUCCCAAUAGAACAAUCAAUUUUCAUUAAAAAGUUAUAAAAUCCAUCAUUAAUAGUCAACUUCUCUAAAUUUGAGUACUCGGGAAAGGUUGGUGUCUUACUUAUCAAAGUAUUACAACCCAUAGUGAGAACCUUCAAUUUCCUUGCUCCCUACAAAAGCCAAUAAAACAGUAGGACAGACAAGAAAUAAAUAUGGAUUUAGGCUACCAAUGAGAAAUUAGAUAAUAAACUGAUCAAAUUAUGUCCUUCAUUUAAUGAGAAAAUUAGACUAAGAGGGAAACUGGCAUACCUUGAUUAGGCUAUCUAACACAUCUUCUGUGAUUCCAAUCCCAGAAAGAUUCGCCACAACCACGUUUUCUAGAUGCAACAAAUUGGUUGCCUCCAAACGUGAGUAUUGCAAAUCGAUCCAUUUCAACUCAGAAAGACAGCCCGUAAAGUCACCUCGGUAGAUUACAUUAGGCAAGCAAAGAAACCGCAUACGUGGAAACCGUUUAAUUUGCUCCGAAGUGACGAUCCUAACAGUAUGAUAAUAACCCUGUUGCAAAUGGAGUGCUUGAACGCUUUCUUUGGUCUGCCAAUUCGUAGAAGAGAAGAGAAAAUGAAACAAAAGAGUAGCUCUCAAAUCAAAAAGUGAAUCUUGAAUUAAGAAGAGGUAUAAGCAAUUUUCCAUUCAAUUUAGGCCAUACUUUACCUCCGUUGAUUUGAAUUUGCUUUUGAUGUCAUCAUUAUCCCAUAACCUAGUAUUCUCUUCUUUAGCAAUUUUCCUUCCAAGGUCUCUCAUCUGAUCAUGCAUCCAAAAUCUAUCAUCAGCUAGAACCUUUAUCAUGCACCUCUGAGUAAGGACAUCAAUGGCAUCCUCUGGGCAAAAUGCACAAUCUUGCCACAUGUAUAUUGGACUAGUCUUAUUUUGACCGACGAAAAAGCAUGCAAUAUCGAGAAAUAUCUGCUUUUGAUUAAGAUAUAAGGCAUCAUAGCUAAUCCUUAACUUUGGCAAGACAUCAUCAUGAGGUGUUUUCCUUAGCUUCUCUAGCCACUCUUCCCAUAUUGCUUUCUCUUUUUCACAAAGGUAUGAGCCUAUUACUUCAAGAGCUAAAGGUAGUCCACUUGCAGUAUGGACAAUGCCUUUUGAAAGAUCAUAGUAAUUGGCCGGAGGAGAGUCGUCACCGAAGGCAUGUCUACUAAAAAGUCGAAGUGCAUCUUCAUUGCUUAACCUCCAUUUCAUAAUCCUUCCAUAUAUACUUAAAUUCCUUGGUAUUCAGAACGCUCUUGUCCCUAGUGGUAACAAGUAUCCUAGUACCACGAUACAAAGAAUUCACUCCAAUUAGAUUUUCUAUUUGGCUGCCCUUAUCAACAUCAUCCAACACAAUUAGCAUCUUCUUGUUGCAAAUUGUUUCUCCAAUUCUUUUCAUCCCAUGAUAAGUACUUUUGAUAUUUUGAUCCACUUUAAAAUAAGAGAUAUCGGACAAUAAUUUUUCCUGUAGCUUGACCAAGCCUUCUUUUUGUUUUGCCGUUUCCCUCACGUCAUCGAGAAAGCUGCAAUUUUUCCCAAAGCGAUGACAUAGUUUGUUAAAGAUAACAUUGGCGAGUGUUGUUUUACCGAUACCGCCCAUCCCGUAGAUUACAAUGAGCCGCACAUCUUCGGAGUCGACGUCUAAUAAUUUGUCUAUGGCUGUUAUACAAUCCUCCAUUCCAACAAAAUUUUUAGGCACUUGUCUUUGUCUCGUCUGUAGCCUGUCUAGAACCUCGUCAACAACCGCCUUGAUAAGAUCCCCAUGGUUGCUACAAAGUUAAACAAUUUCAAUUGAGAAAGGGUGACAAAUUUGCAUGCUAACUAACCAUAUACCACUUAACCAGCGGGAAUGCAAUCAAGUUUAGGAUAUACAAAAAUUUAACGUUACCCCCAAAGCUUCACGAACAUGACAAAUUACUAACUUGAACAUCCAUUACAAGUUUAAGUUAAAGAAAUAGAGGAAGAAAAAUGCUUGAUCUUUAUAUCAAGUAGAAGAAUCAAAAUUUCUGGCAAAAAGGAUACAAGAAUCAAAAUAUAGAUGUAGGAUGAAUUACUGUAAUAGUCGAUUUGCUUAAUUUUUUCAGCGUGGAAAAGAACCUCGCAGAGGCAACAAUUCCUUAACCAAGUUCGCUAGCAUACCAUAGGAAUCUUAAUACAUAUAUGGAUCAAAUUAGUAUAAAAAGAUGAAGCAAAGCCAAUUUUUUUAAUACAAUGGAAAAUAGGUGAAAAAUGAAAUUAUAAUAACCCUAUUAUGUUAGAAAAGAUUUGGAAAUCUCGUGAUUCAUAAAAAUAAAAGAACUAUGGCCCGAUUGUACAAAAUAAUUGUUAAAAAAUUUGGAACUUUUAAAAAAACUGAGUUUAAACUUUCUGUGAAAAUUUAAAGAAAUUAGAGUUGGAAUAUAAUUAAAGAAUUUUUAUAAGGACUAUGGCCCGAUUGUACAAAAUAAUUUUCAGUCAUAGUUAGAUUGUUACCCUGAAUAAUCCUUCAGCUUGAAUCCCUUGGUGUCACUAACUUCUUUGAGAGCUUGCCGCCAUGUCUUCACGUCCUCUGAGUUGUACUUCUUCUCCUCUGAGUUUUGCUUCUUCUCUUCCGCCAACUGUGACAGUGCUUCGUCGUACACCCCGACCCCGGUUUUCAGCUUCACAUCAUCGGGUUCCACAUCAUAGAAGAUGGGCAAGAUGACCUUCCCAUUUUCGUUCGAUUUAGAGUUCUCUAUUAUCUUGGCAAGCUCACGGAGGCACCAAUGACUUGACGCAUACCUUUUGGAGAAGAUGGGUAUGUACAGCUUGGAAUCAUUGAUCGCUUGCAGAAGGAUGUCGCUAAGUCUUUCACCUAGUCGAAUUGCCUCGUCAUCAAAGAAAACACAAAUCCCGGCAUCUACCAAGGCAUGUUUGAGGCAGUUGGUGAAUCCAUGACGAGUGUCAAGCCCUCUAAAAUUCAGGAACACCUCAUACUGACCUCCAAAUGUAUCGUUAGUGCUCGUUCCAGGUUUCGAGCUCACCAUAGGAGCUUACUUUGCACUUAGCAGAGUCAACCCUCUCUCUCUCUUAAUAGACACUACUGGAAUAUUUUUUCUAGGCAAAUUCGCACAGAGCCUUGCUGUUCUCUGAUGUGAAAAGCCUUUACUACAUUCUCAAUGUGAAAGACUUUCUCCACCAGAUGAUCCUCCCUUGGGAAUUCAGAAAAGGAGAACUAUUGCGUUACAUUAGAAAAAGGAGAAAAGGCUGUUUAUUAUAGAGACAUUUGUAUUGCGUCACUCAUGAGGUUUAAUCAAAAGUUAAACGCGUACAGGCAACUUCAGUGCAACUUCCAAUUUAUAGUCAAUAAAGUUGGUGGGUCUACAAUUAAUAAGGUGGAGGACAAUUAUAGAUAUGUACCUUUUAACACGCCCAAUUUCUUUCUAGUUUAUUCUUCGUGCUUUUUCACUCUUUGCUUUUGAACUUUUGGAUUUAAAAAAUUUUGAUUCUCAAACAAUUAUUAUUCUAUAGACAUAUCUAUAGUUGGACAUAUUUAAAAUCCCAAUCUAGUAAUGUAAAUUCACAAUUUAUCUAUGUAAAUGGAUAAUAACAAAAUAUUCUUAAUAGGACUCUGCAUAAUUAGAAAAAUCUCCUUCAUAUUACUGAGAAUUGGAUUUGCCGCAUUCACUGCAAAAAAUGCUCCAUCUAAACACUACCAAGCAUAUGCGUCCUGCUCACUGCCACAUAUUUGUUUUGAUCUCAUCACCUUAAAAGACUUACUUUUUUUAUUAUAAUUAAUUUUAACCUCUUAAAUAUUAUCAUAAAAUGUGACUUUGUAUUAUAAAGCAAAUGAUUGCUCAAAUCUUUGACUUUUGCGCAAAUGGACUACCUCUUGGUGAGGAAAUGCAAUGAUGGCCUAUCAAUGGCCACGAUACCACUCAUCAUGGUGUUGCUUUGAGCGUGGAAAAGGGAAGGAAACCAUGAUUGUCUUGACCAUAAGAGGUGACUUUGCUCAGCGGAAGAAAAGGAAAAAGACAAAGGAAAGUUAAAAUGACGGUGUCUUUUCAUGUUGGCCACUCGUUGUUUCCCUUUUCUCUAUUUGGUUAUGCUGAAUUUCCCGUUUAGAUACCAAGAGGAAGAGCUCUUAAUGUCACAGAGUGCUCCGAAGGCUGCACAGAGCAUAUUGAAAAGCGUGCUGAAAGUUCCUCUUGAUCACACCAAAUAUUUCUUUUCUGAAGCCUAUUAAAUCUUUGUUAAGAUUUGUAUCAUUUCUUUAAGAGAUUGAAAAGAUUAUUAUGAGAGAAAUUUUAAAACCUAAACAUUGUGAGUUAUUGAAUAUAAUUAGAAGCUGAAAACCACCGAAAGUAUUUAAAUGACUCGAGUAUGAUUAUAACUUUCCAUAUAUAUAUAUAUAAUGGAAUCUUGUGCUGCUCUCCUUGUAGAUGUAAACACACGACUAAAUCAUAUAAAUCUAGUGUCCAAUUCAUUUUCUUGUUUUGUGCAUUUUAUUCAAUUGCUUUUUUUUUUUCCAAAAGGGAAUAUGGUGUGAAACCAAAGUAAAAGAUAUUCAAUAUGACCAGCAUUAGGCAUUCAUGAAUAAAUGCAUGAAAAAGUAUAUUUUAUUUUCUUAAGAUAUCAAUCAAUAUUUAUAAGCUUAAACUUGUGGUUAAUGAUAGAAUUUGUCCCAUCGCCUGCUUAACAUUAACUCUGAUCAUGAGGAUGAGAUUCAAUGCAAUCUACACGACCCGUUUCUUCUAAUGUCCCUUUGACAAUGCAUAGUGAUGUUCUUUUAUUGCCAUUUUCUCCGUUAAAUUGCGCUAGCCUGUGUGUAACUUUCACUUUGCCUCCUUCAUUUUCCAUGAUUUUAUGGUCAAAUAUAUUUUAUUUAUUUAGUUUUGAACGCGACAUAUCAAGAAAAUCAUAAAUUUGCAACUACAAUCUUGACAUAUUAAGUAUGUCUGUUUUGCAUGAUUCGACAUAGAUUUCAUGACAUUUGUUAGCAAUACAUUUCUUUGUUAGCAUGAUUUAACAUAAAUCAUUGUCAUAUUUCAUCUCUUAAAUAAUUUUUUUCGUGAGAAAUUGAAAAUCAUUAUGAACAUUAUUCUUCGAAUUUUGAGCCGUUGUAGUAGAAGUAGUGAAGAUCAGAUAGAGCCUAGCCGCAAGUAUUUAUAUUUUGGUUUGUUUUAUUUAUAUUUGUUUUUCGUGGCGUUAUUAGUUGCUUUGACAUGUUGACUAAAUAGGCGCACUGUACGAAGUCUUCGAGAAGAUGACUUGUCCACAUUUAUUUUAUCUCAUUGAUAACAAUAGUAUCUAAAUCAUUCGACUCAAUUAAUACCGAUUUAUGCACGCAAAUCACUCCAUUCACGUGCAUUAGGUUAGCUCCAUUCACAAGAUGUUUAAGGAGACACUAGGGGGUAAUGACUAAUGAGUAAAGGACACUGAUCAAAUUUGAACAAAAUGUUGCUCCAAAAAUAGCAUUCAAAAUACACAUAAUGCAUUCAUGACUGUUUUUACGAACCCAACUUUUCACAAAUUAUGUUUAAAACAACAAUCCUUCCAAAGAUAUGGCAAUCGGAUCAUAACUAUGGUCAUCUUUGAUGCACGACUUUCUACAACUUAGCAACACCUUUUGAAUAUGCUAUGAACAUGUACAUCCUAUGCUUUCAAGCCAUUGCCUCAAACGAUUGGAAUACAUAAAAUACGUUAAUGCUUGCUUUUUAGUAAAUUGGAAGAUCAUGCGAUAUCAUAUUACAAGAUCCCCAAAAGAUGCCAACAUGCCAUUCUUUGAAAUCACGUUUUUACCUUUUAAUUAAUGACGCAUGCUGCAUACAACUUCAAUAAAUCCGAAAGGUUUUAGGCAUGUGGAAAUUGAUGUUAUUGAACAAUUAGUUUUUGGACCUAUUUCUUCAAUAGCUAAAGGUAGUCAAUACGUGGUAUAGACAAUGCCUUUGAGAGUGUGUAGUAAUUGGCUGGAGGAGAGUUGUCGUCGAAGGCAUGCCUCAUUGUUCGUCAAAUUUCUGCCACUCUUUUGUAUUGGACAAUUCAAUAAUAAUAACAUUAUAUUCAUUAAUGGGAGCUUUUAUUACAUUCCUAAUGCGAAAAGCUUCUCCACCGUGUCAUCCUCCUUUAGAAAUUUACAGAAGAAGAACCAAGACGUUACAUGAGAAAAGGAGAAAGGAGUGUCUAUUACGAGAAAUAAACAAUGAAAUUCUUGAUUUGAAUGCCCGAAGUCCAAUGCCACUUUCUUUACCGAGAGACAUCAUUUUGGACGUUUGUAUCGCGUGACUCACGCGAUUCAAUUGAAACUUAUGAAUGACAACUUCACAGCAGUUGUGGCUAUCAAUUUAUAGUCAAUAAAGUUAAAUCUUUAGAAAAAAUGAAAUGGAGGACAAUAAUGGAGGUUUACCUUUUUACAAGCCCAAUUUCUUUCGAGUUCCUUUUAUUAGAGCUAACAUUAUCACCUAGAAAGGGGUGAAUAGUGAUUAUAAACAAUAAAAGCGGAGUUUAAAACAACCAAAUUCAAUAUCAUGAAAGAACAAAAUCUGACGAAAAACUUUGCAGUGAUUAGAUUUUCUGCAACGCCUGAUAAAAAAUAUACAAUAAUCAAACUUUACUAUGUAUAAUAAAUAGGAUAAAUGAGAGGUUAAAGGAUAGAGAAAAUUGUACACAACAAUUAUAGUGAUUCAGCUUAUGAUAACCCUACAUUCACUCUCCCAUGCUACGACCUAUUGGUUGGAUUCUGCUAUGAAGAACUAAUAAGAGGUUACAUGAUAUGAGCUCUAAACACUCAAGUUCAUGUGGAUAACUCCUCACACUCUCAAUUUCUAAAUGAUUAUACAAUGAUACUCAUAGAGACGAAUGUAUUUGACCGCAAAACACUCUUCAGACUUUGGAAUUAUAAGUUUUGAUCCUCUUGUGUUGCGUUUUUCCUUUUAGCUUUGAGACCUCCUUUUAUACUUCUCCCAAACCAAGCUAACCAUUAGACAUAUAUCCAAAAAAAUUAUCCAGCCAAUCUACCCGUUGGUCUAGAUCUCGUUAAGAAUGUUUGAUCACUUCAAGGACACCGAGAAUAAAGCUUCCCAUAGAUUCUAUCGCCCAUACAGUAGUUUGGGUUUUUAUAAGUCGAGUGCUUCAACUUGGAAAGAAUGUUUCGCCUCAAGUAUAUUGUUCUAGGAAAUCUAAAUCUUCGAUAAAUACUUUCCUUUGGAACUUCUUAUUUAUAAGACAAGGAAUCCAAUCAAUCGUCACUAACCGUUACAUGGCGAUAUUGUCUCAUUCCUAGCUAUUUGACAGAGUACAUAAGAAAGGAAAUAAUUAAGUCAUGAUUCUGGUUUUGAUUGAUAUCGUCUGAUCAUAUCCCAUCAGACUUUGAGCCGGAAAAAUACUCAUCGUCAGAAUUAAAGUUUUUAUACCAAAUAAGUUUUUUCAAUCUUCAAAAUCAAUUUGAUAAAUUUUCUCAACAAUCUCCCAUUUUUUUAUGAUGACAAAACUUUCCGAGCAGAACUUAACAAAAGAUUUUAAAAAGAUUUAGCAAUCAAAUAACUCUAUUGAAAGCAAGAUUUUAGAUAAGGCACAAUGUGAAUUCUAUAAGAACUUUGCUGAUUUUGUAAAGAUAAGUACAAGCUUCUUACAGAAUAUUGAGCUAAUUAGAGUUAAUAAGAUUUGUAAAGAAAUUCCUUGAUUUGUAAAGAAAUUCCUUACUCUGAUUAAGGAAGUUCAAGAUAAGAAUAGAUUCAAGAAAACUUCCUAUUUUUAUAUAGCUCCCCCUGAGCAUGAUCACAAAAGAUCUUCAUCUGCAUAUAGUGUUUUGCUUUUCUUGCAUUUUCUCUCCCUUUUUGUCAACAUCACAAAAUAGACAAUAAUAAUGGAAGGAGUAUCACAUAGAGAAUAUGCUAUUCAACUCAUCUUCACAUACAAUGUUCGAAACAUAUUUAGCAUGAAACACAAUUUUCAUAAACAUCUUAUAGAUGCUACGGUGAACAUAAAAUAAGUGCAAUAUAGCUCAUGUUCUUAUAGAAUCAAAUACCAUAUACAUAAGUAAAUAUAUAUAUAUAUAUAUGGAAAUAUGAGAUUAUAAUGACAAAAGGUAAGUGAAGUAAGAAAUAUACUAACCAGAUCAUGUAGAAUUUAGCAAGUUCCAAUAUACAUUAUCUUUUCUUCCAUAAUCAAGACGAGGCAAAAGUUAAAUUGACUUAAUCAGGAUUUUCUCACACUUGAUUUACACUCCUUUUCAAUUUAAUGCCUGUAUGAGAUGAUCACAAUUCUUCUCCUUUACCGGGCAUCCACUUUCUCCUUUAAUAAUUUGCACAAAUUUUGUGCUUGGAGGAGAAUUUUCGAUCCUUCAAAAAUGGUGCCGAAUCUUCAUGAUUUUUCGGAUCAAAUUUUCCAAAUUUAAUAUGGAAAGAUUCUUUUGGCACCAGCAAUUUCUUGUAAAAGAGACAGCAAUAUUUGCAAAAUAUAGAGAAUAUCAUGUACUUUCCUUCCUUCGAUUCACGGAUCAAUUUUGCCAAUUAUAAUAUAUGCUUCUAACAUAUAAAAACAAGCAUUAAUUUUUUUCAAGAUUAAAAAAGAUUCUAAUGUUUAAAAGAACAUCUGAUUUUCAAAUGUCUAAAUCAUUUAUAAUUAUUCUAUAGCUAUGGUUAAACAUAUUUAUAUAGAUACAAAUGGAAUUUAUCUAUAUAUAUGCAUAAUAAGAAAAUAGUCCUAUAGAAAAUUUUAAGUUUAAGUGCAUUUAUUUCAAGUGAGUAGUUCGUUUUUUUUUUUUUUGGUAAAGAUGAGUAGUUCGUUGUUCGUCAAAUUUUAACUUUUUUUUUUUUUUGGAUUGGACAUUUUAGCAAUAAUAACAUUACAUUCAAUAAUGUAAAAAGCUUCGCCAUUAUAUCAUCCUCCUUUAGAAAUUUACAAAAGAAGAACAAGCGCAUUACAUUAAGAAAAGGAGAAAAGGCUGUUUAUUGUGAGAUAUGACGACAAAGUCCUUGAUUUGAACACCCGUAAUCCGAUGCCACUUUCGUUAAUGAGAGACAUCAUUUUGAACGUAUGUACCGCAUGACUCGCGAGAUUUAAUUGAAAGUGAUGGAUAGGCAACUUCCCAGCAGCUGCAGCUUUUAAUUAAUAGUGAAUGAAGUUUUUUGUUUUUUUUUUUUGCAACAAUAGUGAAUGAAGUUGAUGGCUUCAGAAAAAACCAGAUGGAGGAGAGAUGUACCACUUUUUUUGGUCGGCCGAGAUGUACAAUUAUGGAGAUGUACCGUUUCACACGCCCAAUAUCUUUCGCCUUUCUUCUUGGUGCCUUUGAACUUUUGAAUUAAAAAAAAAAAAAACUCCAAUUUUCAAAUGUUUAAAUCAUUUAUAAUUAUUCUAUAGCUAUAUCUAUAAUCAAACAUAUUUAUAUAGAUAAAAUCACAAUCUAUAUAAAUGUAUAACAACAAAAUAUUCCUAAAGAAUAUCUCUCAUUAUGGCAUAUGAGACUUUGGAUAAUUAGAAGAUUUUCCUUUAAACUAUUGAGAUUGGAUUUGCUACAUUCACCAUAAAAAUGCUCCACCUAAGCACUACCUAACAGUAUGCUUACUACUCACUAUGACGUAUUUGUUUUGAUCUCUUCCCCUUAAAGACUUACUUUUUAUCAUAAUUAAUUACCUUCAACCCCACAAAUAUUGCAAUAUAUUUGCCUUUAUAUUGAAAAGCAAAUCUUUUACAACACUUAUUGUCUUAUUGAAAACUAUUAGAAUGUGAGCAUGAUAUAAUUAGUGUGGUUUGGACAUCGGCCAAAUCUAAUUAUAUAAAUAUUGAAAUAUAUCUCAAGUCGGAGCCGAAUUAAAACCGGAUCGAAAGGGACUUAUCGACACUCGUCCUCUAAUCAAGAGUGGUGAGAGGAAAUGCAAUGAUGGCCUGUCCAUGGUGUUGCUUUGAGCGUCGACAGAAAGAGAGACCGUCCUGGUCUUGACCAUAAGAGACGACUUUGCUCAGCUGAAGAAAGGGAAAAGAGAGAAUGAUGAUGGCCACCGCCGAUACGAGACAAAAGGGGAAGGAAAACGACGAAGAAAGUUGCAAUCAUGGUGUCAUUUAACGAUGGCCGCUCAUUGUUUCCUUUCUUCUUUAUUUGCUUCUUGUGUAUUUUCUCUCUGAAUACGAAGAGGAAGAGCUCUUAAUGAGAGCUCCGAGGGCCGCACAACGAGAUUGAAAAUUUCCUCUUUAAAGUUUUGAUUCAAAAAGUUUUUCUCUGUGAAAUCACACAAAAUGAAGUCAAUUAAAUAUCGUGUUAAUGUUCAGGUCAAUCUUUUAUGAGAUUGAAAUAUUAUUUCGAGAGAAAUUAUGAAGGUUAAAUAUAGAAUUAUUAGUUGUAUUUGAGGGAUAAAAACACAAAUUAUAUUUGAGUAACUCAAGUAUUAUUAUAAUCUCCAUUGCAUUGUAAUUUCAUGGUUUUCAUUUCCUCAUGGAUGUAGGUCACAUAACCGAACCACAUAUAUUUAGUGUUUGAUUUAUUUCCUUAUUUUGCAUUUUUAUUCAAGCACUUGUUUUAUUUCCAACAAUAAAUAUGGUUUGAAGAAAAGUGAAACCAAAUUAAACCAUAUUAUAGUCAAGAUCAAACCAAGCCAAACCAUUUUAUGUGGUUUGAUUCAGCUUAAUCGUUCUUUCUGCUUUUUUUUUUUUUUUACCUCUUCAUCAUAUGUAAUUUCAUGAUUAAAAAAAAAAACCAGAUUCUAUGCCACAACCCUCCCUGAGGAAGUUACCGAAUUACCAAGUAAGCAUGAAUGGUCCCUUUUGCAAGGUGACGCUUGCUCUUGGCAGGAUCAAUCACAACUUGGUUUCUAUUAAUUAUUUCAUUUGCUCAGGAGUGGCCAUUAAUUUUUUACAAACUGAUUAGGAGUCAAGUAAAACGCAAGAGCCCAUUUUACUUCUACAAACCAGAGAUUUGUGGGUCUAACGACUUGAUUAGGCUGGAUAUGUAAUGCGCAAUUAUUCAUGCGGUCUUCCCAAUCUUAGUUACCCAUUUUGUUCUCAAUAUUGAGGGAAGCAGGCGAUCAGGCAUGAAUUCACUCAAGCAAACACAAAUAAAAUUCAAUAAUACUGAAACAAAUAGAGCAAAUAAAAGGUACGAAAAUAAAGAAAUUGAGCCGUAUUACAAAGAAAAAUAAAAUAAAAUCAAUACAAAGCUUUGUUCUUAAGUUCCAAGAUAGGACCCCUUGAGCUAUAAAUAGAAACUCGAUGUUAGAUCUCCAACUAUGGCUCCAAACCGGAAAGUAAGGGCCUGUUUGUUUGUAUUCUUUUUUUGUUGUCAUGAACAUAAUUUUUGUUUUUUUGUUCCGAGCAAUAAAAAAAUAACAGAAAUGCGUUUUUUUACAUUUUUGUUCCAAAUCUAUAUUUUUUGUUUCCGGGAACAAAUUUGGAACAGAAAUAAGAAACAACAAAAACUUGUUUCUUAUUCUCGGAACACUUCUAAGAAACAAAUUUUCUCUCUCCUACUUUUUUCUUCUCUUUCCUUUAUUAUUCAUUUCUUCUUCUUUUUUCUUUGGCUAGUCGCCAGCCUCGGCCAUGGCUGGUGACGCCGUCGAGGGCCAGCGACCUUGCCGGAGCGUCGUCGGCCCCUAGCGACGCUUGGCCUCACCUUGGUUGGGCGAGCUUAGCCUCGCUGGAUCUGGGUGAGCUUGAGGUCGCCCAAAUCCGUUGAGGCCGAGCCUCGCUGUGGCUAAGCGAGGCCACCAGCCCUCGUCAACUAGUCGCCGACCAUGGCUGAGGCCGGUGACUAGCCAAAAGGAAGAAAAAAGAAAAAAAAAAGAGAAAAGGAAAAAGAAAAUAAAAAUAAAAAUAUUUAAAAAUUAAAAGAAACAAAAAAAUUAUACAAGUUUACCAAACGUGUUUUUGUUCUUUUUCUAUUCCAAGACCAAAAAUUUUGUGCAGUUACCAAACGAGUUAUUCUAUUCAAAAAUUGUUCCCCGGAACAAAAAUAAUUUUUCUACUAUUCCCUAGAACAAUUUUUAAACAGAAACAUUACCAAACACGCCCUAAAUAAAAUGAUACUUCAUUAAUAUCCACUAUAUAAACUACUUUCCUAAAAUGAACAAUUACUUCAAAACGUAAAAUCUACUCAAUGCAAUGUUAAGAAAACAAAAUUUAUUUAUGAAUAUGCAUUACUGGUAAAAUACACUCCUAGAUUUUUUUUUUUUAAUGAAUAUGCAGUUUAUCUUUCCACUUUUUUUUUUCUUUUUUGCAUUUCCCCCUUCUUUAUAUAUAUACACACAUUUAUAAGUGAAACAAAAUUUGACUACGUGUUGAAAUAAAUAUGAACUAGAAUCUAUAUGCCAAAAUAAUAUGUAAUAUAAAUCCGGAUUUUCAUGAAAAUUUGCACUACGUUCACUUGGAUUUUUUUUUUCUUUGGAAACGCUCAAUUAGAAUUUCAACCUUAAAAUUGCAUCAAGAACGACUUAGUGCACACGAGAAAAUAAAGAAAACUAAAGUGACAUAAUGCUAUGAAUUAGAGCCAAACUAAUCCACACUAUGUGAAAAUCAACGGUGGAUGAAUAAGGGCCUCUUUGGCAACGUGCCAAAUAGUGCUUGAUUAUGAUUUUUUGUUUUCAGAAUCAGUUUGGGACGAGAAUUGCGUUUGGUAAAAUUUUUGUUCCCGGGAAUAGAUUGGGAAGAGAAUUGAGAAUAAAAAAAAUAUGAUUCUCUGUCCGAGAAUCAAAAAAAGAAUCAAAACAGUAAAAAUCUCCUUCUUCCCUUCCAACAUCCUGCGUCGUCCACCAUCGCCUGCCGCCGCCCGUCGCCCACUGCUGCCGCUGCCGCCGCCGCCUACCGCUGGUCGCCGUCCAUCGGUCCGGUGAGCUCGCCAGGCCAGGGCGAGGUCUAGCGAGCUCGCCGGAGGCAAGCCUCACUAGUGGCUAGGCGGGCCUUGCCCAGCCUCGGCGAGGCCGGCCUAGUCACCGGCAAGGCUCGACCAACGAGGGCCGACCUUGCCGAGGGCCGGCAACGCCCCGGUGAGCAUCGUCAGCCCUCGUCUGGCCGUCGCCAGAUCGGCGACCGGCCACGUGAAGAAGAAGAUAGAAAAAAGGGGGAAAAAAAAAGAAAAGAAGAAAAGAAAAAAAAAAGGAAAAAAGAAAAGGAAAGAAAGUAAAAAAAGUAUUUAAAAAUUAAAAGAAAUAAAUUCGGAACAUAAUCAAUUAGCACGGUAUAAAACACAAUUAUAUUCCAGAAUAAAAAAUUUUGGACAGUUACCAAACGCGUUCUUUUACUCAUAAUUAGUUCCCGAGAAUAAAAUAAAAAAUAAUCAUUUUUAGUCAGAAUCAGCUCUCGGGAAUAUAAUUGUUACCAAACGCGCCCUAAAUCGAUAAAAAUAACCAAUUUUCUCUCUACCGCUUUUUUUAGGGUGCAGUUUAGCUUACCGUCCUCUGUCAAAUGAUGGAGUGACAGUCAACUAAUGACACAAAAUUCGCAUAGAUUCCAUCUUUUACCCUUUUUUUUUGAAUUUUAUGUUUUCUUAUUGCUAGCUUAAAUUGAGAGAUAAAAUCAUAAGAGGACCCAUACAAUCAAUUUUCAUGAGUAUUAUGAAAGAAAAGAUAAAUUAGAUACUGAAAUAUAAAUAAUUAGAAGUAAAAAAUAUUGUCAUCCACUAAAAAGAAAUCAUUCAUUUCAUUAUGUAGAUCUAUUAAAUUUAAAAGAUGAAAAAACACUUGAAUUGUUGGCUUUACAACUAAUAACAAAAUUAUUGUGCAAUGAAUUGGCUUCUCAAUCCUGUCGCCAAAAUCAAAUUGCUCUGGAAGGACUCUCCAAUAACCUAAAAUCAAGACGAGUAAUGUUAAUUACACAUAAAACAAAUGAAGUAAAGAAAAGAACAAAAUAAGAAUAAUGAAUUAGUAGAGAAGAAACUUUACUCCACUAAUCCAAAUCUCGUAGAUGAAGAUGAGUUGGGACCUAAAAUAUUACAAAAUCAAUCUUAGGAUCACACGAGUGAAAACUAAGUCAAAAUGAUUUUUGAUCAAUUUUUAUAAAUAUUUUAUCUAAUAUAGCUUCAAUGUUUGGUUUGUUGAGAAGAUUCACAUAACCACGUGAUAUGACCAUAUGUCAUUUUACAUAGAUAAAAAGUCAAUUUAUAGGAAGGCAUUUUAAAUAAAAUAAUAAUAAUACGUAUAAGUAACUAUUGAAAACCAUCAAUUCUUUCCUGAUUGCAAAUCAGAUUUCAAGAAUAGUUAUGGUACCUCAUAUCAUCCAAAUUACCAAUUAUAUUUUGGUAUCUAAUUUAUUUUUUCUUUCAUCAUAUUCAUGAAAAUUGAUUGCGUGGGUCCUCUUACGAUUUUAUCUCCUAAUUUAAGCUUAAAAUAACAAAACAUAAAAAGGGGUAAAAGAUGGAUUUCAACCGGUCUCCAUCCAAAAUGUGUGGUUCUCAACUGACCGUCACUCCAUCAUUUGAAGGAGUGAUGGUCAGCUAAGCCUUUUCCACAUUUUAACUAGAGGUAUGCCUGCAUAAAAGUUAAGUGCGUCUUCAUUGCUCAACCCAACCCACCAAUUCUUAAUCCUUGCAUAUAUACUUAAGUCUCUUGUCCCCUAGAGGCAACAAGUAUCCUAGUACCAAUAUAUAAAGAAUUCACUCCAAUUAAUUUUUGGAUAUGGUUGUCCUCAUCGACGUCAUCCAAUACAAUUAGCAUCUAUCAAUGUUAUCAAUGUCACAAGUCACUCUAGAAUAACAUAUAUCAAAAAAUAAUUUUUCUUGUGGCAUGACUAGGCCCUUGGUUUUUAGCAUUUCCCUUGUGUCAACAAGAAAGUUGCAGUUUUUCCCAAAGUGAGGAUAUAGCUAGUUGAAGAUAACAUUGGCAGGUGUUGUUUUGCUGAUGCUGCCCAACCCAUAGAUUCCAAUGAACUGCAUAUCGUCAAAAGCGAUGUCUGAUAAAUUGUAUAUGGCUGCUAUUCAAUCCUCCAUUCCAACUCAAUCUUUGGUUAGUUGCCUUUGUCUUGUCUUCACCUUGACCACAAUCUCAUUAACAACCGACGUGAUAAGAUUCCCAUAGCUGCCACAAUGUCAAACAGUAUUAAUUGAGAAAAAGUGACAAAUUUCCAUGUUGACAAACUAUUUACAUAUAUCAGAACUUGAAUUAGCCUCAAUUUAUUUCGAAUGCGUAGCUCUUAUAUUUCUAUUAGAUUGCACAUUUCAGAAACAAUAAUGACAUUUCAUUCAUUAAUGGGAAGAGCUCUUGUUACAUUCUUAAUAUGAAAAGCUUCUCCACCAGAUCAUCCUUCUCAAAACAUUUACAAAAGAAGAACCAACGCAUAACAUUAGAAAAGGAGAAAAGGAUGUUUAUUAUGAGAAAUAAAUGAUGAAAUUCUUGAUUUGAAUGCCCGAAGUCGGGUGCCACUUUCUUUAGUGAGAGACAUCAUUUUGGACAUUUGUAUCACGUGACUCACGUAAUUCAAUUGAAACUUACGAACAGACACCUUCACAGCAGUUGCAGAUUUCAAUUUACGGUCAAUAAAGUGGAUGGCUUAAGAGAAAAUGAGAUGGAGGACCAUUAUGGAGGUCUACCUUUUCACAAGCCCAAUUUCUUUGGAGUUUCUUCUUAGUGCAUUUGAACUUUUGAAUUUAUGACCAUUUUUUUAAUUAAAAAAAUCUGAUUUUCAAACGUUUAAAUCAUUUAUAAUUAGUUUAUAGCUAUAUCUAUGGUUAAACAUAUUUAUAUAGAUAAAAACGGAAUUUAUCCAUAUAAAUGCAUAAUAAAAGAUAUUCCUAAAGAAAAGUUUAAGUUAAAUGCGUUUAUUUCAAGUGAGUGAUUCAUUGUUAGUCAAAUUUCCGCUGUUUUUUUUUUUUUUGGACAUUUUAGCAAUAAUAACAUUACAUUUCAUUAAUGGGAAGAGCUUCUCCACCGUAUCAUCCUCCUUCAGAAAUUUACAAAAGAAGAGCAAGCGCGUUACAUCUUAAAGGAGAAAAGGCUGUUUAUUGUGAGAUAUGAUGACAAAAUUCUUGAUUUGAACACCCGAAGCCCGAUGCCAGUUUCAGUAGUGAUAGACAUCAUUUUGGACUUUUGUAUUGCGUGACUCAUGAGAUUUAAUGAAAGUACGACAGCACUUGACAGUAGCCGUAGCUUCAUAAAAAAUCAGAUGGAGGACAAUUAUAGAAGAUGUUACCAGUUUUUUGGUCGGUUGAAUACAAUAAUGGAGAAUGUACCCAUUUCACCACGUCUUUCCGCCUUUCUUCUUGGUGCCUUUGAACUUUUGAAUUAAAAAAAAAAAAAAAUCUGAUUUUGGGCGUGGAAAGAAAGAGAGGCCGUGCUCGUCUUGACCAUAAGAGGACGACUUUGCUUGGCCGAAGAAAGGGAAAAAGACAGACUGAUAAUGGCCACUGCUGACAUCGGACAGUACAGAAGGGAAACGAAAACGACGAAGAAAGUUGCAGUAAUGGUGUCUUUAAACGAUGGCCAGUCAUUGUUUCCUUUCUUCUUCUUUAUUUUCUUCUAGUGAAUUUUCUCUUUAAAUUCGAAGAGGAAGGGCUCUUAAUGAGAGCUCCGAGGACUGCACAGAGGAGAUUGAAAAUUUCCUCUUAAGGGUUUGAUUCAAAAAAGUUCUCUUCGUGAAGUUAGUCAAAAUCGAAGCUGAUUAAAUCUUGUGUUAAUAUUCAAAUUGAGAUAUUAUUUCAAAAGAAAUUAUGAGGGUAAAAAACAUAGAGUUAUUAGUUGUACUUAAGGGAUAAAAACACUAAGGAUAUCUGAGUGACUUGAAUAAAAUUAUAAUCUUCGUUGCAUUGUAAUUUUAUCUAUAAUGGAAUUGUGUGCUCCUUUUCUCGUGAACGUAGAUCACACAAUCAAAUUACGUAAAUUUGAUAGCCGAUUUAUUUUAUUAUUUUGUAUAUUUUAUUCAAUCACUUGUUUUAUUUUAAUAAUAAAUAUGGUUUGAAGAAAAGAGGAACCAGGCUAGACUGUAUUAUAGUUAAAGAUCAAACCAAGCCAGACCAUUUUUUUUUUUUUGGGUUUGAUUUGGCUUAAUCUUUCUUUCUUCUCUAGUUUUCCUCUUCAUCAUUUGUAAUUUUAUGAGAAAAAAAACCAAAUUCCAUGUCACGAAACUUCCAAAGCGAGAUCCCCGAGGAAGUUGCUGGAUCACCAAUCAAGCACAAAUGGCCCCUUUGCGAGGUGAUGCUUGCCCUUGGCACGAUCAAUCUCAACUUGUUUCAAUUAAUUAUUUUGCUUGAUUGAGAGUCACCAAUAACUUUUUAUGAACCAAUUAGGAGUCAAGUAAAAUGCAAGAGUCCGUCUUACUUCUGGAAACAUGAGAUUUGUGAGUCCAGAAACUUGAUUACGCAAGAUAUAUCUCAAGCCCAAUGUUGCAUACUUUCUCUUUCUAUUAAAACAAUUAUUCAUGUGGUCUUCCCAAUCUUAGUUACCCAUUUUAUUCUCAAUGUUGAGAAAGGCAGGCGAUCAUGCAUAAAUUCACUCAAGCAAACACGUAUAAAAUCCACUAAUACUGAGACAAAUAGAGCAAAAAAAAGGUAGGAAAAUAAAGGACCCAACCCGUAUCAGGGAAAAAAAUCAAUAAAAGCCUUGUUAUAAGGUUCCGGGACAUGCCCCUGGAGCUAUUAAUAGAAACUCAGUGUAAAAUCUCCAAAAUAAACUAUGGCUUAAAACCAGAAAGUAAAUAACUGAUACCUCAUGAAUAUAUAUAAACUACUUUCCCAAAAAGAAGUAUUACAUCAAGAAAUAAAAUCUACUUAAUGCUAUAUAAAGUGCAAUGCAAUGUUUAGAAAACAAAAUCUAUUUAUGAUUAUGCAUGAUUCCUAAAUUAUCCUCCUAGAUGUAUAUAUAUAUAUAUAUAUAUUUAUUUAUAUUUUAUAAAUAAAAUCUAUCUGUUUUUUUGCUUUUUCACAUUAACCCCUUCAAUAUAUAUUAUAAUGAAACGAAAUUAAACUAAAAAAUAACUAAGUGCCGAGAUAAAUUUGAACUAGAAACUAGAUACCAAAAUAAUAUGUUAUAUAAACCCAGAUUUUCGUGAAAAUUUGCACUAUGUUGCGUUGGAAUUUCAACCUAAACUUCUUGUGGGAACGAGCUAAUAAACACCAGAAAAUAAAGAGAACUAAAGCGAUAUAAUGCUAUGAAUUAAAGCAAAACCAUUCCACAAUAUGCGAAAUCAAGGGUGGAUGAGUACAUCUAUACGAAUUGCCGAAAUAAAAUAUUCAUUAAAAAAAAAUUCUACGCUGUUACAGGUCUGAAGUGUUAAAAUUGAAUCACAUCAUGUAGAUUAUUUAUAUUUCCAUGUUUAUGUUUGCUGAGACACGAGGAACAAUCAACAUGAACUAACACAAAAAUCCACGCAGGUUCUUGAUUUUAUUUCCUUUCUUCUUUCGUCUUUCUUUUCACACGUGCAGCAUAAUUCCUUUUCACUUGUGCUGGUCGGAUAAGGCUGUCGCAUAUUUCCCUCUUGGUCUAGCCCAUGAAAGGGAGCCAGGGUCGUGCGGCUUGGACUCGGAAGUUCAAAUAAAUUCAUGGCACAUUUUGCGUGUUGGGAUACACUCAANNNNNNNNNNNNNNNNNNNNNNNNNNNNNNNNNNNNNNNNNNNNNNNNNNNNNNNNNNNNNNNNNNNNNNNNNNNNNNNNNNNNNNNNNNNNNNNNNNNNNNNNNNNNNNNNNNNNNNNNNNNNNNNNNNNNNNNNNNNNNNNNNNNNNNNNNNNNNNNNNNNNNNNNNNNNNNNNNNNNNNNNNNNNNNNNNNNNNNNNNNNNNNNNNNNNNNNNNNNNNNNNNNNNNNNNNNNNNNNNNNNNNNNNNNNNNNNNNNNNNNNNNNNNNNNNNNNNNNNNNNNNNNNNNNNNNNNNNNNNNNNNNNNNNNNNNNNNNNNNNNNNNNNNNNNNNNNNNNNNNNNNNNNNNNNNNNNNNNNNNNNNNNNNNNNNNNNNNNNNNNNNNNNNNNNNNNNNNNNNNNNNNNNNNNNNNNNNNNNNNNNNNNNNNNNNNNAUUAAGGCAAGGCUGCCUCCAUCAAGAUGGAUAGGGAAAGCAACGCUAUCAACCCAUAGAUCCAAAUGCCGCGAGAAUCGAUCCAGGCAUACUGGUUCGAGACGAAGGCCCCCGGAUCGUGAACUGAAGCUUCAUGGAUAUCAUGAUUUUCUAGAUUACUUUAAAAAAGAUCAUACUUUCAAGAAUAUUUUUUACACAUCAUUGCAUACUUUCAAGCACAAACGGACAUGGCACAUGAAGUCAUGCCAGGGCAUAAAAUGACAAAGGAAUUUUCCUGAUGACAUCUCUAAAAAUAUCAUAAGUCGCAUAAGUAAUGUUAGGAAUUAUUUGAGAAUUGAAUUUAGAGGACGAAAUUGGAAAAUGUGGUACUGAAAGAGCGUUGUGGGAAGUCUAACCCCUCCCCGCACAUAAAUGAAUCCUUCGACAAUAAGUUUCAUUGGCUUUCGCAAAUGAUCAAUAUCACACGUGGACCUAGUUUCAAAUCAGCCUAACUUUUUAAAUUGAUUGGCAGUUACUCCAUCUCAUACUUAGUUGAGCGGACCGAAAAAAAAUAUUAUAUUCUUUUAUAUAAUAAUAGACCGUAAAAUCCAGCCAAUAAAAUGGGCCCAAAUUCUGUCCGCCCCAAAGCCUCUUAAGCUUUUGAUAUCCGAAACAAAAGAAGCCCUUCGUUCUUCAAGAAGAUCGAAGCCCGUUGCGAAAGGAAGCCAGCGGUCCAGCCGAGUUGGAAGACUCGGAAUCUUCAGUCGAGCGAAUAGCGUUUUCGGGUUUCCGAAUCGAACCCACGUCUUCAUUUUCACUCAAGUUCAUCUUUUUCGAUCGACCCGUAAGGUCUUCUGGAAACUUCUGCGUGUUUUCCGCUUUGAAUCGUCGCGCCAGAUGCUUCUGCUCUUCAAUUUGAUUCUUUUUUAUUCUGUUUUAAGUUAAUUUGCGUUGAUUUUCGUCGAUGUUGCGACUGUUUUUGCUGGUUAGAUCGUCUUUAACCUGGAGUUGUGCGGUUUCUAGCUCGGGUGGCUAGAAAAUAAGAAAGAUCUGCUUUGGUAAUCAAGAUAGAUAGUAGUGUAAGGAGGUGAAAUUGAGAUUUCAAAAAUGUUUUGUCGUGGUUGUUUUUGAGUCGUAAUUGCUGAUGGGUGUCUGUUGAAUUGCUUCAGUUGAAUUUGCUUGUUGGUCUAAAUGGCCUGCUUUCUUUGAAGUUUGAACUGGAGAUCAUUUUAUGCUUGAGUCGGAUAUUGGGAAUGUGAGUAAUUUGAGCAUGGACACAUCUUCUUCUAUUAGAAAUGGAGAUGAGCUUCUUUCCCACUUUUCAUUUUCAAUAUGCAUGCGAUUGUUCAAAACAAAGUUGAACAUAAUGUGUUGUUAAAUAUAUAGGAUCCUCAUGAUCCUUGAUGACCUCACAUAAUUUUGUAAUAGUAUAUAUUUUGCACUUGAGUUGCUGAGAUCUUACGUGGCAUGUGCAAGAUUUGAUUCCAUGUUCAAAGAUACGUGGUUUCUUAUUGACAGAUGGGGGAGCUCGCAGGCAAUAAACAUGUCAAGUAAAUAUUGUCCGUUGAAAAGGUAGGUAUGAAAUUUCACAAUCCUCUUCUUGUUUUCUUGUUCACUUCUUGCCAGUUACUGAAAAUGACUUGGCUUAUCUGGACUUGCUAUUCACAUUUCGGAGUUUACUGAUUUGAGGUUUUGGGUUGAUCUUGCGCUCAGAAAAAGGAUAGUUUUGAGUCGGUGGUUAUGGAGCACCUGAGAUUGAAUGGAGCAUAUUUGGGAUUGACCACUCUAGAUCUUCUUGAAAACUUGACACCGUGGAUUCAAAUGAAGUUGUUUUGUGGAUCCUGCAAUGCUAGCUUGAGUCUGGUUUGUAGUUAUUUAUCUCUUGGCUUCUUUCUUAAGUACCCAUGAAAAACAUGCAGUAUUUGAAAGAACGAUCAACAUUUUAGCUCGGGAUUAACAGAUUUCCUUUAUUACAAUAAUGACCACAUCUUAGGGGUCAUUAGUGUUGCUUUAUUCAUCUUUUAUUAUAGCUUCACUCUAAGGGACAAAGUGCAUGUCACCUACGGCUGCUUUUACAAGUGUCUUUGGUGGAAACACGGGACAUGUUCCGCAUCUGCUGUAUACGCUCAGUGCCGUGCAAGUUUUGGCCCCUUUUUGACAAGUUACAUGUUCUUGACAUCAACAAGGAGACAGAUUGUAUCCUUUGGAAUGAAGUAUCCUAAUUUGCCAAACUCUUACAUAGAUGCAAGUUCCUUGGUAUUAUUUUAUGUUUUUAUGUUUUCAACAUCAUGAGAGUAAUAAACUUACCUUAGGUUCUGUUUUUCAUGUAAGAGCUCAGAUUAUGUCAACUUUUUAAAUGUUGUAAAAUUUUGAUUAAGGUUACUUUAUAGUGUGAGUAUUGUUAGCCAAACAUUGAUGAGGAGGCUCUCUCUAUGUAGAUCGAAGUUGCUAUCGUUGGAUAAUCUCUGGUAUUAAAUGCUCUCCAUUGUUGUGCCUGAACAAUGAUUCAGACAUCAGAGCACUGCAAAACGAAGAUGGAUCUUUCCCUGGGGAUAUAUGGGGUGAAGUUGAUGCUCGGUUCCCUUCGAAGAUUCAGUAAAUGUGGAGAAGGCUAUAAGUUAUAUAGUGCGUUGCAAAACUUUGGAUGGCGGGUUUGGUUGCACUCCUGGUGUAGAGUCUCAUGAAGGGCAAAGUAUGUCAUAACCUUACGGCGGAGCUCUUUCGCUGGAUUCUAAUUUCUGAUUGGUGCUUAGUAAGUCAUGCAUUUGCUUAAAUACAUGGUGGUCUUCUAAUUAUGUUCCAAUGAACAUCCGAAGGAUAAGACCGAGUUGCCACCAUUUUAAGGCAUUCCUUAGGACUCAUCUUAGACGUGAGAAAGUAUACUGAUUCUGGAGGAGAAUAGGCAUAAAACAAUGAAGCACCGAGCAAGUAAAUUAACAUGCACAAGAGCCUGACCAAGCACCUUGCUUUACAAAGUGGCUCAUUUUUCUCUCUUCUUUCAAUUCAAAUAAUAAGAUAUUUGUAAAAUAGAGAACAGGAAUGCAGGAGCAAUCAUGAAGCGAUAAGAUUUGGUGUUCUUGCUUCAAUAGAUAACAAAGCCGCGUGUAUUUUGUUUAGCCAAUUGUCCAGUCGGUCACGUAGUAAAUUUGACCUGUGGAAUCCCCCGCCAUAUGCAACAGACCUCAAAUUACCAAUGGAAAAUACAACUACCGAAAAUAUACAUACACACACACACACACAUAUAUGUACAACUUGGAUAUCCCAUUCUAAUUAUGUGUGAUAAACCAAGAAGAGAAGCAUUGCUUGCUUCAUUUUCAAUCAUUGAGAGCUCCUCACAGGUGAUAGAGAGACAAUGGAUAUUCAUUAAUGCACCAUUAUCCAAACCUUAUAAUAUACUUACGGACAAACUCUUCAUGAGAAUAUGCUCAACAUCCUGUGUAGAAAGUUUUGUGCGCUUUUUAAUAACAUUCAUGGGAAUGGUUCGAUUCUUAAAUGAUCGGUUGCAAAUAUUUACAUCACCGUUCUCCAUCAAAGUGGUUUAAAAAAUUUUGAAGCUUUCUAAUCUCAAGUCAGCUCACCAAAUAGACAUAAUUCUUGUAAUACCCCAACUAGCAGAUGCACAACACACCGGCACAUGAUUCCACUUAAUCGAGCGGUCUACAAAAGCAUAGCAACAUAACUAGACCAGGCAUACAGACAGUCAAACAAAUGCAAGAAAGUAGACCCUUAUACAACUAUUAUCAUAUGAAGCUGGAGCUAGAGCUCGAGCUCAUGCUUAACUACACAGAGAAAAAUCACACGAUUACAUUCAACUAAACACCAACUACCACACCAAAAAAAAGAAAAAAUCAACUGACACAUCAAAAAAACACCAAAAAGAAAAUAUAUAUAUCAAAUGCCACACCACCCGUACCUGUUCUUCAGCGAUUAGCUAGUGAUCCGGAGCUUGAGUACGCCUUUGUAUUCCUUUCUUUCACGUUCUCGUGCGCACACCUUGGGCAAGCAUGCUUUUUGAGGAAUUGGAUAUGCGGUUAACAAAGCGCGCGAGUCGCACGUGCGGCACCAACCGCCGAAAAGUUGGAAAAACUAAGUCUUUCUUUUUUGAGUCUAUCUAAUUCCUUACAGAAAUGGUGAAUCCAUGAUCUGACCCAUAUCACGAUUCACUUCUUGUAAUCAUGACGUAAUACGGGAUGCGAGACCGAUAUUGAAUUUACUAGAACAUUGCAGUUCUGUAUUUAAAAAUGAGGGAAUGAGAAAAUUAGGAAGAAGGCGGUGCUUAAUCAUUAUGUUGUGUUCAAGUCCGACCAUGUCUCUAAUUAUUACUUUGCCUAAACUUUGUAUUAUUGACGUACUCAAACCGAUGAUUGUGCCCUCCACAUAGUAAAAUGAUGUCAAUGUACGUGAGAUAUAAUCCAUCUCUUAGGCAUUGGGAGAAAUGUUUCAUAGCGAUGCUAAAGUUUAGAUGACAAAUGCCAAAAACUUCCCACUUUUCUUUUACAAGUUAUCAUCUUGAUAUGUAACCUUACUGGAAAUCUCUUAACUUUAUCGUCUUUGAAUUUUUCUCUUUUUACAAUCAAAUUCUUGAACUAUGAUUUGUUCGUUCACAUUGGACCUUCCAUUAAAAGAAGAAAAAAAGUGCUUAUGUGACCGUCAAAUGCCAAAUUGACUCAAUGUGGCUCCUACGUCCUUAUUAGUAAGAUUAAAGAAAUAACAAAAUUAAAUUUUCUUCAUCGAGGAAAAUCUGGAGCAACGACACCACCGUGAGCCCGAGCCCACAAGCAAUUUGUUGAUAGUGUUCGAGUUUGAUGAGGGGAGGGAGGACAGAGGUUGGAACACUUUUCAAUAUAAGCCCGCCCGAUCGGCUUCGACUUUUGAAGCGGAGGCGUUGGCAUCUAGGGUGAGGUGGUGAUGGCUCGGAAUUGGGAGGCUCACCUUCGGCUCUCAUGGCUUUCUAAACGGUGUUGCGUCAAUUUCCAACAACAUUGAAGAGAUUGGAGAUGACUGGAAAUUCCACUCGUCUUUUUUUUCUCCUUUUUUUUUUUUUUUUAAGUCAGUCAUAUUUCGGGCCAAACCCAGCCCAAAAUUUUAAAAAAAUGCCUAUCCAAGAGGACUUGUUUAGGCCCCAACCUUUCAACCGGGCCUGAAGUUGAUCGGACGGGGCAUAUUUUUCAAUAAAAAAGCCACCCAUGUGCAACUAUACUUCCGAUUACUAGACGCCAAAGGAACUCACGAACUCAUUGCUACACCAUUCUUUAUCUGCGGUAAACAAACAAGCAUUCCUAUUCUGUAACAUAGAAAUGGCAACAAUUUAUUGCUUAUGCCCAUUCAUGAUGAAUAUUUUCCCCUAAAGUCAAUCAACUAACAUUAAAUUAACCCCAAUAACAACUAGUCACAAUAUUCCAGCAAUAUUAACCCUAAAGCAGUGAAGACAGUGCAGAAUAUUAAAGCAAGGGAAAACCAACACUCGUUCGUAAAAUUUUACGUGAAAAACACAAUACAAAAAAAAUCACGAGACCAGUCAAGAUCUUCCACUAAUCACCAAGAAUAACAUAAUACAUAAUAGUUCAUUUCAAAUAACAGAGCUAGAGGCUCUUCACAUUAACAAAAUAUUAUCACCACAAAGGUGGAUUAACAUAAAGAAGCAAGAAAGAUCUAACCGUUGCUAGACAAAAUCAGGAGACAAUUUGGAGAAGAUUUUAACAAACACAGCCAAUCAACUUGUAGAUCAUGGACUCACGAACAGCAUAUGAAAUUUCGGCCAAUUCCGACUAAGUUUUCUAUCAAAUUUAGACUGCUUCCUCUUCAAAGCAAAGCUCUCCGCCUCUUUUUUCUCUAUAACAACGAAUUGCUCAUCCCUCUCUUCUAAAUCAAGAACAUUCAGCCCUAUUUAUUCUUUUUCUUUUUUAUUUUAUUUAACAUGAUGAGAUGAGCCCCACAAGAGGUGGACCCAACCCAACAAACUUCCCCUUUACCUUAUGAAGAAGUUUCAUUAUGCUAGCGUUAUCUAUACAAGAAUCAAGUUUCACCAUUGGCAAGGUUUUACUCAUCAUAUUAGAUCCAUUAUCAUCAGUGUAGACUUUCUCAAGUAAGAAAAGUUUCUCAUCUAAUUUAUCUCGGAUCCAAUGACAAGGAUAAAGCAUCAGUCUGGGUAAAGCAACCAGAUGCAAUUCUAGUGAACAUCACUCUAUCUUCAGCGAUAUGACAUGGAUAAAGCAUCCCGCAUAAUGCUGUCUUGUAUUUGCACGAAUAGAUUUGAUCUUGUCGGGGGCAAGACCGCUCAUCUCUAACUAAUAACAGCAGCUACCAAAGAGUUUAUAUAUUUAGAGCAGUAUCAUGAUUCACUCUCUAAGGAUAAACACCCUCUAGAAAUGGAGAGAUCGGUUUCCUAUAUCUUCUUUAGUUCGCUUGCAAACCAUAAAUGGUGGAAGUUGAGAUCCAUGGAGUAACCUGACAAGCCUAAGUUUCGAGCCACUAAAACAUGUGUGCUUACAGUAUUGUCUCUUUUAUUACAUAACCUUUUGCUUUGAUGGGGCAUUUUUUCGAAACAUGCUAAAACCGACAUCAAAGGCACUUUUACAGCAAUAACAUCAGGUUAUAUUAGUGUCGUGUUUAUCCUAGACUAUGUUAAUACAGAGCUUCGAGGAAAUUGAUUGAAAUAUCGACCGACUAAAUUAAAGUUCAACGCCACCAAAUGCUAGGCUCUUAAGAAAUACUGCCCGGUAGAGAGACUUAUCGAUUAAGAAAUUUAACCAAAGCUCUCUCCAUUUUUCUUUUACAUCGACGGCAAGCUUAACAAUAAUAUAAAGUUUCAUUUAAUCAUAUUAUGUUAAAUAUUAUUUCCUAGCGACCAAAUGCAGCUAGUCAAAUUCAAAUGAAGAAUUCGAUAAUAAUCAUGCUCUGUUUGUUUCACAACAAAUAAAUAAUUUGGAAAGUAUUUUCCAAAAAAUAAUUACAUUGUAUCUCUUGAAAUAAUUAGUCAAUAAACAAUGUUUUCAUUAUUAAUAAUAAUUUUAUGUCCAAGCAUUUCGGUGAAUGAUGGAAAAAAUACCCUAUCAUUUAUUUUUAUAAGUGAUUGCAAGUGGUAUAAAUAAUAUAUAUAUAUAUUUUAUAUUUCAAAUCAUUUAUUUCUCGCGAAACAAGAAGAUAACGAAAUGAUAUUUACCCGAAGAAAAUGGGUAAUUGGGCCCAGUUAUCGUUGGCCCAAAAAUUCUCUUGGGCUAUAUGAAACCUUCGUCCCUCGUAAUCACGAAAGAAAGUCUCGUCUUUCAGUCGACUUGAGGAUCAUUUUUGGUUCUAAAUCGAGCUCAAACGUUCGUUUUCACUACUCAUCUUCGUUUUCAUCUAAGGUCUUCGGGGAGCUUCUGUGAGCGUUUUUCACUACUAAUCAUUGCACCGCCGCUUUUGUUCUUCAAUUUGAUAUCUAUUUUGCUCUUUUAAGCCAGUUUUCGUUGAUGUCGCGACUGUUUCUUGCUGAUUGGAUCGUCUUCGACCUGGGGCUGGAUGGUUUCUAGCUCGGGUAGCAAGAAAAUGUCGGAGAUCUCUUGUGGUGAUCGAGAUAGAUAGUAGUGUAAGAAGGUGAGAUGAAGAUUUAAGAAAUGUUGUGCCGUAGGUUUGUUCCAGCCGUAAUUGCGAAUGGGUGUCCGUGGAAUUACUUCCGUUGGACGUGCUUGUUUGUCUGUCUAAAUGGCGUGCUUUCUUUGAACUGGUGAUUAUUUUGUGCUUGAGUCAGAAAUUGGGAAUGCGAGCAAUUUGAGCAUGGACUCAUCUUCUCCAAUUGGGAAAAGAGAUGUCCCUAGUUCCCUUUCUUCCAUAUUAUUGUACAUGUGAUUGUUCCAAACAAAGUCUAACACAAUCUGUUGUUAAAUUUAUAGGAUCGUUACGAUCCUUGAUGACCUCACGAAAUUUUGUAAUGGGGCAUGCUUAAGAUUUGAUUCCGUGUUCAUUGAUAUGUAGCGUCUUACUGGAAGAUGGGCGAGCUCGCUGGCAAUGAAAAUCUCAAGUACAUGCUGUGUUGAAAAGGUCGGUAUGAAAUUUUUACUACUCUCUUCUUGUUCUCUUGUCCACUUUCUGCCAGUUACUGAAAAUGACUUGGUUUAUCUGGAUCUGCUACUAUUCAGCAUUUUGGAGUUUAUUGAUUUGAGUUUCUGGGUUUGAUCUUGCACUCGGAAAAAUGAUAGUUUUGAGUCAUUGAUUAUGGAGCACUUGAGAUUGAAUGGAGCAUUUUGGGGAUAGAACACUGUAGAUCUUCUUGGAAAACUUGGCACUGUGGAUUCAAAUGAAGUUGUUUCUUGGAUCCUGCAAUGCCAGCAUCUGUCUGGUUUGUAUUUAUUUGUCUCUCAGCUUCUUUUUCACGAUUACCCACCAAAAACAUGCGGCUGACAGAUCCUCCACUCCACAUUUAGUCAAGUAUUUCUCAUUUGACAGUAUGCUUAAGAUAUUAGCUUGGGAUUGACAAGUUCCAUCUAUUACAUUGAUGACCACAUCUUAGGAGUGAUUAGUAAUGCUUUAUUUAUUUAUAUUCUAAAACUUGACUCUAAAGAGCAAAGUGUGAAUGACACUUAGGGCUGCUUGUGCAGGUGGCUUUGGUGCCAAAUAUUGGACAUGAUCCGCAUCUGCUGGAUGCACUCAGGGCCGUGCAAGUACUGGCCCUUUAUGACAAGUUUGAUGUUUUUGACAUCAAUAAGGUGACAGAUUGUAUCCUUUGGAAUAAAGCGUCUUAGACUCUGUUUUGCAUGUAAAAGGUCAGAUUAUGUUAUGUUAUGGAAUUUUAUAGUGUGUAUAUUGCUAGCCAGACAUUGAUGGAGAUUGAAGUUGCUAACGUUGGAUUAUCUCUGGUAUCAAAUGUUCUACAUUGUUGUGCCUGAAUGAAGAUGAAUCUUUUUCUGGGGAUAUAUGCGGAGAAGUUGAUGCUUGGUGUAUUGUCCUCAUCUUUGAUCAAUUAUUAUUUUUGUGCUUCUUGAGGAUGUUUCUUAAAUAAUUGACAUCCCUUCACCCCUUUCUUCCCCUCGAAGGUUCUCUCAUUGUGCUAUAUGCUAUCUUGCGAUACUUAAAUGGUUGGAUUCGAUAUGUGGAGAAUGCUCAAUUGCAAAACUUUGGAUGGUGGGUUUGGUUGCAUUCCUGGUGCAGGGUCUCACCUGAAAUGAUAUCAUUGCACACAGCCUUCGCUUCCAUCUUGAUGGUAUAAUCACUGCGUAAACCACUGAUGUCUAUCUAAGAUAUCCCAAGACAACGCACUAAUGUCCUUCCUCUCUCAACUAAUCUAGCUGGUAGUAGUUAACAGUUGGAGAAAACCAUCUAGUCUAGCUAAAUCUACAGGGAACUAUUUGUUGCCAAAAUGCCAACUAAAAUUCCAGAAUCUCACCGUACUAUCACAAAAGGUAAAGAAACUUCAGAGUUGCCUAACUUAUUAUUAAACUACGAUCUUCACAAGACAAUGAUCUCCUUAGGAUUGGUAAGACUAUAGUCUCAUAUAAAUUGAAUACAAUUUAAUAUUGGUGACAGUGUAAUUCGAGAAUGUAAACUCGACCAUAAGGCAUACUUAUUGAAUUUCAUAAAUCAUCUGUUUCAAAUAAUUUUUCUUUGCAAUUCCCAGGAUCCAACAAUCUGCAGUUCAAGAAGUCUAGAUUCGGGAUCCAGCAGGUCCGCAAUUGAUGGCAAGUUUUCCAAUCUGAAUAACCUCAGGACUUAGUAAAGUAGUAAUUAGGAGAUUAACAGAACCGCUUAAAUACUCGAACGCUUUGCUAACUGAGCAAGUAAACACACUUCAAACGUGUAAAACGCGCAAUGAGCAACGAUUGCAAAAUGCAUUCUCGUAAGCAGCCACGGAGGGCCUCAAUGAAUUGCAGUUUUUUCCUCUCCUAGCUAAGCUAUAACGGAAGUUCCUCCUGACCACUGUCCUGCCCUUGAAUAAUAUAGAGCAAAUCUAGCAACCCAACCAAAUCCAGCAUGUCAUAACCUCAUGCUGAGCUCUUUCGCUGGUUUCUAAUAUGUGAUCGGUGCAUAGUAAGUCAUGUAUUUGCUUAAAUACAUGAUGGUCUUCUAAUUAUGCUCCAAUGAACACAUCCAAAAGAUAAAACCAAGUCGCCGCAGUUUUAAGACAUUCCUUAGGACUCAUCUUAGACAAGAGAAAGUACAAAGGAAUUGAUAAUUUCCAGUGGAGACUUAGGCAUAAAACAAUGAAGGACCAAGCAAGAAAAUUAAGAAGCACAAGAGCCUGAUCAAAUAUCUUUCAAUUCAAAUAAGAAGAUAUUUGCAAAACGGAGAACUGGAACGUGGGAGUAAUCGUGAAGCAAUAAGAUUUGGUGUUUCUACUUCAACGGAUAACAAAACCGUGUGUAUUUUGUGUAGCCAAUUGUCGAGUCGAUCACGUAGUAAAUUUGACCUGUGGAAUCCUCAACCAUAAGCAGCAGACCUCAAUAAAGCAAUGGAAACCACAACUACCCAAAACAUGAAAGAAAAAGAAAAGCUGGACAUCCCAUUUUAAUUCUACAUGAUGAACUAAGAAGAGAAGCACUCGUUGCUUCUUUUUCAAUCAUCAAGAGCUCCUCACAGGUAAUAGACAGCUCCCCACAGGUAAUAAAGAGACAGUGGAUACUCAUUAAAGCGACCAUGAACCAAACCUUAGAAUAUACUCACAGACGAACUCUUCAAGAGAAGAUGCUCAACAUCUUGCGCACAUGAUUACACUCAAUCGAGCAGUCCACGAAAGCAUAGUAACAUAACUAGACUAGGCAUACAGACCCUUAUACAACUAUUAGUAUAUGAAGCUAGAGCUAGAGCUCAAGCUCAUGCUUAAUAUUUAAAGAUAAAUCACACAAUUACAUUCAUCUAAACACCAACUGCCACACCAAAAAAAACACCCAAAAAAAAAAAAAAAAACCCAACUGCCCCCCACCACUCUUACCUGUUCUUCAGUGAUUAGCUAGUGAUCCAGAGCUCAGGCCCAUGACUCCCGCCACUGAUGAAAUUAAUGAAUGCACCAAAUUCCUCCAGCUGAGCGGCACUAAAGAAGAAAAUGUGCAAAAGAGUGAAAAGUGGCGCUAGAGAAGGACUUGAAGCUCACAGACCUGGAACUUGAAGCUCGUGAAGAAGGACUUGAAGCUUGUGGACGACGAAGAAAGAAGAGACGGUGGCAACCGACACGGCCAACGACGGACUUAAGUUUGCGAGGAGCGAGUAGCAUGGUGGAUGGAAUGACAGCGAAUUGCUUGUGCAGCGAGAGAGAUGAAGAAGAAAACAUGAAAAAGAACCCUAAUCCCAAUUCAAUCCAUCGUUCACGAAUAAUCAUCCAACUUUCUUUUCCCUUUUUGUUUUGCUGACUCUGUCUGCAGAAGGAAACGAUAAGGUGAGUUGAGGUGAGGUCUCUUGGGCCUAAAAGGCCCCCAAUCAUUAACCCUCAGUUCAGUUCUCCUCUCCCGUUAUCUCCCUCUGUCCCGUCUCCGACGCCGCUCGCCCUCAACGCCACCGCCGGACGCCGCUUGUCCCGCCGCUGGACGCCAAUCGCUCCGUGCUCGCCCCGCCCUUGCCUCCCUCGACGCUGUCACCCCCGCUCGCCUCGCCUCUCAGCCGCUGGACGCCGCUUGCCCUCGACGCCGCCGCUGGACGCUGCUCGAUCCCCCAGUGGACGCCUCUCGCCACUCGCCGCUGGAUCCCCCGGUGGACGCCGCUCGCCGCUCGCCCAAUCGCCCCUGACACCGCUCGCCCAGCUGCCCCCGACGCCGCUCGCCGCUCGCCCAGCCACCCUAACGCCGCUCGCCCGGUCACCCCUGACGCUGCUCGCCCCCGACGCCGCUCGCCCAGUCGCCCCCGACGCUGCUCGCCCCCGACGCCGCUUGCCCUCGACGCCGCCACUGGACGCUGCUCGAUCCCCCGGUGGACGCCUCUCGCCACUCGCCGCUGAAUCCCCCGGUGGACGCCGUUCGCCGCUCGCCCAAUCGCUGCCCCCGACGUCGCUCGCCGCUCGCCCAGCCGCNNNNNNNNNNNNNNNNNNNNNNNNNNNNNNNNNNNNNNNNNNNNNNNNNNNNNNNNNNNNNNNNNNNNNNNNNNNNNNNNNNNNNNNNNNNNNNNNNNNNNNNNNNNNNNNNNNNNNNNNNNNNNNNNNNNNNNNNNNNNNNNNNNNNNNNNNNNNNNNNNNNNNNNNNNNNNNNNNNNNNNNNNNNNNNNNNNNNNNNNNNNNNNNNNNNNNNNNNNNNNNNNNNNNNNNNNNNNNNNNNNNNNNNNNNNNNNNNNNNNNNNNNNNNNNNNNNNNNNNNNNNNNNNNNNNNNNNNNNNNNNNNNNNNNNNNNNNNNNNNNNNNNNNNNNNNNNNNNNNNNNNNNNNNNNNNNNNNNNNNNNNNNNNNNNNNNNNNNNNNNNNNNNNNNNNNNNNNNNNNNNNNNNNNNNNNNNNNNNNNNNNNNNNNNNNNNNNNNNNNNNNNNNNNNNNNNNNNNNNNNNNNNNNNNNNNNNNNNNNNNNNNNNNNNNNNNNNNNNNNNNNNNNNNNNNNNNNNNNNNNNNNNNNNNNNNNNNNNNNNNNNNNNNNNNNNNNNNNNNNNNNNNNNNNNNNNNNNNNNNNNNNNNNNNNNNNNNNNNNNNNNNNNNNNNNNNNNNNNNNNNNNNNNNNNNNNNNNNNNNNNNNNNNNNNNNNNNNNNNNNNNNNNNNNNNNNNNNNNNNNNNNNNNNNNNNNNNNNNNNNNNNNNNNNNNNNNNNNNNNNNNNNNNNNNNNNNNNNNNNNNNNNNNNNNNNNNNNNNNNNNNNNNNNNNNNNNNNNNNNNNNNNNNNNNNNNNNNNNNNNNNNNNNNNNNNNNNNNNNNNNNNNNNNNNNNNNNNNNNNNNNNNNNNNNNNNNNNNNNNNNNNNNNNNNNNNNNNNNNNNNNNNNNNNNNNNNNNNNNNNNNNNNNNNNNNNNNNNNNNNNNNNNNNNNNNNNNNNNNNNNNNNNNNNNNNNNNNNNNNNNNNNNNNNNNNNNNNNNNNNNNNNNNNNNNNNNNNNNNNNNNNNNNNNNNNNNNNNNNNNNNNNNNNNNNNNNNNNNNNNNNNNNNNNNNNNNNNNNNNNNNNNNNNNNNNNNNNNNNNNNNNNNNNNNNNNNNNNNNNNNNNNNNNNNNNNNNNNNNNNNNNNNNNNNNNNNNNNNNNNNNNNNNNNNNNNNNNNNNNNNNNNNNNNNNNNNNNNNNNNNNNNNNNNNNNNNNNNNNNNNNNNNNNNNNNNNNNNNNNNNNNNNNNNNNNNNNNNNNNNNNNNNNNNNNNNNNNNNNNNNNNNNNNNNNNNNNNNNNNNNNNNNNNNNNNNNNNNNNNNNNNNNNNNNNNNNNNNNNNNNNNNNNNNNNNNNNNNNNGAAUAUCAGAUGAGAGACGUUCUCAAAGAUUUCUGUGGCACUUCUGCACCAUUGUAGUCCCAAGUGCUUAUUGAUCUAACUUAAUGUUUUAUUUUCUUUUAAGUACCCCUUUCAACAUAUCAAAGAAAUUUGAUGGAGAAACAGUAACAGAGAUUGUCCGUCCCCACCUUGCAAGGAUUAGAUAUCGUGUUAAGAGAUUGCCUUGGUAUCUCAUUCUCCAUAUGCAGAGAUUUACGAUUUAUAUUUUAUAUUUUAUUUAUUAUUAUUAUUAUUAUUAUUAUUAUUACCAUUCUUAUUACCCUUAUUUUAUUUUUUUUGUGGAGAAGAACCCAACUCUAGUUAAAGCAGAAAUAGAAAGCAAGCAAAGCAGAAGAAACAACAAUGAUUAAUGAACAGAAAGAAGGCGCACCGUUUUCUGUAGAGGAUCCCCUGUUUCUGUUUCAGAGUUCGUUGUUUCAAUUUCAGAGCCCGGCGCUUGCUUUGUUCUGCUCAAAAUCUUCUCUCUGUAAGACUCCCAAGUGUGGAAAUAUUUAGUGUAGCCAAGUUCACUAUCGUCUUCACUAUCGUCGGAUGACUUCUCGCGUGGUAUGAGUAUCUCGCAAUUAUCUGGUUCUUUUGAGCUCAAUACAUCAAAAAUCAUUUCGAAUAUGCACCCACUAAUUUCCAAGGAACAUGAAGACUUUAGUUCGUAAAUGCCCUCAAUAACCUGCAGGCUGGGGCACUGGUCAAUCUUUAUCCGCAAGUUCUUCAAGUUUGACAAACUGCCUAAUCUUUUUAACGAAGAGCACCGGUAAAUGUCUAACCACUUCAAGUUCUUCAAGUUUGACAAACCGCCUAAGCUUUUUAACGAAGAGCACUCACGAAUGGAAAUUUCUUCCAAUAAUACGAAAGUAGAAUCAAAUUGAAUAUCCUGUACCUCAUGGGACUCCCACAGAUAGAAACUUUUAAGCAUCUUUCGGGAGCUUGGGAAAAGGAUCGCUUCCCUACAAUGAUCAGUCAACUCGGGAGCUUGUAGUUCACUGCACCCCCGCUCCUCCGGGUGACAAACCAUACUCUUGGAAGAUCUGCGGAUUUUUGAGCUCGAAGCAUCAAAAAUCCUUUCCAAUGAUCUGCACCUCCCAAUUUUCAACGAACGCAAAAACUUCAGUUCGUCAAUGCCCUCAACAACCUUCAAGCUCGGGCACUGGUCAAUCUCUAACUUCUUCAAGUUUUUCAAGCUUGACAAACCGCCUAAGCUUUUUAAUGAAGAGCACUCUUUAACUGAAAAUUUUUCCAAUGAUUCUAACAGAGAAACAAAUCGAAUAUCCUGUACCUCUGGGAACCCCGACAGACAGCAUUCUAUAAGCAUGUUUAGGGAGCUGGGGAAAAGGAAGGCUUCCCUCCAAUGAUCAAUCAGCUCAGAAGCUUGUAUUUUAUUGCACCCCGGCUCCUCCGGCUGACAAACCAAACUCUCGGAAGAUUUGCAGUCCUGAAUACGUGAUCUCUCCGACGAUUGUAAGACAUUGGGAGAUUGAACAUCUAGUUGCUCGUACGCCUUGCUUUCUCUCGAUAUUCCCAAACUUGUUGAAGGGAAUAUGGUCUCCUUUUCCAAUGGAGGAAGCCCAUCGAGUUGUACUUUUUUCCCUCUAGCUUCGUAAAGCCUUAAAACCAUCAAGUUUGACGGAAGUUGUUUGAAAGGGGGCAAGUCUAUUCCGUGCAGAAUAAGUUCCUUCAACAGAGAAAGGGAACACAACUGUGUAGUUGGGGCACGGACAUUUGGAAAGUGAAAGUACAGCUUCCUCAAUUUGGAUAACAUGCCAAUCCACUGCAAGUCGCAAGUUUGAAUUACACUUGAUUUGUCUCUAGAUUCAGAGCGAUCGGAUAGGUGCAGCUCAACUAGAUUAGUAAGGUAUAAGAGGUUAGGGACAGUCAGCAACGAAGUAGAACUUAGCCGUAGAGUGGUCAAACAUUUGGGGAGUUCUGGCAACUCUUGUAUCCCAUCGCAACCCAUCAAGCUUAGUGUUUGGAGUUGAUGAAACUUGCUGAUUGUACUGGGCAUUCCCGCAAUUGGUGUGCAUGACACAUUGAUAGAUGACAAGCUUGCUAGUCUACCAAUGGAAUUUGGUAAUCUUGUAAUUUUGGUGCCAGAUACAUCCAACGUCGUUAACGACUCUAAUUUCAAAACUGAGUCGGGGAGUUCAAUGAAGUCGUGACAACCCUCAAGAGAGAGGUGCCGCAGAUUAUGUAACUCUCCAAUUUGUUUUGGCAAUUUUCUAAGACGCCAACAUGACUCAAAACUCAAGUCAGUCAACCACCUCAGUUUUCCAAUAGAGCAAUCAAUUUCCUUCAAAGAAAAAAAAUCAAAAAUAGUCAACUUCUCUAAAACUAAGUUCUCGGGAAAGCUUGGCAUCUCAUGUAUCAAGUUAUUAUAACGAAUAGUGAGAACCUUCAAUUUCCUUGCCCCCUACAAAAGCCAACGAAACAUCAAGACGGACAAUAAAUAAAUAUGGAUUUGUGCUACUAAUGAGAAAAUAAGAUUAUAAAUCCAGCGGAUUUUGUCCUUCUUUGAAUGAGAAAAAUAGACUAAGAGGAAAACUGGCAUACCUUGAUUAGGCUCUCGAACGCAUCUUUUGUGAUAUCGAGCCCAAAAAGAUGCACCACAACCGCGUUUUCUAGAUGCAACAAAUUGGUUGCCUCCAAACGUUGAUUGGAUCGACAGCCAACUACUGCAUAAUUGUAACUCAAACUGAACCAUUUCAGCUUGGAAAGACAGCCCGUAAAGUCACCUUGGCAGAUUACCUUAUUCAUCAAGAGAAGCCGUAAACAUGGGAAACGCUUAAUUUGCUCUGAAGUGACAGUCAUACGAGGAUGAGUUAAACGAUUCCAUGACAAAUCGAGUGCUUCAACGCUGUUCUUGGUCUGCCAAUUCAAAGGAGAAGAAAAAACAAAACAGAAGAGUAGCUUCCGAAUCAAAAACGGGAAUCCUCAAUUAAGAAGAGGGUGUAAGAAAUUUUCUAGUCAAAUUUGGCCAUGCUUUACCUCUGUUGAUGUUAAUUCAGAAAUGAUGUCGUGUGUAUUCCACAAUCUAGUACGCUCAUUUUUGGCAAUUGCCCUUCCAAGAUCUCUAAAUUGAUCGUGCAUCCCAAAUCUAUCAUCGUUGAAAACCUUAAUCAUGCACCUCCUAGUAAGAACCUCGAUGGCAUCCUUUGGGCAAAACUCACAAUCUUUCCACAUGUACAUUGAAUUAGUCUUAUUGUGACCAAUGAAAAAGCAUGCAACAUCGAGGAAUAUCUGUUGUUGUUCCAGCUCUAAGGCAUCAUAGCUAAUCUUUAGCUUUCCCAAGACAUCUUUAUGAGGUGUCUUCUUUAGUUUCUCUAGCAUCUCUUCCCAUAUUUCUCUCUGUCUUUGAAAAAGCGAUGAACCUAUUGCUUCAAGAGCUAAAGGUAGUCCAUCUGUAGUAGAGACAAUGCUUUUUGAAAGAGUAUAGUAAUUGGCUAGAGGAGAGUUGUCGUCGAAUGCAUGCCUACAAAAAAGUUUGAGUGCGUCUUCGUCACUCAACCCCACCAUUUCAUAAUCCUUGAAUCCAUAUUUAGUUCCCCUGAUUUUCAAAACGCUGCUGUCCCUAGUAGUAACAAGUACUCUAGUACCAGGAUGCAAAGAUUUCUUUCCGAUUAGGUUUUGGAUCUGCUUGGCCUCAUCAACAUCAUCCAAUACAAUUAGCAUCUUCUUGUUGCAAAUUGUUUCUUCAAUCAUAUUGAUCCCAUGAUCAAUGUCGGAAAUGUUAGGAGCCACUCGAAAAUAAGAGACAUCGAACAAUAAUUUUUUUUGUAGCUCAACUAAGCCCUUGGUUUUUGCCGUUUCCCUCACGUCAUCAAGAAAGCUGCGGUUUCUCCCAAAGCAAUGAAGUAGUUGGUUGAAGAUAAUCUUGACAAGUGUUGUUUUACCGAUGCCACCCAUCCCAUAAAUUCCAAUGAACCGCACAUCAUUAGAAUCAAUGUCUAAUAAAUCUUUUAUGGUUACUAUAUGACCUUCCAUUCCAACUAAAUGUUCGGUUACAUGUUUCUGUCUUGUCUCGAGCCUGACCACAACCUCGUGAACAACCGCCUGGAUAAGUUUCGCAUAGCUGCCAACAAGUUGAGUAGUUUCAAUUGAGAAAAGGUGACAAAUUUGCAUGUUGACCAGCCAUCUACUAACCAACCAGGUGGGAACUCGAUCAAGUUUAGCAUAUAGAAGAGAAAUGUUUGAUCUUUGUAUCAAGUGGAAGAAUUAGAAUUUUUGGCCAAAAAGGGUAGAAGAAUCGAAAUAUAAAAAUCUAAUGAGUUACUAUAAUAGAAGAUUUAGUUAAAUAUAAAGUGGCCUGAUUGAACAAAAUAAUUUUCAGAGUAAUGGUUAGAUUGUUACCCAGAACAUUUCUCCAGCUCCCAUCCCUUGGUGCGACCAACUUCUUCGAGAGCUUGCUGCCAUGUCUUUAUAACCGUGGAGCUGAACUUAUUCUUCUGAUCCUCCAUCUUUUGCGCCAAAUUCGAUAUGGCAUCUUUGUACAACGGGGUUUUCAACUUCACGUCAUCGGGUUUCACGUCAUAGAAGAUGGGCAAUAUGACCUUCUCUUUCCCAUCUUCUUUAUAUUUAGAGGUGUUCUCCACCAUCUUCGCAAGCUCGUCGAGGCACCAGUGACUUGAAGCAUAAUCUUUGGAGAAGAUGGGUAUGUAGACCUUGGAAUUGUCAAUUGCUUGUAGAAGGUUGCCACUAAUUCUUUCACCUGGUCGAAGCCCUUCAUCAUCGAUGAAAACACUAAUCCCAGCAUUUACCAAGGCUAGGUAGAGGAUAUCGGCGAAUGUACGACGAGUAUCAGGCCCUCUAAAAUUCAAGAAGACCUGGUACUCACCUCCUGAUGGAUUGCUGGUGCUUGUUCCUGUCUCUGAGUUCACCAUCGAAGCUCACUUCGCACUUAGCAGGUUAGCCCUCUCACUUGGUCCUUGAGUUUGCCAUAUGACAUUUCACAUAUUUGAAUCCAAUCCAAUUUGCCGUCCAAAACGCGUAUAGGCAACUUCGUAGCAGGUGCAAUUUCCAGUUUGCAAUCAAUAAAGUCGAUGGCUUUAAAAAAGAAAAAUAAGGCAGAGGACAAUUAUGGAGGUGCCCCUUUUUAUACGCCCAAUUUCUUUCCAGUUUCCCCUUUGUGUUUUUGAACUUUUGGAUUAAAAAUAUUUGAUUCUUUAUAUCUAUAGUUAGGCAUAUUUAAAAUCCCAAUCUAGAAUUGUAAAAUGACAAUUUAUUUAUAUAGAGAAACAAAUUAUUCCUAAAGGAUCGCAUCUUAUUCUAAUACUUGGGACUGUAGAUAAUUAGAAAUAUCUCCUUCUUACUAUAGAGAUUGGAUUUGCUGCAUUCUCUACAACAAAUGCUCUACCUAAGCAUAUACGUACUACUUACUAUGAAAUAUUUGUUUUGAUCUCUUUGCCUUAAAGACUUCCUUUAAUUAUAAGUCAUUUCCUUUAACAACUCAAAUAUUCUCAUAAAAUGUGCCAUUAUAUUAAAAAGCAAAUGAUCAUUUAUUUUCUACUGAUGACUAUUAGAAUGUGAGCAUGGUGCAGUUAGUGUGCAUUGGACGUUAAACCAAAUCAAAUUAUAUAAAUAUGUUAGAAUAUAUUUCGAAUUUGAAAUUGUUGGAUGAAAUAGGACCAGAUGAGACUUAUGGAUGCUCCACCACUAUUCAAAAUUGGUGAGAGGAAAUGCAGUGAUGGCCUGUCAAUGGCCAUGAUGCCACUCCAUCCUGGUGUUGCUGUGAGCACGAAAGAAAGAAAAAGAAACCAUGAUGGUCUUGACCAUAAGAGAUGGCUUUGCUCACCUGAAGAAAGGGAAAACGAGAUCAAUGAUGGCCAUUGCCAAUAAUGGGCGGAAAGGGAAGAAGUCGAAGAAAGUGACGAGGACGAUGUCUUUUCAUGUUGGCCACUCGUUGUUUCCUUUCUUCUCUAUUUCGCUGAAUUUCCCCUUUAGAUACCAAGAGGAAGAGCUUUUAAUGUCACAGAGAACUCCGAAGCCUGCACAGAGCAUAUUGAAAAGCGUGCUGAAAGUUCCUCUUGAUCACACCAAAUAUUUCUUUUCUAAAGCCUAUUAAAUCUUUUGUUGAGAUUUGUAUCGUUUCUUUAAGAGAUUGAAAAAAUUAUUUUGAGAGAAAUUUUAAAAACUAAACAUUGUAUAGUUAUUGAGUAUAAUUAAAAACUGGAAACCACCAAGAGUAUUUAAAUGACUCGAGUGUGAUUAUAACUUUCAUUAUAUAUAUAUAUAUAUUUUUUAUCUAUAAUAGAAUCUUAUGCUGCUAUCCUUGUAGACGUAAACCACACAAUUAAAUCACAUAAAUCUAGUGUCCGAUUCAUUUUAUUGUUUUGUGCAUUUUAUUCAAUUGCUUUUUCUUUUUUCUUUUUUCAAAAGGGAAUAUGGUUUGAAGAAAAGUGAAACCAAAGUAAAAGAUAUUCAAUAUGACCAGCAUUAGGCAUUCAUGAACAAAUGCAUGAAAGAGUAUCUUUUAUUUUCUUAAGAUAUCGAUAAAUAUUUAUAACCUUAAACUUGUGGUUAGUGAUAGAAUUUGUCCCAUCGCCUGCUUAACAUUAACUCUGAUCAUGAGUACGAUAUUCAAUGCAAUCUACACGACCCGUUUCUUCUAAUGUCCCUUUGACAAUGCAUAGUGAUGUUCUUUUAUUGCCAUUUUCUCCGUUAAAUUGCGCUAGCCCGUGUGUUUCAGUUUGACUCCUUCAUUUUCCAUGACUUUACGGUCAAAUAUAUUUUAUUUAUUUAGUUUUGAACGCGAUAUAUCAAGAAAAUCAUAAAUUUGCAACUACAAUCUCGACAUAUUAAGUAUGUCUGUUUUGCAUGAUUUGACAUAGAUUUUCACGACAUUUGUUAAAGAUACAUUUUUUUGUUAGCAUGAUUUAACAUAUAUCGUUUUCAUAUUUCAUCUAUUAAAUAAGUUUUUGUUGAGAAAUUGAAAAUCAUUAUGAACAUUAUUCUUCAGAUUUUGAACCGUUGUAGUAGUAGUGAAGAUCAGAUAGAAGCUAGCCGCAAUUAUUUAUAUUUUGGUUUGUUUUAUUUAUAUUUGUUUUUCGUGGCGUUAUUAGUUGCUUUGACUUGUUGACUAAAUUGGAGCACUGUACGAAGUCUUCCAGAGGAUGACUUGUCCACAUUUAUUUUAUCUCAUUUAUAACACUACUAUCUAAAUCAUUCGACUCAAUUAAUACCGCUUUAUGCGUGCAAAUCACUCCAUUCACGUGCAUUCAGUUAGCUCCAUUCACAAGAUUGUUAAGGAGACAUCGGGGGUAAUGAGUAAAGGACACUGUGAUCAAAUUUGAACAAAACGUCGUUUCAAAAAUUGCAUUCAAAUUACACAUAAUGCAUUCAUGACGGUUUUUACAACAUUUCACUAAUUAUGUAUAAAACAACAAUCCUUCCAAAGAUAUGGCAAUCGGAUCAUAACUAUGGUCAAUAUUUGAUGCGCAACUUUCUACAACUCCGCAACACCUUUUGAAAAUGCUAUGAACAUGUACAUCUUAUGCUUUCAAGCCAUUGCCUCAAACGAUUGGAAUACAUGAAAGAUGUUAAUGCUUGCUUUUUAGUAAAUCGGAAGGUCAUGCGAUACCAUAUUACAAGAUCCCCAAAAGAUGCCAACAUGCCAUUCUUUGAAAUCAUGUUUUUACCUUUUAAUUAAUCAUGCAUGCUGCAUACAGCUUCAAUAAAUCCGAAAGGUUUUAGGCAUGUGAAAAUUGAUGUUAUCGGACGAUUAGCUUUUGGACCUAUUUCUUCAAUAGCUAAAGGUAGUCAAUAUGUGGUAUAGACAAUGCCUUUGAGAGUGUGUGGCUGGAGGAGAGUUGUUAUCGAAGGCAUUUCUACAAAAAAAGUUUAGAUGUGUUUAUUUUGAGUGCGCGCCUCAUUGUUCGUCAAAUUUCUGCCAUUCUUUUGUAUUGGACAAUUCAGUAAUAAUAACAUUACAUUCAUUAAUGGGAGCUUUUAUUACAUUCUUAAUGCGAAAAGCUUCUCCACCGUGUCAUCCUCCUUCAGAAAUUUACAGAAGAAGAAUCAAGGCAUUGCAUGAGAAAAGGAGAAAAGAAUGUCUAUUAUGAGAAAUAAACAAAGAAAUUCUUGAUUUGAAUGCGCGAAGUCCGGUGCCACUUUCUUUAGCGAGAGACAUCAUUUUGGACGUUUGUAUUGCGUGACUCACGUGAUUCAAUUGAAACUUAUGAACGACAACUUCAUAGCAGUUGCAGCUUUCAAUUUAUAGUCAAUAAAGUUGAUGGCUUUAGAAAAAACGAAAUGGAGGACAAUAAUGGAGGUGAACCUUUUUACAAGCCCAAUAUCUUUCGAGUUUCUUUGUUAGAGCUAACACUAUCACCUAAAAAAGGGUGAAUAGGUGAUUAUAAACAAUUAAAGCGGAGUUUAAAACAACCAAGUUCAAUAUCAUGAAAAACAAAAUCUAAUGAAAAACUUUGCAAUGAUCAGAUUGUCUCCAAAAUCUAAUGAAAUACUACACAAUAAUAAGACUUUACUAUGUGCAAUAAAUAGAAUAAAGGGAAAAUUCCAAAUAAGGACCCGAAGUGAACCAAUUUUCUCAAAUAAGGAUCCGAAAUGAACUUUGUGUCAGAUAAAGACCUAAAGUGGACCCAUUGUCUCAAAUAAAGACCCAAAGUGGUUGAAUCAAUUCCAAAUAAGGACCUAAGCUUGCUAGUCAACCAAAUAUUCGCUAACUAUCAAGCAUGUGACAUUUCCGACGAUUGGAGUUUGGGUAAUUUUGUCCAAAAAAAAAAUCUAGGGAAAAUUAACAAAUCAUAAAACAUAAACAAAAAAACCCUAGGUUUUCUAUGGUCUCCCUGUUCCUUGUACCCAUCCUCUGCAAAGUCAAAGACCGAGGUUCUCCCCAUUCCUUGUACCCAUCCUCUGCAAAGUCGAAGACCCAAAUUCUCUGCCGGUUGAGGCAUGAAUUCAAAAACAAGAACAAAACCAUAUCCUUCUUUCUUUGUUUGCGGAGACCCAAAUUCUCCGCCGAUCGAGCAAGGUGAGGAGCGACAAGAAUUGAGUCAUGACAAUGACCGGCUAGCGAUUUGGUUGAGGAGCAACGGGGGAGAAGAAAGAAGAAAAUGUAAACAUCUAAAUAAAUAACAUAAACUUAAUUAAUUUAGAAUUUUCCCUUUUUUCCAAUCACAAAUUUCUGACAAAAUUGCCCCUAUUUUAAUCGCUGAAAAAUGUCUGUCGGCGAGCUAAGGUCCUCAAUAGAGAUUAACUCGAGCACUUUGGGUCCUUAUAUGACACAAAAUUCACGUCGGGUCCUUAUUUGAAACAAUGGAUCCACUUCGGGUCUUUAUUUGACACAAAGUUCACUUUGGGUUCUUAUUUGAGAAAAUAGAUUCACUUCAGGUCCUUAUUUGGACUUUUCCCUAGAAUAAAUGAGUUAUUAAAGGAUAGAGAAAAUCGCACACAACAAUUAUAGUGGUUCGGCUUAUGAUAAAACUACAUUCACUCUCUCAUGCUACAACCUAUUGGUUGGAUUUCACUAUGAAUAACUAAUAAGAGGUUACAAGAUAUGAACUAUAAACACUCAAGUUCAUGCGUAUAACUCCUCACACACUCUCAACUUCUAAAUAAUUAUACAAUGAUACUCAUAGAGACAAAUGUAUUUGACCGCAAAACACUCUUUAGACUUUGGAAUUAUAAGUUUCGAUUCUCUUGUGUUGCGUUUUUCCUUUUAACUUCGAGACCUCCUUUUAUGCUUCUCCCAAACCAAGCUAACCAUUGGACAUAUAUCCAAAAAGAUUAUCUAGCCAAUCUACCUCUUGGCCUGGAUCUCAUUAAGAAUGUUUGAUCACUUUAAGGAUGCCAAGAAUAAAGCUUCUCAUAGAUUCUGCCGCUUAUACAGCAGUUUGGGUUUUCAUAAGUCAAGUGCUUCAACUUAGAAAGAAUGUUUCUUCUCAAGUAUAUCGUUCUAGGAAAGACGAAGAAUCCAAUCAAUCGCUGCUAACCUUUACAUGAGGAUAUUGUCUCAUUCUAGCUGUUUGAUAGAGUACAUAAGAAAGUCAUGACUCUGGUUUUGAUUGAUAUUGUCUACUCAUAUUCCAUUGGACUUUGCACUUGAAAAAUACUUAUCAUCAGAAUUGAAGUCUUUACGCUAGAUAAGUUUUGUCAAUCUUCAAAAUCAAUUUGGGAGAUUUUCUCAACAAUCUCCACUUUUUUAUGAUGUCAAAACUUUCCAAGUAGAACUUAAGAAAAGAUUUUAAAAAGAUUUAGUAAUCAAAUAGCUCUAUUGAAAGCAAUAUUUUAGAUAAGGCACAAUGUGAAUUUUAUAAGAACUUUGCUGAUUUUGUAAAGAUAAGUACAAACUUCUUACAGAAUAUUGAGCUUCAGAGUGAAUAAGAUUUGUAAGGAAAUUCCUUGAUUUGUGAAGAAAUUCCUUGCUCUGAUUAAGGAAGUUCAAGAUAAGAAUAGAUUCAAAGAACUUCCUUUUUUUUUAUAUAGCUCCUCCUGAGCAAGAUCACAAAAGAUCUUCAUCUACAUAUAGUGUUUUGCUUUUCUUGCAUUUUCUCUUUCUUUUUGUCAGCAUCACAAAAGAGACAAUAAUAAUGGAAGGAGUAUCACAUAGAGAAUAUGCUAUUCAGCUCAUCUUCACACACAAUCUUCAAAACAUAUUUAGCAUGAAACGAAAUUUUCAUAAACAUCUUAUAGAUGCUAUGGUGAACAUAAAAUAAUUGCAAUAUAGCUCAUGUUAUUAUAGAAUCAAAUACCAUAUACAUCAAUAUAUAUAUAUAUAUAUAUGAUAACAUAUGCAAUAUAUAAAUUUCAUAUACAUUUUUUGUCAUAGUAAAAUGAUAAUGGAAAUAUGAGAUUUAUAAUGACAAAAGGUAAGUGAAGUAAGAAAUAUACUAACCAGAUCAUGUAGAAUUUAGCAAGUUCUAAUAUACAUUAUAUUUUCUUCCAUAAUCAAGAGGAGGCAAAAAUUAAAUUGACUUAAUCAGGAUUUUCUCACACUUAAUUUACACUCCCUUUCAAUUUAAUGCCUUUAUGAGAUGAUCACGGUUCUUCUCCUUUAUUGUGCAUCCACUUUCUCAUUCUUUAAUAAAUUUAAUAAAUUUUGCGCCUAGAGGAGAAUUUUUGCUCCUUCGAAAAUGGUGUGGAAUCUUCGCGAUUUUUCUGAUCAAAUUUUCCAAAUUUUAGAUGGAAAGAUUAUUUGCCACCUGCAAUUUUUUUGUAAAAGAGAUAACAAUUUGCAAAAUAUAGAGAAUAUCACGUACUUUCCAUCCUUCAAUUUGCGGAUUAAUUUUGCCAGUUAGAAGAUAUGCUUCUUACAUAUAAAAGCACACAUUAAUUUCUUUCAAGAUUAAAAAGAUUAUAUUGUUUAAAAGAAAAUCUGAUUUUCAAAUGUUUAAAUCAUUUAUAAUUAUUCUGUAGCAAUGGUUAAACAUAUUUAUAUAGAUACAAAUGGAAUUUAUCUGUAUAAAUGCAUAAUAAGAAAAUAGUCCUAUAGAAAAGUUUAAGUUUAAGUGCAUUUAUUUCAAGUGAGAAGUUCGUUGUUCGUCAAAUUUUAACUAUUUUUUUGGAUUGGACAUUUUAGCAAUAAUAACAUUACAUUCAUUAAUGGGAAGAGCUUUUAUUACAUUCUUAAUGUGAAAAGCUUCUCCACCAUAUUAUCUUCCUUUAGAAAUUUACAAAAGAAGAACAAGCCCAUUACAUUAAAAAAGGAGAAAAGGCUGUUUGUUGUAAGAUAUGACGACAAAAUUCUUGAUUUGAACACCCAAAGUCCGAUGCCACUUUCGUUAAUGAGAGACAUCAUUUUGGAUGUUUGUAUCGCGUGACUCGUGAGAUUUAAUUAAAAGUGAGGAACAGGCAACUUCCCAGCAGUUGCGGCUUUUUAUAAAUAGUGAAUGAAGUUGAUGGGUUCAGAAAAAACCAGAUGGAGGACAAUUAUGGAGAUGAACCACUUUUUUCAGUCGGUCGAGAUGUGCAAUUAUGGAGAUGUACCAUUUCACACGCCCAAUAUCUUUCGCCUUUCUUCUUGGUGCCUUUGAACUUUUGAAUUAAAAAAAAAAUCCAAUUUUCAAAUGUUUAAAUGAUUUAUAAUUAUUCUAUAGCUAUAUCUAUAAUUAAACAUAUUUAUAUAGAUAAGAUCACAAUCUAUAGAAAUGUAUAAUAACAAAAUAUUCCUAAAGAAUAUCUCUCAUUAUGACAUAUGAGACUUUGGACAAUUAGAAGAUUUUCCUUCAAACUAUUGAGAUUGGAUUUGCUACAAUCACCGCAAAAAUGGUCCACCUAAGCACUACCUAACAGUAUGCUUACUACUCACUAUGACGUAUUUGUUUUGAUCUCUUCUCCUUAAAGACUUACUUUUUAUCAUAAUUAAUUACCUUCAACCCCACAAAUAUUGCAAUAUAUGUGCCUUUAUUUUGAAAAGCAAAUCUUUUACAACACUUAUUAUCUUAUUGAAAACUAUUAGAAUGUGAGCAUGAUAUAAUUAGUGUGGUUGGACAUCAGCCAAACCUAAUUAUAUAAACAUUGAAAUAUAUCUCAAGUCGGAGCCGAAUUAAAACCGGAUCGAAAGGGACUUAUCGACGCUCGUCCUCUAAUCAAGAGUGGUGAGAGGAAAUGCAAUGAUGGCCUGUCUAUGACCAUGAUGCCUGUCUAUGACCAUGAUGCCAUCCCAUCAUGGCGUUGCUUCGAGAGUCGAUAGAAAGAGAGACCGUCCUGGUCUUGACCAUAAGAGACGACUUUGCUCAGCCGAAGAAAGGGCAAAGAGAGAAUGAUGAUGGCCACCGCUGACACGAGACAAAAGGGGAAGGAAAACGACGAAGAAAGUUGCGAUAAUGGUGUCAUUUAACGAUGGCCACUCAUUGUUUCCUUUCUUCUUUAUUUGCUUCUAGUGAAUUUUCUCUGUGAAUACGAAGAGGAAGAGCUCUUAAUGAGAGCUCCAAGGACUGCACAACGAGAUUAAAAAUUUCCUCUUAAAAGUUUUGAUUUAAAAAGGUUUUCUUUGUGAAAUUACACAAAAUGAAGUCAAUUAAAUCUUGUGUUAACGUUUAGGUCAAUCUUUUUAUGCGAUUGAAAUAUUAUUUUGAGAGAAAUUAUGAGGGUUAAAUAUAGAGUUAAUAGUCAUAUUUGAGGGAUAAAAAUACAAAUAAUAUUUAAGUAACUCAAGUAUUAUUAUAAUCUCCAUUGCAUUGUAAUUUCAUGGUUUUCAUUUCCUCAUGGACGUAGGUCACAUAACCGAACCAUGCAAAUUUAGUGUUUGAUUCAUUUCCUUGUUUUACAUUUUUAUUCAAGCACUUGUUUUAUUUCCAACAAUAAAUAUGGUUUGAAGAAAAGUGAAAUCAAAUUAAACCGUAUUAUAGUCAAGAUCAAACCAAGCCAAACCAUUUUAUGUGGCUUGAUUCGGCUUAAUCGUUCUUUUUGCUUUUAUUUUACCUCUUCAUCAUAUGUAAUUUCAUGUUAAAAAAAAACAAAAAACAAAUUCUAUCCCACAACCCUUCCGAGGCGAGAUCCCUGAGGAAGUUACCGAAUUACCAAGUAAGCAUGAAUGGUCCCUUUUGCAAGGUGACGCUUGCUCUUGGCAGGAUCAAUCUCAACUUGGUUUCUAUUAAUUAUUUCAUUUGCUCAAGAGUCGCCAUUAAUUUUUUAUAAACCGAUUAGGAGUCAAGUAAAACACAAGAGCUUGUUUUACUUCUACAAACAAGAGAUUUGUGGGUCUAACGACUUGAUUAGGCUGGAUAUGUAAUGUGCAAUUAUUCAUGCGAUCUUCCCAUCUUAGUUACCCAUUUUGUUCUCAAUAUCGAGGGAAGAAGGCGAUCAUGCAUGAAAUCACUCAAGCAAACACAAAUAAAAUCCAAUAAUACUGAAACAAAUAGAGCAAAUAAAAGGUAUGAAAAUAAAAAAAUUGAGCCGUAUUGCAAAAAAAAUAAAACAAAAUCAAUACAAAGCUUUGUUCUUAAGCUCCAAUAUAGGACCCCUUGAGCUAUAAAUAGAAACUCGAUGUUAGAUCUCCAACUAUGGCUCCAAACCGGAAAGUCAAUAAAUGAUACUUCAUGAAUAUCCACUAUAUAAACUACUUUUCUAAAAUGUGGCUAAUCACUAAAAAUUGGCUGCGAACUCAAACCUUACUCCUUUCUCAUGGAAGAAUCGAGUUUUCAGUGUGCGCCUUCUGCAGUUCCGUUCCUGAUUCCGUUGACCACUUGUUUUUUGAAUGUGAGACCUCCACAACUCUUGCAUAUUUUUGGGCUUCCAGGUGUAAUCUUCCUUGGAGGAAUAGGAUGUAGGUGGAUAACUUGGCUUGGGCGUUAAAAUUCCUAACUGGAAAGGAUUUCUUUCAUAGUAUUGCACGUUUCUCUUUUGGGGCCAUGUGCCACCUUAUCUGGAAGAAGAUGAAUUCCAUCAUUUUUCGGGGAGAUUCAUUGGUGAUCCUAGCUAUGAAAAAUCACCUAAUCAAGAUUGUCAAGGACAAGGCUCUUAUGUUUAAUAAUGCUCCACCUACUCCAAGAAACAAAAGACUCCAGAGAAGCUGGGGAUUCGAUCCCUCCGUGUUUGAAUCAGCUACAUCUUCCUAACACCCCUCCAUUCUUCGCCUUUUGAUUGAGGGUCGACGGUCUGGUUUGUCGUAGUUUGUAGUGCUGUGGGUUGUUUAGCUUGUUCUUUUUGCCUUUGUAUCUUUUGAUUUGGCUCCCUCUCACUCUCCCUGUUUUCCCGCACCUAGAGUGUGAGCUUUGGCUCCGAAUUCUUGUAUUUUUUUCCUUUGCUUAAUAUAUUCUUACCCUUUACCAAAAAAAAAAAAACUACUUUCCUAAAAUGAACAAUUACUUCAAAACGUAAAAUCUACUCAAUGCAAUUUAUAUGCAUUAUUGGUAAAAUACACUCCUAGAUGUUUUUUUUUUUUAAAUUUUAUUUUAUGAAUAUGCAGUUUAUCUUUCCAUUUGUUUUUUUUUUCUUUUUUGCAUUUCCCCCUUCUUUAUAUACACACACACACAUAUAUAAGUGAAACAAAAUUUGAUUACGUGUUGAAAUAAAUAUGAACUAGAAUCUAUAUGCCAAAAUAAUAUGUAAUAUAAAUCCGGAUUUUCAUGAAAAUUUGCACUACGUUCACUUGGAAUUUUUUUUCUUUGGAAACGCUCAAUUGGAAUUUCAACCUUAAAAUUGCAUCAAGAACGACUUAGUGCACACGAGAAAAUAAAGAAAACUAAAGUGACAUAAUGCUAUGAAUUAGAGCCAAACUAAUCCACACUAUGCGAAAAUCAACGGUGGAUGAAUAAAUCUAUACGAAUAACCAAUUUUCUCUCUACCGCUUUUUUUAGGGCGCAGUUUAGCUAACCGUCCUCUGUCAAAUGACAGUCAACUAAUGACCACACAAUUCGCAUGGAUUCCAUCUUUUACCCUUUUUUUUUAGUUUUAUGUUUUCUUAUUGCAAGCUUAAAUUGAGAGAUAAAAUCAUAAGAGGGCCCAUACAAUCAAUUUUCAUGAAUAUUAUGAAAGAAAAAAUAAAUUAGAUAUCGAAAUAUAAAUAAUUAGAAGUAAAAAAUAUUGUCAUCCACUAAAAAGAAAUCAUUCAUUUCAUUAUGUAGAUUUAUUAAAUUUAAAAGAUGAAAAAACACUUGAAUUGUUGGCUUUGCAACUAAUAACAAAAUUAUUGUGCAAUGAAUUGGCUUCUCAAUCCUGUCACCAAAAUCAAAUUGCUUUGGAAGGACUCUCCGAUGACCUAAAAUUAAGACGAGUAAUGUUAAUUACGCAUAAAACAAAUGAAGUAAAGAAAAAGAACAAAAUAAGAAUAAUGAAUUAGUAGAGAAGAAAAUUUACCCCAUUGAUCCAAAUCUCGUAGAUGAAGAUGAUUUGGGACCUAAAAUAUUACAAAAUCAAUCUUAGGAUCACACGAGUGAAAAGUAAGCCGAAAUGAUUUUUGAUCAAUUUUUAUAAAUAAUUUACCUAAUAUAGCUUCAAUGUUUGGUUCGUUGAGAAGAUUCACAUAACCAUGAGAUAUGACCAUAUAUCAUUUUAUAUAGAUAAAAAGUCAAUUUAUAGGAAGGUAUUUUAAAUAAAAUAAUAAUAAUACGUAUCAGCCACUAUUGAAAACCCUCGAUUCUUUCCUGAUUGCAAAUCAAAUUUCAAGAAUAGUUAUGGUAACUCAUAUGAUCCAAAUUACCAAUUAUAUUUUGGUAUCUAAUUUAUUUUUUCUUUUAUCAUAUUCAUGAAAAUUGAUUGCGUGGGCCCUCUUACGAUUUUAUCUCCUAAUUUAAGCUUACAAUAACGAAACAUAAAAAAAGGGUAAAAGAUGGAUUUCAACCGGUUUCCAUCCAAAAUGUGUGGUUCUCAACUGACCGUCACUCCAUCAUUUGAAGGAGUGAUGGUCAGCUAAGCCUUUUCCACAUUUUAACUAGGGGCAUGCCUACAUAAAAGUUAAGUGCGUCUUCAUUGCUCAACCCAACCCACCAAUUCUGAGAAAAGUGACACAUUUGCAUGUGGACAAACCAUUUACGUAUAUCAAAGCCCAAAUCUUUCUCAUUUAUUUCGAAUUCAUUUGCAUUGCACAUUGUAGAAACAAUAACAUCACAUUCAUUAAUUUGAAGAAUUUUAUUACAUUCAUAUUGUGAAAAGUUUCUCCACCAGAUCAUCCUCCUUUAGAAAUUUAUAAAAGAAGAACAAGUUCGUUUCAUUAGAAAAGAAGAAGAGGAUGUUUAUUGUAAGUUAUAUAUGAUGAAAUUCUUGAUGUGAACACCUGAAUUUAAAUGCCACUUUUGUUUGUAAGAGAUAUCAUUCUGGACGCUUGUAUCCCAUGACUAACCUGAUUUAAUUAACAAUUAUGGACAGCUAACUUCACAGCAGCUGCAGCUUUCAAUUUAUAGUAAAUUAAAGUUGAUGGCUUCAGAAAAAGUGAGAUGGAAGACAAUUAUGGAGGCGUACCUUUUCCACGCCCAAAUUCUUUCGAGUUUCUUCUUGGUGCUUCUGAACUUUUGAAUUGAAAAAAUCCGAUUUUCACACGUUUAAAUCAUUUAUAAUUAUUCUAUAGCUAUAUCUAUGGUUAAAUACAUUUAGAUAAAAUCACAAUUUAUCUAUAUAAAUGCAUAAUCAUAAGUUUAAGUCUGUCUACGUCGCUCAACACACCAAUUCAUAAUCCUUGCAUUGAUACUUUCGUCCCCUGAUGUUCGAAACGCUCUUCUCCCUUGUGGCAAAAAGAAUCCUAGUACCAAGAUACAAAGAAUUCACUCCGAUUAGUUUUUGGAUAUGGUUGCCCUCAUUGACAUCAUCCAAGACAAUUAGCAUUCAUCAAUGUUAUCAAUUUCACUAGUCACUCUAGAAUAAGAGAUAUUCGACAGUUAUUUUUCUUGCAGUUGGACAAAGCCCUUUGUUUUUGGCGUUACCCUCACGUCAUCAAGAAAGUUGCCGUUUUUCCGAGAGCGAGGAUAUAGCUGGUUAAAGAUAUCCUUGGUGGGUUCUGAUUUAUUGAUGCUGCCCACCCUGUAGAUUCCAAUGAACUGCACAAUACCAAAACUGAUGUCUUAUACAGUGUUUAUGGCUGCUAUUCAAUCCUCCGUUCCAAUUAAAUCUUCGAUCACUUGUCUUUGUCUUGCAUUGAGCCUAACCACAAUCUCAUUUACAAUCGACUUGAUAAGAUUCACAUGGCUGCCACAAAGUCAGUCAAUUUCAAAUGAGAAAAGGAGACAAAUUGCACGUGGACAAAGCCUUUACAUAUAUCAAAGCCCGAAUCUACCUCAAUUGAUUUCAAAUGCGCAGCUCUUGUUUGCCAAAUUUCAGUCAUUCUUUUGCAUUGCACAUUUUAGAAACAAAAAACAUUACGUCCAUUAAUGGGAAGAGUUUUGUUACAUUCUUAAUGUGAAAGGCUUCUUCACAAGAUCAUCCACCUUCAAAAAUUUACAAAAGAAGAAGUGUGCAUCGUUAGAAAAGGAGAAAAGGACCCACCAAGAAAUUCUUGAUUUGAAUGCCCAAAGCCCGAUGCCACUUUCGUUAGUGCGGGACAUCAUUUUGGACACUUGUAUCGCGUGACUCACGGGAUUUAAUUGAAAAUUACGGAUAGGCAAUAAAGUCAAUAAAGUCGAUGGCUUUCGGAAAAAUGAGACAAAGGACAAUUAUGAAGGCGUACCUUUCACAGGCCCAAUUUCUUUUGGGUUUCUUCUCGGUGCCUUUGAACUUUUGAAUUAAAUAAAAAUCUGAUUUUCAAAUGUUUAAAUCAUUUAUAAUUAUUCUAUAGCUAUAUCUAUGGUUAAACAUGUUUAUAUAGAUAAGAUCACAAUUUAUCUAUAUAAAUGCAUAAUAAAAAAGUCUAAAGAAUCCUCUUUCAUCAUGACACAUGGGAUUAUGGAUAAUUAGAAGAUAUUUCUUCGUAUCAUUGAGAUUGGAUUCGCUGCUUUCACUAUAAAAAAGUGCUCCACCUAAGCAUAUAUUUACUAUGUAAUAUUUGUUUGAUCUCUUUGCCUUAAAGACAUACCUUUUAUAAUUAUUAAUUACUUUUAACCACUCAAAUAUUGUCAUAAACGUGCUUUUAUAUUAAAAAGCAAAUCUUUUACAACACUAAUUUCCUUAUUGAGAACUAUUAGAACGUUAGCAUGGUGUAGUUAGUGCUAUCAGCCAAACCAAAUUAUAUAAAUGUGGAAAUAUAUCUCCAGCCGGAACCCGAUCAAGUUAAGAUCGGACGAGAAUUAUAGAGGCUCGACCUCUAUUCAAGAGUGGUGAGAGGAAAUGCAAUGAGGGCGCGUCCGUAGCAAUGAUACCAUCCCAUCGAGUCGUUGCUUUGAGCGUGGAAAGAAAGGGAAAAUAUGAUGGUCUGGACCACGAGGGACGACUUUGCUCAGCUGAAGAAAGGGAAAAGAGAGAUUGAUGAUGGGACUAAAGGGUAAAAACGACGAAGAAAGUUGCAAUAAUGGUGUCUUUUAACGAUGGCCACUCAUUUUUUCCUUUCUUCUUUAUUUGCUUCUAGUCUUUAAAUUCGAAGAGAUGAGACCUCCGAGGACUGCACAGAGGAGACUGAAAAUUUCCUCUUAAGGGUAUGAUUUAGAAAGGUUUUCUUCGUGAAAUUACAGAAAAUGAAGCCGAUUAGAUCUUGUCUUAAUUUUUUAUAUCAUUCUCUUAUGAAAUUGAUAAAUUAUUUCGAGAGAAGCUGUGAGGGUUCAAGACAGAGUUAUUAGUUGUAUUUGAGGAUGAAAAACACCAAGAAUAUCUAAGUGCUUUGAAUAUGACUAUAAUAUCCAUUACUUUGUUUUAUCUAUAAAGGAAAUGUAUACUGAUUUUCUCGUGGACGUCCGAUUCAUUUCCUUAUUUUGCGCAUUUUUUUUAUCCUUUGUUUUAUUUUCAAUAAUAAAUAUGGUUUAAAAAAAAUAGAAAACAAACCAAACCAUAUUUUAGUCAAACCAUUUUCUGCGGCUUGAUUCGGCUUAAUUGUUCUUUCUUCUUUUAAUUUAUCUCUUCAUCAUUUGAAAUUUCAUGAGAAGAAACCAAAUUCUAUGUUGAGACCCUUCCGAGGUGAGAUCCCCAAGGAAGUUGUUGGAUGGCCAAGCAAGUGCAAAUGGUCCCCGUUGCAAGGCGACACUUGCUCUUGGCAUGAUAGGUCUCAACUUGGUAUUUGAUUAAGAGUCGCAGCUAAUUUUUUGAAGCAAAUAGGAGUUAAGUAGAAUGCGGGAGCCCGCCUUACUUCUACAAAUCGGAGAUUUGUGAGUCUAGAGACUUGAUUAGGCUGGAUAUAUCUAAAGCCCAAUUUGGUACUUUUAUUUCUCUUUUAAAAAAAAAACAAUUAUUCAUGCAGUCUUUCCAAUUUUAGUUACCAUUUUUAUUCUCAAUGUUGAGCAAGGCAAGUGAUCUCACAUAAAUUCACUCAAGCAAACACAUAUAAAAUCCAACAAUACCGAAACAAAUCUAGCAAAUAAAAGGUACGAAAAUAAAGAACCCGAGCUGAGAAAAAAUCCAAUACAAAGCCUUGUUAUUAAGUUCCGGAAUAGGACCCCUUAAGCUAUAAAUAGACACUCAUUGUAAAAUUUCCAAAAUAAAAUAUGGCCCAAAAAUGGAAAGUAAAUAAAUGAUACUUCAUGAAUAUGUACCAUAUAAACUACUUUCCUAGAAUGAUCUAUUGCAUCUAGAAAGUAAAACCUACUUAAUGCAAUCUAAAGCGCAAUGCAACGUUAAGAAAACAAAAUCUGUUUAUGAAUAUACAUGAUUUCUAAAAUACAUUGCCAGAUAUAUAUAUAUAUAUAUAUAUAUAUAUAUAUAUAUUAAUGAAAAUGCAGUUCAUCUUUUUUUUUUUUUCUUUUCCCCUUCUUUAUGGAUAUUGUAGUGAACCGAAAUUAAACAAAAAAUUUACUAAGCGCUGAAAUAAAUUUGAACUAGAAUAUGUAUGCCAAAAUAAUAUGUAAUAUAAACCCGGAUUUUCAUGAAAAUUUGCACUACGUUCACUUGGAAUUUUUUUUUGGGUCUAAACGUUCACUUGGAAUUUUAACCUUAAAAUUCUUCCAAGAACGAGUCAUUGCACACCAGAAAUAAUGAAAACUAAAGUGACAUAAUGCUAUGAAUUACAUCGAAACUAAUCCACACUAUGCGAAAAUCAAUCGUGGAUGAAUACAUCUAUACAAAUUCCCCAUUUUCUCUCUUCCGCUUUUUACAUUUAACUGAAGGCAUGCCUGCAAAAAAAUUAAGUGCGUCUUCAUCGCUCAAGGCACCAUUCGCCAUCCUUAAAUUUAUACUUAAGUCCCCUGAAAUUUGAAACACUCUUAUCCUUACUAGCAACAAGUAUUCUAGUACCAUAAUACAAAAAAAAUUCACUCUGAUUAGUUUUUGAAUAUGGUUGCCCACAUCAACAUCAUCCAUUAUGAUUAGCAUCUAUCAAUGCUAUCGAUGUCACAAGUCACCCCUGAGUAAGAGUUAUUGGACAAUAAUUUUUCUUGUAGCUAGACUAAGCUCUUAGUUUUUGACGUUUCCCUCAUGUCAUCAAAAAGCUGUAGUUCUUUCAAAUGCGAGGAUAUAGCUUGUCGAAGAUAACCUUGGGGGGGUGCUGUUUUACUAAUGCUGCCUAUCCCCUAGAUUCGAAUGACAGCACGUUACCAUAACCGGUGUCUAAUAAAUUGUUUGUGGCUGCUAUUGGAUCCUCCAUUCCAACAAAAUGUUUGAUAACUUGUCUUUGUCUUGUCUUGAGCCUAACCCCAACCUCAUUAACAACUGACUUGAUAAGAUUCCCAUAGGUGCCACAAAGUUAGAUGGUUUCAUUUAAGAAAAUGUAACAAAUUUGCAUGUUGACAAACCAUUUACAUAUAUUAGAGCUCAAAUUUGCCUCGAUCCAUUUUGAAAGCGCAACCGUUGUUUGUCAAAAUUUAGCCGUUCUUUUGGAUUACAUGUUUUAGAAACAAUAACAUUACAUUCAUCAAUGGGAAGAGUUUUAUUACAUUCUUAAUGUGAAGAGCUUCCCCACAAGAUUAUCCUCCUUCAGAAAUUUACAAAAGAAGAACAAGUGCGUUUCAUUAGAAAAUGAGGAAAUAAUACACUAUGAAAUUCUUCAUUUGAACACUCAAAGCCAGAUGCCACCUUCAUUAGUGAGAGACAUCAUUUUGGACGAUUGGAUUGGGUGACUAACGGGAUUUAAUUGAAAGGUACAGACAUGCAAUUUCAUAGUAGUUGCAGCGUUUAAUUUAUAGUCAAUAAAGUUGAUGGCUUUAGAAAAAAUGAGAUGGAGGACACUUAUGAAGGUGUAGCUUUCAGAGGCCCAAUUUCUUUCGAAUUUCUUCUUGGUGCCUUUGGACUAUUGAAUAAAUAAAAGUCUGAUUUUCAAACGUUUAAAUCAUUUACAAUUAUUCUAUAGCUAUAUCUAUGGUUAAACAUAUUUAUAUAGAUAAAAUCAUAAUUUAUCAAUAUAAAUGCAUGAUAACAAAAUAUUCCUAAAGGGUCCCUCUCAUUAUGAGUUGGAUAAUUAAAGGAUUUUUCUUCAUAUUAUUGAGUUGGAUUUGCUACAUUCACCACCCAAAAAAGAGAGGGGAAAUGCCACUGAAAACCCCAAACUUUGCCUAAAGUGACAAAUUUACCCUAAACUUUUUUUAUGACAUGAAAAAUCAUAAAUUUUGCAAACCGUGACACAUUUACCCCCAACCAAGGGCAUUUUUGUCUUUUUAUUUUCUAUUUUUCCUCCUUCUUCUUCUUCUUCUCUCUUCCCUCCGCUGGCCAUGGCGGAGCCAAUGGAGGGAAGCCGGAGUUAGGCAAGGGCCGCCCUUGCUAGUGUCAGGUGAGGGUGGCUCUCAGUUUGAGGGCCGCCCAAUACUAUGAUAAAUUUGUCACCUUGAGCAAAGUUUGAAGGUUUUAUUAUGGUGUUUCCUAAAAAAAAAAAAGAAAACUCCACCUGAGCUUAUUCUUACUACUCACUAUGAAAUAUUUGUUUGAUCUCUUUGCCUUAAAGACGUACCAUUUAUCAUAAUUAAUGACCUUUAACUGCUCAAAUAUUGUCAUAAACGUGCUUUUAUAUUUAAAAAAAAAAAUCUUUUAUAACACUUAUUUCCUUAUUGAGAACUAUUAGAAUGUGAACGUGGUGUAGUCAGGGCCAUCAGCCAAAUCAAUUAUGUAAAUGUGGAGAUAUUUCUCGACCCAGAGCCUGAUCAAAUCAGAUCGGAGGAAAAUUGUGGACGCUCGACCUCUAUUCAAGAGUGGUGAGAGGAAAUGCGAUGAAGGCCUGUCCAUAGCAAUGAUGCCAUCCAUCAUGGUGUUGCUUUGAGCGUGGAAAGAAAGGGAGACCAUCAUGGUCUCGACCAUGAGAAACAGCUUUGCUCAGCUGAAGAAAGGGGGAAGAGAGAGUGAUGAUGGGACAAAAGGGGAAGGAAAGCGACGAAGAAAGUUGCAAUAAAUGGCGUCUUUUAAUGAUGGCCACUCAUUGUUUCCUUUCUUCUUCUUUAUUUGGCUCUAGUAACUUCUGUCUGAAUUCGAAAAGAGGAGCGCUCCGAGGACUGCACAGAGGAGAUUGAAGAUUUCCUCUUAAAGGGUUUUGAUUCAGAAAGGUUUCUUCGUCAAAUUACACAAAAUGAAGCCAAUUAAUUCUUAUCUUAAUAUUCAUGUGAUUCUUGUAUGAGAUUGAGAAAUUAUUUCGAAAGAAAUUAUGAGGGUUAAAGACAGAGUUAUUAAUUAUAUAUAAGAGAUGAAAAAUUACCAAGAGCAUAUAAGUGACAUUAAAAAAAGAGAAAAGGAUACACGAAGAAGUUCUUGAUUUGAAUGCCCGAAGCCCGAUGUCACUUUCGUUAGUGCGAGACAUUAUUUUGGACGAUUGGAUCGCGUGACUCACGGGAUUUAAUUGAAAGUUAUGGAUAGGUAACUUCACAAUACCGCGAAAAUGAUGGCUUGGAAAUGGGAGGCUCGCCUUCGGCCGCCUGUGGCUUUCUCAACAGUGUUGCGUCGAUUUCCAACAACUUUUAAGAGAUUGGAGAUGGCUGGAAAUUCUUCUGUGUCUUUUUUUUUUCCUCUCAUUUUUUAAGUCAGUCAUAUUUCGGGCCAAACCCAGCCCAAAACUAAAUUGAUGCCUAUCCAAGAGGACUUGUUUAGGCCCCAACCCUUCAACCGGGCCUGAAGUUGAUCGGGCGGGGCGUAUUUUUCAAUAAAAAAGCCACCCAUUUGCAACUAUACUUCCGAUUACUAGACGCCAAAGGAACUCACGAACUCAUUGCUACACCAUUCUUUAUCUGCCGUAGACAAACAAGCAUUCCUAUUCUGUAACAUAGAAAUGGCGACAAUUUAUUGCUUAUGCCCAUUCAUGAUGAAUAUUUUCACCAAAAUUCAAUCAACUAAUAUUAAAUUAACGCCAAUAACAACUAAUCACAAUAUUCCAGCAAUAUUAACCCUAAAGCAGUAAAGAUAGUGCUGAAUAUUAAAGCAAGGGAAAACCAACACCUGUAAAAUUUUACAUGAAAAACACAAUACAGAAAAAAUCACGAGACCAGUCAAAAUCUUCCUCUAAUCACCAAGAAUAGCAUAAUACAUAAUAGUUCAUCUCAAAUAACACAGAGGCUCUUUCACCUAAACAAAACAUUAUCACCACAAAGGUGGAUUAACAUAAAGAAGCAAGAAAGAUCUAACCGCUGCUAGACAAAAUCAGGAGACAAUUUGGAGAAGAUUUUAACAAACACAGCCGAUCAACUUGUAGAUCAUGGACUCAUGAACAGCAUAUGAAAUUUUGGCCAAUUCUGACAAAGUGUCACUAUCGAAUUUAGACUACCUCUUCUCUUCUUCAAAGCAAAGUUCUUCGCCUCUUUUUCUCUAUAACAACGAAUUGUUCAUCCCUCUCUUCUAAAUCAAGAACAUUCAGCCCUAUCAAUUCUUUUUUCUUUUUAAUUUUAUUUAACAUGAUGAGAUGAGCCCCACAAGAGGUGGACCCAACCCAACAAACUUCCCCUUCACCUUAUGAAGAAGUUUCAUUAUGCCAGCAUUAUCUAUAUAAGAAUCAAGUUUCACCAUUGGCAAGGUUUUACUCAUCAUAUUAAUCCAUUAUCAUCAGUGUAGACUUUCUCAACUAAGAAAAGUUUCUCAUCUAAUUUAUUUCGAAUCCAAUGACAAGGAUAAAGCAUUAGUCUGGGUAAAGCAACCAGAUGCAAUUCUAGUGAACAUCACUCUAUCUUCAGCAAUAUGACAAGGAUAAAGCAUCCCACAUAAUGCUGUCUUGUAUUUGCACGAAUAAAUCUGAUCUUGUCGGAGGCAAGACCGCUCAUCUCUAAAUAAUAACAGUAGCUACCAAAGAGUUGAUAUAUUUAGAGCAGUAUCAUGAUUCACUCUCUAAGGAUAAACACCCUCUAGAAAUGGAGAGAUUGGUUUCCCUAUAUCUUCUUUAGUUUGCCUACAAACCAUAAAUGGUGGAAGUUGAGAUCCAUGGAGUAACCUGACAAGCCUAAUUUUCGAGCCACUAAAACAUGUGUGUUUACAAUAUUGUCUCUUUUAUUACGUAACCUUUUUGUUUUAAUAGGGCUUUUUUCGAAACAUACCGACAUCAAAGGCACUUUUACAGCAAUAAUAUCAGGUUAUAUUAGUGUUGUGUUUAUCCUAGACUAUGUUGGUACACACCUUCAAGGAAAUUGAAUGAAAUAUCGACCGACUAAAUUAAAGUUCAACGCAACCAAAUGCUAGGCUCUUAAGAAAUACUGCCCAGUAGAGAGACUUAUUGAUUAAUAAAUUUAACCAAAGCUCUCUCCAUUUUUCUUUUACACUGACGGUAGGCUUAACAAUAAUAUAAUUUUUCAUUUAAUCAUAUUAUGUUAAAUAUUAUUUCCUGGCAACCAAAUGCAGCCAGUCAAAUUCAAGUGAAGAAUUCAAUAAUAAUCGUGCUCCAUUUGUUUCACAAAAAAUAAAUAAUUUGAAAAAUAUUUUCCAAAAAAUGAUUACAUUAUAUCUCUUAAAAUAAUUAGUCAAUAAACAAUGUUUUCAUUAUAAAUAAUAAUUUUAUGUCUAAACAUUUUGGUGAAUGAUGAAAAAAAUACUCUAUCAUUUAUUUUUAUAAGUGAUACAAGAAAUUGAAAGUGAUAUAAAUAAUAUUUUUUGAAAUUUCAAAUCAUUUAUUUCUCAUGAAAUAAAAAGAUAACCAAAUAACAUUUAGCCGAAGAAAAUGAGUAAUUGGGCUCAGCUUUCGUUGGCCCAAAAAUUCUCUUGGGCUAAAUGAAACCUUCGUCCCUCACACUGACGAAAGAAAUUCUCAUCUUUCAGUCGACUUGAAGAGCAUUUUUGGUUCUAAAUCGAGCUCAAACCUUCGUUUUCGCUACUCAUCUUCGUUUUCAUCUAAGGUCUUCGGGGAGCUUCUGUGAGCGUUUUUCACUACUAGUCGUUACGCCGCCGCUUUUGUUCUUCAAUUUGAUAUCUAUUUUGCUUUUUUAAGCCAGUUUUCGUUGAUGUCGCGACUGUUUCUUGCUGAUUGGAUCGUCUUCGACCUGGGGCCGGAUGGUUUCUAGCUCGGGUAGAAAGAAAAUGUCGGAGAUCUCUUGUGGUGAUCGAGAUAGAUAGUAGUGUAAGAAGGUGCGAUGAAGAUUUCAGAAAUGUUAAGCGGUAAUUGCUGAUGGGUGUCCGUGGAAUUACUUCCGUUGGACGUGCUUGUUUGUCUGUCUAAAUGGCGUGCUUUAUUUGAACUGGUGAUUAUUUUGUGCUUGAGUCAGAAAUUGGGAAUGCGAGCAAUUUGAGCAUGGACUCAUCUUCUCCAAUUGGGAAAACAGAUGUGCCUAGUUCCCUUUCUUCCAUAUUAAUAUACAUGUGAUUGUUCUAAACAAAGUUGAACACAAUCUGUUGUUAAAUUUAUAGGAUCGUUACGAUCCUUGAUGACCUCACGAAAUUUUGUAAUGGGGCAUGCUUAAGAUUUGAUUCCGUGUUCAUUGAUAUGUGGCGUCUUACUGGAAGAUUGGCGAGCUUGCUGGCAAUGAACAUUUCAAGUACAUACUGUGUUGAAAAGGUAGGUAUAAAAUUUUUACUACUCUCUUCUUGUUCUCUUGUCCACUUUCUGCCAUUACUGAAAAUGACUUGGUUUACUGGAUUUGAGUUUCUGGGUUUGAUCUUGCACACAGAAAAAGGAUAGUUUUGAGUCGUUGAUUAUGGAGCACUUGAUAUUGAAUGGAGCAUUUUGGGGAUAGAACACUGUAGAUCUUCUUGGAAAACUUGGCACUGUGGAUUCAAAUGAAGUUGUUUCUUGGAUCCUGCAAUGCCAGCAUCUGUCUGGUUUGUAUUUAUUUGUCUCUCAGCUUCUUUUUUGCGAUUACCCACCAAGAACAUGUGGCUGACGGAACCUCCACUCCACAUUCAGUCAAGUUUUUCUUAUUUGACAGUAUGCUUAAGAUAUUAGCUUGGGAUUGACAAGUUCCAUCUAUUACAUUGAUGACCACGUCUUAGGAGUGAUUAGUGUUGCUUUAUUUAUUUAUAUUCUAAAACUUGACUCUAAAGAGCAAAGUGCAAAUGACACUUAGGGCUGCUUGUGCAGGUGGCUUUGGUGCCACAUAUUGGACAUGAUCCGCAUCUGCUGUAUGCACUCAGAGCCGUGCAAGUACUGGCCCUUUAUGACAAAUUAGAUGUUUUUGACAUCAAUAACGUGACAGAUUGUAUCCUUUGGAAUAAAGUGUCUUAGAUUCGCAACUUCCUUGAUGAUCUUACCUUAGGCUCUGAUGUCAAAUGUUCUACAUUGUUGUGCCUGAAUGAAGAUGAAUCUUUUUCUGGGGAUAUAUGCGGAGAAGCUGAUGCUCGGUGUGUUGUCCUCAUCUUUGAUCAAUUAUUAUUUUUGUGCUUCUUGAGGAUGUUUCUUAAAUAAUUGACAUCCCUUCACCCCUUUUUUCCCUUCGAAGGUUCUCUCAUUGUGCUAUAUGCUGUCUUGCGAUACUUGAAUGGUUGGAUUCGAUAUGUGGAGAAUGCUGUCAGUUGCAAAACUUUGGAUGGCGGGUUUGGUUGCAUUCCUGGUGCAGGGUCUCACCUAAAAUGAUAUCAUUGCACGCAGCCUUCGCUUCCAUCUUGAUGGUAUAAUCACUGCGUAAACCACUGAUGUCUAUCUAAGAUAUCCCAAGACAACGCACUAAUGUCCUUGCUCUCUCAACUAAUCUAGCUGGUAGUAGUUAACAGUUGGAGAAAACCAUCUGGUCUAGCUAUAUCUACAGGGAACUAUUUGUUGCCGAAAUGCCAACUAAAAUUCCAAAAUCUCACCGUACUAUCACAAAAGGUUAAGAAACUUCAGAGUUGCCUAAGUUAUUAUUAAGCUACGAUCUUCACAAGACAAUGAUCUCCUUAGGAUUGGUAUGACUAUAGUCUCAUAUAAAUUGAAUACAGUUUAAUAUUGGUGACAGUGUAUUUCGAGAAUGUAAACUUGACCGUAAGGCAUACUUAUUGAAUUUCAUAAAUCAUCUGUUUCGAAUAAUUUUUCUUUGCAAUUCUUAGGAUCCUACGAUGUGCAGUUCAAGAAGUCUAGAUUCGGGAUACAGUAGGUCCGCAAUUGAUGGCAAGUUUUCCAAUCUGAAUAACCUCAGGACUUAGUAAAGUAGUAAUCUGGAGAUUAACAGAACCGCUUAAAUCCUUGAAUGCUUUGCUGACUGAGCAAGUAAACACACUUCAAACGUGUAAAACGCGCAAUGAGCAACGAUUGCAAAAUGCAUUCUCGUAAGCAGCCACGGAGGGCCUCAAUGAAUUGCAGUUUUUUCCUCUCCCAGUUAAGCAAUAACGGAAGUUCCUCCUGUCCACUGUCCUGCCCUUGAAUAAUAUAGAGCAAAUCUAGCAACCCAACCAAAUCCAGCAAGUAUGUCAUAACCUCAUGCUGAGCUCUUUCGCUGGUUUCUAAUAUCUGGCUGGUUUCUAAUAUCUGAUUGGUGCAUAGUAAGUCAUGUAUUUGCUUAAAUACAUUAUGGUCUUCUAAUUAUGCUCCAAUGAACACAUCCAAAAGAUAAAACCAAGUCGCCGCAGUUUUAAGACAUUCCUUAGGACUCUUCUUAGACAAGAGAAAGUACAAAGGAAUUGAUAAUUUCCAGUGGAGACUUAGGCAUAAAACAAUGAAGGACCAAGCAAGAAAAUUAAGAAGCACAAGAGCCUGAUCAAAUAUCUUUCAAUUCAAAUAAGAAGAUAUUUGCAAAACGGAGAACUGGAACGUGGGAGUAAUCGUGAAGCAAUAAGAUUUGGUGUUUCUACUUCAACGGAUAACAAAACCGUGUGUAUUUUGUGUAGCCAAUUGUCGAGUCGAUCACGUAGUAAAUUUGACCUGUGGAAUCCUCACCCAUAAGCAGCAGACCUCAAUAAAGCAAUGGAAACCACAACUGCCCAAAACAUGAAAGAAAAAGAAAAGCUGGACAUCCCAUUUUAAUUCUACAUGAUGGACCAAGAAGAGAAGCACUCGUUGCUUCUUUUUCAAUCAUCAAGAGCUCCUCACAGGUAAUAGACAGCUCCUCACAUGUAAUAAAGAGACAGUGGAUACUCAUUAAACCAACCAUUACCCAAACCUUAGAAUAUACUUACAGACGAACUCUUCAAGAGAAGAUGCUCAACAUCUUGUGCACAUGAUUAUGCUCAAUCGAGCAGUCCACGAAAGCAUAGUAACAUAACUAGACUAGGCAUACAGACCCUUAUACAACUAUUAGCAUAUGAAGCUAGAGCUAGAGCUCAAGCUCAUGCUUAAUAUUUAAAGAUAAAUCACACAAUUACAUUAAUCUAAACACCAACUGCCACACCAAAAAAAACACCCAAAAAAAAAAGAACAAAACCCUCUCUGUCCUCACCACUCUUACCUGUCCCUCCUCCUGAUUAGCUAGUGAUCCAGAGCUUGAGUUCAGGCCCAUGACUCCCGCCAUAGAUGAAAUUAAUGAACGCACCAAAUUCCUCCAGCUGAGCGGCGCUAAAGAAGAAAAUGUGCACUAGAGUGAAAAGUGGCGCUGGAGAAGGGCUUGAAGCUCACAAACCUGGAACUUGAAGCUCGUGAAGAAGGACUUGAAGCUUGUGGACGACGAAGAAAGAAGAGACGAUGGCAACCGACACGGCCAACGACGGACUGAAGUUCNNNNNNNNNNNNNNNNNNNNNNNNNNNNNNNNNNNNNNNNNNNNNNNNNNNNNNNNNNNNNNNNNNNNNNNNNNNNNNNNNNNNNNNNNNNNNNNNNNNNGCCGUUCGCCGCUCGCCCAAUCGCCCCUGACACCGCUCGCCCAGCUGCCCCUGACGCCACCCGCCGCUCGCCCAGCCGCCCUGACGCCGCUCGCCCGGUCACCCCUGACGCUGCUCGCCCCCAACGCCGCUCGCCCAGUCGCCCCCGACGCUGCUUGCCCCCGACGCCGCUCGCCCAGUCGCCCACGACGCUGCUCCCCCCCUGACGCCUAAGCACAUCAGAUGCCUCCCGCUCGGUCAGUUCUUACAACAAUUUGGUACCAUUUAUUGAAAGAAUCGAGUCAAAUAAUACACUUUAAGAUAGUUUGGGAUUGUGAUCAUAUCACAAUUUUCAUCAUGGGCUUGUAUCAUGUGAUGGGAAAUCUUCAAGUUGAAUAUCAGAUGACAGAGGUCCUCAAAGAUUUCUGUGGCACUUCUGCACCAUUGUAGUUCCAAGUGCUUAUUGAUCUAACUUAAUGUUUUAUUUUCUUUCAAGUACCCCUUUCAACAUAUCAAAGAAAUUUGAUGGAGAAACAGUAACAGAGAUUGUCUGUCCCCGCCUUGCAAGGAUUAGAUAUCGUGUUAAGAGAUUGCCUUAUGAUCUCAUUCUCCAUAUGCAGAGAUUUACAAUUUAUUUAUUAUUAUUAUUAUUUUUUAUUUUUAUUAUUAUUUUUUAUUUUUGGUGGAGAAGAACCCAACUCUAGUUAAAGCAGAAAUAGAAAGCAAGCAAAGCAGAAGAAACAACAAUGAUUAAUGAACAGAAAGAAGGCGCACCGUUUUCUGUAGAGGAUCCCCUGUUUCUGUUUCAAAGUUCGUUGUUUCAAUUUCAGAGCCCGGCGCUUGCUUUGUUCUGCUCAAAAUCUUCUCUCUGUAAGACUCCCAAGUGUCGAAAUAUCGAAUGCUGAAAAGUUCACUAUCUAAUUCAAUAUCGUCGGAUAACUUCUCGCGUGGUAUGCUUAUCUUGCAAUUAUCUGGUUUUUUUGAGCUCAAUACAUCAAAAAUCCUUUCGAAUAUGCACCCACUAAUUUCCAAGGAACAUGAAGACUUUAGUUCGUAAAUACCCUCAAUAACCUGCAAGCUGGGGCACUGGUCAAUGUUUAUCCACAAGUUCUCCAAGUUUGACAAACUGCCUAAGCUUUUUAACGAAGAGCACUGGUUAAUGUUUAACUGCUUCAAGUUCUUCAAGUUUGACAAGCCGCCUAAGCUUUUUAACGAAGAGCACUCACGAACGUAAAUUUCUUCCAAUGAUUUGAACGUAGAAUCAAAUUGAAUAUCCUGUACCUCAUGGGACCCCGACAGAUUGAAACUUCUAAGCAUCUUUCGGGAGCUUGGGAAAAGGAUCGCUUCCCUCCAAUGAUCAGUCAACUCGGGAGCUUGUAGUUCACUGCACCCCCGCUCCUCCGGGUGACGAACCAUACUCUUGGAAGAUCUAUGGACUUUUGAUCUCGAAGCAUCAAAAAUCCUUUCCAAUGAUCUGCACCCCCCAAUUCGCAACCAACGCAAAAACUCCAGUUCGUCAAUGCCCUCAACAACCUUCAGGCUCGGGCACUGGUGAAUCUCUAACCACUUCAAGUUCUUCAAGCUUGACAAACCGCCUAAGCUUUUUAAUGAAGAGCACUCUUUAACAGAAAAUUCUUCCAAUGAUUCUAACGGAGAAACAAAUUGAAUAUCCUGUACCUCUGGGAACCCCGACAGACAGCAUUUUAUAAGCAUGUUUAGGAAGCUGGGGAAAAGGAAGGCUUCCCUCCAAUGAUCAAUCAACUCAGGAGCUUGUAUUUCACUGCAACCCGGCUCCUCCGGCUGACAAGCCAAACUCUCGGAAGAUUUGCAGUCCUGAAUACGUGAUCUCUCCGACGAUUCUAAGACAUUGGGAGAUUGAACAUCUAGUUGCUCGUACGCCUUGCUUUCUUUCGAUAUUCCCGAACUUGUUGGAAGGAAUGGAGUCUCCUUUUCCGAUGGAGGAAGCCCAUCGAGUUGUACUUUUUUCCCUCUAGUUUCGUAAAGAUCUACAACCAUCAAGUUUGACGGAAGUUGUUUGAAAGGUGGCAAGUCCAUUCCGCGUAGAGUAAGUUCCUUCAGCAGAGAAAGGGAACACAACUGUGUAGUUGGGGCGCGGACAUUUGGAAAGGAAAAGUACAGCUUCCUCAGUUUGGAUAACAUGCCAAUCCACCGCAAAUCGCAAGUUUGAAUUGCAUUUGAUGUGUCUCUAAAUUCAGAGCCAUUGGAUAAGUGCAGCUCAACUAGAUUAGUAAGGUAUAAGAGGUUAGGGACAGUCAGCAACGAAGUAGAACUUAGCUUUAGAGUGGUCAAACAUUGGGGGAGUUCUGGCAACUCUUGUAUCCAACCACAAUCCAUCAAGCUUAGUGUUUGGAGUUGAUGAAACUUGCUGAUUGUACUGGGCAUUCCUGCAAUUGGUGUGCAUGACACAUCGAUAGAUGACAAGCUUGCUAGUCUACCAAUGGAAUCUGGUAAUCUUGUAAUUUUCGUGCCAGCUACACAUAACGUCAUUAACGACUCUAAUUUCAAAACCGAGUCGGGGAGUUCAAUGAAGUCCUGACAACUCUCAAGAGAGAGGUGCUGCAGAUUAUGUAACUCUCCAAUUUGUUUUGGCAAUUUUCUAAGACACCAACAUGACUCAAAACUCAAGUCAGUCAACCACCUCAGUUUUCCAAUAGAGCAAUCAAUUUCCUUCAAAGGAAAAAAAUUAACUAUAGUCAACUUCUCUAAAACUAAGUUCUCAGGAAAGGUUGGCAUCUCAUGUAUCAACUCAUUAUAACGAAUAGUGAGAACCUUCAAUUUCCUUGCCCCCUACAAAAGCCAACGAAACAUCAAGACGGACAAGAAAUAGAUAUGGAUUUGUGCUACUAAUGAGAAAAUAAGAUUAUAAAUCCAGCGGAUUUUGUCCUUCAUUGAAUGAGAAAAAUAGACUAAGAGGGAAACUGGCAUACCUUGAUUAGGCUCUCGAACGCAUCUUUUGUGAUAUCGAGCCCAGAAAGAUGCACCACAACCGCGUUUUCUAGAUGCAACAAAUUGGUUGCCUCCAAACGGUGAUUGUAUUGAGAGUUAACUACUAAAUAACGGUAACUCAAGCUGAACCAUUUCAGCUUGGAAAGACAGCCCGUAAAGUCACCUUGGCAGAUUACCUCAUCCAUCAUGAGAAGCCAUAAACAUGGGAAACGCUUAAUUUGCUCUGGAGUGACAGUCAUACGAGGAUUCCGUGACAAAUCGAGUGCUUCAACGCUGUUCUUGGUCUGCCAAUUCAAAGAAGAGAAGAAAAAACAAAACAGAAGAGUAGCUUCCGAAUCAAAAACGGGAAUCCUCAAUUAAGAAGAGGGUGUAAGAAAUUUUCUAGUCAAAUUUGGCCAUGCUUUACCUCUGUUGAUGUUAAUUCAGAAAUGAUGUCGUGUUCAUCCCACAAUCUGGUACGCUCGUUUUUGGCAAUUGCCCUUCCAAGAUCUCUAAACUGAUCGUGCAUCCAAAAUUUAUUGUCUAAAACCUUUAUCAUGCACCUCUGACUAAGGACUUGGAUGGCAAGCUGUGGGCAAAACUUACAAUCUUUCCACAUGUACAUUGGAUUAGUCUUAUUCUGACCAAUGAAAAAGCAUGCGACAUCGAGGAAUAUCUGUUGUUGUUCUAGCUCUAAGGCAUCAUAGCUAAUCUUUAACUUUCCCAAAACAUCCUUAUGAGGUGUCUUCUUUAGCUUCUCUAGUGUCUCUUCCCAUAUUCCAUUCUCUUUAAUAUUAAAAAGCAUUGAACCUAUUGCUUCAAGAGCUAAAGGUAGUCCAUCUGCAGUAGAGACGAUUGCUUUUGAAAGAGUGGAGUAAUUGGGCAGAGGAGAGUUGUCAUUGAAGGCAUGCCUACUAAAAAGUUUAAGUGCGUCUUCCUCGCUCAACCGCAUCAUUUCAUGCUCCUCGAAUUUGUACUUAAAUCCACUGAUAUUGAAAACACUCUUGUCCCUAGUAGUAACAAGUAUUCUAGUACCUGAAUACAAAAUUUUCUCUCCGAUUAGUUUUUGGAUAUGCUUGGCCUCAUCAACAUCAUCCAAUACAAUUAGCAUCUUCUUGUUGCAAAUUGUAUCUUCAAUAAUAUUGGUCCCAUGAUCAAUGUCAGAAAUGUAAGGAGCCGCUCCAGAAUAAGAGACAUCGGACAAUAAUUUUUUUUGUAGCUCAACUAAGCUCUUGGUUUGUGCCAUUUCCCUCACGUCAUGAAGAAAGCUGCAGUUUCUCCCAAAGUGAGGAAGUACUUGGUUAAAGAUAAUCUUGGCGAGUGUUGUUUUACCGAUGCCGCCCAUCCCGUAGAUUCCAAUGAACCGCACAUCUUUAGAAUCAAUGUCUAAUAAAUCUUUUAUGGUUGCUAUUCGGCCUUCCAUUCCAACUAAAUGUUUGGUUACAUGUUUCUGUCUUGUCUCGAGCCUGACCACAACCUCGUGAACAACCGCCUGGAUAAGUUCCGCAUAGCUGCCAACAAGUUGAGUAGUUUCAAUUGAGAAAAGGUGACAAAUUUGCAUGUUGACCAGCCAUCUACUAACCAACCAGGUGGGAACUCGAUCAAGUUUAGCAUAUAGAAGAGAAAUGUUUGAUCUUUGUAUCAAUUGGAAGAAUCGGAAUUUUUGGCCAAAAAGGGUAGAAGAAUCAAAAUAUAAACAUCUAAUGAGUUACUAUAAUAGAAGAUUUGCUUAAAUAUAAAAUGGCCUGAUUGUACAAAAUAAUUUUCAGAGUCAUGGUUAGAUUGUUACCCAGAAUAUUUCUCCAACUCCCAUCCCUUGUUGCAACAAACUUCUUUGAGAGCUUGCUGCCAUGUGUUUAUAUCCGCGGAGCUGAACUUAUUCUUCCGAUCCUCCGUCUCUUGCGCUAAAUUCGAUAUGGCAUCUUUGUACAACGGGGUUUUCAAUUUCACGUCAUCGGGUUUCACGUCGUAGAAGAUGGGCAAUAUGACCUUCUCUUUCCCAUCUUCUUUAUUUUUAGAGGUGUUCUCCACCAUCUUCGCAAGCUCGUCGAGGCACCAGUGACUUGAAGCAUAAUCUUUGGAGAAGAUGGGUAUGUAGAGCUUGGAAUUGUCAAUUGCUUGUAGAAGGUUGCCACUAAUUCUUUCACCUGGUCGAAGCCCUUCAUCAUCGAUGAAAACACUAAUCCCAGCAUUUACCAAGGCUUGGUGGAGGAUAUCGGUGAAUGUACGACGAGUAUCAGGUCCUCUAAAAUUCAAGAAGACCUGGUACUUACCUCCUGAUGGAUUGCUGGUGCUUGUUCCUGUCUCUGAGUUCACCAUCGGAGCUCACUUCGCACUUAGCAAGGUCAGCCCUCUUACUUGGUCUUUGAGUUUGCCAUAUGACAUUUCACAUAUUUGAAUCCAAUCCAAUUUGCCGUCCAAAACGCGUAUAGGCAACUUCGUAGCAGGUGCAAUUUCCAGUUUGCAAUCAAUAAAGUUGAUGGCUUUAAAAAAGAAAAAUAAGGCGGAGGACAAUUAUGGAGGUGCCCCUUUUUAUACGCCCAAUUUCUUUCCAGUUUCCCCUUUGUGUUUUUGAACUUUUGGAUUAAAAAUAUUUGAUUCUUUAUAUCUAUAGUUAGGCAUAUUUAUAAUCCCAAUCUAGAAUUGUAAAAUGACAAUUUAUUUAUAUAGAAAAACAAAUUAUUCCUAAAGGAUCGCCUCUUAUUCUAAUACUUGGGACUGUAGAUAAUUAGAAAUAUCUCCUUGUUACUAUAGAGAUUGGAUUUGCUGCAUUCUCUACAACAAAUGCUCUACCUAAGCAUAUACGUACUACUUACUAUGAAAUAUUUGUUUUGAUCUCUUUGCCUUCAAGACUUCCUUUAAUUUUAAGUCAUUUCCUUUAACAACUCAAAUAUUCUCAUAAAAUGUGCAAUUAUAUUAAAAAGCAAAUGAUAAUUUAUUUUCUACUGAUAACUAUUAGAAUGUAAGCAUGGUGCAGUUAGUGUGCAUUGGACGUUAAACCAAAUCAAAUUAUAUAAAUAUGAUAGAAUAUAUUUCGAAUUUGAAAUUGUUGGAUGAAAUAGGACCAGAUGAGACUUAUGGAUGCUCCACCACUAUUCAAAAUUGGUGAGAUGAAAUGUAGUGAUGGCCUGUCAAUGGCCAUGAUGCCACUCCAUCCUGGUGUUGCUGUGAGCACGAAAGAAAGAAAAAGAAACCAUGAUGGUCUUGACCAUAAGAGAUGGCUUUGCUCAACUGAAGAAAGGGAAAACGAGAUCAAUGAUGGCCAUUGCCAAUAAUCGACCGAAAGGGAAGAAGUCGAAGAAAGUCACGAGGACGAUGUCUUUUCAUGUUGGCCACUCGUUGUUUCCUUUCUUCUCUAUUUGGUUCUGCUGAAUUUCCCCUUUAGAAACCAAGAGGAAGAGCUCUCAAUGUCAUAGAGAGCUCCGAAGGCUGCACAGAGCAUAUUGAAAAGCGUGCUGAAAGUUCCUCUUGAUCACACCAAAUAUUUCUUUUCUGAAGCCUAUUAAAUCUUUUGUUGAGAUUUGUAUCAUUUCUUUAAGAGAUUGAAAAAAUUAUUUUGAGAGAAAUUUUAAAAACGAAACAUUGUAUAGUUAUUGAGUAUUAGAAACUAAAAACCACCGAGAGUAUUUAAAUGACUCAAGUGUGAUUAUAACUUUCAUUAUUUUUUUUUAUCUAUAAUGGAAUCUUGUGCUGCUAUCUUUGUAGACGUAAAUCACACGAUUGAAUCAUAUAAAUCUAGUGUCCGAUUCAUUUGUUGUUUUGUGCAUUUUAUUCAAUUGCUUUUUUUUUUCAAAAGGGAAUAUGGUUUGAAGAAAAGUGAAACCAAAGUAAAAGAUAUUUAAUAUGACCAGCAUUAGGCAUUCAUGAACAAAUGCAUGAAAAAGUAUCUUUUAUUUUCUUAAGAUAUCGAUAAAUAUUUAUAACCUUAAACUUGUGAUUAGUGAUAGAAUUUGUCCCAUCGCCUGCUUAACAUUAACUCUGAUCAUGAGUACGAGAUUCAAUGCAAUCUAUACGACCCGUUUCUUCUAAUGUCCCUUUGACAAUGCAUAGUGAUGUUCUUUUAUUGCCAUUUUCUCCGUUAAAUUGCGCUAGCCCGUGUGUUUCACUUUGACUCCUUCAUUUUCCAUGAUUUUAUAGUCAAAUAUAUUUUAUUUAUUUAGUUUUGAAUGCGAUAUAUCAAGAAAAUCAUAAAUUUGCAACUACAAUCUUGACAUAUUAAGUAUGUAUGUUUUGCAUGAUUUGACAUAGAUUUUCACGACAUUUGUUAGUGAUACAUUUUUUUUUGUUAGCAUGAUUUAACAUAAAUUAUUUUCAUAUUUCAUCUCUUAAAUAAGUUUUUGGUGAGAAAUUGAAAAUCAUUAUGAACAUUAUUCUUCGGAUUUUGAACCGUUGUAGUAGAAGUAGUGAAGAUCAGAUAGAGCCUAGCCGCAAUUUGGUUUGUUUUAUUUAUAUUUGUUUUUCGUGGCGUUAUUAGUUGCUUAGACUUGCUGACUAAAUUGGAGCACUGUACGAAGUCUUCGAGAGGAUGACUUGUCCACAUUUAUUUUAUCUCAUUUAUAACACUAGUAUCUAAAUCAUUCGACUCAAUUAAUACCGAUUUAUGCACGCAAAUCACUCCAUUCACGUGCAUUCGGUUAGCUUCAUUCACAAGAUUGUUAAGGAGACACCGGGGGUAAUGAGUAAAGGACACUGUGAUCAAAUAUGAACUAAACGUCGUUUCAAAAAUAGCAUUCAAAAUACACAUAAUGCAUUCAUGACUGUUUUUACGAACCCAACAUUUCACAAAUUAUGUAUAAAACAAUAAUCCUUCCAAAGAUAUGGCAAUCGGAUCAUAACUAUGGUCAUCUUUGAUGCGCAACUUUCUACAACUCAGCAACACCUUUUGAAAAUGCUAUGAACAUGUACAUCUUAUGCUUUCAAGCCAUUGCCUCAAAUGAUUGGAAUACAUAAAAGACGUUAAUGCUUGCUUUUUAGUAAAUCGGAAGGUCAUGCGAUACCAUAUUACAAGAUCCCCAAAAGAUGCCAACAUGCCAUUCUUUGAAAUCAUGUUUUUACCUUUUAAUUAAUCACGCAUGCUGCAUACAGCUUCAACAAAUCCGAAAGGUUUUAGGCAUGUGAAAAUUGAUGUUAUCGGACGAUUAGCUUUUGGACCUAUUUCUUCAAUAGCUAAAGGUAGUCAAUAUGUGGUAUAGACAAUGCCUUUGAGAGUGUGUGGCUGGAGGAGAGUUGUUAUCGAAGGCAUUUCUACAAAAAAGUUUAGAUGUGUUUAUUUUGAGUGCGCGCCUCAUUGUUCGUCAAAUUUCUGCCAUUCUUUUGUAUUGGACAAUUCAGUAAUAAUAACAUUACAUUCAUUAAUGGAAGCUUUUAUUACAUUCUUAAUGCAAAAAGCUUCUCCACCGUGUCAUCCUCCUUCAGAAAUUUACAGAAGAAGAAUCAAGGCGUUGCAUGAGAAAUGGAGAAAAGAAUGUCUAUUAUGAGAAAUAAACAAAGAAAUUCUUGAUUUGAAUGCCCGAAGUGCGAUGCCACUUUCUUUAGCGAGAGACAUCAUUUUGGACGUUUGUAUCGCGUGACUCAUGCGAUUCAAUUGAAACUUAUGAACGACAACUUCAUAGCAGUUGCAGCUUUCAAUUUAUAGUCAAUAAAGUUGAUGGCUUUAGAAAAAAAUGAAAUGGAGGACAAUAAUGGAGGUGAACCUUUUUACAAGCCCAAUAUCUUUCGAGUUUCUUUGUUAGAGCUAACACUAUCACCUAAAAAAAAGGUGAAUAGGUGAUUAUAAACAAUUAAAGCGGAGUUUAAAACAACCAAGUUCAAUAUCAUGAAAAACAAAAUCUAAUGAAAAACUUUGUAGUGAUUAGAUUUUCUACAACGUCUAAUGAAAAACUACACUAUAAUAAGACUUUACUAUGUGCAAUAAAUAGAAUAAAUGAGUUAUUAAAGAAUAGAGAAAAUCACACACAACAAUUAUAGUGGUUCAACUUAUGAUAAACCUACAUUCACUCUCCCAUGCUACAGCCUAUUAGUUGGAUUUCACUAUGAAGAAUUAAUAAGAGGUUACAAGAUAUGAACUAUAAACACUCAAGUUCAUGCGUAUAACUCCUCACACACUCUCAACUUCUAAAUAAUUAUACAAUGAUACUCAUAGAGACAAAUGUAUUUGACCGCAAAACACUCUUUAGACUUUGGAAUUAUAAGUUUUGAUUCUCUUGUGUUGCGUUUUUCCUUUUAGCUUCGAGACCUCCUUUUAUACUUCUCCCAAACCAAGCUAACCAUUGGACAUAUAUCCAAAAAGAUUAUCUAGCCAAUCUACCUCUUGGCCUGGAUCUCAUUAAGAAUGUUUGAUCACUUUAAGGAUGCCGAGAAUAAAGCUUCUCAUAGAUUCUGCCACUCAUACAGCAGUUUGGGUUUUCAUAAGUCGAGUGCUUCAACUUAGAAAGAAUGUUUCGCCUCAAGUAUAUCGUUCUAGGAAAGACGAGGAAUCCAAUCAGUCGCUGCUAACCUUUAUUGUCUCAUUCUAGCUGUUUGACAGAGUACAUAAGAAAGGAAAUAAUUAAGUCAUGACUCUGGUUUUGAUUGAUAUUGUCUGAUCAUACUUCGUUGGACUUUGCACUUGAAAAAUACUUAUCAUCAGAAUUAAAGUCUUUACGCUAGAUAAGUUUUGUCAAUCUUCAAAAUCAAUUUGGGAGAUUUUCUCAACAAUCUCCACUUUUUUAUGAUGACAAAACUUUCCAAGCAGAACUUUAGAAAAGAUUUUAAAAAGAUUUAGUAAUCAAAUAGCUCUAUUGAAAGCAAUAUUUUAGAUAAGGCACAAUGUGAAUUCUAUAAGAACUUUGCUGAUUUUGUAAAGAUAAGUACAAACUUCUUACAGAAUAUUGAGCUAAUCAGAGUGAAUAAGAUUUGUAAAGAAAUUUCUUGAUUUGUGAAGAAAUUCCUUACUCUGAUUAAGGAAGUUCAAGAUAAGAAUAGAUUCAAGAAAACUUCCUUUUUUUUUUUAUAUAUAUAGCUUCUCCUUAGCAAGAUCACAAAAGAUCUUCAUCUACAUAUAGUGUUAUGCUUUUCUUGCAUUUUCUCUUUCUUUUUGUCAGCAUCACAAAAGAGACAAUAAUAAUGGAAGGAGUAUCACAGAGAGAAUAUGCUAUUCAGCUCAUCUUCACACACAAUCUUCAAAACAUAUUUAGCAUGAAAAUUUUUUUUCAUAAACAUCCUAUAGAUGCUAUGGUGAACAUAAAAUAAUUGCAAUAUAGCUCAUGUUAUUAUAGAAUCAAAUACCAUAUGCAUCAAAUAAAUAUAUGUCAAUGAUAACAUAUGCAAUAUAUAAAUUUCAUAUACAUUUUUUGUCAUAAUAAAACGAUAAUGGAAAUAUGAGAUUUAUAAUGACAAAAGGUAAGUGAAGUAAGAAAAAUACUAACCAGAUCAUGUAGAAUUUAGCAAGUUCUAAUAUACAUUAUAUUUUCUUCCAUAAUCAAGAGGAGGCAAAAAUUAAAUUGACUUAAUCAGGAUUUUCUCACACUUAAUUUACACUCCCUUUCAAUUUAAUGCCUUUAUGAGAUGAUCACGGUUCUUCUCCUUUAUUGUGCAUCCACUUUCUCAUUCUUUAAUAAAUUUAACAAAUUUUGCGCCUAGAGGAGAAUUUUUGCUCCUUCGAAAAUGGUGUGGAAUCUUCGCGAUUUUUCUGAUCAAAUUUUCCAAAAUUUAGAUGGAAAGAUUAUUUGCCACCUGCAAUUUUUUGUAAAAGAGAUAACAAUUUGCAAAAUAUAGACAAUAUCACGUACUUUCCUUCCUUGAAUUCGCGGAUUAAUUUUGCCAGUUAGAAGAUAUGCUUCUAACAUAUAAAAGCACGCAUUAAUUUCUUUCAAGAUUAAAAAGAUUCUAAUGUUUAAAAGAAAAUCUGAUUUUCAAAUGUUUAAAUCAUUUAUAAUUAUUCUAUAGCGAUGGUUAAACAUAUUUAUAUAGAUACAAAUGGAAUUUAUCUAUAUAAAUGCAUAAUAAGAAAAUAGUCCUAUAGAAAAGUUUAAGUUUAAGUGCAUUUAUUUCAAGUGAAAAGUUUAAGUUUAACUGCAUUUAUUUCAAGUGAGAAGUUCGUCAACUUUCAAACUGUUUUUUUGGAUUGGACAUUUUAACAAUAAUAACAUUACAUUCAUUAAUGGGAAGAGCUUUUAUUACAUUCUUAAUGCGAAAAGCUUCUCCACCAUAUCAUCCUCCUUUAGAAAUUUACAAAAGAAGAACAAGCCCAUUACAUUAAAAAACGAGAAAAGGCUGUUUAUUGUAAGAUAUGACGACAAAAUUAUUGAUUUGAACACCCGAAGUCCAAUGCCACUUUCGUUAACGAGAGACAUCAUUUUGGACGUUUAUAUCGCGUGACUCACGACAUUUAAUUGAAAGUGAUGGAUAGGCAACUUCCCAGCAGCUGCGGCUUUUAAUUAAUAGUGAAUGAAGUUGAUGGGUUCAGAAAAAACCAGAUGGAGGACAAUUAUGGAGAUGUACCACUUUUUUCAGUCGGUCGAGAUGUACAAUUAUGGAGAUGUACCAUUUCGCACGCCCAAUAUCUUUCGCCUUUCUUCUCGGUGCCUUUGAACUUUUGAAUAAAAAAAAACUCCAAUUUUCAAAUGUUUAAAUCAUUUAUAAUUAUUCUAUAGCUAUAUCUAUAAUUAAACAUAUUUAUAUAGAUAAAAUCACAAUCUAUAUAAAUGUAUAAUAACAAAAUGUUCCUAAAGAAUAUCUCUCAUUAUGACAUAUGAGACUUUGGACAAUUAGAAGAUUUUCCUUCAAACUAUUGAGAUUGGAUUUGCUACAUUCACCACAAAAAUGCUCCACCUAAGCACUACCUAGCAGUAUGCUUACUACUUACUAUGACGUAUUUGUUUUGAUCUCUUCCCCUUAAUGACUUACUUUUUAUCAUAAUUAAUUACCUUCAACCCCACAAAUAUUGCAAUAUAUGUGCCUUUAUAUUGAAAAGCAAAUCUUUUACAACACUUAUUGUCUUAUUGAAAACUAUUAGAAUGCGAGCAUGAUAUAAUUAGUGUGGUUUGGACAUCAGCCAAACCUAAUUAUAUAAACAUUGAAAUAUAUCUCAAGUCGGAGCCGGAUUAAACCGGAUCGAAAGACUUUGACACUCGACCUAUAGUCAAGAGUGGUGAGCGGGAAAUGCAUGGUGCCAUCCCAUCAUGGUGUUGCUUUGAGCGUCGAAAGAAAGAGAGACCGCCCUGGUCUUGACCAUAAGAGACGACUUUGCUCAGCUGAAGAGGAAAAGAGAGAAUGAUGAUGGCCACCGCUGACACGAGACAAAAGGGGAAGGAAACGACGAAGAAAGUUGCAAUAAUGGCGUCAUUUAACGGUGGCCGCUCAUUGUUUCCUUUCUUCUUUAUUUGCUUCUUGUGAAUUUUCUCUGUGAAUACGAAGAGGAAGAGCUCUUAAUGAGAGCUCCAAGGACUGCACAACGAGAUUAAAAAUUUCCUCUUAAAAGUUUUGAUUCAAAAAGUUUUUCUUUAUGAAAUUACACAAAAUGAAGUCAAUUAAAUCUUGUGUUAACGUUUAGGUCAAUCUUUUUAUGUGAAUGAAAUAUUAUUUUGAGAGAAAUUAUGAGGGUUAAACACAGAGUUCUUAGUCAUAUUUGAGGGAUAAAAAUACAAAUAAUAUUUGAGUAACUCAAGUAUUAUUAUAAUUUUCCAUUGCAUUGUAAUUUCAUGGUUUUCAUUUCCUCGUGGACGUAGGUCACAUAACCGAACCACGCAAAUUUAGUGUUUGAUUCAUUUCCUUGUUUUACAUUUUUAUUCAAGCACUUGUUUUAUUUCCAACAAUAAAUAUGGUUUGAAGAAAAGUGAAACCAAAUUAAACCGUAUUAUAGUCAAGAUCAAACCAAGCCAAACCAUUUUAUGUGGCUUGAUUCGGCUUAAUCAUUCUUUCUGCUUUUAUUUUACCUCUUCAUCACAUGUAAUUUCAUGACUAAAAAAAAAACAAAUUCUAUGCCACAACCCUUCCGAGGCGAGAUCCCUGAGGAAGUUACCGAAUUACCAAGUAAGCAUGAAUGGUCCCUUUUGCAAGGUGACGCUUGCUCUUGGCAGGAUCAAUCUCAACUUGGUUUUCAUUAAUUAUUUCAUUUGCUCAAGAGUCGCCAUUAAUUUUUUAUAAACCGAUUAGGAGUCAAGUAAAACACAAGAGCCUAUUUUACUUCUACAAACCAGAGAUUUGUGGGUCUAACGACUUGAUUAGGCUGGAUAUGUAAUGUGCAAUUAUUCAUGCGAUCUUCCAAUCUUAGUUACCCAUUUUGUUCUCAAUAUCGAGGGAAGAAGGCGAUCAUGCAUGAAAUCACUCAAGCAAACACAAAUAAAAUCCAAUAAUACUGAAACAAAUAGAGCAAAUAAAAGGUACGAAAAUAAAGAAAUUGAGCCGUAUUGCAAAAAAAAAAAAAAAUUAAUACAAAGCUUUGUUCUUAAGUUUCAAGAUAGGACCCCUUGAGCUAUAAAUAGAAACUCGAUGUUAGAUCUCCAACUAUGGCUCCAAACCGGAAAGUCAAUAAAUGAUACUUCAUGAAUAUCCACUAUAUAAACUACUUUCCUAAAAUGAACAAUUACUUCAAAAACGUAAAAUCUACUCAAUGCAAUGUUAAGAAAACAAAAUUUAUUUAUGAAUAUGCAUUAUUGGUAAAAUACACUCCUAGAUGUUUUUUUUUUAAAAUUUUAUUUUAUGAAUAUGCAGUUUAUCUUUCCAUUUGUUUUUUUUUUCUUUUUUGCAUUUCCCCCUUCUUUAUAUAUACACGCACACAUAUAUAAGUGAAACAAAAUUUGAUUACGUGUUGAAAUAAAUAUGAACUAGAAUCUAUAUGCCAAAAUAAUAUGUAAUAUAAAUCCGGAUUUUCAUGAAAAUUUGCACUACGUUCACUUGGAAUUUUUUUUCUUUGGAAACGCUCAAUUGGAAUUUCAACCUUAAAAUUGCAUCAAGAACGACUUAGUGCACACGAGAAAAUAAAGAAAACUAAAGUGACAUAAUGCUAUGAAUUAGAGCCAAACUAAUCCACACUAUGCGAAAAUCAACGGUGGAUGAAUAAAUCUAUACGAAUAACCAAUUUUCUCUCUACCGCUUUUUUUAGGGCGCAGUUUAGCUAACCGUCCUCUGUCAAAUGAUGGAGUGACAGUCAACUAAUGACCACACAAUUCGCAUGGAUUCCAUCUUUUACCCUUUUUUUUUUUUUUAAUUUUAUGUUUUCUUAUUGCAAGCUUAAAUUGAGAGAUAAAAUCAUAAGAGGGCCCAUACAAUCAAUUUUCAUGAAUAUUAUGAAAGAAAAAAUAAAUUAGAUACCGAAAUAUAAAUAAUUAGAAGUAAAAAAUAUUGUCAUCCACUACAAAGAAAUCGUUCAUUUCAUUAUGUAGAUCUAUUAAAUUUAAAAGAUGAAAAAACACUUGAAUUGUUGGCUUUGCAACUAAUAACAAAAUUAUUGUGCAAUGAAUUGGCUUCUCAAUCAUGUCACCAAAAUCAAAUUGCUUUGGAAGGACUCUCCGAUGACCUAAAAUUAAGACGAGUAAUGUUAAUUACGCAUAAAACAAAUGAAGUAAAGAAAAAGAACAAAAUAAGAAUAAUGAAUUAGUAGAGAAGAAAAUUUACCCCAUUGAUCUCGUAGAUGAAGAUGAUUUGGGACCUAAAAUAUUACAAAAUCAAUCUUAGGAUCACACGAGUGAAAAGUAAGCCGAAAUGAUUUUUGAUCAAUUUUUAUAAAUAUUUUACCUAAUAUAGCUUCAAUGUUUGGUUCGUUGAGAAGAUUCACAUAACCAUGAGAUAUGACCAUAUAUCAUUUUAUAUAGAUAAAAAGUCAAUUUAUAGGAAGGUAUUUUAAAUAAAAUAAUAAUAAUACGUAUUAGCAACUAUUGAAAACCCUCAAUUCUUUCCUGAUUGCAAAUCAAAUUUCAAGAAUAGUUACGGUAACUCAUAUCAUCCAAAUUACCAAUUAUAUUUUGGUAUCUAAUUUAUUUUUUCUUUUAUCAUAUUCAUGAAAAUUGAUUGCGUGGGUCCUCUUAUGAUUUUAUCUCCUAAUUUAAGCUUACAAUAACGAAACAUAAAAAAAAGGGGUAAAAGAUGGAUUUCAACCGGUUUCCAUCCAAAAUGUGUGGUUCUCAACUGACCGUCACUCCAUCAUUUGAAGGAGUGAUGGUCAGCUAAGCCUUUUCCACAUUUUAACGAGGGGCAUGCCUACAUAAAAGUUAAGUGCGUCUUCAUUGCUCAACCCAACCCACCAAUUCUGAGAAAAGUCACACAUUUGCAUGUGGACAAACCAUUUACGUAUAUCAAAGCCCAAAUCUUUCUCAUUUAUUUCGAAUUCAUUUGCAUUGCACAUUGUAGAAACAAUAACAUCACAUUCAUUAAUAUGAAGAAUUUUAUUACAUUCAUAUUGUGAAAAGUUUCUCCACCAGAUCAUCUUCCUUUAGAAAUUUAUAAAAGAAGAACAAGUUCGUUUCAUUAGAAAAGAAGAAGAGGAUGUUUAUUGUAAGUUAUAUAUGAUGCAAUUCUUGAUGUGAACACCUGAAUUUAAAUGCCACUUUUGUUUGUAAGAGAUAUCAUUCUGGACGCUUCUACCCCAUGACUAACCUGAUUUAAUUAACAAUUAUGGACAGCUAACUUCACAGCAGCUGCAGCUUUCAAUUUAUAGUAAAUUAAAGUUGAUGGCUUCAGAAAAAGUGAGAUGGAAGACAAUUAUGGAGGUGUACCUUUUACACGCCCAAAUUCUUUCGAGUUUCUUCUUGGUGCUUCUGAACUUUUGAAUAAAAAAAAAUCCGAUUUUCACACGUUUAAAUCAUUUAUAAUUAUUCUAUAGCUAUAUCUAUGGUUAAAUACAUUUAGAUAAAAUCACAAUUUAUCUAUAUAAAUGCAUAAUCAUAAGUUUAAGUCUGUCUGCGGCGCUCAACACACCAAUUCAUAAUCCUUGCAUGGAUACUUUCGUCCCCUGAUGUUCGAAACGCUCUUCUUUUUUCUCCCUUGUGGUAAAAAGAAUCCUAGUACCAAGAUACAAAGACUUCACUCCGAUUAGUUUUUGGAUAUGGUUGCCCUCAUUGACAUCAUCCAAGACAAUUAGCAUUCAUCAAUGUUAUCAAUUUCAUUAGUCACUCUAGAAUAAGAGAUAUUCGACAGUAAUUUUUCUUGUAGUUGGACAACGCCCUUUGUUUUUGGCGUUACCCUCACGUCAUCAAGAAAGUUGCAGUUUUUCCAAAAGCGAGGAUAUAGCUGGUUGAAGAUAUCCUUGGCGGGUUCUGAUCUAUCGAUGCUGCCCACCCUGUAGAUUCCAGUGAAUUGCACAAUACCAAAACUAAUGUCUUAUACAGUGUUUAUGGCUGCUAUUCAAUCCUCCGUUCUAACUAAAUCUUCGAUCACUUGUCUUUGUCUUGCAUUGAGCCUAACCACAAUCUCAUUUACAAUCGACUUGAUAAGAUUCCCAUGGCUGCCACAAAGUCAGUCAAUUUCAAAUGAGAAAAGGAGACAAAUUUGCACGUGGACAAAGCCUUUACAUAUAUCGAAGCCCGAAUCUACCUCAAUUGAUUUCAAAUGCGCAGCUCAUGUUUGCCAAAUUUCAGUCAUUCUUUUGCAUUGCACAUUUUAGAAACAAAAACAUUACGUUCAUUAAUGGGAAGAGUUUUAUUACAUUCUUAAUGUGAAAAUCUUCUCCACAAGAUCAUCCUCCUUCAAAAAUUUACAAAAGAAGAACAAAUGUGCGUCGUUAGAAAAGGAGAAAAGGACCCACGAAGAAAUUCUUGAUUUGAAUUCCCAAAGCUCGAUGCCAGUUUCGUUAGUGCGGGACAUCAUUUUGGACACUUGUAUCGCGUGACUCACGGGAUUUAAUUGAAAAUUAUGGAUAGACAACUUCACAAUAGCUGCAACUUUUAAUUUAUAGUCAAUAAAGUCGAUGGCUUUCGGGAAAAUGAAAUAGAGGACAAUUAUGAAGGCGUAUCUUUCACCGGACCAAUUUCUUUUGAGUUUCUUCUCGGUGCCUUUGAACUUUUGAAUUAAAUAAAAAUCUGAUUUUCAAACGUUUAAAUCAUUUAUAAUUAUUCUAUAGCUAUUACUAUGGUUAAACAUGUUUAUAUAGAUAAAAUCACAAUUUAUCUAUAUAAAUGCAUAAUAAAAAAUUCUAAAGAAUCCCUUUCAUCAUGACACAUGGAAUUAUGGAUAAUUAGAAGAUAUUUCUUCGUAUCAUUGAGAUUGGAUUCGCUGCAUUCACUAUAAAAAAGUGCUCCACCUAAGCAUAUAUUUACUAUGAAAUAUUUGUUUGAUCUCUUUGCCUUAAAGACAUACCUUUUAUAAUUAUUAAUUACUUUUAACCACUCAAAUAUUGUCAUAAACGUGCUUUUAAAUAUUAAAAAGCAAAUCUUUUACAACACUAAUUUCCUUAUUGAGAACUAUUAGAACGUGGGCAUGGUGUAGUUAGUGCUAUCAGCCAAACCAAAUUAUAUAAAUGUGGAAAUAUAUCUCCAGCCGGAACCUGAUCAAGUUAAGAUCGGACGAGAAUUAUAGAGGCUUGACCUCUAUUCAAGAGUGGUGAGAGGAAAUGCAAUGAGGGCCCGUCCAUAGCAAUGAUACCAUCCCAUCGUGUCGUUGCUUGGAGCGUGGAAAGAAAGGGAGAGUAUGAUGGUCUGGACCACGAGGGACGACUUUGCUCAGCUAAACAAAGGGAAAAGAGAGAUUGAUGAUGGGACAAAAGGGUAAGGAAAAACGACGAAGAAAGUUGCAAUAAUGGUGUCUUUUAACAAUGGCCACUCAUUGUUUCCUUUCUUCUUUAUUUGCUUAUAGUCUUUAAAUUCGAAGAGAUGAGAGCUCCGAGGACUGCACAGAGGAGACUGAAAAUUUCCUCUUAAGGGUAUGAUUUAGAAAGGUUUUCUUCGUGAAAUUACAGAAAAUGAAGCCGAUUAAAUCUUGUCUUAAUUUUUUAUAUCAUUCUCUUAUGAAAUUGAUAAAUUAUUUCGAGAGAAGCUGUGAGGGUUAAAGACAGAGUUAUUAGUUGUAUUUGAGGAUGAAAAACACCAAGAAUAUCUAAGUGCUUCGAAUAUGACCUUAAUAUCCAUUACUUUGUUUUAUCUAUAAAGGAAAUGUAUACUGAUUUUCCCGUGGACGUCCGAUUCAUUUCCUUAUUUUGCGCAUUUUUUUUAUCCUUUGUUUUAUUUUCAAUAAUAAAUGUGGUUUUACAAAAAUAGAAAAAAAACCAAACCAUAUUUUAGUCAAACCAUUUUCUGCGGCUUGAUCCGGCUUAAUUGUUGUUUCUUCUUUCAAUUUAUCUCUUCAUCAUUUGAAAUUUCAUGAGAAGAAACCAAAUUCUAUGUUGAGACCCUUCCGAGGUGAGAUCCCCAAGGAAGUUGUCGGAUGGCCAAGCAAGUGCAAAUGGUCCCUGUUGCAAGGCGACGCUUGCUCUUGGCAUGAUAGGUCUCAACUUGGUUAUUUGAUUAAGAGUCACAACUAAUUUUUUGAAGCAAAUAGGAGUUAAGUAGAACGCGGGAGCCGCCUUACUUCUACAAAUCGGAGAUUUGUGAGUCUAAAGACUUGAUUAGGCUGGAUAUAUCUAAAGCCCAAUUUGGUACUUUUUUUUUUCUCUUUUUAAAAAAACAAUUAUUCAUGCAGUCUUUCCAAUUUUAGUUACCAUUUUUAUUCUCAAUGUUGAGCAAGGCAAGUGAUCUCGCAUAAAUUCACUCAAGCAAACACAUAUAAAUCCAACAAUACCGAAACAAAUCUAGCAAUAAAAGGUACGAAAAUAAAGAACCCGAGCUGAGAAAAAAAUCAAUACAAAGCCUUGUUAUUAAGUUCCGGAAUAGGACCCCUUAAGCUAUAAAUAGACACUCAUUGUAAAAUAUAAAUAUGGCCCAAAAAUGGAAAGUAAUAAAUGAUACUUCCUGAAUAUAACUAGAUAAACUACUUUCCUAAAUGAACUAUGCAUCUAGAAGUAAAACCUACUUAAUGCAAUCUAAAGCGCNNNNNNNNNNNNNNNNNNNNNNNNNNNNNNNNNNNNNNNNNNNNNNNNNNNNNNNNNNNNNNNNNNNNNNNNNNNNNNNNNNNNNNNNNNNNNNNNNNNNUUAUGAAUAUACAUGAUUUCUAAAAUACAUUGCCAGAUAUAUAUAUUUUAAUGAAAAUGCAGUUCAUCUUUUUCUUUUCUUUUCCCCUUCUUUAUAUAUAUUAUAGUGAACCGAAAUUAAACAAAAAAUUUACUAAGCGCUGAAAUAAAUUUGAACUAGAAUCUGUAUGCAAAAAUAAUAUGUAAUAUAAACCCGGAUUUUCAUGAAAAUUUGCACUACGUUCACUUGGAAUUUUUUUUUUUUUUGGGUCUAAACGUUCACUUGGAAUUUUAACCUUAAAAUUCUUCCAAGAACGAGUCAUUGCACACCAGAAAUAAUGAAAACUAAAGUGACAUAAUGCUAUGAAUUACAUCGAAACUGAUCCACACUAUGCGAAAAUCAAUCGUGGAUGAAUACAUCUAUACAAAUUCCCCAUUUUCUCUCUUCCGCUUUUUACAUUUAACUGAAGGCAUGCCUGCAAAAAAAUUAAGUCAUCCUUGAAUUUAUACUUAAGUCCCCUGAAAUUUGAAACACUCUUAUCCUUGCUGGCAACAAGUAUUCUAGUACCAUAAUACAAAAAAAAAUUCACUCUGAUUAGUUUUUGAAUAUGGUUGCCCACAUCGACAUCAUCCAUUAUGAUUAGCAUUAUCAAUGCUAUCGAUGUCACAAGUCACCCUAGAGUAAGAGAUAUUGGACAAUAAUUUUUCUUGUAGCUAGACUAAGCCCUUAGUUUUUGACGUUUCCCUCGUGUCAUCAAAAAGCAAGCGAGGAUAUAGCUUGUCAAAGAUAACCCUGGGGGGUGCUGUUUUACUAAUGCUGCCUAUCCCCUAGAUUCGAAUGACUGCACGUUACCAUAACCGGUGUCUAAUAAAUUGUUUGUGGCUGCUAUUGGAUCCUCCAUUUCAACAAAAUGUUUGAUCACUUGUCUUUGUCUUGUCUCGAGCCUAACCACAACCUCAUUAACAACUGACUUGAUAAGAUUCCCAUAGGUGCCACAAAGUUAGAUGGUUUCAAUUAAGAAAAUGUAACAAAUUUGCAUGUUGACAAACCAUUUACAUAUAUUAGAGCUCAAAUUUGCCUCGAUUCAUUUUGAAAGCGCAACUAUUGUUUGUCAAAAUUUAGCCAUUCUUUUGGAUUACAUGUUUUAGAAACAAUAACAUUACAUUCAUCAAUGGGAAGAGUUUUAUUACAUUCUUAAUGUGAAGAGCUUCCCCACAAGAUUAUCCUCCUUCAGAAAUUUACAAAAGAAGAACAAGUGCGUUUCAAUUAGAAAAGGAGGAAAUAAUACACGAUGAAAUUCUUCAUUUGAACACUCAAAGCCAUAUGCCACCUUCAUUAGUGAGAGACAUCAUUUUGGACGAUUGGAUUGGGUGACUAACGGGAUUUAAUUGAAAGUUAUAGACAUGCAAUUUCAUAGUAGCUGCAGAUUUUAAUUUAUAGUCAAUAAAGUUGAUGGCUUUAGAAAAAAUGAGAUGGAGGACACUUAUGAAGGUGUAGCUUUAGAGGCCCAAUUUCUUUCGAAUUUCUUCUUGGUGCCUUUGGACUAUUGAAUAAAUAAAAGUCUGAUUUUCAAACGUUUAAAUCAUUUACAAUUAUUCUAUAGCUAUAUCUAUGGUUAAACAUAUUUAUAUAGAUAAACUCAUAAUUUAUCAAUAUAAAUGCAUGAUGACAAAAUAUUCCUAAAGAGUCCCUCUCAUUAUGACACAUCGGACUAUGGAUAAUUAAAGGAUUUUUCUUCAUAUUAUUGAGAUUGGAUUUGCUGCAUUCACCACCCAAAAAAGAGAGAGGAAAUGCCACUAAAAACCCCAAACUUCGCCCAAGUGACAAAUUUACCCUAAACUUUUUUUGUGACAUGAAAAACCCUAAAUUUUGCAAACCGUGACACAUUUACCCCCCACCAAGGGCAUUUUCAUUUUUUUUUCCCUUCUUCUUCUUCUCCUCUCUUCCCUCGGCCGGCCAUGGCGAAAGCCAAUGGAGGGAAGCCGGAGUCAGGCAAGGGACGCCCUCGCUGACGUUGAGCGAGGGUGGCCCUCAGCUGGGUUAGGCAAGGGCCUCCUUCCCUAGAUCUGGCAAGGGUGGCCCUCAUUUGCGUUUGGUGAGGACGGCCUUCACCCGACGCCGACAAGGGCUUGGCAAGGGAGGCUCUUGCCGGACCCAAUUGAGGGCUGCCCUCACCUAAUGUUGGCGAGAGCAGCCCUAGCCAGCCCAGGUGAGGGCAGCCCUCGCCUGACUCUGGCUUCCCUCCACCAUGGCUGGUGGAGGGAAGAGAGAAGAAGAAGAAAAAAAGAAAAAAAAGUAACAUACCAACAUGCCCUAUAGUUUAUGGUAAAUGUGUUACACGAAAAUAUAAGUUCAGGGUCUUUUGUAUAAUGAAAAAAAAUUUGGGAUUAAUGUGUCACGGUUGGCAAAGUUCAUGAUUUUUCAUGUCACAAAAAAAAGUUUGGGGUAAAUUUGUCACUUUGGGCAAAGUUUGAGGUUUUUUUUUUAUGGUGUUUCCUAAAAAAAAAAAAAAAAAAACUCCACCUAAGCUUAUUCUUACUACUCACUAUGAAAUAUUUGUUUGAUCUCUUUGCCUUAAAGAUGUGCCAUUUAUCAUAAUUAAUGAUCUUUAACUGCUCAAAUAUUAUCGUAAACGAGCUUUUAUAUUUAAAAAACAAAUCUUUUAUAACACUUAUUUCCUUAUUGAGAACUAUUAGAAUGUGAACGUGGUGUAGUCAGGGCCAUCAGCCAAAUCAAUUACGUAAAUGUGGAGAUAUUUCUCGAGCCAGAGCCUGAUCAAAUCAGAUCGGAGGAGAAUUAUGGUCGCUCGACCUCUAUUCAAGAGUGGUGAGAGGAAAUGCGAUGAAGGCCUGUCCAUAGCAAUGAUGCCAUCCCAUCAUGGUGUUGCUUUGAGAGUGGAAAGAAAGGGAGACCAUGAUGGUCUCGACCAUGAGAGACAGCUUUGCUCAGCUGAAGAAAGGGGGAAGAGAAAUUGAUGAUGGAACAAAAGGGCAAGGAAAGCGACGAAGAAAGUUGAAAUAAUGGUGUCUUUUAAUGAUGGCCACUCAUUGUUUCCUUUCUUCUUCUUUAUUUGGCUCUAGUAAAUUCUGUCUGAAUUCGAAAAGAGGAGCGCUCCGAGGACUGCUCAGAGGAGAUUGAAGAUUUCCUCUUAAAGGGUUUGAUUCAGAAAGGUUUUCUUCGUCAAAUUACACAAAAUGAAGCCAAUUAAAUCUUGUCUUAAUAUUGUAUGAGAUUGAGAAAUUAUUUCGAAAGAAAUUAUGAGGGUUAAAGACAGAGUUAUUAAUUAUAUUUAAGAAAUGAAAAAUUACCAAGAGCAUAUAAGUGACAUUAAAAAAAGAGAAAAGGAUACACGAAGAAGUUCUUGAUUUGAAUGCCCGAAGCCCGAUGCCACUUUUGUUAGUGCGAGACAUCAUUUUGGACGUUUGGAUCGCGUGACUCAUGGGAUUUAAUUGAAAGUUACGUAUAGGUAACUUCACAUUACCGGGAAAAUGAUGGCUCGGAAAUGGGAGGCUCGCCUUCGGCCGCCUGUGGCUUUCUCAACAGUGUUGCGUCGAUUUCCAACGACUUUGAAGAGAUUGGAGAUGGCCGGAAAUUCUUCUGUGUCUUUUUUUUUUCUCUCAUUUUUUAAGUCUGUCAUAUUUCGGGCCAAACCCAGCCCAAAACUAAAUUGAUGCCUAUCCAAGAGGACUUGUUUAGGCCCCAACCCUUCAACCGGGCCUGAAGUUGAUCGGGCGGGGCGUAUUUUUCAAUAAAAAAGCCACCCAUUUGCAACUAUACUUCCGAUUACUAGACGCCAAAGGAACUCACGAACUCAUUGCUACACCAUUCUUUAUCUGCCGUAGACAAACAAGCAUUCCUAUUCUGUAACAUAGAAAUGGCAACAAUUUAUUGCUUAUGCCCAUUCAUGAUGAAUACUUUCCCCAAAAUUCAAUCAACUAAUAUUAAAUUAACCCCAAUAACAACUAAUCACAAUAUUCCAGCAAUAUUAACCCUAAAGCAGUAAAGAUAGUGCUGAAUAUUAAAGCAAGGGAAAACCAACACCUGUAAAAUUUUACGUGAAAAACACAAUGCAGAAAACAUCACGAGACCAGUAAAAAUCUUCCGCUAAUCACCAAAAAUAGCAUAAUACAUAAUAGUUCAUCUCAAAGAACACAGUUAGAGGCUCUUUCACCUAAACAAAAUAUUAUCACCACAAAAGUGGAUUAACAUAAAGAAGUAAGAAAGAUCUAACCGCUACCAGACAAAAUCAGGAGACAACUUGGAGAAGAUUUUAACAAACACAACCGAUCAACUUGUAGAUCAUGGACUCACAAACAGCAUAUGAAAUUUUGGCCAAUUCCGACAAAGUUUCACUAUUGAAUUUAGACUACCUCUUCUCUUCUUCAAAGCAAAGCUCUUUCCCUCUUUUUCUCUAUAACAACGAAUUGUUCAUCCCUCUCUUCUAAAUCAAGAACAUUCAGCCCUAUCAAUUCUUUUUCUUUUUUAUUUUAUUUAACAUGAUGAGAUGAGCCCCACAAGAGGUGGACCCAACCCAACAAACAUCCUCUUCACCUUAUGAAGAAGUUUCAUUAUGCCAGCAUUAUCAAUACAGGAAGCAAGUUUCACCAUUGGCAAGGUUUUACUCAUCAUAUUGGAUCCAUUAUCAUUAGUGUAGACUUUCUCAAGUAAGAAAAGUUUAUCAUCUAAUUUAUCUCGGAUCCAAUGACAAGGAUAAAGCAUUAGUCUGGAUAAAGCAACCAGAUGCAAUUCUAGUGAACAUCACUCUAUCUUCAGCAAUAUGACAUGGAUAAAGUCGCGACAUAAAGCAUCCCGCAUAAUGCUGUCUUGUAUUUGCACGAAUAGAUUUGAUCUUGUCGGGGGCAAGACUGCUCAUCUCUAACUAAUAACAGCAGCUACCAAAGAGUUUAUAUAUCUAGAGCAGUAUCAUGAUUCACUCUCUAAGGACAAACACCCUCUAGAAAUGGAGAGAUCAGUUUCCUAUAUCUUCUUUAGUUUGCUUGCAAACCAUAAAUGGUGGAAGUUGAGAUCCAUGGAGUAACCUGACAAGCCAAAGUUUCAAGCCACUAAAACAUGUGUGUUUACUGUAGUGUCUCUUUUAUUACGUAACCUUUUGUUUUGAUAGGGCAUUUUUUCAAAACAUACCAAAACCGACAUCAAAGGCACUUUUAGAGCAAUAAUAUCAGAUUAUAUUAGUGUUGUGUUUAUCCUAGACUAUGUUGGUACACAGCUUCGGGGAAAUUGAAUGAAAUAUCGACCGACUAAAUUAAAGUUCAAUGCAACCAAAUGCUAGGCUCUUAAGAAAUACUCCCCAGUAGAGAGACUUGUCGAUUAAGAAAUUUAGCUGAAGCUCUCUCCAUUUUACUUUUACACUAACGGCAGGCUGACCAAUAAUAUAAAGUUUCAUUCAAUCAUAUUAUGUUAAAUAUUAUCUCCUUAUAACCAAAUGCAGCCAGUCAAAGUCAAGUGAAGAAUUCAAUAAUAAUUAUGCUUCAUUUGUUUCACGAAAAAUAAAUGAUUUGGAAAAUAAUUUCUAAAAAAAUGAUACAUUGUAUUUCUUGAAAUAAUUAGUCAAUAAAUAAUGUUUUCAUUAUUAAUAAUAAUCUUAUAUCUAAAAAUUUUGGUGAAUGAUAAAGAAAAUAUUCUAUCAUUUAUUUUUAUAAGCGAUACAAGUAAUUGUAAGUGAUAUAAAUAAUAUUUUUUGAUAUUUUAAAUUAUUCAUUCUUGUGAAACAACAAGAUAACGAAAUAAUAUUUAGCCAAAGAAAAUGGGUAAUUGGGCCCAGUUUUCGUUGGCCCAAAAAUUCUCUUGGGCUAAAUGAAACCUUCGUCCCUCACGCUGACGAAAGAAAUUCUCAUCUUUCAGUCGACUUGAAGAGCAUUUUUGGUUCUAAAUCGAGCUCAAACCUUCGUUUCCGCUACUCAUCUUCGUUUUCAUCUAAGGUCUUCGGGGAGCUUCUGUGAGCGUUUUUCACUACUAAUCGUUACACCGCCGCUUUUGUUCUUCAAUUUGAUAUCUAUUUUGCUUUUUUAAGCCAGUUUUCGUUGAUGUCGCGACUGUUUCUUGCUGAUUGGAUCGUCUUCGACCUGGGGCUGGAUGGUUUCUCGCUCGGGUGGCAAGAAAAUGUCGGAGAUCUCUUGUGGUGAUCGAGAUAGAUAGUAGUGUAAGAAGGUGAGAUGAAGAUUUAAGAAAUGUUGUGCCGUAGGUUUGUUCCAGCCGUAAUUGCGAAUGGGUGUCCGUGGAAUUACUUCCGUUGGACGUGCUUGUUUGUCUGUCUAAAUGGCGUGCUUUCUUUGAACUGGUGAUUAUUUUGUGCUUGAGUCAGAAAUUGGGAAUGCGAGCAAUUUGAGCAUGGACUCAUCUUCUCCAAUUGGGAAAAGAGAUGUCCCUAGUUCCCUUUCUUCCAUAUUAUUGUACAUGUGAUUGUUCCAAACAAAGUCUAACACAAUCUGUUGUUAAAUUUAUAGGAUCGUUACGAUCCUUGAUGACCUCACGAAAUUUUGUGAUGGGACAUGCUUAAGAUUUGAUUCCGUGUUCAUUGAUAUGUGGUGUCUUACUGGAAGAUGGGCGAGCUCGCUGGCGAUGAACAUCUCAAGUACAUACUGUGUUGAAAAGGUAGGUAUGAAAUUUUUACUACUCUCUUCUUGUUCUCUUGUCCACUUUCUGCCAGUUACUGAAAAUGACUUGGUUUAUCUGGAUCUGCUACUAUUCAGCAUUUUGGAGUUUACUAAUUUGAGUUUCUGGGUUUGAUCUUGCACUCAGAAAAAGGAUAGUUUUGAGUCAUUGAUUAUGGAGCACUUGAGCUUGAAUGGAGCAUUUUGGGGAUAGAACACUCUAGAUCUUCUUGGAAAACUUGGCACUGUGGAUUCAAAUGAAGUUGUUUCUUGGAUCCUGUAAUGCCAGCAUCUGUCUGGUUCGUAUUUUUUUGUCUCUCGGCUUCUUUUUUGGGAUUACCCACCAAAAACAUGUGGCUGACGGAACCUCCACUCCACAUUCAGUCAAGUUUUUCUUAUUUGACAGUAUGCUUAAGAUAUUAGCUUGGGAUUGACAAGUUCCAUCUAUUACAUUGAUGACCACAUCUUAGGAGGGAUUAGUGUUGCUUUAUUUAUUUAUAUUCUAAAACUUGACUCUAAAGAGCAAAGUGCAAAUGACACUUAGGGCCUGCUUGUGCAGGUGGCUUUGGUGCCAAAUAUUGGACAUGAUCCGCAUCUGCUGUAUGCACUCAGAGCCGUGCAAGUACUGGCCCUUUAUGACAAAUUAGAUGUUUUUGACAUCAAUAAUGUGACAGAUUGUAUCCUUUGGAAUAAAGUGUCUUAGAUUCGCAACUUCCUUGAUGAUCUUACCUUAGGCUCUGUUUUGCAUGUAAAAGGUCAGAUUAUGUUAUGGAAUUUUAUAGUGUGUAUAUUGCUAGCCAGACAUUGAUGGAGAUUGAAGUUGCUACUGUUGGAUUAUCUCUGGUAUCAAAUGUUCUACAUUGUUGUGCCUGAACGAAGAUGAAUCUUUUUCUGGGGAUAUAUGCGGAGAAGUUGAUGCUCGGUGUACUGUCCUCAUCUUUGAUCAAUUAUUAUUUUUGUGCUUCUUGAGGAUGUUUCUUAAAUAAUUGACAUCCCUUCACCCCUUUCUUCCCUUCGAAGGUUCUCUCAAUGUGCUAUAUGCUGUCUUGCAAUACUUAAACGGUUGGAUUCGAUAAAUGUGGAGAAUGCUGUCAGAUAUAUAGUGAGUUGCAAAACUUUGGAUGGCGGGUUUGGUUGCAUUCCUGGUGCAGGGUCUCACCUGAAAUGAUAUCAUUGCACGCAGCCUUCGCUUCCAUCUUGAUGGUAUAAUCAUGGCGUAAACCACUGAUGUCUAUCUAAGAUAUCCCAAGACAACGCACUAAUGUCCUUGCUCUCUCAACUAAUCUAGCUGGUAGUAGUUAACAGUUGGAGAAAACCAUCUGGUCUAGCUAUAUCUACAGGGAACUAUUCGUUGCCAAAAUGCCAACUAAAAUGCCAGAAUCUCACCAUACUAUCACAAAAGGUAAAGAAACUUCAGAGUUGCCUAAGUUAUUAUUAAGCUACGAUCUUCACAAGACAAUGAUCUCCUUAGGAUUGGUAAGAUUAUAGUCUCAUAUAAGUUGAAUACAGUUUAAUAUUGGUGACAGUGUAUUUCGAGAAUGUAAACUCGACUGUAAGGCAUACUUAUUGAAUUUCAUAAAUCAUCUGUUUCGAAUAAUUUUUCUUUGCAAUUCCUAGGAUCCUAUAAUGUGCGGUUCAAGAAGUCUAUAUUCGGGACACAGCAGGUCCACAAUUGAUGGCAAGUUUUCCAAUCUGAAUAACCUUAGGACUUAGUAAAGUAGUAAUUAGGAGAUUAACAAAACCGCUUAAAUCCUCGAAUGCUUUGCUAACUGAGCAAGUAAACACACUUCAAACGUGUAAAACCCGCAAUGAGCAACGAUCGCAAAAUGCAUUCUCAUAAGCAGCCACGGAGGGCCCCAGUGAAUUGCAGUUCUCUCCUCUCCUAGCUAAGCAAUAACGGAAGUUCCUCCAGUCCACUGUCCUACCCUUGAAGAGCAAAUCUAGCAACCCAACCAAAUCUAGCAAGUAUGUCAUAACCUCAUGCUGAGCUCUUUCACGGGUUUCUAAUAUCUGAUUGGUGCAUAGUAAGUCGUGUAUUUGCUUAAAUACAUAGUGGUCUUCUAAUUAUGCUCCAAUGAACACAUCCAAAAGAUAAAACCGAGUCGCCACAGUUUUAAGACAUUCUUUAGGACUCAUCUUAGAAGAGAGAAAGUACAAAGGAAUUGAUGAUUUCCACUGGAGAAUUAGGCAUAAAACAAUGAAGGACCAAGCAAGAAAAUUAAGAAGCACAAGAGCCUGACCAAGCACCUUGCUACUAAGUGGCUCACUUUUCUCUCUUCUUUCAAUUCAAAUAAGAAAAUAUUUGCAAAACAGAGAACUGGAACGUGGGAGUAAUCAUGAAGCGAUAAGAUUUGGUGUUUCUACUUCAACGGAUAACAAAACCUGUGUGUAUUUUGUGUAGCCAAUUGUCGAGUCGAUCACGUAGUAAAUUUGACCUGUGGAAUCCUCAACCAUAAGCAGCAGACCUCAAAUUAGCAAUGGAAACCAAAACUGCCCAAAACAUGAAAGAAAAAAAAAAAAAACCGGACAUCCCAUUUUAAUUCUACAUGAUGAACCAAGAAGAGAAGCACUAGUUACUUCUUUUUCAAUCAUCAAGAGCUCCUCACAGGUAAUAGACAGCUCCUCACAUGUAAUAAAGAGACUGUGGAUACUCAUUAAAGCGACCAUUAACCAAACCUUAGAAUAUACUUAUAGACAAACUCUUCAAGAGAAGAUGCUCAACAUCUUGUGCACAUGAAUACGCUCAAUCGAACAGUCCACAAAAGCAUAGUAACAUAACUAGACUAGGCAUACAGACCCUUAUACAACUAUUAGCAUAUGAAGCUAGAGCUAGAGCUCAAGCUCAUGCUUAAUAUUUAAAGAUAAAUCACACAAUUACAUUCAACUAAACACCAACUGCCACACCAAAAAACACACCCAAAAAAAAAAAAAAAACCCAACUGCCCCACCACUCUUACCUGUUCUUCAGUGAUUAGCUAGUGAUCCAGAGCUCAGGUCCAUGACUCCCGCCACUGAUGAAAUUAAUGAAUGCACCAAAUUCCUCCAGCUGAGCGGCACUAAAGAAGAAAAUGUGCACUAGAGUGAAAAGUGGCACUGGAGAAGGACUUGAAGCUCACAGACCUGGAACUUGAAGCUCGCGAAGAAGGACUUGAAGCUUGUGGGCGACGAAGAAAGAAGAGAUGAUGGCAACCGACACGGCCAACGACGGACUGAAGUUCGAGAGGAGCGAGUAGCAUCGUGGAUUGAAUGACAGCGAUUUGCUUGUGCAGCGAGAGAGAGGAAGAAGAAAACAUGAAAAAGAACCCUAAUCCCAAUUCAAUCCAUCGUUCACGAAUAAUCAUCCAACUUUCUUUUCCCUUUUUGUUUUGCCGACUCUGUCUGCAGAAGGAAACGAUAAGUGAGUUGAGGUGAGGUCUCUUGGGCCUAAAAAUUUCUCUUAAGAAAGGCCCUUUUGUUAUGGAUGGUGAGGGAUGUAAGAUCCCCAACCUCGCCACCGAAGUGGACACACACAACAUAUGGAGCUUCCCAGUAAGAUGGGAAAUUUAAUAAGAUUUUUCUUGGUUGCGCGUUUUAGAAUCAGUUCAUUGUCUCUCUUCACUAGACUAAAGCAGAAAUAGAAAGCAAGCAAAGCAGAAGAAAAAACGUAUGAUCUACGAAUAGAAAGAAGGCGCACCGUUUUCUGUAGAGGAUCCCCUGUUUCUGUUUCAGAGUUCGUUGUUUCAAUUUCAGAGCCGCGCUUGCUUUUUUCUGCUCAAAAUCUUCUCUCUGUAAGACUCCCAAGUGUCGAAAUAUUCAGUGUAGCCAAGUUCACUAUCGUCUUCACUAUCGUCUUCACUAUCGUCGGAUGACUUCUCGCGUGGUAUGAGUAUCUCGCAAUUUUCUGGUUCUUUUGAGCUCAAUACAUCAAAAAUCCUUUCGAAUAUGCACCCACUAAUUUCCAAGGAACAUGAAGACUUUAGUUCGUAAAUGCCCUCAAUAUGCUGCAGGCUGGGGCACUGGUCAAUCUUUAUCCGCAAGUUCUUCAAGUUUGACAAACUGCCUAUCCUUUUUAACGAAGAGCACUGGUCAAUCUCUAACUGCUUCAAGUUCUUCAAGUUUGACAAACCGCCUAGGCUUUUUAACGAAGAGCACUCAUGAACGUAAAUUUCUUCCAAUGAUUUGAACGUAGAAUCAAAUUGAAUAUCCUGUACCUCAUGGGACCCCGACAGACUGAACCUUCUAAGCAUCUUUUGGGAGCUUGGGAAAAGGAUCGCUUCCCUCCUAUGGUCAGUCAACUCGGGAGCUUGUAGUUCACUUUUCCCCCGCUCCUCCGGGUGACAAACCUUACUCUUGGAAGAUCUGCGGAUUUUUGAGCUCGAAGCAUCAAAAAUCCUUUCCAAUGAUCUGCACCCCCCAAUUUCCAACCAACGCAAAAACUCCAGUUCGUCAAUGCCCUCAACAACCUUCAAGCUCGGGCACUGGUGAAUCUCUAACCGCUUCAAGUUCUUCGAGCUUGACAAACCGCCUAAGGUUUUUAAUGAAGAGCACUCUUUAACAGAAAAUUCUUCCAAUGAUUCUAACGGAGAAACAAAUCGAAUAUCCUGUACCUCUGGGAACCCCGACAGACAGCAUUCUAUGAGCAUGUUAAGGGAGCUGGUGAAAAGGAAGGCUUCCCUCCGAUGAUCAAUUAACUUGGGAGCUUGUUGUUCGUUGCACCUCGGCUCCUCCGGCUGACAAACCAACCUCUCGGAAGAUCUGCAGUCCUGAAUGCGUGAUCUCUCCAACGAUUCUAAGACAUCGGGAAAUUGAACAUCAUGUUGCUCGCACACCUUGUUUUCUCUCGAUUUUCUCAAUGGAGGAAGCCCGUCAAGGUGUUCUUGUUUCCCUCGAGUUUCGUAGAGCUUUAAAAUUAUCAAGUUUGACGGAAGCUCUUCAAAAGUUGGCAAGUCUAGUCCAUGUAGAGUAAGUUCUUUCAGCUGAGAAAGGGAAGACAGCUCUGUAGUUGGUGCGCGGACAUUUGGAAAGCGAAUGUGCAGCUUGCUCACUUUGGUUAAACUCCCAAUCCACCCCAAGUUGCCAGUUUGGAAUUCAUUUGAUGGGUGUCUAUGUCCAUAGCGACCAGAUAGGAACAGUUCAACUAGAUUAGUAAGGUAUGAGAGGUUAGGGACAGUCUGCAAUGAAUCAGAUGCCCAUUGUAGAGUGGUCAAACUUCUGGGGAGUUCCGGCAGUUCUUCAAUUUUUGUGGCUGAUGCAUUGAUAAAUAACAGGCUUCGUAGUCUACCAAUGGAAUUAGGUAAUCUUGAAAUACUUGUGCCAAAUACAUCCAGUUUCAUUAACUUCUCUAAUUUUGAAACUGAGUCAGGAAGUUCAAUCAGGUCAAAACAACUAUUAAGAGAGAGAUGUUGCAGAUUCUGUAGCUUUCCAAUCUGUUCAGGCAAUUUUCUCAGUCUGUAACAGGAUUUAAUUAUCAAGUGAGUCAGCCACUUUAGCUUCCCAAUAGAGUGGUCAAUUCGCAUCAAAGACCAAAAUGAAGAAAUAGCCAACUCCUCUAAAACUGAGUCCUCAGGAAAGGUUGGUAUCUCAUUUAUCAACCCAUUGUACCUAAUAGUGAGAACCUUCAAUUUCCUUGCCCCCUACAAAAGCCAAUGAAACAUCAGGACCAAAAAGAAAUAAAUAUGGAUGUAGGCUACCAACGAGAAAAUUAGAUUAUAAAUCCAUCAUAUUUUGUCCUUCGUUGAAUGAGAAAAUUAGACUCAGAGGGAAACUGGCAUACCUCGAUUAGGCUUUGAAGCACAUCUUCUGUGAUAUCAAGCCCACUAAGAUUCACCACAACUGCGUUUUCUAGAUGCAACAGAUUGGUUGCCUCCAAACGUUUAUUGGAGGGGGCAUGGGUACGAUCAAAAUAACUGUAACUCAAAUCGAUCAAUCUCAAAUCGGAAAGACAGCCCGUAAAGUCACCUUGGCAGAUUACCUCACGCAACCAAAGAAUCCGCAAAUGCGGGAACCGCUUAAUUUGCUCCGAAGUGAUGAUUUCAUCAUCUGCCCACAAACGAAGAGAUUGAACGCUUCCCUUAAUCUGCCAAUGACAUUGAGGAGCAGAAGCAGGAAUUUGUCAAUAUCCCCCUAUGUUAUUUCUUAGAAGAGAAGAAAAACCGAAACAAAAGAGUGGCUACCAAAUAAAAAACGGGAAUCCUCAAUUAAGAAGAGGGUAUAAACAAUUUCUAUUCAAAUUUGGCCAUACUUUACCUCUGUUGAUCUUAAUUCGCGAAUGAUGUCAUCUUUAUCCCACAAUCUAGCACCCUCUUUUUUGGCAAUUGCUCUUCCAAGAUCUCUAAACUGAUCAUGCAUCCCAAAUCUAUCAUCAUCUAAAAAUAUCAUGCACCUCAUAGUAAGGAGCUUGAUGGCAAUCCUCACGGAAAACUGACAAUCUUUCCACAUGUACAUUGCAUUAGUCUUUUUCUGUCCAAUGAAAAAGCAUGCAAUAUCGAGGAAUAUUUUUUGUUGAUCCAAAUCUAAGGCAUCAUAGCUAAUCCUUAGCUUUUCCAAGACAUCAUUAUGAGGUGUUUUCUGUAGCUUCUCUAGCCACUCUCCCCAUAUUUCUUCUUCUUCCUCACCAAAAAGCGAUGAACCUAUUGCUUUAAGAGCUAAAGGUAGUCCAUUUGCAGUAGAGACAAUCCUUUCUGAAAGAGUGUAGUAAUUGCGUGGAGGAGAGUCGUCAUCGAAGGCAUGCUUACUAAAAAGUUGAAGUGCAUUUUCCUUGCUUAAUGGCACCAUUUCAUAUUCCUUGAAUUUACACUUUAAUCCCCUUUUAUUAUUCAGAAUACUCUUGUCCCUAGUAGUAACAAGUAUCCUAGUACCUCCUGGAUACAAUAUAUUCUCUCCAAUUAGGUUUUUGAUUUGGUCGGCUUUAUCAACAUCAUCCAAUACAAUUAGCAUCUUCUUCCUGCAAAUUUUUUUUUCAAUCAAACGAAUUCCAUGACCAAUGUUAAAAAUGUUAGGAGCCACUUCAGGAUAAUAGAUAUCGGACAAUAUUUUUUGUUGCAGCCUGACAAUGCCAUUGAUUUUUGCCAUUUCCCUCACGUUAUCAAGAAAGCUGCAAUUUCUCCCAAAGCGAUGACAUAGUUUGUUGAAAAUAGUCUCAGCAAGUGUUGUUUUACCGAUGCCGCCCAUGCCAUAGAUUCCAAUGAGCCGCACACCAUCGGAAUCAAUGUCUAAUAAAUCUUCUAUGGCCACUGCUCGAUCCUCCAUUCCAACUAAAUCUUUGGAUACUUUUAUUUCUCUUAUGGCCACUGUUCGAUCCUCUAUUCCAACUAAAUCUUUGGGUACUUUUAUUUCUCUUGUCUCAAGCAAGACCGCUACCUUGUCAACAAUCGCUUGGAUAACUUCUGUGUAGCUGCCACAAAGUUGAAUAGUUUCGAUUGAGAAAAGGUGACAAAUUUGCAUAUUGACCAACCAUCUACUAAGCAACCGGGUGGGAGCGUAAUCAAGUUUAGGAUAAAUCACAAUUCAACGUUAGCCCCCAAAGCUUUGGGAACAUGAUGAAUUACAAACUUGAACAUCCAUUACAAGUUUAAGGAAUAGAGUACGAGAAAUAUUUGAUUUUAUAUCAAGUAAUCGAAUCAAAAUUUCUAGCAAAAAGGGUAGAAGAAUCAAAAUAUAAACAUCUAAUGAAUUGCUGUAAUAGAAUAUUUACUUAUUUCUUUGGACGUGUAAAAGAACUUUGCAAAUGCAACAGUUCCAUAAUCAAGUUCUCUUGCAUACAAUGGGAAUCUUAAUACAUACAUGGAUCAAAGACGAAGCAAAGCCAAAUUUUUCAUACGAUGGAAAAUAGGUGAAAAACGAAAUUAUAAUAACCCUAUUGGGUCAGAAUUUUUUUUUGGAAAUCUCGUGAUUUACAAAAAUAAAAAGAAGAAUUUGAAACUUUCUGUUUAAAUUUGCAAAAACUAGAGUUGUAAUGUAAUUAAAUAAUUUUUAUAAGAAUUAUGGCCCAAUCGUACAAAAUAAUUUUCAGUCAUGGUUAGAUUGCUACCCUGGAUAUUUUGCCAACUCCCAUCCCUUGAUGCCACCAACUUCUUUGAGAGCCUGCUGCCAGGUCUGUAUAUCCUCGGAGUUGAACUUAUUCUUUUGACCCAAAUUCGAUAUGGCAUUCUUGUACAAUUCAGUUUUUAACUUCACGUCUUCGGGUUUCACGUUGUAGAAGAUGGGCAAUAUGACCUUCUUCUUCCCCUCUUCUUUAGAUUUAGCAGUGUUCUCCACCAUCUUCGUGAGCUCGUUGAGGCACCAGUGACUUGAAGCAUAGUCUUUGGAGAAGAUGGGUAUGUAGAGCUCGGAGUUGUCGAUUGCUUGUGGAAGGUUGUCACUAAUUCUUUCACCAAAUUGAAGUUCCUCAUCAUCAAUGAAAACACGAAACCCAACACGUAACAAGGCGUGGUAGAGGCUAUUGGUGAUGUACGGCGAGUAUCAGGUCCCCUAAAACUCAAGAACACGUGAUACAAACCUCCAAAUGUACUGCUGGUGCUUGUUCUGGUCUCUGGGCUUGCCAUAGGAGCUCACUUCACACUUAGCAGGUUCAGCCGUCUCUCUCUCUCUGAUUGACACUGUUGAAAUACUUCUUCCAUGCAAAUUCGCACAAAGCCUUGUGGUUCUCUGAAUGUGAAAAGCUUUAAUUACAUUCUUAAUGUGAAAAGCUUUCUCCACCAGAUCCUCCUCCCUCUAGAAUUUACAAAAAGAGAACCAGUGCGUUACAUCAAAAAAGGAGAAAAGGAUGUUUAACUAAUUGAAAGUUACGGACAGGCAACUUCGCAGCACCUACGGCUUUCAAUUUAAAGUCAAUAAAGUUGAUCAACUUUAGAAAAGAUGAGGUUAAGUUUCUCCUUCGUGCUUUUCCCUCUGUGCUUUUGAACUUUGGGAUUAAAAAAAAUUUGAUUCUCAAACAUUUAAAUCAUGCAUGAUUAUUCUAAAGCUAUAUCUAUAGUUGAACAUAUUUAAAAUCCCAAUCCGGUAUCGUAAAAUCACAAGGUAUCUAUAUAAAGUAAGAAGAUACUCCUAAAGAAUUAAAGCAGGUUUUGCUGCAUUCAAUUUAUCGGAUAAUUAGAAAAAAUUUCUCCAUACAUAGAGAUUGGAUUUGUAGCAUUCUCAACAACAAAUGCCACACCUAAGCACUACCUAAGCAUAUAUGAGAUAUUUGAUUUGAUGUCUUUGCCUCAAAGACUUACCUUUUAUUAUAAUUAAUGACCUUUAAAACUCUAAUAUUCUCAUAAAAUGUGCCUUUAUAUCAACAGGCAACUUCCCAAAAGAUGCAGCUUUUAAUUAAUAGUGAAUGAAGUUGAUGGCUUCAGAAAAAACCAGAUGAAGGACAAUUAUGGAGAUGUACCACUUUUUUCGGUCGGUCGAGAUGUACAAUUAUGGAGAUGUACCACUUUUUUUUUUGACAGCGGAGAUGUACCAUUUCACACGCCCAAUAUCUUUCGCCUUUCUUCUUGGUGCCUUUGAACUUUUGAAUUAAAAAAAACUCCAUUUUUCAAAUAUUUAAAUCAUUUAUAAUUAUUCUAUAGCUAUAUCUAUAAUUAAACGUAUUUAUAUAGAUAAAAUCACAAUCUAUAUAAAUGUAUAAUAACAAAAUAUUCCUAAAGAAUAUCUCUCAUUAUGACAUAUGAGACUUUGGACAAUUAGAAGAUUUUCCUACAAACUAUUGAGAUUGGAUUUGCUACAUUCACCACAAAAAUGCUCCACCUAAGCACUACCUAGCAGUAUGCUUACUACUCACUAUGACGUAUUUGUUUUGGUCUCUUCCCCUUAAAGACUUACAUUUUAUCAUAAUUAAUUACCUUCAACCCCACAAUAUUGCAAUAUAUGUGCCUUUAUAUCAAAAAGCAAAUAUUUUACAACACUUAUUGUCUUAUUGAAAACUAUUAGAAUGCAAGCAUGAUAUAAUUAGUGUGGUUUGGACAUCAGCCAAACCUAAUUAUAUAAACAUUGAAAUAUAUCUCAAGUCGGAGCGGGAUUAAACCGGAUCGAAAAAGACUUAUCGACACUCGACCUCUAAUCAAGAGUGGUGAGAGGAAAUGCAAUGAUGGCCUGUCCAUGGCCAUGGUGCCAUCCCAUCAUGGUGUUGCUUUAAGCGUCGAAAGAAAGAGAGACCGCCCUGGUUUUGACCAUAAGAGACGACGACUUUUUUUUUUUUUGUGCCGAAAGAACUGCUUUGAUUGACAGCCGCCACGUAAACCCUCAAAUGACGCUAGCCCAGAACCCACCACCAGGGCGCCACACGUAAUACACCUAAUAGUUUGCCAGCCUCUCUACAACUUGUGUUGUAGAGGCUUCGAACACCUGACUUUUCCCUUCAAAGACAGGAGCCUACUCAGUAAAGCCACCACACGGCCGGUGGUAUAAGGGACGACUUUGCCCAGCUGAAGAACGGGAAAAAAGAGAGAAUGAUGAUGGCCACCGCUGAUACGAGACAAAAGGGGAAGGAAAACGACGAAGAAAGUUGCAAUAAUGGCGUCAUUUAACGAUGGCCGCUCAUUGUUUCCUUUCUUCUUUAUUUGCUUCUUGUGAAUUUUCUCUGUGAAUACGAAGAGGAAGAGCUCUUAAUGAGAGCUCCGAGGACUGCACAACGAGAUUUAAAAUUUCCUCUUAAAAGUUUUGAUUCAAAAAGUUUUUCUUUAUGAAAUUACACAAAAUGAAGUCAAUUAAAUCUUGUGUUAACGUUUAGGUCAAUCUUUUUAUGCGAUUGAAAUAUUAUUUUGAGAGAAAUUAUGAGGGUUAAAUACAGAGUUAUUAGUCAUAUUUGAGGGAUAAAAAUACAAAUAAUAUUUGAGUAACUCAAGUAUUAUUAUAAUCUCCAUUGCAUUGUAAUUUCAUGGUUUUCAUUUCCUCAUGGACGUAGGUCACAUAACCGAACCACGCAAAUUUAGUGUUUGAUUCAUUUCCUUGUUUUACAUUUUUAUUCAAGCACUUGUUUUAUUUCCAACAAUAAAUAUGGUUUGAAGAAAAGUGAAACCAAAUUAAACCGUAUUAUAGUCGAGAUCAAACCAAGCCAAACCAUUUUAUGUGGUUUGAUUCGGCUUAAUCGUUUUUUCUGCUUUUAUUUUACCUCUUCAUCAUAUGUAAUUUCAUGAUUAAAAAAAAAAAAAAAAAAACAAAGUCUACGCCACAACCCUUCCGAGGCGAGAUCCCUGAGGAAGUUACCGAAUUAUCAAGUAAGCAUGAAUGGUCCCUUUUGCAAGGUGACGCUUGCUCUUGGCAGGAUCAAUCUCAACUUGGUUUCUAUUAAUUAUUUCAUUUGCUCAAGAGUCGCCAUUAAUUUUUUAUAAACCGAUUAGGAGUCAAGUAAAACACAAGAGCCUAUUUUACUUCUACAAACCGGAGAUUUGUGGGUCUAACGACUUGAUUAGGCUGGAUAUGUAAUGUGCAAUUAUUCAUGCGAUCUUCCAAUCUUAGUUACCCAUUCUGUUCUCAAUAUCGAGGGAAGAAGGCGAUCAUGCAUGAAAUCACUCAAGCAAACACAAAUAAAAUCCAAUAAUACUGAAACAAAUAGAGCAAAUAAAAGAUACGAAAAUAAAGAAAUUGAGCCGUAUUGCAAAAAAAAAAAAAAACAAAACAAAAUCAAUACAAAGCUUUGUUCUUAAGUUCCAAGAUAGGACCCCUUGAGCUAUAAAUAGAAACUCGAUGUUAGAUCUCCAACUAUGGCUCCAAACCGGAAAGUCAAUAAAUGAUACUUCAUGAAUAUCCACUAUAUAAACUACUUUCCUAAAAUGAACAAUUACUUCAAAACGUAAAAUCUACUCAAUGCAAUGUUAAGAAAACAAAAUUUAUUUAUGAAUAUGCAUUACUGGUAAAAUACACUCCUAGAUGUUUUUUUAUUUUAUUUUAUUUUCUGAAUAUGCAGUUUAUCUUUCCACUUGUUUUUUUUUUUCUUUUUUGCAUUUCCCCCUUCUUUAUAUAUACACACACACAUAUAUAAGUGAAGCAAAAUUUGAUUACGUGUUGAAAUAAAUAUGAACUAGAAUCUAUAUGCCAAAAUAAUAUGUAAUAUAAAUCCGGAUUUUCAUGAAAAUUUGCACUGCGUUCACUUGGAAUUUUUUUUCUUUGGAAACGCUCAAUUGGAAUUUCAACCUUAAAAUUGCAUCAAGAACGACUUAGUGCACACGAGAAAAUAAAGAAAACUAAAGUGACAUAAUGCUAUGAAUUAGAGCCAAAUAAUCCACACUAUGCGAAAAUCAACGGUGGAUGAAUAAAUCUAUACGAAUAACCAAUUUUCUCUCUACCGCUUUUUUUAGGGUGCAGUUUAGUUAACCGUCCUCUGUCAAAUGAUGGAGUGACAGUCAACUAAUGACACACAAUUCGCAUAGAUUCCAUCUUUUACCCUUUUUUUAUUUUAAUUUUUAUGCUUUCUUAUUGCAAGCUUAAAUUGAGCGAUAAAAUCAUAAGAGGGCCAUACAAUCAAUUUUCAUGAAUAUUAUGAAAGGAAAAAUAAAUUAGAUACCAAAAUAUAAAUAAUUAGAAGUAAAAAAUAUUGUCCUCCACUAAAAAGAAAUCAUUCAUUUCGUUAGGUAGAUCUAUUAAAUUUAAAAGAUGAAAAAACACUUGAAUUUUUGGCUUUGCAACUAAUAACAAAAUUAUUGUGCAAUGAAUUGGCUUCUCAAUCCUAUCGCCAAAAUCAAAUUGCUUUGGAAGGACUCUCCGAUGACCUAAAAUUAAGACAAGUAAUGUUAAUUACGCAUAAAACAAAUGAAGUAAAGAAAAUAACAAAAUAAGAAUAAUGAAUUAGUAGAGAAGAAAAUUUACCCCACUGAUCCAAAUCUCGUAGAUGAAGAUGAGUUGGGACCUAAAAUAUUACAAAAUCAAUCUUAGGAUCACACGAGUGAAGACUAAGCCAAAAUGAUUUUUGAUCAAUUUUUAUAAAUAUUUUACCUAAUAUAGCUUCAUGUUUGGUUCGUUGAGAAGAUUCAUGUAACCACAAGAUAUGACCAUAUAUCAUUUUAUAUAGAUAAAAAUUCAAUUUAUGGGAAGGUAUUUUAAAUAAAAUAAUAAUAAUACAUAUCAGCAACUAUUGAAAACCCUCGAUUCUUUCCUAAUUGCAAAUCAAGUUUUAAGAAUGGUUACGGUAACUCAUAUCAUCCAAAUUACCAAUUAUAUUUUGGUAUCUAAUUUAUUUUUUUCUUUCAUCAUAUUCAUGAAAAUUGAUUGCAUUGGUCCUCUUAUGAUUUUAUCUCCUAAUUUAAGCUUACAAUAACAAAAAAAAAAAAAAAAGGGUAAAAGAUGGAUUUCAACCGUUUCCAUCCAAAAUGUGUGGUUCUCAACUGACCGUCACUCCAUCAUUUGAAGGAGUGAUGGUCAGCUAAGCCUUUUCCACAUUUUAACUAGAGGUAUGCCUGCAUAAAAGUUAAGUGCGUCUUCAUUGCUCAACCCAACCCACAAAUUCUUAAUCCUUGCAUAUAUACUUAAGUUCCCUCAUAUACGCUCGUCCCCUAGAGGCAAUAAGUAUCCUAGUACCAAGAUACAAAGAAUUCACUCCAAUUAAUUUUUGGAUAUGGUUGUCCUCGUCGACAUCAUCCAAUACAAUUAGCAUCUAUCAAUGUUAUCAAUGUCACGAGUCACUCUAGAAUAACAUAUAUCGAAAAAUAAUUUUUCUUGUGGCAUGACUAGGCCCUUGGUUUUUAGCAUUUCCCUUGUGUCAACAAGAAAGUUGCAGUUUUUCCCAAAGCGAGGAUAUAGCUAGUUGAAGAUAACCUUGGCGGGUGUUGUUUUGCCAAUGCUCCCCAACCCAUAGAUUCCAAUGAACCGCAUACCGUCAAAAGCGGUGUUUGAUAAAUUGUCUAUGGUUGUUAUUCAAUCCUCCAUUACAACUAAAUUUUUGGUCAGUUGCCUUUGUCUUGUCUUCACCCUGACCACAAUCUCAUUAACAACCGACGUGAUAAGAUUCCCAUAGCUGCCACAAUGUCAAACAAUAUUAAUUGAGAAAAAGUGACAAAUUUCCAUGUUGACAAACAAUUUACAUAUAUAAGAUCUUGAAUCAGCCUCAAUUCAUUUUGAAUGCGCAGCACUUAUAUUUCUGUUAGAUUGCACGUUUCAGAAACAAUAAUGACAUUACAUUCAUUAAUGGGAAGAGCGUUUUGUUACAUUCUUAAUGCGAAAAGCUUCUCCACCAGAUCAUCCUUCUUGAAAAAUUUACAAAAGAAGAACCAACGCAUAACAUUAGAAAAGGAGAAAAGGAUGUUUAUUAUGAGAAAUAAAUGAUGAAAUUCUUGAUUUGAAUGCCCGAAGUCCGGUGCCACUUUCUUUAGUGAGAGACGUCAUUUUGGACAUUUGUACCGUGUGACUCACGUAAUUUAAUUGAAACUGACGAACAAACAACUUCACAGCAGUUGCAGCUUUCAAUUUAUGGUCAAUAGAGUGGAUGGCUUCAGAGAAAAUGAGAUGAAGGACAAUUAUGGAGGUCUACCUUUUCACAAGCCCAAUUUCUUUGGAGUUUCUUCUUAGUGCAUUUGAACUUUUGAAUUUAUGACCAUUUUUUAAUUAAAAAAAUCUGAUUUUCAAACGUUUAAAUCAUUUAUAAUUAGUUUAUAGCUAUAUCUAUGGUUAAACAUAUUUAUAUAGAUAAAAACGGAAUUUAUCCAUAUAAAUGCAUAAUAAAAAAUAUUCCUAAAGAAAAGUUUAAGUUAAAUGCGUUUAUUUCAAGUGAGUGAUUCAUUGUUAGUCAAAUUUCCGCUGUUUUUUUUUUGUUUUGUUUUGGACAUUUUAACAAUAAUAACAUUACAUUUCAUUAAUGAAAAGAGCUUCUCCACCAUAUCAUCCUCCUUCAGAAAUUUACAAAAGAAGAGCAAGCACAUUACAUUAUUAAAGGAGAAAAGGCUGUUUAUUGUGAGAUAUAAUGACAAAAUUCUUGAUUUGAACACCAAAGUCCGAUGCCACUAUCGGUAGUGAUAGACAUCAUUUUGGAUUUUUGUAUUGCGUGACUCAUGAGAUUUAAUUGAAAGUUACGGACAGGCAACUUGACAGCAUCCGCAGCUUUCAAUUAAUAGUGAAUAAAGUUGAUGGCUUCAUGAAAAAUCAGAUGGAGGACAAUUAUGGAGAUGUACCAGUUUUUUGGUCGGUUGAAUACAAUUAUGGAGAUGUACCAUUUCACACGUCCUUUCGCCUUUCUUCUCGGUGCCUUUGAGCUUUCGAAUUAAAAAAAGAAAAAUUCUGAUUUUGGGCGUGGAAAGAAAGAGAGGCCGUGCUGGUCUUGACCAUAAGAGGACGACUUUGCUUGGCCGAAGAAAGGGAAAAAGACAGACCGAUAAUGGCCACUGCUGACAUCGGACAGUACAGAAGGGAAACGAAAACGACGAAGAAAGUUGCAGUAAUGGUGUCUUUUAACGAUGGCCAGUCAUUGUUUCCUUUCUUCUUCUUUGUUUUCUUCUAGUGAAUUUUCUCUUUAAAUUCGAAGAGGAAGGGCUCUUAAUGAGAGCUCCGAGGACUGCACAGAGGAGAUUGAAAAUUUCCUCUUAAGGGUUUGAUUCAAAAAAGUUUUUCUUCGUGAAGUUAGUCGAAAUUAAAGCUGAUUAAAUCUUGUGUUAAUAUGCAAAUUGAGAUAUUAUUUCGAAAGAAAUUAUGAAGGUAAAAAACAUAGAGUUAUUAGUUGUACUUAAGGGAUAAAAACACCAAGGGUAUCUGAACGACUUGAAUAAAAUUAUAAUAUUCGCUGCAUUGUAAUUUUAUCUAUAAUGGAAUUGUGUGCUCCUUUCCUCGUGGACAUAGAUCACACAACCAAAUCACGUAAAUUUGAUAUCUGAAUUAUUUUCUUAUUUUGUAUAUAUUUUAUUUAAUCACUUGUUUUAUUUUCAAUAAUAAAUACGGUUUGAAGAAAAGAGGAACCAAGCUAGACUGUAUUAUAGUUAAAGAUCAAACCAAGCCAGACGUUUUUUUUUUUUUGGGGGGGGGUUGAUUUGGCUUAAUCGUUCUUUCUUCUUUAGUUUUCCUCUUCAUCAUUUGUAAUUUUAUGAGAAAAAAACCAAAUUCCAUGUCACGAAACUUCCAAAGCGAGAUCCCCGAGGAAGUUGCUGGAUCACCAAGCAAGCACAAAUGGCCCCUCUUGCGAGGUGAUGCUUGCUCUUGGCACGAUCAAUCUCAACUUGUUUCAAUUAAUUAUUUCGUUUGAUUGAGAGUCACCACUAACUUUUUAUGAACCAAUUAGGAGUCAAGUAAAAUGCAAGAGUCCGUCUUACUUCUGCAAACAUGAGAUUUGUGAGUCCAGAAACUUGAUUAGGCAAGAUACAUCUCAAGCCCAAUGUUGCAUACUUUCUCUUUCUAUUAAAACAAUUAUUCAUGUGGUCUUCCCAAUCUUAGUUUCCCAUUUUAUUCUCAAUGUUGAGAAAGGCUGGCGAUCAUGCAUAAAUUCACUCAAGCAAACACGUAUAAAAUCCACUAAUACUGAGACAAAUAGAGCAAAUAAAAGGUAGGAAAAUAAAGGACCCAACCCGUAUCAGGGAAACAAAUCAACAAAAGCCUUGUUAUAAGGUUCCGGGACAUGCCCCUUGAGCUAUUAAUAGAAACUCAGUGUAAAAUCUCCAAAAUAAACUAUGGCUUAAAACCAGAAAGUAAAUAACUGAUACCUCAUGAAUAUAUAUAAACUACUUUCCCAAAAAGAAGUAUUACAUCAAGAAAUAAAAUCUACUUAAUGCUAUAUAAAGUGCAAUGCAAUGUUUAGAAAACAAAAUCUAUUUAUGAUUAUGCAUGAUUCCUAAAUUAUCCUCCUAGAUGUAUAUAUAUAUAUAUAUAUUUUAAAUAGAAUCUAUCUGUUUUUUUGCUUUUUCACAUUAACCCCUUCAAUAUAUAUUAUAGUGAAACGAAAUUAAACUAAAAAAUAACUAAGUGCCGAGAUAAAUUUGAACUAGUAACUAGAUACCAAAAUAAUAUGUUAUAUAAACCCAGAUUUUCGUGAAAAUUUGCACCAUGUUGCGUUGGAAUUUCAACCUAAACUUCUUGUGGGAACGAGCUAAUAAACACCAGAAAAUAAAGAGAACUAAAGCGAUAUAAUGCUAUGAAUUAAAGCAAAACCAUUCCACAAUAUGCGAAAUCAAGGGUGGAUGAGUACAUCUAUACUAAUUGCCGAAAUUAAAUAUUUAUUAAAAAAAAUUUCUACGCUGUUACAGGUCUGAAGUGUUCAAAUUGAAUCACAUCAUGUAGAUUAUUUAUAUUUCCAUGUUUAUGUUUGCUGAGACACGAGGAACAAUCAACAUGAACUAACACAAAAAUCCACGCAGGUUCUUGAUUUUAUUUCCUUUCUUCUUUCGUCUUUCUCUUCACAUGUGCAGCAUAAUUCCUUUUCACUUGUGCUGGUCGGAUAAGGCUGUCGCAUAUUUCCCUCUUGGUCGAGCCCAUGAAAGGGAGCCAGGGUCGUGCGGGCUUGGACUCGGAAGUUCAAAUAAAUUCAUGGCACAUUUUGCGUGUUGGGAUCCACUCAAAUUCAAUUCACAAGCGGACUAAUUUAAAUGAAAUUCGUAGUCAGGUUUCACGCUUUCUUUGGUGCGAAUCCAUUAUUCCUAACAAAAUGUUGGUACUAUCUAAAUGCCGUAAAUGAGGAUGCAAAAAAUGUGCAAUCUCAAAAAAUUUAGGCAUUAGCAUUCUGCGUUGACAACAAUUCAUAAAUUCACACAAAGUGAAAAUCAAACCUAUUUAAAUAGCUAUUUCAUGUAUAAAUGGUCAAAAUAAUUAGCAAUAUCAAUCAUUUAUACAAUGCGGGGUCGCGGUUUUGGUUUGGUUUCAAAAAAGUUGAAACCAAGCCAAACCACAAAAAACGAUUUGUUUCAUGGACAACAUGGAUAUUGUUAAGAGGGACCCUCGAGCUCGAAGGGAAGGUGUUUUGGUUGCCAGCAACAUCGUGGAGCUUGGAUUAAGGCAAGGCUGCCUCCAUCAAGAUGGAUAGGGAAAGCAACGCUAUCAACCCAUAGAUCCAAAUGCCGCGAGAAUCGAUCCAGGCAUACUGGUUCGAGACGAAGGCCCCCAAUCGUGAACUGAAGCUUCAUGGAUAUCAUGAUUUUCUAGAAUACUUUCAAAAAGAUCAUACUUUCAAGAAUAUUUUUUACACAUCAUUGCAUACUUUCAAGCACAAACGGACAUGGCACAUGAAGUCAUGCCAGAGCAUAAAAUGACAAAGGAAUUUCCCUGACGACAUCUCCAAAAAUAUCAAAAGUCGCAUAAGUAAUGUUAGGAAUUAUUUGACAAUUGAAUUUAGAGGACGAAAUUGGAAAAUGUGGUACUGAAAAAGCGUUGUGGGAAGUCUAACCCCUCCCCACACAUAAAUGAAUCCUUCAACAACAAGUUUCAUUGGCUUUCGCAAAUGAUCAAUAUUACACGUGGACCUAGUUUCCAAUCAGCCUAAUUUUUUAAAUUGAUUGGCAGUUACUCCAUCUCAUACUUUAAAGAAAACUUUGGAGUUGGCCCAAAACUUCCAAAACUCCUUUUCCAACAACAUAUUUGCUCCUUGCCGAGUGAAACCUUUGAUCUCAAGACCGUUGGGCAAGGUGCUACAUGACCUAUAUGAAGACUCCAACGUAAUUGUUGUAGGGUUGGCCGAGAAGAUCAAAACGCUUUCAAAGCUUUUCUUUUUCUUUUUGGUUCUUUGCUUAUUCUUUGAUAUAUAUAAUAUUAUUUAUUAUCGCGAUUCUACUCUUAAUUCUCUAAGAGAGUGUUGAUGUAAUUAUUGUUCAGAGUGCUUUGCGUGUAAAGUAAAGUCAAGGUACUUGUAGAGUGAGCUUCAGUUCCUCUUAGAGAGGCAAUUCCGUUCAUAAUUAGUGAAUUCAGCCUUGUUGUUAGAUAGGAAAAUCAUUCAAAAAAUUCAUCAACUUAUUGCAUGGCGGUUAAUUCAGUCAUAAACUUUUCAAUUUGACAAAUUUAGUCUUCAACGUUUUAACGAUUUUCUAACGUAGAUCAUCCAGUCAAUUUUGAUUGGAAAUAGUUAAUAUGGCAGUCCAGUAAGCACUAGCCAUUCUAUGUGUAAUGGCCAGGCUAUCGGCGAUUGAUGUAAACUAUUUUUAAAUUUUUUUAAUAUAUAUAUUUUUUUCGUUUUCUUGUCCUUCAUCCGAAUAGAAAUGAAGUAUGAGGCGCUUGCCUUGUGCAUCCACCUAUAAAUUGAUUUGUAGUCUAUUCUUUCUAUCGUUCUUUACAUUUUUUAUGAUAGAAGAUAUUUUCUAUACGUAGCAUAUUUUGUCUACAAAUAUUGUUUCAUCCUCUACGCAUUUUUUUGCAAGAAAAAAAGUGUCAAAAAUCCUAAAAUAACCUAUUCAUUCUCCUCUUGAUUGUUUAAUUAAGUCCAUUUCACACAUAAGCAUUUUCUUUGUAUAAAUAUUAAGUGAAAUGGCACCAAUUGUCCGUUUAUUCUUGCCGAAAAUUCAAGAACGUCCUUGUAUCAUUUUUUGUCCAAAAUCAUCCCUAUACUUUUUAAAAGGGUCAUUGCUCGUCCUCCUAUUAUGUCACUACUUUUUUCAAUCGAUUUAUACCAAUAUGGAUAAUCGGAACAUUGAGUAGAAGCCACGUGGCAGCCAUGGCUGCUUAAGCUUUAAGCUCACAAUUGUGGUCAUUUGAGCUCGAAGCUUGCCACCACCAUGGUUGCUUGAGCACGAGCUCAAAGCUAAUGGCCAUGGUCACUUGAGCUCGAACCUUGUGACCACUAUUGCCAAAUCUGGAUUCGAAGUUCACAGCAGUCAUGGCUGCUUGAGCUUGAAGCUUGCGGAUGCUAUGAUCAAAUAUGGCAUCGAAGGUUGUGGCUGCCGUGGCCAAAUUUGGCCACCAUGGCUGCUCGAGCUCCAAACUCAUGGCCAUGUCCGUUUGAGAUCAAAGCUUGCAGCCUCUACAACCAAAUUUGGCUUUGAAGCUCAUGGCUUGAGCUCUAAGCUUGCGAUUUGCUGCUAGAUCUACUUCAAAGCUCAUAACCACCGUGAUCACUUGAGCUCGACCUUGAAACUUGCGGCCAUCAUGGCUUUUCGAGCUGGUGGCCAGGGUGGAGCUUGAGUGGUCAUGCGUGUGAGGUCUUAAAGGUCGUAGAUCUUGAGCUCGCGAUCACCAUGGCUACUCGAGCAUUUGAGCCGCGGGCAUUAUAAGUGAUAACGUGAUUCUUUUAUGUGGAAAUACAAAAUAGGAGAUCUUUUUUUUUUUUUUUGGUAAAACAAAAUAGGAGAUCUUUGAUCUUUAUAAUUUUCACAAUAAGAAAGAUGGAGACAUACCUUUAUUCAUAGUAAUACACUUGAAAGUAUUUGUCGCGGAAAAAUCGAAGAGAUGAAGAAAUUUGAUUUCUCUCCCUUAACCCAUGCUUUUCUUUAAUGUAUUCUAUUUGAUAGAGGAUAUAAUACAGCAUUAUUUUUUAUGUUGUAGGUGAAAAGAGGACUAGACUCUUAUUUAUGCAUGCUAUUAAUAUGCGCUUUCAAUUAAAGCGCCUUUUAACUUCUAUGAGAGUCGCACCUCUUUGGAAGAAUGGUAACUUCUCAAUGAGGAUUGUACUAUUUUAUUAGAGUUGUAAUUUCUUAUAACCAAUACAUUUUAGCAUUAAAUAUUUAUUAAACCAUUAAUCAAUAAUAUCAUGUGUGCCACAAUAAUUCUUACAUUCUCCCGCUUGGCCCAUAUGACCUUCCUUUCAAGGUUUAAUAAAGACCAUAAUGUGCACAAUAACGUUAUGCUAAAACCUUUCAUAAAUUGGCUAUCAUAUAAUAAUCACAAUUAAGUAAAAAAAAAAAAACUAAUGCAAGUCAUGGCAGUUGUAUGCCAUUAAUCGAGAUAGUUCCUUUCAUGUACUACAACAUAGCUCUCUACUUAACAUAAUCAUAAAUGAGGAGUACGGUAAUGGUCCAACCAUAAUGUCUUUAUAAGAAACUAACCUGUUUAACAUUCAUCUAUUUCCAUAAGGUAUACUAAAUAGAAACAAGAAAUAUCAAAGAUGCAUAAUUGAGCUCAGAGUGUCAAAUACAUAAACUUAAUGCAAUCAUAAUACAAUAAUUAAUGAUGUCCAAUAAUGUCCAUCCUUUCAACAUGCUCAUUAAAUGUUUUGGGUGGAAUCUCUGUCACGACCCAAUCUCAUUGUCCAUCCCUCGUGAGGAGAGGAAGAGGAAAGGUUGGAUUUAUGUGUACUUGACCACAAAAGUUCCCUCAUGGUUCCCAACCACAGGGAUGUCAUCACCUUACCCCGUGGACGAACCUCGUGUGAGUUCACUUAAUCGUAAUCUUGAGUUUUCCAAACUUGUACACCACAUGACAGUGAAGUGUCGCAACCCUCCCUCAACACCACGGUAUGUCUUGAUCGACAAUUUUAAGGUCGAAAGGAAUCUGGACGUAAAUGUGAGUUUAGGGAUGCCUUUACCACGAUAACCCUAUCGAUGGAACAUUUUGCCCAUAAGAAUGACAUCACUUCAUCCUUUAGCGGUACAACCAAUAUCAAGUAUGCUAAAUUGCGGUGAGUCUUAUCAAGACCCAUAUCCCGCGCGACGGGUUCAUUUAUAACAUCUAGUUAUUUAAGACAACCUAAAAAUAGGACGGGAGUCACCACUAGCCUUAUUUUUGGGGGGUCGGCCAGAAAAUUCAAUCGAGGAUUGAGAGUGUUUCCUCGAUUUCUACGCAAUCAAAUAUCUAGGUUCAGAGACUUAGGUUACAAGUAUUCUAGAACCAAUAAACAAAGAUUUAACUCCAAUUAGUUUUUGGAUUUGGUUGCCCUUAUCAACAUCAUCCAAUACAAUUAGCAUCUUCUUGUUGCAAAUUGUUUCUCCAAUCAUAUUGAUACCAUGAUCAAUGCUAUGAAUUCUACAAGCCACUCAAGAAUAAGAGAUAUCAGACAAUAUUUUUUCUUGCAAUUUGUCUAAACCCUUGGUUUUUGCCAUUUCCCUCACGUCUUUGAGAAAGUUGCAAUUUUUCCCAAAGUGAGGACAUAGUUGGUUGAAGAUAAUUAUGGCAAGUGUUGUUUUACCGAUAUCGCCUAUCCCAUAGAUUCCAAUUAGUCACACACCACCAUAAUUGAUAUCUAAUAAAUUGUUUAUGGUUGUUAUUCAAUCCUCCAUUCCAGCUAAACCUUGGUUACUUGCCUUUGUCUUGUCUCGAGCUUGACCACAACCUCGUCAAUAGCUGCCUGGUUAAGUUUUGUUUAGCUGCCACAAAGUUGAACAGUUUCAAUUAAGAAAAUGUGACAAUUUGGUAUGUUGACCAACCGUCUACUAAGCAAAGAGGUGGGAAUGCGAUCAAGUUUAGAAUAUAUCAAAAUUUAACAUUACCUCAAAGCUUUGUGAACAUGAUGAAUUACAAACUUGAACAUCCAUUACAAUAGAAGAAAUGAAAUGUUUGAUCCUUAUAUCAAGUAGAAGGCUCAGAAUCUCUGGCCAAAAAGGGUGGUGAAUCAAAAUAUAAACAUCUAUUGAAAAACUGUAAUAGAAGAUUUACUUAUUUCUUCCGAUGUGGAAAAAGAACUUUGCUAUGGAAACAGUUCCUUAAUCAAGUUCUCUAGCAUACAAUACGAAUCUUAAUACAUACAUGGAUCAAAUUAGUAUUAAAAAGAUCAAGCUAAUCCAAAUUUUUCAUAUGAUGGAAAAUAAAUGGAAAACCAACUUAAAUAACCACAUUAGGUUAAAAAAAUUUGGAAAUCUCGUGAUUUAAAAAAACUAAAAGAAGAAUUUGAAACCUUCAGUUUAAAUUUAGGUAAUUAAAGUUGGAAUAUAAUUAAUGAAUUUUCAUAAGAACUAUGCUUGAUUGUACAAGAUAAUCUUCACAAUCAUGGUCAAAUUGUUACCCUGGAUAUUUCUCCAUCUUCCAUCCCUUGGUGCCAACAACUUCUUUUAGGGCCCGCCCCCACAUCUCUAUAUCCUCAGAGCUGAACUUAUUCUUCUGACCCUCCAUCUAUUGCUCCAAAUUUGAUAUGGCCUUGUUGUACAACAUUGUUUUCAACUUCACGUCAUCGGGUUCCACAUUGCAGAAGAUGGGCAAUAUGACCUUCUUCCCAUCUUCUUUAGAUUUAUAGGUGUUCUCCACCAUCUUCGCAAGCUUGUCAAGGCACCAAUGACAUGAAGUGUAGUUUUUGCAGAAGAUGGGUAUGUAGAGCUUGGAGUCAUCAAUCAUUUGUGGAAGGUUGUCACUGAUUCUUUCACCAAAUCUAAGUUCCUCAUCAUCAAUGAAAACAUGAAUUGCAGCAUGUAACAAGGUAUGGUAGAAGCUAUUGGUGAAUGUACGAUGAGUAUCAAGCCCUCUAAAACUUAGGAAGACCUGGUACUCACCUCCAAAUGUAUUAUUAGUGCUUGUUUCAAUCCCUAGGCUCGCCAUAGGACCAAACUGUCACGCCCCGAACCUCAAGCGCGCCAACAUCCCACCAUGGUCAUGCAAAUGUGACAUUCCCAGGUAGUGUGGCCGACCCCAUUCAUAUAUUAUUGUGCAAGCGGAACAUAUUAUAAAACCCUUGACAAUGAAAUAUGGGAUAGACAAGCAGGAAGCAAAACCACAACAUAACACUUUCAUAAUUCAACAGAAUUACAAACAGAGGUCUACGGCCAAAAGUCUACAAAAAACCGACUCUUAAAAAGGAACUGUCCUACGACCUACAAGUCAGACACGUUCUCCAAUCCUUAUGACUUCACCUCUACAACUCCUCAAGGCCAACCAAAGCUAUCUGGUCACUCCGUCCACCAAGGACCUGAAAUUUUAAUCCCACAACCGGGAUGAGACAUUGUCUCAGUAAGUUCAACCCCCUAAACCCCUAUUAGAAAGAAAAUACACCUCGGGUGGCCUAGCCACAUCACACAAAAGACUUAUCUCGUCUUAAUUCCUUCCUACAUAUUAGCACAAUUUGUAUCACACAAUCUCAGGUAGUAAUAAUAAUUCAAACAAAUGGAAACGCCAUCACUUUCAUAUAAAUCACAAUCGCACUUAGUGCGCAUUCCAAUUAUUAUUCACUACCACACAAGAGCAUAGCCUACUCGCAGUUCGGCUAUCUACUGACAUUAAUGCCAGGCAUCGCCUCCCCCCCUUGGAGCGCGGCUUCGUCACCACGAUGACGGCAUUCCUGAAGGAGCAUGGGUCUAGUUGGCAUAGCCUCUACUACGACUCGAGCCACGUCACUCUGUUGACGGCAUUUCUAAAUGAAUAAAGGUCCAGUUGGUGUAGCCACUAUUGCGACCGAGUCUUUCAACCAGCACACGACAAUUCAAUAAUCAAUUGCACAAAUCAUCACUCAAUUUGUAAUAUCUAAUCAUCAAAUUCAUAAUCUGAAUACACAACAAUGAUCAGCAUGAAAUUCUGAGAAUUUAGGGUCCCAAAAUAAUUUUCGGAAUUUAUUAAAUAAUUAAAUUUAUUUCGAAAAUUAAUUAAAUAAUAAUAUCCAUAUUUUUCACAAUCCACACUCAAUUUAUAAUAUCCAAUCAUCAAUUUCAAAAUUUGACUACACAGCAGCGACCGGCACGAAAUUCUGAGAAUUUAGGGUCUUGACAAAAUUUUCGGAAUUUAAUAAAUAAUUAAAUUUAUUCCGAAAAUAAUUAAAUAAUAAUAUUUUAAUAAUUUUGAAUAAUAAUAUAUUAUUAAAUUAUCUAAUAAUUUCGAGAUAUUUAAAUAAAUCAAAAGUAAAUUCAUUUAUGUCACAUCAAGGUUUAUAUUAAUAUAACAUUCACUUAAUCUUAAAUUAAACACACUUUAAGUUAAUUAAGCACCUUAAUAUAAAUCUACACUUAAAUAAAUUAAACUAACCACCUAAUAAUACUUAACAAAAACUAAGCACAUCUAAAGCAUCAUUAACCUUCUAAUCAAGGUUUAGUGAGCUAAACUCACAGAUUAGCGAGCCGAGCGGACUGGAACGAUGGGGACGCCGGGGGGAACAACUUUCCUCAAAGCAGGCCAAGCAUUCGAGGUCGGGAAGCCGGCCAAAACGGGCCAAAACGGAGUUGAGAAACCCAUUUUUGCUUGCUAUUGGUUAAGGCCGACGGAGGGCUGCACGGCAGCGGUUCGAGCACGAAAUCGGCGGGGAUGGGCGGCAGCAGCUCAGGCGGUUGCUGCUGGUGGCUCCGACAGCUUUCCGGUGGGCUUGGCGAUAGCAGGCAGCUCGGGACGACGAAGGACGACGGUUGGGACGCGCGAACGAAGGUUGGAUGCGGCGCGACAGCGGAGCGGCGAGCGGGACAACGGUAAGCGGGCACAGUGCUUAGGCGACGCGCACGGACGACGGUGGCGGCGACGGACUCCGGCGAUGAAGUAGGGUGGCCGGUCGAGCGUGCGGGCUGGCCUAGUUCGCACAGUGCAGCUCCUCUCUCCUCUCUCUCUCUCCCCAAGCUUGAAGAUGAUAGUGAUGGGUCACCUUUUUGGGGAACAAAUCUCCACCUUACACUUGUCAACAUCCUAGCUAUUCUUGCCCCACACCAUGACAUCAUCACCAAGUGAUGUCAUACUCCACUAUCUCAAUUUCUCCCCACAACAAUAUUCAAUAGGUGCAAUUUAUUUUUCCGCCGUGGCAUGAAAUCUCGUACAUUAAUUUCUCCAAUUUCAUUCAAUUCUCUUCCAAUUGAGUCCAAUUGAAGUACAUAAAAUUAAUUCAAUGUUACCACACUUCAAUUCACAUAAUCACUUGACCAUAGAACCCUCUUAGAUCUCAAAAGUAUAGCCAAAAGAGGGCCUACCAAUUUUCCGAACCAAAUUAGCCAUGCUUUGAUUAUUUUGCUGAAAAACUCUUAUUGCAUGAAAAAUCUUCCGAAGACGAGUUAAUGAUCCUAAAAUGAUUUGUGACACACCAUGACUUCCAAUUUCUGAAUUCGAUCUCAAUUUCACGGUUAAUUUCACUUUGGCACGAUACUAGCGUGUCCUGAUCUACCGGGUAGCUUUUAGAAAUUUUUAUGCAUUUGACCUGUGGUUGAUUAAUUCAAGCCACAAUAUACAUCUUUGACACAUUGACGACUCUUGGUUGUCGAGAUAAUCUCAAGAUUUCAAACACAGACAUAUGGUACCCAAACGACAGAAAAGCCGGUCCAGUGCCGAUCGACAAGAAUUGUGAGAUCUAGUGGAAUCACCCACACUCGAUCACAUGCCUCUAUCUAGUCGACCUAUCUCCGAUUUCUAAUCGAUUUUUAACUGCGCCGUAAUGACCCUUGUAGAUUAACUCGGUCGAAAGGUCGUUUCCUGAUCAAAUUCUCGAGUCUGAUGCAUUAGAAUUUCUUAACAGCUUCACCUGAUAGACUAGUUAUCCCAUGAGUGAUCAGUUCAGGGAAAAGAACUAUAUGCGUACUAACGAAAUGCCCAUCUCAAUUUAUUGAAAAUAGAAUUGGAAAAUCAGGAUGUCACACAAACUUCGCACUUAGCAGGGCCAGCCCUCUCUCUCUCUCUCUCUCUCUCUCUCUCUCUCUCAUAGCCACUGUUGAAAUACUUUGAGGCAAAUCCACACCAAACCUUGUGCUUCUUCAAUGUGAAAAGCUUUUAUUACAUUCUUAAUAUGAAAAGCUUUCUUCCCCGGAUCAUCCUCCCUAAGGAAUUUACAAAAGGAGAACUAGUGCAUUGCAUUAGAAAAGGAGAAAAGGCUAUUAUUAUAGGGAUGUUUGUAUUGCAUGACUCAUGGGGUUUAAUUGAAAGUUUAACGCGUACUGGCAACUUCAGUGCAGCUUCCGAUUUAUUGUCAAUAAAAUUGGUGGGUUUACAAUUAGUUAGGUGAAGGACAAUCGUAACAUCCUCGAUUCCGGCUCUGUAAGGAUCGGUCAUAAUGUCCUAAAAGGAUCGAUCAUGGGCCAUUGGCCAUAAAUUGAUCGGUUCGAUCAGCAAGGAAUCACGGAUCAGUCACGAUCAACCGAUCGACCAACCGACUGUUCACAAAUUAGUCGAGGUGUCGGCCGUGAAUUUUUACCGACCAUACUAAUAGGAUAUGAUCACCAGCUCAUAAGAUGACUUUUUGAUCGUGAGAAUUGGUCACAUGAUGAUUUUGGAUCGGUGGAUGGUUAUGGGUCGAUCCAAUCGGUCACAAUUUCUGGUCGCGAGUGAUUCCGCCCAGUUAUGCACCGAUACACGGAUGAUCCAAAUUGACCAAAUGUGACUUCAUUCCGAUAAAAAAUGCAUCAUUCCAAAUUUAAUUCUUAGUGAUCUGAAUGGAAUCUCGAAUUGGUGAUGUCUGAUCAUGGAUCGGUAAUGCACCAACCAUGAACCCUAUCGAUGGAUUGGGUGCCGGCUGGAAUGAGCCCAAGGAUAGACUUGGCUAUUCCGUCACUAAUUCUAAGGUCCAUGAGUGCCUUGGCUUAGUGCUAGGCCAUGGGUAGCCUUAAAAUAGGUCUUGAAUCAAGUAAAGGACAACCGACCCUAUUAGUCGAUCGACAUCCAAAGGAAUAGUUUGGGCGAUAUGACAUAUGUGACUCGGGUGUGCAUGAUCGAUUUUCAGUGUGCUAUGAUCUCUUCCUCGGCCCCGGAAUCAACUUGCAUAAUAGAAUUCUGUAGACUGCUUCAUUAAUGAAGAAAAAAGACAAAGGCAUGGAAUAUUCUAGAAACCCUUCGUUAAAUGAAGGGGUGAGUUGUCCUUGGAAUGGUCAAAAGUCAUUAUGGUGGCCAAAAUAUCUUUCAAGAUUCUAGAGAAAGGCGGCACACAAGUGGACCAAUUAGAGAGGAUUACACGAGCCCUCAUUAAUAACCGAAUAUUCUAGAAUGGCUUAGGUGGCAACCUAGAGUAGCAUCAUCAUUAAACUUCAUAAAAUGCCCAUUAAAUGAGGGGUAUCGGUGGACCAAUGAGAGAAUGAAAAGUGGGUGAUAAUCAAUGACAUCUAGGGACCUAGAUUGCCGAGUAAGGUCUUUAGCUUGGCCAACUCAUCUUCUAGGCAUAAUCAUGAGGCAAAGUAGGCUUGCCACCCAAGAAAAGUAGGCGGGACACUUGAAAACAUUGGAGAAGACCGCUUGGCUUGGUAAUGAUGGCUCCAAAGGCUAUAAAUAAGAUGAGAACUUCCCAUAUUCCUCACUUGCCUUCAAUUUUCUCCUCCCACCAUCUCCUUGAACACCCUCUCCUCAUGCUCUCUCUCUUUCUUUUGGCCUCCAAGCCAAGCCACCCAAUCUUUGUAGCUCAUGUCCUAGUUCGAGGUUCAUCCAGGAAAGUAAAAUCCCUAUGUCUCCUCUAGGGCGGUAAUCUCUAUUGUCGAGCCUAGUUAGGUGCUCACCUAUCAAGCCGUUGGUUGGAUGUUAGAUCUUUUGUAUGGUCUUACUCAUGUUUGUGCUUGAAUGUGUGCUUGAGUUGUUCACGUUCAGAAUGGAGUCAAGGUUCGUUUGAAUUGAGUUCAGCGCAAGGCAAGGUCGCCCCAAGCCAUAAAGCCUUGGUUUCGGCAUAAAUAAGAUGCUGGGUCCAAGCCUCGCUUGGUGCGGGAAUCGCCUAAGGCUGUAAGGUCUUAAGUUGACAUUGAGGCGUGUCGAUCUUAUCCUUGAUCGGUACGGGGAUCGCCCUAAUCCAUGAGGUCUUGAUAAAACAUUGAACAUGCCGAUUUCCAUAGUCCACGUGGACGUGGGGACUUUGUGCUUGGCUUUGAAUGAAACCGCGAGUCGAGGUUCAUCAAGCUUGGGAUCGUCACUAAAGCAAGGUGUACCCAAGCCUCGAGGUCUUGGAUUGGUAUUGAGGUGUACCGUUUCCGAGCCUUGUUUGGUGCGGGAAUCGGUGCUAAGUGAUUGAUUCAAGUUACGGAUGAAAGGUCAUUCCCGACAUUUUUGCUAGUCAAGUAUAAGAAAUUCAUGACACACAUGAAUGAAUGAACACGCCUUCGGGCCAUGUAUGCGUUGGCUAAGAGAAAAAAUAAUAACCGGUUUGUAUGAUGCAUUUGUACAUGCAUUUAAAGAGAAAAAAGCGCCCGUUGCCACAUAGCAUUGUUGGCGAUGCCUCGUUCGUUGAACGGGAAGCCUCGAUUGAUCCCAGAUGUCCUAAUUGAGCCAAUAUGCCUAGAUCUUGAACCCGGAAGCCUUGGGAAGCUAGCCCCGAGAAGUCUCGGUUGAGCCGAGAUGCCCUGGUCGAGCCAGGAAGUCCAACAAGAAGCUAGAAGCCUCGGUCGAGCCGAGAGGGCCUGGUCAAGCUAGGACGACAAUAAAUGAAUUUGCAUGAAUGUUGGUUAUGCACAAGCAUGAUAUGUUGGUAUAUUAAUUGAUAAGCUUAUGGUAGUUUUGAUAUGGACGACAUGUAUUUAGAUAAAGCAUGACAUAUAAUUCGCAAUUGAUCUACCAUCGACACUGUUUGCGAGUGUUGUACUAACUAAGCUUUGACAAUAAGAUGAUUUCCAAGUAGAAAACUAGGAAUUUUACUUAUUGAAUUUCCCCAAAACUCAUCUCUCAUCUCUCAGUCUUGUAGGCAUUGAAGUCUCUCGUCAAUUUUGGGAGCUGCAGUCACGCUAGAGGAGAUAGGAUUUCACUUGGCCUAUGUGGAAAACUUGUAUUGUGAUGUAAAAAGAAAAAAGAGCUCGUAGAGAAAUGGCUUGUAAAAGUAUAGUUAUGAUACAAAUCAAUGUGUUUUGCGUGAUGUAUGUCCCAGUCUUCCAACUGUUGUUUGUUCGGUGAGUUGUUUGUUCAUGUUUCCACAUGUGCAUAAUAACAAGAUAAAAAGAAUUGGGACGGCGACGAGCCUGGGACUUCACAAAAAUAACCCUUGCUGCUCGUGAUCCUAGGGAUGGAGUUGGGGUCGUGACAACAAUAAUGGAGGUGUACCUUUUAGCAUGCCCAAAUUCAUUUGAGUUUCUUCUUCGUGCCUUUCACUAUGUGCUUUUGAGGUUUUGGAUUAAAAAAAUAUUUGAUUCUCAAACAUUUAAAUCAUUUAUGUUUAUUCUAUGGCUAUAUCUAUAGUUGCGGUAAGAUCAAUAAGAGUGCUAAAACUUUCAUACAGCACUCACUUGAAUAUCAAAACUUUUUUCUCAUUCACUUAAGUGUCAUAUUGGAAUAAAAUCGAUCAGUUGAUUAUCAAUUUUGACAAAUCAUCCUACAUUGAAUUUUUUUAACUUUUUUAAUUUUUUUUAUUUAUUUUGCUUUUCCUAAGGGCCCUCAUUGGUCAGGAAACCUGGGUGGCCUUGCCCUAGGCUACGAAUGCCUUGGGCGAGGCCAUUGGGGCCUUAUCGGUCACUGUCAUUUGCUUUGGCUUAUGCGCACCAUUAACUCUAUGAUUGAUGUAAUCAUGGUGGGAUUUGCUGUUGGAUAUGGACAUUGUGUCAUGUCUUUAAGGGUCUGUUGAUGGUGGUGGCAGAUAAUGCAACCCCUAGAUAAAGAAAAGAAAGGGUUGCGGCAGUCUAGAAUUUUUUCUAAGUGUUUACAUAAUACUAAAUUAUUUCGUAUUUAAAUUAAUCUCUAUAUUUUUAAAAUCAACUGAAAUGUGAUUCCUCCGUCAAUUGGAGUUCAAUGUCAUGGGUAAUCUGUCGCCGAGAUACGUCGAUGUGGCAAAAACCAUCCAUUGUUGAUGUGGAUUGGACAGCUCAAUUAAAUUUAUUCUUUUUAUUAAACGAACUCUUCUAUUUUCUCUUUAAUUCUUCUACUACAUUCAUCAACUAUCGAUGUCAUUGGCCAAUCCUUAAAGCAGCAAGCCAUCACAACCGGUGCCAUCCCCGGUAGGAGUGUCCAAAAACCUGACCCGACCCAAACACGACCCAAACAAGAACUAAACACAAAACAAGUGGAGUACAUGUUUCGGGUCUUAAUAUUGUUCGGGUAAUUGUUAGGAAACAAGAAAAUAAACAUGUUUUGGGUUGGGUUAGGGUCAAAAUAUUGUUCAGCCCUGAACACAUUAUUGGCUCCAUGUGUUUGAAACAAACACACUCUCCUCUCACCCAAACCCAAACACUCUUCAGUUUUCGCCCAAACACAUUAUUGACCCUCCCAACACGAUGAUUGCACCUUCUCCGGUCGUUGACUCCGCCGCCGCCGCCACCGCCACCGCCACUAUUGACGAAUGCACCCUCUCGUUGAUUCCAUAGCCGCCCUCUUCUUUGCUCCUUGUCCUCGUCCUUGUCCUCAUCGGCUUCCUCUCCUUCCUCGACUUCCUCCACCGCCUCCUUCUCCUCGAGAGGAUGCCCUCCUUCUGCCGCCUUUGCCUACAGACACACCGAGCAGGAGUCAAUGCCAAGCGAAACCCACAUCGCAAAAACUGAAAAUAUAGACAAUUGGAGCCACUGAAGCUUAUCACUGCCGUUGGCAACGGGGGUCAUCGUGGGGUCGUCUUCAAGAAGACCUUCGCUUGACGCUACCACACUCUUUUUCUUACCUCCACCCUUCACCUUCAUCCUCCCCUCCCCCCCCCCCCCCCCUAUGGAUUGAGUGAUUGAUGGAAUUUCAAAGUCCUGUCUUUGAAGGGGAGGAGGCUGGAAUUCCUUUGCUAGUCUCUGACUUGAGCUGGGAGCCUGAGUUGCUGCAGCCGAGUUGAAAUUGCUCCACGGAGGAGAGAGAAAGAGGAGAGAGAGAGAGAGAGAGAGAGAGAGAGGUGAAAAGCCUUUUGGCUUUGCAAGGUUUAUUUUCGCGUGUGUUUGGCGUCUCACGAUAGGGCUGAAGCAUUUGGUCAAGUUUUUACUGUGUGUUUUUUUUUUUUUUACUUAGAAAGAGGUAGGUGGAAAAAAACAAAGGAAAACCCAGAAACCCGACCCGACUUGAAUUUUCGAUGCGGGUCUAAUAUGUUUCGGGUCGGUUUGGGUCGGGUAACAUCUAAACCCGAUCUGACCCGACCCAUUGACAUCCUUAAUCCCGGUGUGGUCUUGUCGUGCCUCACCGCCAUCAGAACCUUCUUGACUAGCUCAACGCUCUCUCUCUCUCUCUCUCUCCAUGCAUACGUGUGUGACAUCCAAUCGAGGUUGAGACAAGACAUGUGACCUCCAUUGGUGGAGGCGCUCAAGUUCAUAUCUGGAUCGCCCAACUUGUCCUCCUAUCUAGUCUAAAUUGAAUUAGCUAGUUAAUCGUAUACACGUAGGUGUCCUCAUUGACGUAUUAAAUGGCUAGUUAAUAUUAUUAACUGCCUCAUCAGCAAUUUUUGUUAGUCUACUUCAUGAAAAUAUUGAAUGAAAUUCAUGAAGUACAAGUACCAUUAUAUUGCCAGAUAUUUUUGGCGCAACAUUGAAAAAUAGGGAAAACUCCCCCAGGGCGUGAUUAAAUGAAUGCGUGGUUUAAUAUUUAAAUAUUCUUACACCCAUACUAUUACUGAAAAACAAAAGAAGAUAAUACAAAUCAUCAAGAUCGUCAAUCGGGUACCUAAGCGAGAGAGCUUGAUUAAUAGAGGAAGGUCUUUAAUGGGAAUCAUAUUUGCAGAGAAAGGACGUGAAUAAUGUAUGUUUUACCUCUAGAUAAAUCAUUCAAUGCAACUGAGUGAUGUGAAGAUGCUAUUCUGUUAAUUUGUUUCAAUCUCCCUUAUGGAAACUAGUAGAAACGUUUUCUUGUAAAUUACGAAAACCAAUCCUCGGCUUUCACUUAAAUACUAACUUCAUAUCCACUAAUUCCGAAAUCUAUCCACACUUUGCAAGAAGAGGUUUCAAAAAAAAAAAAAGUACAGUUCGCACAAUCUAAUUUCCACAAUUUUUUAGACUCAAAAAGAUAUUAAAUCUGACCUUUUUUUUUACAUCAAGGCACAAAAUGCAUGCUCAAAAUAAUAGCAGACGCAAAAUAAAUCAUAAUAAAAAGUUGAUAAUGAUUUUUGUGUUUUCCAUGCAUAAUGAAAAAUGUAGUUGAGCCACAUAGGUGAAUAAAAGAUUAAUGGAAAAAUUGUCUAAUUGGUAUUAAACCUAUUGUAAGGACAUUAAUUCAAUUAUAAAUGAUCUAUUUUUACCAAUUUAGCGUUAAAAUUUUAUGCAAAAUUCUAGAUUCUAUUUAAAAUUGGCCAGAAUGACUAUAUUGAAAUUUUGCGUAAAAGUUGAAGACUAAAUUGGUAAAAUUGAAAGAUUUAUGACCAAAGUAACAUCCGUUAAAUAAGUUUAGGACUAAUGGGAUAAUUUUUUGAAGGAUUGAUCGCUCCAUUAUUUUCCCUGCUCUUAUAGCCCGUUUGGAUAAGAGAAUAAAUAAUAUAUAAAAAACACACACAUUUAUAUCAAUUAAAAAAGAAGUAUAUAUUUGUGUCUUACAAAAAAGAGAUAUGUGAUAUCUUUCACCCAGAUGGUUUUCAUUAAGUUAGUUGCUUGAAAUUUGUCGAUGUUGAUCAUCACGUUUGUCUACCAAAGGUCAACUUUCGCGUUUGCCUCAACUAAUUUAGUAUUUAGGUUAACUCCAAGUUCUAUUCUCGCGAAAGCAGUGUAUAAUCAUGGUGUUCUGUUCGAGUGCAAACGUAUCUUUAAUUAUUGCUUUGCCUGAACUUUGUAUUAUUGACGUAAUCAGCCCAAUGAUUGCAGAUUGUGCCCUCCACAUAGUAAAAUGACGUCAACGUACGUGAGAUAUUAUUAUCUCUUAGGCAUUGAGAGAAAUGUUUUGUAGCGAUGCCAAGGUUUAGACAACAAAUCCCAAAAACUUACUACUUAUCGUUCACAAGUUAUCAUCUUAUUAUGGAAUAAAGCUGUUGAAAACUCUUAAUGUUUGUGCAAUGUUGCCUCUGAAUCUUUCUUUUUUGCAAUCAAAUUCUUAAACUAUGAUCUGUUCGCUCCAAUUGGACCUUCCAUCAAGGGGAAAAAAAAUGAAAAUGUUUAUGUGGCCGUUAAGGAUCACGAUGGCCACAUGGCUCCUACGUGCUAUUCGUGAAAAACCAAAGAUGAGAAAAGUUAAAUUUUGUUCCUAAAGGAAAUUUAGUGCAACCACGUCACUGCGGGCUUGAGCCCUCAAGCAACUAGCGGUCGUGUUCGAGUUUGAUCAAUGGAGCGAGGACAGAGGUUGGAAUCUUUCCCAAUAGAAGCUCCCUUCAUCGGCUUUGCGUUUCGAAGCGGCGACAGCAGCAGCAUCUGGGCAAGGUGGUAAUAGCUCAAAUAGGGAGGCUCUCCUCCAACCUUUGAUGGCUUUACUGAUGAUGCUGCAUUGAUUUUCAAGGAAUUCGUGGAGCCCGAAGAUGACUAGAGAUUCUUCGCAUCUUUUUCUCGUCAUUUAAGUCAGUCAUAUUUGGGGCCUGGCCUAGACCGAACCAGACGAGCUCAAAAUAAUUUAUGCCGUGCCCAUAGGACUUGUUUAGGCCUGAUGUAAUCGGGUCGGGGCUGCUUUUAAAUGAAAAGCAACUUGAAAAGCAGCUUGCGAGCUCACAUUAUGAUUUGCCAUUUCCCACAAAAUUAUUUAUCUACGGUAGACAAACAAGCAUUCCUAUCCCUUUACAUAGCUAGGAUACAAACUUUCGCAGCAAAACAUUACCAUGCGAAUCAUUCUAUCAGAUUUUGCAACAAUCAAGCGAAUUCCCUGUCCCAAGCUCCAACAGGCUUACUUAUACCCAUCAGUUCUAGAAAGGAGCACCUGAUAGUCUAUGGGAAAGCACACUCAAAAAGCAUAUGUUGUCUAGAUUCAAGAGCAGCUGAGCACAAGCCACAUCGAUCAACUGCAGAAGCCCCAUUUCUUCAUCCUCCCACAGGUCUGCAACCCAUUCAAGAUUGCUAAUCAAGGGCCGAAACAGAACUUAGAAGUGUUCGGAUUAACCCAAAUCAGUUUAUGACAUACAACCUUUGGCCUUCUUUCUCUAACCAGGUUCCAAAACUCAGUCCAAGUAAAACAACCAUAUGCAAUUCCAGUGAACAUCACUCUGAUCGUCAGCAAUAUGACAAUGCUAAAGCGUCCCGCAUAAUGCUGUCUUGUAUUUGCACCAAUAGAUCUGAUCUUGUUGGAGGCAAGACCACUCAUCUCCGACUAGUAACAGUAGCUACCAAAGAGUUGAUAUAUCUAGAGCAGUAUCAUGAAUCACUCUCUGAGAAUAAACACCCCCUACAAAUGCCAUGAGGGUGCCAUGAUCACACCACAAAUGAACUGUCUUAUCCAUUGCGAGUCACUUGUCAAGUAUGUCGCUUAAGAAUGGACCUAACUUUUUGCAGCUUCCUUCAAGUAUAGGUGAGUUACUUUUAGGAGCAACAGACCGAAUAGAAGUCUGUUUUAGCAACAAAAGGACCCUGCUUUUAGCAACAACUCCUACCGAUUGUGAUUGUUUAUGCUAAUCUGCUGGUCUUUAACCUAAAGUUGUAUGGUUUAUUGUUCUCGCCCAUGCCUCGCCCAAUCCUUGUGGCUUCAUGAGCUUGAGUCUAUCGUCUCCUUUCCCAGCUUCCAUCUCAUGUUCAACCAACCUUUGAUCAUGCACUUGCCAUUUUCUUUUAUGGAGCAGCAUUGGUGGGUAGAUUUAGUAAAGGGCCUCGAAAUACUUUAAUCUGUGUUUUCCAUCACAUGUAAGAUUCAGUAGCUCGAAAAAUGUCAAAUUUGGGGCUUUGCAUAUGUGCUGUUUAGCAGCCGAAUUUUGAUAUAGAUACUGGUUAGUGUUAGGAUUGUGGUAAGAUGAUUGCAAAGUAUAUUGAGCUUAUUGAUAUGAGGAUGUUGCAAAUGUUUAUUCUCCAAUCCUUGUUGAUAUUUUUCGGUACUGACUUGGAUUUUGCAGCCAAUCUCCCUAACGGACUAAGAGAAUUACUGUUACUGGUAAGAAGGAAAAGGAGCCAAAUAGCCAGUAUACUUGCAUUCGAUGUCCCUAUUUUGAGGAAUCUAGAUUUAGAUGAGCACGGUGAGACAUUNNNNNNNNNNNNNNNNNNNNNNNNNNNNNNNNNNNNNNNNNNNNNNNNNNNNNNNNNNNNNNNNNNNNNNNNNNNNNNNNNNNNNNNNNNNNNNNNNNNNNNNNNNNNNNNNNAACGGUUUGAAAGGGAAUGGUCAAAAGAUGAUAAUCAAUCGUAUUCCAAAUGGUUUCUUUUGUUGCUGAAUACAAAAGUUAAUGGACAAGAUCUUGCCCAUUCAAGCAAUUAAGAAUCUCACCUUCGACAUUAAGGCAGAUAGCUACAGAGGUUACGCAGCAUCCUGAGAAAUUACUGAGACUCGCAGUGAUCCGUAUGGCGGCACUCUUGGUUUGAUAGCAGACAUCUACCAAGAAGGUUGAGCGACUUAUUCUGUUCUUUAGGUGUAUCGUCAAUUUAACUUAUUUUACAGUAGUCCAAGAGUCCGAAGGCUGAUAUACCAAAUUGAUUUGCAAAAUAAUCUGACAAACUAAAGCCAAAUAUUUAACAAAUGAACAAUAUUUAACUACUCGACUAGAGUCACAUUUCUUCGAGUCAGUUCUAUAUUCCCAGCAUUGGUUGUUUCUCAUAUAGCCACACAAAGCUUGUGUGGUUAUAAGCGAUGGGCACAUUGAAGUGACCAUUCAAUGCAUCAGUACACAGGGAAGCAACCCCCCCAAAUCAGCUUUGAAGAGGGAGUGCAUUCAUUUAAAUAUAUUCAUUCCAGAAGUCAUAAAAGCUACAAAAAUUCUCCCACAGCAUUCGUCAAUCCACAUGAUGGUGGAUCGAAAUGGACUCAACUGAGGAAAAGAAAGCAGCAAAUGUUCCAGGGACAACAUCCAAAGGAUAAAACCGAGUCGCCACAGUUUUAAGACAUUCCUUAGGACUCACCUUAGAUGUGAGAAAGUACGAAACACUGAUUCCGAAGGAGAAUUAGUAUAAAACAAUGAAGCACCAAGGAAGUAAAUUGAGAUGCACAAUUGCCUGACCAAGCACCUUGCUACAAAGUGGGUCAUUUUUCUCUCUUCUUUAAGUUCAAAUCAGAAGAUUGUCACAAACGGACAACGGGAACGUGGGAGUAAUCAUGAAGUGACAAGAUCUGGUGUUUCUGCUUCAACAAAUAACAAAUCCAUGUAUACUUNNNNNNNNNNNNNNNNNNNNNNNNNNNNNNNNNNNNNNNNNNNNNNNNNNNNNNNNNNNNNNNNNNNNNNNNNNNNNNNNNNNNNNNNNNNNNNNNNNNNUACGAGGCCAUAAACGAGAAAUAGAAAGCAAGCAAAGCAGAAGAAAAAACGUAUCAUCUAUGAAUAGAAAGAAGGCGCACCGUUUUCUGCGGAGAAUCCCCUGUUUCUGUUUCAAAGUCCACUGUUUCUGUUUCAGAGUACAUUGAAUCAGUUUCAGAGCUCCACGCUUGCUUUGCUCCAUUCAGAAUCUUAUCUUUGUAAGACUUCCAAGAGUCAUAACUACAACGACAGUCGGGUAACUCCCCGCUACCUGUUAUGCGUAUCAAGCAAUUAUCUGGUAUUUUUGAGCUCGAUGGAUCAAGAAUCCUUCCUACUGAUCUGCAACCCCGAAUUUGCAACUCACCCAAAAACUCUAGUUCGUCAAUGCCCUCAACAACCUGUAGGCUCGGGCACUGGUGAAUCUCUAACUGCUUCAAGUUCUUCGAGUUUGACAAACCGCCUAAGCUUUUUAGCGAAAAGCACUCUUCUACAUAAAAUUCUUCCAAUGAUUCGAACGCAGUAACAAAUUGAAUAUCCUGUACCUCGAGGAACCCCGACAGAAGAAAUUUUACAAGCGUCUUUUGGGAGCUUGAGAAAAGUAUCGCUCCCCUCCAAUGAUCAAUCAACUUGGGAGCUUGUAGUCCAUUGCACCUCGGCUCCUCCGGCUGACAAACCAAACUCUCGGAAGAUCUGCAGUCCUGAAUACGUGAUCUUUCUGACGAUUCUAAGACAUCGAGAGAUUGAACAUCAAGUUGCUCGGACACCUUGUUUUCUUUCGAUUUUCCCAAACUUGUUGGAAGGAAUGGAGUCUCCUUUUCCGAUGGAGGAAGCCCAUCGUGGUGUACUUGUUUCCCUCCAGUUUCGUAAAGCUCUAAAACUAUCAAAUUUGACGGGAGGUCUUUGAAAGUUGGCAAGUCUAGUCCGUAUAGAGUAAGUUCUUUCAGCAGAGAAAGGGAACCCAACUCUGUAGUUGGGGCGCGGACAUUUUUAAAGCAGAUUUGCAGGUUGCUCAAUUUGGUUAAACUCCCAAUCCACCCCAAGUCGCCGGUUUGGAAUUCAUUUGAUGGGUCUCUAUGUUCAUAGCCAUCAGAUAGGAGCAGUUCAACUAUAUUAGUAAGGUAUGAGAGGUUAGGGACAGUUUGCAGGGAAAAAGAUCUAAGCCGUAAAGUGGUCAAACUUAUGGGAAGCUUUGGCAACUCUUGUAUCUCAUGACAACCAUACAAGUGCAGUGUUUGGAGUUGACGAAACUUGCUCAUUGUACUGGGCAUUUCCGCAAUUGGGGUGCGUGAUACAUUGAGAGAUGACAAGUUUGGUAGUUCACCAAUGGUAUCCGGUAAUUUCAUAAUUUCUGUGUAUGAUACAUCCAGCUCCAUUAACGACUUUAUUUUCGAAACCGAGGCAGGGAGUUCAAUCAAGCUAGAACAAUGGUUAAGACAGAGGCACUGCAAAUUUUGUAACUCUCCAAUUUGUUCAGGCAAUUUUUCAAUGACUGACAAAACUGAAAAUUCAAGUCAGUUAGCCACCUCAGUUUCCCAAUAGAACAAUCAAUUUCCAUUAAAGAGUCAAAUGAACUAACAAUCAACUGCUUUAAAUUUGAGUACUCGGGAAAGGUCGGUGCCUUACUUAUCAAAGUAUUAAACCGAAUAGUGAGAAC
This 212809-nucleotide long non-coding RNA is filed under the name Eucalyptus grandis. RNAcentral's name for it is "long non-coding RNA (EGRA_LNC004228)". The record is from RNAcentral. Lineage: Eukaryota; Viridiplantae; Streptophyta; Magnoliopsida; Myrtales; Myrtaceae.